Molecule: long non-coding RNA, 196521 nt
Filed under: Cucumis sativus (cucumber)
Lineage: Eukaryota; Viridiplantae; Streptophyta; Magnoliopsida; Cucurbitales; Cucurbitaceae
Description: long non-coding RNA (CSAT_LNC002508)
Source: RNAcentral
UUUUUUUUUUUUUUUUGUUUUUGUUUCUUGUGUUAUUUUCCAAACAUUUUCAUGGAUUUUUUUUUUACUUUAAAUAUAAUUUAAUGACAUAACAAAUAAAAAAUAUAGAAUUCACUGAAAUAUAAAAAAUAAUAAUUUUAAAAUUUAAAUAACAUAGGACAUAUUAACAACCUAAAUUUGGAAGAUAAAAAUAAUAUGUAAAUUUAAAUAUUGAGCGGACUAAAAUUUAAAAUUAAAUUAAACAUAUAAAUUUUAAAAAUAAAUAAAAGUACAUUCUGAAAAUUUGAGAAUUAGCAAGAGAAGAAAAAAAAUUUAAAAAUAUUGAACAUAUAUUAAAGAUUAUUAAAGAGGCCGAAAAAAUAAAUUAAAAAAAACAAGUUAAGAAGGAUGAAAGAGAAAUAAAAUAGGGAUUUUUGCAAAAAAAAAAAAAAACAAAUUAUGAUAAUAUAAUUUAUGUCACAAUAUUUUCUAAAUUUGUAAAAGUAGCAAAUUUAAAAAUAAUGAUGAUAGUUUUAUAAUUAUCGUCUGAUAUCAUCGUAAUAUGCAAAAGAAAAAUGAGUUGAAUGUUUUGAGCUGUUUUUUUAAAAAUGUUUUUGUUAUUUGAUGCAAUCUUUUAAUAAAAUAAUCUAUUAAAAUUAUAAAUAGCCUAACGGUGAAUGUAGACCUAUCUCCUCGGCCAACUAGAAAAUAGAGACUAUGGAUAGUAGUUUUUCUAUUUUUGUUCAAUUUUUAGAAGCUUUAUUAAAUUUUGAAAACAAAAAAAAUGAGAACCGUUUCCUUGAAAUUCUCAUCAUAUUUUCUGAAAUCUGAAGUCUGUUUUUGAUAGGUCACAUUUUCUCUCUUCCAAGGAAAAAUCCAAAUUUCACAUUUGUGGAAUUCACAUUUGGUUUGUUUUAAGGAUUUUUUUCCCCAUAGAUAAUGAAUUGUUAAAACAAAAGGGGGAUUUGAAGGCAAUAAAUAAACACAAAACCAAUACAACAAUACAACAAAAAGAAAACCUAAACCUAAAGGGGAAUAAAGCCCCACACACAACCUUACAAAGAGCGGUUCCAAGGAAGAUACUCCACACCCUUUUAAUCGUAUUGCUGUUUAUAUUUAUUGAAUGUGACGGUCCAUUUACUAACCACACCUUCAAAACAUAUUUAAAGCAUACUUUUCAUUAUGAACUCAAAAACGUAUACUUUAUUUGUUUUGAGAGUCUAAUUAGGCGCAAUUUUUAUAACUAUCGAUGGUAAAGUUUGUUGGAAAGAAGGGAAAAAAAAAAAAAAGAGCUUUGCCGACACAUAUGAUACUAAGUUUUUAACUUUAAUAAAAUAAAAAGAUGAUCGGUCAAUGCGAAGACAAAUGGCUUCCGGACAAAAUCCCCUCCACGGCCCACUUGCCCACAUUAACUUUCAUUAUUAUUAGGAUUAAAUGCUGUUUUUUCUUUGUUGCUCCUUUUCUUACUCACCCAUUUGUUCAUCAUUCCUGACAAACAAACAAGAUCCGAUCAAAAAGUAAAGUAAACCAACAACAAAACACUGCUGCUGCUCUCCAUUUAACUAUUGCUUCUCACCCAACAUACCAAUUACACAACACCCCUUUGAUUUAAUUCCCAAAAUCCUGCUCAAUCAUCGAUUAUAACCUCUUCCACUUUCCUUCUCUUACAACAGUUUUAUUGCGUACAUCAUAUUCAAACCACCUGCUUCAACUUCAAAUUGGGGUCACCUGAUCGGAUCAAAUCCCGGCCACUCUCACUCCCACUCCCACUGGGACAAUUAUUUUGGAUGUUGGUCAGAUUAUACGGCGACCUAUCCAGAGCCAACCACUGCUCCACCGUGAACAGUUGUUGAUCGCACGGGCUAUGAACCCCUGUUGUGGUCACCUCCAGAUAGUUGCAGUACCAACCAUGGUGCGGACCCGAUCCAUCAGAGGUCAGGUUCAAUGAACACACGGGUCCGCUCAGGCAUGGACCUCUUCCACUGAAAAUAUCGAGAUUACCUCUCUCGAAGUAGUUGUAGCCGGGUCCCAUCAACCCGCCCCAUUUCUCCAGAUCCAUAAUCCUGAUUCCAUCCCCGGCAGCCGUGUAGAGCGUGGCGGUAAUCACCGAGUCCGUCCCUGCUUUCAGGAUCGACCCUGUUCUGAUAUACACCGUGUACACGCAAUCUGGAUUCUGCAUCAAACAAAUCCAAAAUGUACAUCAGUUAUUUUUAUUUCUUUCAAAGGGCAAAAAAAAAAAAAAAAAAAAACGGAGGAGAGUAAGUGGAAAUACAUCGGAGAAAGCUAUGGCAGAGAAGGAAAGGAGAAUGGAGAAGAAGAGGGCAGAUUUGGUGGCCAUGGUUGUGUUGUGGAAUGAUGAGUAUGUUUUGUUCUUGUAGAUAUUAUUAUAUAUAGAAAAUCUAAUUGCUAAAACCAUGCCAACUCAAUUGAGAUUCAUCGGACGGCUGCAAUCAUUUGAUGGCCCACUAUUAAUGGUGAAUGUCAACAAUUUGAUAAUCUUUCAAAUGAUUCAUCCAAUCAUCUGUCUCCACGUACUCACAAAUAAAUGGCAUCGUCUCGAUUCUUCCGAUUUCUCCCUCUUCUUUUCUAAAUAAAUGACAAUAACUACUGACUCAGUAUAUUAUGAAUCCAACAUAAUUAAUCCUCAAAAUAUAAUGCUUGUGAGCAUUUUUUAAAUGUUUCAAUUACUUUUUAUUUCAUCUCACACCACGAAGACCUAAAUGAGAUGGGAAUGGAUGUAGGAUAAACAUGUCAUCGUUUGGUUCAAGUUUUCGUAGAAUCCAUUAUAUAAAUGUCUAUGAACUAUACUCAUUCAAAAUUAUAAGUUUGCAUGGCUAAACACUUGAAAUUCAAAUUCGUCGAACAUUUAACUCUUAGUGAUCCCGAUCCAAAUUGGCUCAAACUCACCUUGUGAAUCUUAGCAAAACAUUUUCUGUCUUUAGUCACGAUCGAACACAACUCUAUAAUUGCUUUAAGAGCCCUUAAAUUUUCUCUUUUAGCCUUCAAUCCCGGUCGAAAUUGUCUUAGAGAUGGCUUAAGAUCUCCUUAGACUUGUUUCUCUACGUCCAAUCUCGAUCGAACUUUGUCUGAUAUUGCUCAAGUUCCCCUGUCCUUAAGCAUUCUUUCCUUCAUCUCGAUCGAAAAAGCACCAAUAUAGUCUCGAGAUCAAUAUAAACUCACAGUUGGUUAAUGACCAAUAUGAUUAACGUAAUAAGAACUAAUUUUUUAAAUAAUUUUAUAACUAGUUUACCAUUAAUUAAUUAUAAUUUAGUACUUCCUAAUUAUAUACCUUCAUCAAAUUUAUCUUAUCAAAUUACUCGUUUUACAAAUACUAGUAAUUAAUAUUAUUAUUUGAUUGUUAAUAAUUAAAUUUUCUUUAAAAGUAUGAAUUUGAAUGUAUUAAAAUUUGAAUGUAUUAAAAUUUUAUUAGAGUUUUCACGAUUAAUUUUACAAAUAAAAUAUAUAAAAAAAAAUUCGUUUAUUCUUAACCAAUCACAGACAUCCUUAAUUAUGAAUGUAAUUCCAAAUACAUCAAUUUAAACGGUUCUAUAUUAUUAACCGAUUGAUAACAAAUUGACUAAUAACUUACCACUUGUAAGAAAUUUAAAUUUUGAUUAGAGACGUUCAAGCUAUAAAAAAAAUAUUUAAUCAAAUUAGUUGAGAAAUCUUAUCAAUGCCUUAUGCUUUAAAAAAUAAUUUUUUAAAUAAUAUUCUGUAUUCUGUAAUCUCCAUUUAUCAAUUUCAAAAUCUAUUGCAUAUUUACUAUUUUGCAGUCUUCAUUUUUUAUUAUUUGAUAGGGUUUUAGCUAUUUUUUAAAAAAUAAAAUAAUAUGCAUUUAAAAAAAAUAGAAACAAUUAAUAUUAUAAUUUAAACUAAAAUAUCGUGGAGAGCCAACUUUCACAAUUAUAACUCAACUACAAUUAGUUAGGUAGAUGAUAAAUAUAAAUGUGACUUUUUAAGUUUAAAUGUAUUUAUGAAAAUUUUGAAAAUUUUAGGGACAUUUUUAUACCAAAUGUAAAAUUGAUAGUCAUCUUUUUUUUUUUUUUUAUUGUGUAAUUUAGCCUAAGAUUAAAUGCUACCUUUUCAUUAUUGCUCCUGUUGGUAAUGGAAAAUAUAAACCAAUUAUUGUUCAUCAGACAAAAGAUCGGAUAAAAAAUAAAGCAAAAAGAAUACAUUACUCUCCAUUAAACUAUUACUUCUUCCCCAACAUACCAAUAACACAACUCCACACAAAAACCACAUCCAUUUGGUUUUAUUCCCCAAAAUCCUGCUUAAUCAUCUCGAUCAAGCCCUUAUUCUACAACAAUUCUAUUACAUCAAUCAUAACCCACACCACCUACUGCAAUUUCAAAUCACCGCGGAUUCCACUCCCACUCAGACACUCAUUCCGGAUGGCGGUCAGCUCAUAAGGCGACACAUCUAAGGCCAACCACUGCUCCACCGUGAACAGGGUUUGCUCGCACGGCAUGUGGACACCCGUUUUGGUAACCUCCACAUAGUUGCAGUACCACCCAUGGUGCGGACCCGAUCCAUCGGAGGUCAGGUUUAACGAACACACCGGUCCGCUCAGGCAUGGACCUCUUCCGCUGAAAAUGUCGAGAUUGCCCCUCUCGAAGUAGUUGUAGUCGGGUCCCAUCAACCCGCCCCAUUUCUCCAGAUCCUUAAUCCGGACUUCGUCCCCAUCCGCCGAGUAGAGCGUGGCGGCAAUCACCGAGUCCGUCCCUGCUUUCAAGGUCGACCCUGUUCUGAUGUACACCGUGUACACACAAUCUGCAUCCUGCAUAUAGAUCAACCAAAACCAAAAUGUGUAUCAGUCUUCUUUUAGGUUUCCAGAUGAAGAAAAAAAAACACAGUUAGUGGAAAUACAUCGGAGAAAGCUAUGGCAGAGAAGGAGAGGAGAAUGGAGAGGAAAAGGAGAGAUUUGUAGGCCAUGUUUGUGUUGUGUGGUAAUGAGUAUUAAUGAGGAGUUGUGUUUUUCUUGUAAUUGAUAUUUCUAUAUAGAGAUUUGAAUCACCAAAACCACGACAGCUCAUCACAGAUUCAUCUCUGCUUUAUUAUAAUCCAUGGCCAUCUUUUUCCAUCUGAAAAUAUCAUUAAUUUUAUUUAAGUUCUUAAAAAAUAUUAAGUUACUAUUUUAUUUCAUAAUAGAUAGACCUAUUGUUUACGAGUUUUGGUAACGAAUUGACUAAUGAUAUAUAAUCCAUCUAACAAGUUUAAAAAUUGAUUAAACACGUUAAAAUAAACAUUUGAUCAAAUUAGUUGAGAAAACCUCAUGAAUAAUAAUGUUAUGCUUAAAACAGUAAUUUUUUUUCAAGAAAAUGAUUUGUUGAUUUUGAAGUGACGUACAGUUGAUUGGUAAGUAGUAUAAUAUUUAUGCAAAUUAAAAUUAAUAAAUGAGAAUAUCUUAUGGAGAAAGGCAAUGAAUAUAUUCCAAAGGACAUGUGAUGCACGUUGUUGUUCUCUAAACACUGAUCUUCAACUUCCACUUGGUCAAUGCUUACCUUAGAGUAUUACAAAAGCUGCCAAACCUAAAAUAAUACCCCCCAUCAAUUUCAUCUAUUAUUCAAUUUAUCUUUACCCAUUUACCCAUUCAAUUAAGCUUAAAUGGUAUUUGAGCAAGUUGGUUUAGGAUCUUGAUGUUUCUGUAUUUACAUAAAAUUGAGAUUUCAAUGUUCCUAUCUUCUCUUUCACUGCUCCUUGAACCAAAUUAUUCAUUUUCAAGAAUAUUUCACCUAUUAAUAUGGCAAAAUAUGUCAAAAUCUACCAAUGGUAGGAGCCCAACUAUGCAGCAAAUAUGGGUACAUUAAUAAUAAAUCAUGAGAGUCUAUUUAAAAAAAUACAUACUUGGAUAAUUAUUUAAAAAAUUGUUGUUGAUUAUACUUACCCCUAAAACAUUUGUCAUCUGCCAGAAUGGGCUUUAGGAAGGGACUCUCCAUGUUGGAGGCCGAACCCAACCAAUUCCAUUGUGUUGGACACGCGUUUGGUAAUGGAUUUUGGGCCUUUAGCCCAUUUCAGAAUUAGUUAAAUAUUUGGGCUGGAUCAAGGAUAAGGCACACCCAACCAUCGGCUCGAUAUUAAUGAUUGCGCUGAGCACACUACUUUUAUAUCAUAUUAUUUCCUUUUUCAUAUAAGAUAAAAGUUGAAUGAUCAUCCAAUACUAUGAGCACAACACUUCUAUGCUUCCUGCUAUUCACCAUUAAAACUUUUGAGUUAGCGAUAAAAUAAGUAACAUUGUCAAUUUUAGUAAAAUGUUAAAGCCAUGGUUGAAUGGAAUAUUCGUUUAUCUCGAUCCACAAAGUCAAUGAAAUUUCUCUUCUAACCUUUUGAAAAGUUCUCAUUUUUAUCAUAAAAAAUCUUUGUGUUAAAUGUUAAUUAUAUAAUUACUCUCGUCACGGUAUAAAAUCAGUGUCUCGUCACUGUAUAAAAUCACACUGAUUAAUUGAUUGAUGUGGAACCAAGAGCUAAUUUCUUCAUAUAUUUUUGUAAGCUUAUAAAGAGAAAUGGAAGGUUAAGGUUGAUAAUAUAAUAUCAAUAUAAGCUAUAAUAGUAUUUCUAAAGUUUGUAGAUUGUGCGAUUCUCUAAAUCCAUGAUUAAUUAUUUGUUAGAUAAACAAUACGUAAAUCUAAUGUUAAUGUGUAAAGCAGAUAUCUAGGGAAAAAGGAACUGGAAUCCAUAUAGGUUUUAUUAAUUAUAAUAUAUAUGGAAAAGAGUAUAUAGUUGUGUAAUGUAACCUAAUAAUUGUGAUUGUUUAAGCGAGAGAGAAAAUAAAGUGAAAUAAUAUAAGAAAAGAAAAUAUGUAUAGUAUUGGUAUUGAAAAAGAAAAGGGAGAAACUUUAAAAAGGGAUGUUACAGAAAGGAAGGGAACUUUACAAGUGUUAGAAUUUAGAACACUGAUGGGUGGACAUUUCAGAACUUAAAAACUUUGGCUUUUACUUUACAACAAAAACACUUUAUAACUUGGCUAAUUUAGAAAUUAUUCAAACCAAAAAAAAAAUAAAAAGGGUUUUGUGUUUCCCACCUUUUACAAAUCAACAUCUCCACAUGGUUAGUUGAAAACCCUGCUUCUCCAUUUUUAUAUAUAUAAUAACCCACCUCUUUUUAUUUUCCUUUAAUUUCUUUCCCACUUCCAAAAAAUUAAAAUAAAUAUGCAUGGCAUGGGCAACAUUAAAAAUGAAAGAUUACACUACACUAGUUGAGUCUGGAAUGGGCAAUAAAUAUAUAUAUUCAUAUAUACAAAAGCUGCUUGUGUGUAUCCAUUGAGGCAAUCGAGGCAAUGUUCGAAAUAUGGUUCUGAAUCAAUGAAUCAAAGAGAAGAGAUGAAGGAAGUUCUUUUUGUAAAUCAGUUAGCUGCAGAACUCAUUUAUGACAAUUCAUUGCAUUGUUGACUGAUACCAAAUAAAUCUAAAAUUUGCAUUAGGCAACGUGUCAACAAAUAAUGAACAGAAGAAGUAGAUAUUAGGAGAUGAGUAGAUAGUAGUUUUUAGGAGUGGGUGCAUUUGGUUCCCUGUGAGAAAGGCAUCUGGGGGCACAUGGGAUUCCAUGUGAGUCUGAAUUUAAAUGGCAGUGUCCACUACACACACACACACACACAAGAAAAUUAGAAAUGAAGAAAAGAAAAGAGAAGAAGAAGAAAAAGAAAACGGCUCGACCCUCAAUGCGGGGACCAACUUCACAUCACAAUAUGUGCACACACGUGUAACAUAUCUAUUUCCAAUUUAAACACCCAUUAUUGGAAGGGGAAGGGAUUUGGUUUGGUAAUGGUAGGCGCCCCCACACACACAUAUUAUUUCAAUUUCUGAUAUAAGAUUUUAUGUUUUUAUUGUUUAUGUGUGGUACCAAUAAUUGAAGCUUCACAAACGGAAAAGACAAUAGUUUUAUUUGAGUUAAGGCACCAAUGAUGGGGGGAAGUUUGAAAUAUAAAACUUAUAUUUAUAUAUUUAUAUAUUUAUAUAUAUAGUGGGAUGUGGAGUGUAUCUUUACACGUCUUAAAGAAAGCAGCAGGGGGGUAAGGGUUUUUGUUUAAAAGGUUAUAUGGAUAUUAAUGUGAGUGUGAGUGUGAGUGUGUCUCUCUAGCUACUUGUAAAACUUCCCAUGUGUUUUUCUCUCCUUCAAUUCCCCUACCUAAAGCAAAGCAACCCUUCUUUUUAAGUGGAUUCCAACUCUUCCCUUUCUCCCUUUCCCCUAAACCUAACAAUCAAAACAAACCCCAUUCCCUUAUUACUUAUUAUUAUUCCCAACCCCACACCCUCUUUUUUUUAAAUUUAAAAAAAAAAACCCUUAAGCUUUCCAAGCAGAGAUUCUCUCUUGUGGGGUUCUUUCAAAUCUAAACACACAUCCAAUACCCACCACUUUUUCCUUUUCUUUUCUGUUUCUCAUAUUCAGCCUUCUGCCCUACUGCUUUGGAGUUCCACCCAACCCAAAAGAUUAAAUAUACAACUCUCACACCCAUUCAAACACACAUAAACAGUCAUUUUUAUUACUCUUAAUCAAUAUGUAGCAUAAAGUUCUAUAUCAAAAAUAAAAACGGAUAACUAUCUAGCUUUAUCUAUUACUAGCUAAUAAAAAGUAAAACAAUUUUCUUACUUUAAAUUUGUAUUAAAUCAACCAUUUAAAUACUAUGUUGGUUGAGAUAUAUUUGUCUUUCAUACGUAUUUUUGUACUUUUGGCAUUUUUUUUUUUUGUUUGUUUGUAUGCCACUCACUCUGAAUAUUCUCUCUUGUUUAUGUAUAAUUGGCUUGCAUUAAUUAUUGUCAAGAAAUCUAAUCGGGUUUAAUUUCUUUGGAACAUUAUUAUGGUUGGAACCUUCCCAUUGGGAAGACUACCGAAGAUUCUUUCUAAUGCAUUAAUUAAAAAUAAAGAUGUAAGUGAAGUCGAUGGUAUUUAAUAAAUAAAAUGGUGCUUUCAGUUAAUCCAAAUCAUAGCCACUUCUGCUCCCUACGUAGCUACCUCCCCCCAGGGGAAGAAAAUCUCUAACACAUUAAAGCCAUUAGCUUAGCGCCAUAUAAUUGAGGCAUUUCAUCUUAACUAUACAAAAUUUAUUAAAUGUACUUUAUGGCAACAAAUUGAGAUGAGUGGUUCUUAAAAUAAUAAUAUUAGAAUUGUUUAAAGUAGAUUAGAGUGUGGAUGUGAAGUGGAUUGCGUGGUUCAUGCCGGCUUAGACGCUUGCCUACAUUCUUUUAUUUCAUUUACUUAUUUGACGUCUGUUCUCUCUCUCUCUCUCUCUUUUUAAUACAUAUAUAUGUAUAUUCUUACUUAAUAUUUGUUCAACACCUGAAAUUAAAAUAUUUAAUGGUUUUGAACAGAUCACAUGGUUCUUCGAUGCAGUAUUUUAAUUGUUAAUUUAAUAUAUGUGAUGAACACCUAUUUAAGUUAAUGGGACAAAAUAUUUUUAAUGCAAAACUUAGAAAUAGUGUACAACAAAUAUAGAGAGAGCAUGUAUGUGUUACCAAAUCUCUCCUAUGUCCAUUUUGUACCUUUUAUUUUUAAGUAUAUAUUCAAAAUAAUAGUUCUAAUUUCUUUUAUGUUAUCGCAAAUUCAACUUUCUUUUUAAGAGUAUAAACAAUGUCUCACCUUAGUCAAGAUAUGACAGUUAAUAGAUAGGUGGGUGGCUAUGUCUAUAUAUUAUAAAGAUGUGAAGUUUUUCUAAUUCGUGUAGAAAGGAUUUGAAAAGAUUCAUAAAUAUCCUCCUUAGGUUAAUUUUUCAAGUGGUUAUUUUAAAAUAAACACUUAUUUUUAUGUGUGAUUAUUUUUAUAUAUCGUUUUAGAAAGAAGAUUUUCAAAGUUUAUUUUAAAAUGUUUUUUUUUAAUCCAAAAUCUUUAAAUAAAUUUUUUAAAAAGAAAUAUUUUAUUUUCUCUUAAGCAUCUGUAAAUAAACUGAAAGACGUUUGGCCAUGUAUCUAGCUAUACGAGGCAUUCACUGUGCUCAAGUGUUACAGUAGUAUUAUAAAUUUUUAGGUAUGAACUGUAUAUGCUCCAGACAAAAGAAAACUAAAGUGGGAUUGACCAGCCUAAUUGUUAGAGGACAAGAAAAUUCUGAGAGCCCUAACAUUAUAUGCCCAUAGUUUAUGUAAUAACACGUUGAUUUUUGUCGUUAUGCAUACAAUAUUACUUUUUACAUUUGAAUCAAACGUCCUCUGAAAAAAUCACUUAUAAUAACGAAUAAUACUUCCCUGUUCGCGUUGUAAAUAAAAAAUGAAAAUUGAUCGCAAACUCUUGAUUGGAGUAAAGGAAGUGAAGGAAGAAGGUAAGGUGGAGAAGAUAAGAUAAUUAAUAAUUAGAUUAAUACCAUUAAUUAACAUGGAUUAAGGUGCAUAUAAUUGCAAAUUUUGGUUGUCUUCCUUUCCCCUGUACACAGAGUUACAAGAUGUACAAGGCCAUGAAGCCAAAGAAAAAGAAAAAGAAAAAAAAAACCAGAGUUCCCACCCAGCUACCUUUUUUGUUCUCUAUUUCCAUAUAUAUAUCUAACUAACAUAUUUUUGAACAAUUAUAAGUUACAUAUAUAUAUAGACCGACCAAUCCCAACCAACCAACCAACCCUCCUCCUCUUUUCCUUAAUAUAUAUUCUAAUUUAUUGGCUGGGAAAAAAAGAAAAGGUAUAUAUAUAUAUAUAUAUUUUAGCUUUUCCUUUCUUUUUUUCCCAUUUCCCUUUCUUCUCCUUCUUAAAUUUCUUUCACAUCUGGCACUGCCCUGGCAGUGGCAAUAUAGAUCUCUUCUUCCACUCAGCCAAGCGUUGCAAAAAGUUCAUAACCUGUGUAUAUACCAAAAUUAAUUAAAAUUCACAUAAUUAAUUUUAUAAUGAGACAAAAAAUAAGACAUUGUACAUAAUUAAAGUAUAUUUGAUGAGGUAUAUAUAAUAAAUACUUGUACUUGCCUCAGAAGGUUCCCGUAGAGAAUAAGAAGCACUCGUUUCCUUUGGAAAUUUUGACACAAGAAUGCCAAACCCUUGUCCUCUCUCUCUUAUUAUCUGCUCAAUUUUUUUUAAAAAAAUAAUUUAGAUUCAUCACGAGCAUGAAACAAAAAAUACAUCCAUUUCUUAUUAUUACUGUUACUAUUAUUUUAAUAUAUGUUGUUUACCUUAAAUGCAUCUUCAUCCGUUCGAUCAUCUCCGAUAUAUACCGGAAAAACAUCCGAACAAUUGUUGAAUCCUGUUAAUUUAUUUAUAUAAAAAAGUUAUUAUUAUUAUGAGUAGGAAAACUUUUCAUUAUUGGUAAAAGGGUGAAAAAGCUCACCAAGUGACUCUAAUAAGAAUUCUAAGGCCUUCCCUUUGUCCCACUUAAUGGUUGGACGAAUCUCUAAUACCUGCACUUCCACUUCAAAGUUAGAAGGAGGGAUUUGGAAAAUAAUAAUUAUGGUAAUUAAUUAAUUAACUUUUCGUAUAUACCUUUCUUCCUUGGGUUAGUCGAAGCUGUGGGAAAUCUUUCAACACAGAUUUAACUUGUUGGGCUAAUUCACUCCAUUUCUGUAAUAAUGAUCAUAAAAAGACAAAUUACAAAAUUAAUCACUAGGACAAGAGUAAAUAAAUAUGAACAGUAUAAAGAGGUGAUAGCAGAUGGUGACAAUGAAAUAUUCAUUAACCUUUUCUUCAACACAACGGUAGUGAACAGAGAGACAAAACUUGUUGUUCUCCACCUUAGCUCCUGGAGUUGAUUUGGUUUUUUCAACCAGCUCUUUGUAAACCUGACAAAAUAAUGAUAAUAUUAAUAAAUAUUAUGAGGGUUUCAUUUAGUUGAUUUAUUUGGAAUAUAUAUUUGGAGGUAGAGUAUUAAAAAGGAAAAUUAAUUAAUUCACCUGGUCGAUCAUGGGAAGAAACUCACUGGCAGGUUGAAAGAGAACAGAUUGGGUACACUGAAACAGUAAAAGAGAAGAUGAGGGGUAAAGAGAGAAUAUAUGUCAGGUAAAAGAUGGUAAAAAUAAAAUAAAAUAAAAAGAAGAAGAGGCAGAGAGAGUCACGCACUUUCUUGUAAUUGGAAUCUUUUGUCGGUCCUUUAAUAUCCAUCCCAUGGCUUCCUGCAUAAUACAGUUCUCCUAGUCUUACAAACCCAUAAACCUGCAAUAAUCAAAAUAAUUAAAAACACACCAUUCCUAUUUUUAUUUUAAAUUUAAUCUCAUCUCAUGUAUUUCCAAACUUCAUUUUAUACCUUGUCUCUACGUCUCCCGCUCACUAUUGCAGUAGGGAAGCUUCUCGCUACCGUUUUUACCGUUUUUCUCAUCUGUAAAUUGUUUUUAACCACAUGGAAGGAAAGUUGAGUUAUUUAUAAAAGAAGAGAGAUUUAAAAAAAAAAAAAAAAACAAAACGUAAGGUAAAUUACGGACCGCAUCGGACAUGAAGGCACGAUCUGGGUCAUCGACAAUUGGGGAAAGUGUGCCAUCAUAAUCCAGAAACAUCACUAUUUGUUUCCCUUUAGAAGCAUCAAUGAUUUGGUCAAACAUGUCCAAAGCCGAAGGAUGGUGGAGCUGUUACAUUGCACAAUAAUCAGAUCAGAUCCCACUCUUGCAUAUUAUAUAUAUUGUAUUUUAUAAUAUAAGUUUAUAGUGAUUCAUUGAGGGAGUACCAUCCAAGAGGAGUUAUUGUCAUGGUCAUGGUCGGAGAGGGAAGGAGUGGGUUUAAUACGACUUGGAGAUGAGGCUCGCAUUGAGUCCACCCAUGUCUUGAUUCUUGCUCUCCCAUCGGGCUGCUGCACCAAUUUUGUGGACCGAGAUAUUGAGAUGUAGCCACCGCCGGUGGUUGAGCUGGGGCCAGCCGGUGGCUUUUGAGCUGUUGCUUGGAAAAUCGACGAGUUUGAUACUGUGACAGUGAUGGCCAUGUUGAUGCUUGAUUUACUCUCUGAAAUUACUACAUUCGGGUUGUUCGUCAUCCUGUUUUUACUCCCCUAGUUCCUUUUUUUGUUUUUAGUUUCUUUCUCACUACUAACUGCAUCGUACCCACAUCAUGAAACGAAGAUCAGUGAAUUAGUAAUAUAAAAUUAAAGAAAAGAAAAAGGCUAGUUGGAAAUUUGAAGAAGAAGAAAACUUACAAUUGUUUUGAAAGAAGAGAGAAGAGGGAAGAAUAAUAUUAAUGGGGGGGGAGAAGCAAAGAGAGAAGAAAUGGAGAGUGAGAGUAAGAAGAGGGGGAAGAGGGGAUUUAUAGUUAAAACAAUGGGGCCCAGUUGGAAAAAUCCAGUAGGCCCCACAUUAAAAACCUCAUCCUUUUUUUUUUUUUUCUUUUCUAAAAUUUAAAAUAUUGUUAUUAUUAUUAACACUUGAGAGACGCCGUUGCUGUGGUGGGGUGAGGGUGGGGGUGGACACGGCCUUAAGCUUAAGCUUCUUCCCUUUUCUUUCUCCCUUCUUGCCAAACCGCCACUUAUGGGUUGUCUCCACGUGGCCAACAUUCCUCUUCCAAGUCAAACCAACCUGGUUUCUGCCCACGUGGCUUUUCUUUUCUUUUUAUAUAUAUAUUUGUUGAUUAUAAUAAAGUUCUCCAAAUAAUUCCUUUUUUGAAACACAAAUUAUUAAGUUCUACCAAAAUUUUGGCAAUGAAGUAGUAGAUAUCAAUUAAUUAACCUCUAAAAAAUUGUUAGAUUCAAAUUAUUGCAUACCAAUUUUCCUAAAAGAUAUCUUAAAGUGAACUGGAUUAAGCUGUAUUUAUUAAAUAACUAAAUACAUUUUUUCCUCCUAGCAAAAAAGCUAUUUAUCAUAGACUUCUGCCUCCAUUAUCUAAAUUAUUUCUUUAUCAUCAAGUGUACUACAUUAAUGAUAUUAAUUGACACUAAAAAGGAAACAAUAGGUAUAAGUAGCCAACCAUAUUGCAUUAUAAAAAGUAAAACAGAUUUUAUCUAUAAUCAUUUGAUCUUUCCUAAAACAAUAUAUACUAUAAUUACUUAAUUUUUUAGUUCAUGAAAAUUCUUCAUUUGCUCCCGUUCUUAAAAGCAUAGUAAUUCUUAACACUUAUUUGCUUUUAGAAAAUAAUAUUUCACGUAAAAUUAAGACUAAGGUAAUAUUAUUGAUGUUUUUUAUUUCUACGUUUAAAAAAUUAUAUUCACAGCACAAAUUUACUUACUUUUGUAAAAAUGACAAAAAAAAAAAAAAAGUUGAUACACAAUUGAUACAUUAUUAAUACAUAUUUGAUACAUUUGAAAAAUAGGAGGGAGAGGGGAGUAAUAGAGUGGGAGCAUUGAAAGCAGUGGAAAGGAAAAGGUGAGUGGGUUUAUUAAGGGAAGAGCUGUUUUGCGAAUUGCUAUAAAUAGUGUGAGUUCAUGUUAUGGGCGGUUGGUACCUUACCUAAAAUUAGAGAUUACAUAGAGAAACUUCGUCGGAUAAAAAACGCCCCUUGUAAAUUCCACCAAAAACAGCGGCGUCAAUAGCCCUAUGUGCUUCGCAUUGCAUUUCCCUCUCCUCAUUAAAAUAAUAAUAAUAAUAAUAUCACCAAUUAUUAUUGUUAUUAUUAUUCUUCACCAUUGUACUCUAUUUAUUAAACAUCAGAGAACUCAAUAAUUGAGCUUGUACUGACCCUUUUUUCUUUAUCAAAUUUAGUCUCUUUAUUAGAAUAUUCACCUUUUAAGUGAAAAAUUAAUUAGUAUAUAUAUAGAUGGAAAUAAAAGGUACUAAAGACUUUGAUUAUUAACACACCUGUCUCGAAUCAACCAAUCGGCCUUGACUUUCACUCAUUUUUUAAAACAUAUAUAUAUGUUUUAUUGAGAGGUAGAGAGUAAUGCAGAACAAGGACAGGGUGCCUAUCUAGCUAGCCUAACUUUUGUAAUUAUUAAUUAUUAUUGUUAUUAUUCUAAGGUCACAUUUAAUUAUGUCAAUAUUAUAAUGUAAUAGUUAAGGGGAGGUGUUUCAAAAAGUCUUUGUUGGGGUUGGGGUUUGGAGAAGGUGGAAAAGAAAGGGUAUAGGAUACAAAAAGAUGUGUGUGUAUGUGUGAGAAUUAGAGUGAAUGUGGUUUGAAACUAAAGGAAAAUUCGUCUCUCUGUACUUUUAUGGCUUCAAUUCCUUUUGUGUGUAUUAGAGUAGAGGCAGCAAAAUCAUCCAUUUUUCCUCUCUUUUUCCUCUUUUGUCCCACGCCAGGGAGAGUAUAUUCCAAAUACCCUCUACACUUGGAAAUUAUAAUAUAUACUUCUUUUCUACUAUUUCAUUUAUGUUCUUUCCUUUUUUAAAAAAAAAAUUAAUAUCAAAUUUCUAUUGAAGUAAGACUUUUGUUUCCUUUUUAUGUUUGGAAAUAUCAACAAACUUCUUUCUAACAUUCAACUACAUUUAAGAUGCACAAAUCAACUAAAAUCACACCACAUAUACAUUCAAAAGCUAACUUACAUGCCCUCUUUAACUCAUUUUGCCGAAUAAUCUUUCUAAUUCCAUAGCAUUUGGUUGUCAGAAAAUUUUAUAGGAUAUUUAAUUCUAUGCACGGGGAGUCGAUGAUCACCUUAUAUUGAACUCAUGAUCUCUUAUUCCUUUUAUAUAAAAAUAGAUCCUUAAAUGAACUAUGAGAUAUUACCAAUACAUUUACCCGAUGCAUUUUAUUUCUCAAUGACAAAAUCAUAUAAACUUUAAACGAAAAACAUUUUUUAGUCUAAAAAGGGCCAAUGUCAAUUUGUGAGAUGAUAUUUUCUUUAUUUAAGACAAAUAAAUGACAUUAUCAAUUCAUAUUGAAUAGAUGAAUAUAUCCUUGAAGUUGCAAUUCUAUAUUACAUUAAUAAAAAUCAUAAAAAUAUAAGUAAAGAAUAAUAUCAAUAGACCUAAUUACCCAAGAAUAAAUACAAGAUCACAUAAUGGUAAUGAUAACUAGAUAAUUAUUGUCUCAAUGAGUCACACAUUAAAAUUUGCUAAAGAAUUUAAAGUAUGUAUGUGGGUAUAGUAGCCUAUUUUAGAUACAUUUUUGUUCUUGAAACAUGUGGAUAGAGACAAAGUGAUUUGUCAAUUAGAUCUAGACCAUAUUAAAGAAAAAUGAAAAUUUCUUUGAAAUUAUAAAGAUACAAGUUGAAUGGAUAGGUCAAAAGUCAUAAGAAUCAAAAUCAUUUGUCUAGGAAACACGAAAAUGUAAACUCACAAUUAUUGUUCAUUUGAUAUGAGCAAAAGUGGACAAACUUAAUUCUCCAAAAAAGGUUAUAAAUAUAUUUUCCUUUUACAUAUUUUUAUUAAUUUAAAUAUGAUAUUUUUUUUCUUACAAAAUAAAGAAUAGACGUACACAAAACCAUUUAUUAGACUUUAACAAAAGUAAAGGUGAGAAAGUUGAAAACAGGAAUAAAAAUUGUGAAAUGACUAGGCAUUUCUUUUUUCUUAUAAGUGAUGAGACUUUGAUGAUGAUGAAGGUGGUGAUGAUCAUGGUUAUUCAUAAUAAUAAAUGAAAGAGAAAGAGAGUUUGUUUGGAUAGUUGUGAAAAAUAGUUCCAUUUUUUUUCUUCCUUAAAAUUGUUUUUAUUGACAAUAUAAUGUUUUUUUAAAAAAACAUUUUUUGUAUUAUUAAAAUUAUUUUCAAAAUCAAUUAUUCAAGACAAUAAAGUGGAUCCAUUUAAGUUAAUAGAAUAUAAAUGGACAAUUCUAUUUUAUCAAUUAAACAUUCAAUUAAAAAAAAAAAAACAUCAACGACAGUAACCAUAAUAUUUUAUUAUUUAUUUUAGAUAGACAGAUUUAUCAUUUAGUUUUCUUUUUCUUCAUAUUUUUAAAAAUAUAACUAUCUACAAUAUUAAUAUUGUUUUAAGGUUUGUAAGCACAUAUUUAGGAAGUUGAGAUUUCCACCUUACAUGAUUUAGAAUGAUAUUAAUGGCAUUAAUAUCUAGACAUUAUGUAUACAUGAAAACUCUUAAUUGAAUUAAAAGAAAGACACAUGUAAAAGUAAUAAUCAUGUUCUAGUUUGAAUUAAGAAAACGGAGGAAAUCCUCCUACUCCCUUUGCAAGCUUAUGAAAAAAAAGAUUAAAAUAAAACAAAAGAUUCUAAAGAACAUAUGAGCAAUAUGAGCAAUAGAGUCAGAAUGAAUCACAUGCAACAAUGUAAUUUAAUGAGUUAAAUUGUGCGACCCAAAGUCAUGAUAUGUUUGGUAGCAUUUGAUGGAUAUUUAUUCUAUUUAGUUUCACAUUAACUUUAUAGGGAUUAGAGAUAUUAUUUUAACUCAAAAAUUUAGAGUUGAAGGUUGAAGUUUGACUAAUAAAAACACCAAAGUCUUAAGCUUGAUUUAAAAAAACAAUAAAAAUAAAAAAGCAAAAGAAUUAAAAUAAUUAGAAUAUAGUUAUAAAGAAAUAGAUAUUCCAUGGAACUCGGCUGGAUCAACGCUUAAGAUAUGGAGAAAAGAAAGUGGAGUUGCAGUUGAGGAGUAUUAUAGUAUUUAAUUUAGGGCAGGAAAGCCGAACCCGAACCCAUCCGCCAAUCAAAUGUUGGCAAUCCACCCAACAAGAAACAUCCAAAAGGUUCAAAUGGUUUAGAGGGGUACGUGGCCCAAUCAGGGAUUAGGUCUUAAGAAAGACUUAAGGAAAUUAAAGAGGAAAGGAACAGAGCAUUAUUAAGCAUAAUCACACGCUGGACGUCACACGUGUGUCGGCUGUCGCGGCACUGUGUAAUGUAUACACGUUGCAGAAUUAACACACACAAAAUAAUUCAUUUAUGUAAUUAUAAAGUUUUGUUACUAAAAAAUAAUUCCACUAUGAAUGAUGCUAUGGCCGGCGGGAUUCUGGGAACCACAAACAAAUUACUCACACUCUUCUCACGUGCAGUACAGCUACUCCUUCCUUCUCUACCUUCCUCUUCUAUAUUUCUCUAACCUGUUCAUUUUUUUCACUCUACGUACCAAACCCCAAACCCCAAACCCCCCCCCCAAUCUCAUAUAUUAAUUCUAUCUUAUAAUCUUUCUAAAAUACAUUCAUUACAUUCCAAUUAUUAAUUCAUUUUUUAAAUUCAAUCUCAUUUUUAUCUAAUUCCUUCACACCUCUCUACUCUUAUAAUAUUAUUAUUCUCAUUUUUCUUUUAAUUAUGCAUGUGCCUCUUUCCUCUCACUUAUAUUCUUUGGGUUAUGCACCAAAUCAUUUCUUAUGUAUAUUAUUAAUCAUAUAGUCUGUGAGCAUUAAUUAUAAUCUCAAUUUCCAGCACGAUUUAAAGCUCUUCAUAUGUAUUACUGAAUUAAUGUGCAUUAUGUUCCUUUAUUAAUUAUUUGGAGUUUGAAACUAUAUAUUAUUUUAGUGCAUCAGAUGCGUGGUAGUGUGUAAACCAUGAUGUCAAAAUACAGAUGUCAUGACUUUAAUCAAUUUUUGCCGGCUUGGAAACAGUUAUCUUUACUUCCACUUCUCCUCUCAAAUUCUUAAAAUAAAUACACUUUUUAAAAACACUCUUACAAUUUUAAAUUUUUUUAACUUAGAUAUAAUAAGAAUUAGAAGAUUGGAUGACAAAACAUAGGAGGUGAAAGUAUUAUAUAUAUAUAUAUAUAUACAAAACUAAAUUGGUUAAAGUUAGUUGAACUAAAAAUGACGUUUAUAGAUUUUGAUUUUCAAAAUGCAAAGGAUUAAUCAAACGGAGUUAUGUAUUCUUAUUUAAGAUUAUGGUUGAUUCUUUAAUUUAAUUUUUUUUAUGUUUAUUAUUCUUUUUCACGACGGUCUUCUAAUAAAGAAAAGUUGGUGUUAUAAAACCAUAGAGUUACUGAGAAAAUAUAUCCUAUUAAAUGUUACUCAUUAUUAAUCAUGUGAGCACUACUGUGUUAUAUGUUAUAAUAAUAUAAUUAGAUAUAGGUAAAAAAUGCAUGGAAUAUAGAAUGCGUCAACAAUGACUAGAUUAUUGGUUAAAAUCCCCAUGGUUAAAGUACUAAAGAAAAGGAGUUUAGGUACAAUAUUGUGUAUCAGUCAUCUUUAAUUGACAUUGGGUUGCCUACUUGACAACUGGACUCGUGUCACCAAAAAUCAAAAUAUUUCGAUCUUAUACCAAACUCCUUUAGCAUCAAUAAUCAUUUAGGACUCACCUAAUUUUACUUUAAAAUCUAAACGUUACAUCAAAUUGUUUGAAAUAUAAUUUUCUUGGUUAAGAUUAUAUGAAAAGUCGUGUUCUUUGUAGAAUAUUCCAACAAAACCUCGAUUACAAUGCCUUUCAUUUUAUUGGGUCGGUUUGUGGACCCUUUUUCAGAGAUAUACAAUUCAUUUAUUUUCCUUCAAUAAAAUUAUUACUCUCAUUUGUCACGUACAUUUUAAUUGGGUUAGUUAGGUUUCGUUUAUUCAUUUCUAAUUAAUUGUGUCCCAUUGGAAAAUUCCACUAUUCUAUCAAAAUAUUUAGAUUUAUUGAAAAGUGGUCAUAUAUAUAUAUAUAUAUAUAUAUAUUAGAUUGAGAGUAAUUAAACUUCCAAAACAAUAUUUAACUUACUGAUGGGUUAAAGAUUAACAUAACAACGAGGCACAUUAGACAGUGAAAUUACACUCUAAACAAAGGUGUGUCUUCCUUUAUAUUAUUAUUUAAAUUUAUAAAACAUAGUAAAAAAAUUUAAGAUACAUAAACAGUGUAUGAAUUUGGGAUCAUGAAUUCUAACUAUGGCUAACUUUAGAGACUUUGAAUACAAGUAAAUAAGAUAAAGAGAAAUUAUUUGGUAAAUAACUUUGUGUUUAGGAAAUAUAUAAUCCCAAAGAAAACAAAAAACAAAAAAAAACAGAAAUUGAAAAGGACGAGUGAUAAAUAGUUUUAUAUCACAACCAGACUUCCACACUAAUAGAUGUAGUUGGGAUUUCAAAAGAGAUUUAACUAAAUCAUUUAAAUAAUAGUUAGGCUUUUUUUAAUCCUUCUAUAUGGAAGACAAUGGAAGUCUCUAUCUUCAUAUUUGUCGAUUAUAUAUAUUCUCCACAUUUAAACUUUAGGCCCACAUAAUUAGUUUCCUUUCUAAAGUGCUUAUAUAUAGUGUGUUAUUAAAAACCAAUAUCUACAAUCAUAUAGAUUUUAAAAAGUAAUUGCUGUAAUAUUUUCCUCAGACUAUUUUCAUAAAUAGCUUACUAAAUUGAUGACUAUUAAAGGAUUAUUAGAAUCCUAAAGCAAGGAAUUGAAUGAUAAUUAGAGUUAACACAUAUUAUAAUGUUGGAAAAAAGUUGAAAAUUAAGAAACACUUUUAAAAGGCAGAGAGAGACAGUACCACUUUCUUUCUUUCUUUUUUUUUUUGUUUUUGGAGUAAGACAGUGCCACUUAUGUACUUGCUAUUUGUGGUCGGCAGGUGCAUCCAAUUAAGUCUUGUUUUCGUGUCAAAAUUAAAGCCAACCUUAUGGUUUAUUUUUCCCCCCCUCUCUCUGACCUUCCUUUCAAAAUUGUCUCUUACCCUCAAAAUCAUUCCGACUCUUUUCUUUUCUUUUUCUUUUAUUAAUCUCUCGAUUCUCUCCUUAUUAUCAUAAAAUUAUUAUAGUUUAAUUAACCGGCCACUUGCUCACUCCUGUCUACAAUUUACAGCACCCCAAAGACACACCUUUAUUAUUUCAACCCACACACCACCACAGUUAGCUACUUUUGAAUUCAUAGUUCUGUGUUCACACAACACAUGCAUUUCUAUGAAAACACAAUGUAUAUUUGUCAUAUAUUUAAAACUCAUAUAACCUCAUCUCAUUUGAUCCAUUUAAUUAACAUGAAUUUCUACAUUCUACUUGAUUAUUGGUUCUUUUAGCUAGGUACAAAUAGUUCAAUGACAAAUUAAACUAAAACAACAUGAAAAGCAAGGGAGUAAAAAUAUCAGUGUGAGGGAGUAGUUUUAAAGUGGGGAAGGUGGUAAGUUCAUUAUCGUGAGAUGACAAGAAAAGAAAAGAAAGAAAAGGGAAAAAACUGAUUUGGAUAAAAGUGAUUAUCCGUUGUGAUGGAGUACGUUUGUGUGUGUGUGUGAGCUUUAGUUGAAAUUGAAAUUUGAAGAAGAAUGAAGUUGAAGAAGAAGCAUAAUUUGAAGGAGGUGGUUAAGUGAUACAUAGGUGGGACCUUCCUAGUAAUGUCCAGGUCGGUUUCAUGGAUUUCCAAGUAAUCAGAAUCUUUGUCGGGAUUCAUCAUUCUUUUUUAAAAAAAUAACUUCCAUAUAUUAUUCCCCUAAAUAUAUUUAUAUAUACAACUCCAUAAUUUCCCUCCUCAAUCACUUUAUUCCUAAUUUUAAUCACUCCUUUUUCAUAUUAAUUAUGACGACCUUAAAUACACCAAAACUUUGAUACUCUCUUUUAAUUUCUUAAUUAAACACCGAAUAUUGAUAUUUCAUCUUUCCCCCCCAUUCUAGAUCAAAACAAGCAUUCAAUUCUAUAUCCUAUCCCCAACCUUUUUUUUUUCUUUUCUUUCUUUCUGCAUGCACCGAAUAUAAUCUAUCCUAAUUUAAAUUAGUUUCUCUAAUCAUGUUUAAUUUUGUAUCAAUUACAUCGGGCCAAUGUUAUCGAAUUAAGUACACCAUGUUCAUAAUAAUAAUAAUAAUUUUGUAACACUCCCUCACCUUAUAGACAUGCAACCGAAUAAAGAUUGAAAUCUUUAACAUAAAGUAAAACAGUUUUUAGUUUAUAAUAUAAAAAAGGUGUCCUUUGCCACGAGGAAUAUAUAUAUAUAUAUGGUAUAUAUGUUAUAUAAUAAUAACCCACCACACCAUUAUCUUGGUCUAAAGAUCAAGAUUUACUAUAUAUAAAAAGAUGUUUUUGAGUAUAUAAGAACGGCUACUUUAUAGUGAAACUCCUCCACAUAUGCGCAUGCCACAAGAUAAAGUUAAAGUAGUUAGGGAAACUAGGGGGCUAAACAUUUAUUUAUUAAUUAUUUCUCAUGCAAUAAAACUAAAUUCUUGUUCCUUUUUCUUUUUUGUGUUUGGGGGAAGUGAUUGAUUUAUGUUGGUUUGAAGUGAGACGAAUAUUGAUGACUGAAAUGAAAGUUUUGUAAUUAAAAUGAUGGUGGGAGUCCUCAAGGGCAAGGUACAACAUUUCAUUUCAUUAACCCAUUUCAAUGGUUGUAAUUUAUUCAUUUGGCAUUAUUUUUACUUCUGUUAAGAAAUAGAAUAUGGAAUUUUUGAAAAUAUGUCUAUUUAUGAUUCACAUUGGAACCCAACCCUCACAUAAAUCUCUCUUUCUUUUGAACAAAAAAUGUUCCUUUCUUCCGUUGACAAUUUUAAAAUGGGACUCUUUGCCUAGCUAUAUAUAUAUAUAUGUUGAAACCCUAGAUUUUCAUUAUUGCCUUGGUAUUUUCUCAGCCAUGGAUUUUUGAUGCUUUUCAUUUCAGCCAUUGGAAGAGGUAACUUGUCAAUUUUGAUUGUGAGAAUAUAAUAACUUUAAAGUCUGAAUAUCAAAUUACUUUUAUAAGAUAAUGAUUUAAUUAGUGGGCUCAAAACAAGUAGUUACCUCACACUUAUUUCUAUAAUGUGUUACAUUAUUCUCUCAAUAUACACACGCACACAUAUAUAUGCCUAUAUAUAUAUAUAUAUAUAUUUUCCCACAAUAAUUAAAUUAAAAUGAUCGAUGCACAUACAAGUGACAUAUGAUAAGAUGUAUUCGCUUCUCUCAUUUCUUCAUAAAUGGGAAGAAAAAAACAAAAACAUCAAUCCUUCAUUACUUUAUCUUGCACAUAUUCAUAACUUUAAACAUAAAGGGUUGCAAACAUCCAAAUUGAUUUUAAAAAAAUGAAUAUGACAGAAUAAAAUAAAAUUUGAAUGAGAUAAUAUGUGUUAAUUUAUACCCAAUUGGGAAAAUUACAAAUCUAAUUAAUAGGAAGUAUAUAACACCAACCAACAAUUACAGUCAAAGUCAAAAUAAUUUGUUCCUUUAUUUGCUGCAAUAUAUUCCAGUGGUUGCUUUUAUCUAAAUUUGGACUGUUCAUGAACGUUCUAAAAUUAUGGUGUAGAGUUUAGAAUAGUAAAAAACUGUGGUCAAAUAAUGGAUGCCAUUCCCUUAUCCUUUGAAAUGAGGGUAUUAAAAUAUGAUAUAGUUAUUAAGAAUGGAAAUACUUUUGUAAUAGCUAGCCGGUGAAAGAGACACGGUCUAACCAAAAACUAAUAGCAGAGUCAUGUUCAUGCAUCCACACACAUUGCUCAAAUAUGGCAAAAAGAGACCUCUCCAAAACAGACAGCCUUAAAUAUCCAAAUUACAUGGAAUCUCUUUUCUUUCAACUCACUCAUCUUUUUAAUCCUUUCCUUACCGAAAAAGUCCAUUCAAAUUGGUUUAAUUAUUAUUGGACCACCUACGCUCCAAACGUAUUCUGAUUAUUUAUAAAUGAAAAAAACGUGUUUAUAAAUUCUUAGAAACUCAAUCCAAACGUAUCUUAAAUGUAAGGAUUACUUUAGCUAUCUACUAAAAGUAAAGCCUUCAUUUUAUUGUAAAUAAUUCUUCUAAGAUAUUUAUGAAUUAUUGCAUUAGUUGAUAUAUAUAUAUUGAAUUAUGGAAACAGAAGUCCAAAUUGUUCACCUUUUUCAAGAACAAUUAACUUAAGUCCAAACUGAAGUCCAAAUACAUUCUCGAAUCAACUACAUGAAUUGUGGGAAUUUAUAUAUAUAUAUAUAUAUAGACCAGCGCGGUACCAUGGGAGUUAAUCUUGGUGGAGUCUAUUAGAGAUGGCUCUACGUUGAUGAACAACAUAGUUAAUCUUGGUGGAGUAUUAAAAUUCACGAACAAGCUUGGAUAGUUCGCAGUUGUUGUUACAUAAUUAGUAGUUAUAUAUCCUAUUGGAAGUAAACAAUUGUUUUUAAUUAGUAUUGAGCUAGGAGAAUUCAUACACUUUUUCUUUUUUUUCUUUUUUUUUAAAAAACAAUAAAUAAAAGUUUAGCAUCAAUUAAAUAAGGAGAUGUUCGUGCAUUUAUAAAUGAAGACAGUCAUCUUUAAGGAUAUGAGAACUUUUGGAUGAAACAGAAGCAAAAUAACGAAAGACAUGUAUGCUCAAAGUAGACAAUAUUAUAUUAUCACGGAGAUAUAUGAAGUUCCAUCGUGCUAUUAACAAUUGGUAUUUUAUUAAAAAGAAAAAAUAGUUAAGAAAUUUGUUACAAACCAUGCUAGUAGCUCUAAAAUAAUUCUUACCAUACCUACAUGUACUGUUUAAAAAUUAGUUCAGCAACAAAAACCUAAUGGUUAAAAUUUAGAAAUUUAGUUGUUUGUUUAGGCAACAUAAUGAUUAUUAUCUUUCUAUUGUAAUAAUCGUGAAUGUUGGUAUAAUAAAGUCUCUCAAUACUCAAUCGUCACUAUAACGUGUCCAAAAUAUAUUUGAAUCAUCGUAAUAAGUAGCAAUUUUAUAAAUAAUAACUAAGUAUUUGGUAAAUCUUAGCAAAACUAAUAAAUCAAUAUUUGGAAUAUGCUCGUAAACUUUGAUAUAUUUGUACUAUAUUUAUAUAUAAAUAUUUUUUAUAAAGUUGUUAUAUAGAUAACUAUUUUAAAUCUAAUGGCAUUGUUUGCAAGGGUUCCAAUAUUUUGCUUAUUUGACGUCUAAAUAUGUUUUGGGCUCCAGUCUGUUGGACUUGAUUGAUUUGCUUUUUGUUGGGCCCAAACGAUGGCUAAAGUCCACGAGUUUGACAUUCCGGGCCUACGGAUCUCCAGCCCCAAUUUGAUGGAUGCACCCAAUGGAUCAAAAUUAGUUAUUAAGGUGAAUCAAUAAAUGUUAUAUAUAAUACUCAUCAACUUCAGAUUGAUUUUAAAAGUUUAUGGACAUAAUUGAAAUCGGAAGGAGAGGUCAAGUUGUUAGUGGGGGAAGGUAGCAGAAAUUAAAACUUCUUUUUUUUUUCAUGAAUGAAUAUGGACAUUAAGAUACAAAAUUAAUUUCAAACAGAUGAAAUCAGCCUUUCGUCAAGCUACUAACCUCUUUGUUAUCUGAAAAGUACACCAUUAUUGAACAUGUACAAGCAAAUAUAUAUGAUUUUCAAACUUGAUAAAUAAAUGAAUGAAAUCUUCUCAUGGAUUGAAAAUAUGUCAGACUAUACACUCAUACAUUUCUAUCAAUUGGAUUAUUUAUAGAUUUAUAUCAAUUACUUUAACACUCUAUUAAACUUCUAUUAGUUUUAAUCACUAGUAGAUUUUUUUGGAGUGUAAAGAAAGUAAAAAAAUUGUUAUAAGUUAUAAAGAGUUCGACUAAUUUUUAUAUUUUUAAAGAAUAAUUGAAGAAAAAAAUAUUUGUUUCUCUAACGUAACUUUACAAAAUACUUGCAAAGUUGAGAUAUAUUUAGAAAAAAUUUGAAUUGUAAGGAUGUUUAGAAAGAGAAGAAAUCAUAAUGAGUGAUGAAUGGUAAUUUUGGGUUGGUUUGACCUACCAAGAAGCUUCUUUAUAGAUUUAGAUUAGAUGAGAAGGGAUUCUUUUCUUCUUUUGAAAAAAGAUUAGAUGGAAAUUAGAUGCUUAACUUAGUCCUAAUUUAGCAUUUGAACUAAAUAAAGGCAAUGAAAUCGCAAAUGCCACAUCACUAGGACCUGUAAAGCAAACUAGGAUGCCUCCAAACCCUUUUUCUACCCUUAAACCCACCAUCCAUAUAUGACUUUACUGUCUAUGUUUCACAUUACUUUUAAAAUUCCAAAACCAAGGGGUGACGAAGAAUAUGAUCAAAUUUUAAGAUAUUGUUUUCUUUUCCACACAAAUAUAUAUUGAUCCGAACAAAAAGAAGAAGAAAAAAAAGUGACAAGGAAUGGCCAGGAUUCAGUUUAUUGUCAAGUUUCAACCCGGGGAUUCUCCAAAUAUGAAACGGUGACUUGAGAGAGCCCACUCUUUUUUUCUUUUUAUUACUAAAACAACAAAUGUAUUGUAAGACUUUUUCCUUUUUGUUUGUGACUCAAAAACUUUGUCUUUGGCGUCACCUAAAGAACGGGAAUAUGAUGCUCCUCUACAUCUUCCUUCGCUUCCCUACUUCAUAAUUCCUUGGCCUUACCCACCAAAUCCAAACGGGAUUGGACCCUUAAUUUAAUUUGAAUCCAACUAACACUCUCCAGAACUUUACACAACCAUGAAACAAGAAGAAGAAGAAGAAGAGACUACAAGAGACCAACAUGUGUAUAUUAAAAACACGAAGUGCACAUAAUUACAUUUUUUUUUGACGUCCAAAAUGGCCAUGCAAGAGAAGAAAAAACAACCUGCAGACCAAAAUGGAAUACAACCCAUUAAAGACGAACCACAAAUCUCUUUAAAGAGGAUUCUUUUUUCAUGGACCGACUCCUAAACUUUCAUUUUAACACAAGAACUCUGCAAAUGCCUAAAAUUUCACUGCAGAAUCUUUGUAACAAAGUUGACAACAUUAUCAAAAAGCACAAAUUACAUUGAAAACAUUACUAAUUAACACUCUGAUUCGGCCAGCUGACUCAGGGCUGCCCAAUCAAUCUCGAUAGAAGGAAACUUUUCCAAACAGAAUGCUUCUACUCCUUCACCCCAUUGAGAAUCUGAAAAAUCCAAGAAACUGAUACUUGAAUCAGGGGAAGAUCCGGUGGAAGUGGAAUAAUCUUCAGACCGUGAAGGAGAUGAGGAUGAAGAUGAAGAUGAGGUUUCCACUUCGCUCUUCAAUUCUAGCUCGCAGAAAUUGUUAACUGCUGAGUUUGAUUCGGAUGGAAGUGGAAUGGUCGUUGGUUUUUCAUCCUCAACAGAACAGACCUCUGUUUUCCCCUGUUUCAAGCUCUGACAAAUCGAUUGAAGUUUCGCGUCCACAGAAGGAUGAAGAGGUUUGAAGUCUCCGAAUUGGUGUUUGAGAUGUGGAAAAUUGAGCCUAGCAAAGUCCCCACGGAGCUUAUAAGCAGCUUGAUCAUAGGCCAAAGCAGCCUCCUCGGCCGUAUCGAAGGUCCCAAGCCAGAGUCUAGUUCGGUUCUUGGGGAGUCUAAUUUCAGCCACCCAUUUCCCCCAGUGCCGCUGCCGGACUCCCCUGUAGAGUUUAUUAGGUUUAGGUGGAGAGCCCAUGUGCUUCAUGGGAAAGGAUUUGGGGGUAAGGAAGUUAUGGUAUUGGGAUUGGAAUGAAGAAGAAGAAGAGAAAGAAGACAUAGUUGGUGAGGGCAGUUGAAUUUGGGCUUGAAUUUGGAGAAUUUGAGAAGGGGUGGGAUUGUUUAGCCCGAUUGGACCUGAUUGCUCAAAACCCAUUUGUUCAAUUCCCGAGAACCCUUGAGAAAACAAGCGGGUACUCGACGGGGAGCAAAAAUCAGGGAUUAAUCUAGGCUGAGAAGAAACAGAAGGAUGAGGAGGAGAAGGAGAAGAAGAAGGAGAAAAGGAGGAGGAGGUUGAAAUAGCACUUUUCAUAAAAGGUUGAAGUGCUUUCAUUAAUUCUUCGCUAAAAGGAUCCGAAUAGUAAACCGGCGUUGAGGUUCCACCGUAAACAUCUAUAACUGCUGCCAUGUGAAUUGUGAAAAGAAACUUACAAAACUAGCAAAACAAAGUGUUAAAAGAUCCCAAGAAAACAAAAUUAUAGUUCAAGAGAAGGAGAAGAAAAACAAGUUUGUUUCUACAAUCAACUUGAGGGACUUAAAAAAAAACACCCUCAAAGCCGAUAAAAACAGAAAAUAUUCACCAAAGAAACAGAGAAAUCUGGAUCUCUAUUCAGAAUCACCUGAGUUCAAAGAAGCAGCCUUCUGGGUGUAGAACAACAGAAAAUGCAAAAUUGAAAAAUUACAAAGACAGAGGAUGAUGACAGAAAGGGAACUCAAAGAAACGGGGAAAUCAGAGAAGGGGGGGAAAUGGAAGAAGUUGAAAAGAAGAGAAUAAUUGCAGAGUAAAAAGAAAGAAAAAGAGGAGAGAAAAUAGUAAUCCCUGUUUUGGGUGUAUGAGCGUAGAAUGAAAUCUGGGCUUGAAAAGAGAGGUAGGUUUGAGAGUGUAUAUAUAAGACCAAAAAUGGCCGUCUCUCUCACAAAAGAGCCACCAGUUUUGUGACUCAAAGACCGCAUUUUGCUCCGGGAAGUUAUCUCGUCAACUUCAAGAUAACAUAAUUCGAGGUGGGAUUCCCAAUGAAGUGAUGCCACGUAAGCAACUUAACACGUGGAGGUGGGGGAAUAGCAUUGGCCCACUUCGUGAAAUAUUCAGUUUAAUUGCAUUUUGUACAGACCAUAGUGGUUUGGUUUGGUUUGGUUUGGUUUGGCACGCGCAGCCAUGUCUUUUUCUUUAUUCCUUAUCCUUUCGAAUCAAUUUUGAUCAUCCCACCAUACAUCGCCCCUCCUCUCCUUCCAAUUUCUAUUUUAUAAUCAUAAUAUAUAUCCCAAUUUCUCUACUACACCUAUAACAUUUUUACAAUUUUGAUAUUUAUUGAUUGAAGACAAACUACAGGUGUUGACCUAAAAUCAAGUGACCAAAGGCUUGGUUUUCCAGAAUAAAUAAUGAAGUUUUCAGAUAUAAAACUAAUAAAUCCAAAAUGAUGUUCCACUCUAAUAUAUUUAAUUAAGGAGCAGAUGUGUUUAAAAUAGAAUAUAUUGUAUACGCGUGUGAUUAUUCACUCUGAUUAAAAUAAUAUUCACUUACAAGUUAAACGAUGAAUUCAGAAUCCAAAGCUAUAAAGUAAACACAAAUGGGUCACUAAUAAAUAAAUAGGACCAUUUUACUGCAUUCUUAGCAUGAUCAUAUAUGUCUGUAUAUAUAUAUAUAUAUAUUUGGUAUUUGAUUCUAUAUUAUAUUCCACAAACUAUUCUUGUAAAAUAUCACAUAUAACUAAUCCUUCCAUUUCAAUUUAAUUAUAAAAAGGUUAAAUAUUUUAUUUAUUUUAGGAAUAUCACUUUAGAAUUAUGUCGUAUAAAAGAUUCAAACAUUCAAUAGGAAUACAUUCACUAAACUCUAUUUUUUAAGUCCACUCUUAUAAAAGCAAUAUAUUAAACCAUUAAUAUCUGAGAUGGAAAAUAUUUUCCCCAAAAGUUCAUUUCCUUUUAAUUUUCUUGGAAGAAACUGACGAUAUUACUCACCCUAAACCUAAUAUUGAAAUAUAAUUUAAUUGAGGAAUUGAAUUUGAAAUCUUUGUUAUCGGUAUUAGCAUGUUAGAAUUAUGAAUCAAUCUUAUUUAUUGUUAUUGUCAUUGUUACCAUUAUCCUACAUUAUCGAUAACAAUAACAAUGGAUAAAUAUGAUAGAUUAUAAUUAACAACAAUAACAAUGAUAAUGAUAACAAUAAAUGUGAUAAAUUUACGAUUGAUUUUUCAAAAAAAAUUAUUAGGAUUAUACUACUUUUUCAUUACAUUUUGGUAACACUAUCACGUUACAUACAUAAAUGAAAAUGAGAGAUUCAUAUAAACAUAAGUAACAAAUAGCAUUGGUGGAAUGGUGGGGAUGUGAAUAAAAACAAAGGAGAAAGUGACAGAAUGGUCAAUUGCGGCGCCAUACAUUUCAAAGUAAGAGUUGGGGGAUGAAUGCUUUUUUCUUUUUUCUUCUUUUAUCAUUUUUUUUAUAUUUAUUUUAAAAGAAAGUAAAGCUUCAAAAAAAAUAAAAGAAAAAGAAAAUAGAAUAAUAGAAUAAUAAAAAAAUAAAAAGGGAGGAAUUAUGAUAGUUGAAUGCAAUUAAGAAUUAGUAAAUUGGUGAAUGAAAGAGUGAAUAUUGAAGGGGAAAGGGGUGGGGGGCUCCUACGCAUUCACCAAGAGCCAAGUUGGGAUGUUCACGCAAACCAAUGACCUUUCCCACUUCUUAACCAUGGUUAAAUAUCGUGGGUUUAGAGAGAGAGAGAGAGGAAUCGGAAUCCAAACGCGUGGAGAGCAUGCAGUUACCACGGAGCGUUGCCUUUUGUCUCAACUGUUGGCGUAAAGACGAAGCGAAUGCCAAAACACAAAAACACACAUCACCAUAUGCCAAAUGGCAAGUGGGGCCUCCCAUUCCUACGUGGGAUUUGCCAACUCAAACGCGCUUUCCUUCCCUUCCCUUCCCUUUCCAUUCUCCGAUUCUUUCCUUUUUCUUUUCAUUUUUACAAAUCUAUAUUAACUUAAGCUUCUCAUUAUAUUUGAUUUCAUUUUCACCCAUCAAUUCUUAACUCUAAAUAAUUCCAAUUUGCUUUACAUAUUUUCUUUCCAACAUAUGAUUCCAUUCCAUCUAUACCAUUAUACUCCUACUUCCUAUAUAUAUAUAUAUAUAUAUAUAAAUCUCUCCAUGUUUAUAACUAUUAAAUUCAUAAAACCAAAAUAUAAAUAUGUGAAUAUACACAGUACAUAAGUAUAGGAAUUAAAAUAUCACUCUAUUUUAAGAUUCUUUCUUUUAGUAUUUUAACAUUCAAUUUGUUUUACUUACAAAUUACCUUUUUUUUCUCUCGCUCCUUCUGUUCUAAAUCUCUUUAGGCAUGAUGCAUGCCAUAUAAGAUUAUCAUCCAUCUAUUUUAGCAUUCAUGAGAAAAAAAGGAAUUACAAAGUUUACAUUGUAAAAUUUUGAAGAAAAAAAAAAUACAAAGUAAACUGAAAAAUAACUAACUAUUAAAUCAUAGAACAUAUAUUUAGUGGAGCUCAUUAUGAAAAUAGAGUAUAGUGUUUGAAAAUAGACAUUUAUAGACUAACUAAGAUCCAAUGCUUAGAUUAUAAGUAACAAGUGUUUGAAAAUACAAAUUUAAUAGUUUUUCUUGUCUUUAAAGUUUAAAUUAAACCCUAAACCAAGCAUUAUUGGUAAUAUUUAAUAAUUGGUAUUUGGUAUGCCACAAGAAGAGAGAUGGUUUGACCUUUAUCUCAAAAAAGGAAUACACACAUUGUCAACCUAAAAGAGGGGUCCAACCAUUAUAAACCCACUACCAAUGCCUCUUUUUGCAUGCAACGACUAUCAGCAUUACAAUAUCUAUUUUUAUUGGAAAACAUUAAACAAAAAUUAACUUUUCAAUAUUUUUUUUUUCUUAAUGGAAAAUGGAAAAGGGAAAAAAUGUCCUUGAUGUCUAAGUUCACUAAUAUUAACUUACAUGCAUCAAAACUCCCCCUAUUUUCGUACUUUCUUAUUGUCACAAUGCAAUCCGUGAAAAAGAAAAGAAAAAUAUGAUUAUUGAGUUAACACGAAAUUGAAAUCAAAAUUAAGAAAAUUUAACUGACAUAAAACUUAAAUUAGAUCGUAUUAUAUAUUUUACAUGAGUUGGAGGGUGAAAGGAAACUUCCUCCUCUUUGACAUUAGGACUUUUAUAAUCAAAAUGUACACAACUCAUUCAUAUUGACUUUCUUUAUUAUAUUAUGCACAAAUUUCUUCUCUUCUUUUAUAAAUUUUCCACCAAAACAGUGGGAAACUGGUGAACUAAGUAAUUAAUGGAAUGCACUAAUUAAUUGGAUUUCCCAUAUACAAUAAACAAUAAAUUAUUCCCAACUUUCUUUUCAUUGUGUUAGUAACAACUACAAAGAGGUUAUUAAAAUAAUCAAACUUAAAUCUGUUAAAGAAGCAACAUUAUCGUUAGAAAAACACAAAAUAUAAAUAAACAUUCAUUGCCAAAUUUAAAUAUAAAGAGAGGAGGGUUCAUUACUCCCUCUUUUGUGUUUGUAUCUAUUUAAUUUUUUAAAAGUUUUUAUUUUGUGGUUUUACAAUUUAAGAAGUGUCCAAUAUAUUCAUGAACUUUUAAUUGUGUGUCAAGUAGGUUCUUUAACUUUAAAUACUAACAAAUUAUUGAACAACUUGAUGUUUUGAACAUUCACAAACCCUAUGAAACACAAUUUAAAGUUCAACAAGACAAAUUUCAAUUUCAUAACUAAUAAAUCAAAUUUUAACUUUUAUUAAAUACAAAAUUGAAAGCUCUAACUACUUCAAACAUUUUUAGAGAUUAAGGAUACAAAUCUAAAAGUUGAGGCUAAACUUCUAAUUUAACCUACUACUACUCAAAAUAAUGACACCCACCAAACACAUUAAAUAACUUUAGACUUACUCUAAAAGAUCAAGUAGUGGUUGAAAAUGGUGCACACAAUAUAUUUUAUUUUUUUAAAAAAAAUCAAAACUAAUGACCAAAAUAACUAAAGGAUUUUUUUAGAACUUAGAUGAAUAUAAGAAAAAAGAUUCAAAAGAUUCCAACUGAUUGAUAAUACAUAAAUUGAGGAAAGAAAUUGCUCAAUUUCAAACUUCAAACUAGAAAAUGCAAAAAAGUUUCAAAAGGUCUUGUUAAUAUACAAAAUAGCUGGAUUAAUUGAAUAGAAAAAGGGAUUAGAGAGUACAGGACAAAAAAUGAAGCUAAUAAAAUUGGUGGAUAUUAGGAUUCAGUCAAAUUAAAGAUAUUAAACAAAAGGGAAUGAACAAAACCAAAAGGCAAUUAAAAAUAGAGGUGCACCUGAACAUAUGAAGCACCAACGAAGCACUCGCAAUGAGCGUUAAGGGUAAUUAAAGUAUUAAACAUGAUGAAGGUUUUUGUGCUAAAGAAGUCAUGGAAUUGGAGAAGAGAAUGGAAGAGGAUAACAUAAAGAAUUCCUAAGUUGACAUUGAUUAAAAAAAAGGUCAACCUGAUGUAUUGCAAUAAUAACGAGGCAUCAACCAACCACUAUGUGGUUGAUAAAAAAAAAAAGAAUGUGGAUUGUGGAGCACAUAUAAUUAAGAAGAUGCAAAUGCCGGCUUACUCUGCUUCGCAUCUCUUUCUCAAGGCUUCCACAACCACAACCACAGCCACAACAUUUCAUUAUUUAUUUGAUAAUGUAAAAUAUUUACAUAUAACUUAUAUAUAUAGUUCAAGCAUGGAUUGAAACGAUAAGUUCUUUUUAUGUUUUGAAACGCUUGCAAAAACUACUGUGAAAAAGUUUAAUAAAAAAGAGUUCGAAAGAAAUAACUUUUUUGAACAGACAAUUCAUUUCAGUCAGCCAUGUAACUGUAUUUGACCAUAUAACUUAUCAUGAGAUAAAAUGAAAUAAAAAUAAUUAUAUAUGUCCCUUUUGAACUACAUUCCUUCCAGCAAGUCUUUCUUUCUUUUCUUUUCUUUUUUUUUUUUGUAGAAGAUUUGAAUUUUAGCCAUUAGUAUCCAAAACAGUUGGGAGAUGAUCUUGAAUUUCUUAAUUCUCAAUAAAAAUAAAAAAAAAAGAAAAACAGGAGUGAUUUUACGGAUAAUGUCUAUAGCAAAAAUGAUUUGCUCAAUGUUUGGGUUAUACAUUUUUUAUUUUUAGACAAUCAUAAAUGAAUUAAAUGAUUGAGAGCAUGUUUGUAAAUGGAUUUAGAAUGAGUGUUUUAGGCAUAAAUGAUUUGUUGAUUCUUUUACUAAGAAGUGUACAAUUAAAAAUCCUUUGUCACGAUUAAUGCUUGUUUACAAAAGUGGUUUUGGAAUCAUGAAAUUACAAACAAAAACUAUUGACAGGAAAAGAAAUUAAAAAUAAAAAAGGCAAAAAAAAAAAAGGAAGAAGAAGAAGAAAAAGAAGAAGAAGAGAGAGAGAGGGCAGUUAGGUAAGAAAUUUAAAAGGGAGGGGCAAAGACUUAGAGGGAGACGAUAAAUUUGUAGCACUUGAAAAAAUGAGAUAAGAUUAGAGAGGAACCAAAAAGUUAUUCUAGAGAUAAUGUUAAGUGAGAUUUAUAAAAUAUUUAGACAAAACGUGUGAAAAGGGAAUAUAUGCGAGACUAAAGUUAGAAGUAGAAAUAUAAAAGUUCAAAAAAAAAAAAAACAUUAGUAAAAAAAUGGAAUGAAAAAAAAAAAAGUUUUUCACAUAAUUUAAGAAUAAAUAAAGAGAGGAAUUUUCUUUAUUUAAAGAUUAGUCAUUUUGAAAAGAAAAAAAAAAUUACAACUCUAAACUUUUAAAGUUUUUAAAGUUUAUAUCAAUUUUGAAGAUUAAACUUUUAAACUCUAUAAUAAAACCUCAAAAUAGUUGAAACUGAUAUUUGCCUUUCCAAAUAAAAAAAAAACAAAAUCUCAACCAAUUCAUUGAGAAUCACCUGAGUAAUGACCAACAGCAGUUUAAAAUAAUCCUGUACCCUCUCAAAAUGAUAACUGUAAACAAACAUUACCAUCUAAAAGAAACUAAUUUUGAACCUUACAAAUAAGUUCAACCAUUCUAAAAUAACUCCAAACAUGCUCGUUGUGUAUUAAAUUGAAUUAGGUCAAAUGAUCCUUUUAACCUAUGCCAAUUACACAAACGGCAAGUACGAACAAUCACGAUUAGACCAUGAACAAACAUUAGGCAUAGGUUAAUUAAAUUUGUUAAAUAAUAGUGAAAAGAUUGGUUUCUUGAGCAUCUAUCUAUUUAAACAUUACGACAACUGGAAAUCAAAUUUUAUUUUAUAAACAAUUAUAUUUCGAAGGCUUAAAGAAUUAAUUUCUAAAGAUUGUUACAGUAAACUCUAGACAGAUUGAUUGAUUUCAAGACCUUAUAAACCAAUCUGCUAAGUUCAGCCUGUUCUUCUCACCCAGUCAAAACCUACAAGUCACUUUUUAAACACUCAUGACCCCCCUAAAAUGCAUUUUCUCAAAUCUCAACUAUGGAAUAGCAAUCUUAAAAGAGCAAGUUCAAACAAGUUACCUGUCUUCAUAGCAGAUGUAUCAAAUAUCUCAAUCUAAUUCAAGGCUGUCAUGCAUUCUGUAAAUAAAAUAUAAAUAAACGUUUAUUAACAGAUAUUAGUCCUAGUAAUUCGUAAUUUUUUAAAGAACUUGUCAUUCCUUAUUAGGAGGUGGGAUGAUUUGAUAUUAUGAAAUAUGAUUCUAUUUAAAAGAUGUCAACCCUUGAACAUUUAUCAAAUCACCUAAUCCAACAGAAUUUGAUAAGCCAUUAAAGUCUAACAUCAUUCAAAGACCAAAGUUAAAAAUAUACAGGAAAACCGAGUAGGAAAGAAGGAUGAAGACAUGACAUGGUUAUUAAAAAAUAGAAUGGAUGAUUUUACAUGUAUUCCAAAUCUAUAAUACACCUACCCUAUCCAUAGCAAGAAGUUCAAAAGUACAGAUAUGGACAGCACAAGUGACUAACCACACGGCCCAAAACCAUCAGACUGGGAGGAAAAACAACAGCACGCUAAUGCUUCUCCAUGGGCAUGGCAUUAAACAUUUCCAAAUUCAUCUUGCAAUCCUCUCUCAGAUCUUUCAGGCUAACAAAACUGCUUUGCUGUAGACCAAGUGAAACGAGAAUUACCACUGCUAUGUCUUUCCGAGAUUCAAGUAAAUGAAAGUGAAGUAGAUAUUCAAGAAUGUAAAAGACUGUACUUUCAGGCCUACACUAGUGAAUCCCUCCAUACCAACAAUGGCAUAAAAUUGUUAUUAAUUUCGUUAACUAAACUCUUUCAGAUUUCCAACAAGGUUCCUCCUCCUUAAAUUGAACAUUUCAAGAGAUCUACAAUAACUUCAUUCUUUCGUAGACAGGGUACUUGAAAAGAUCAAAGUUCAAAGGUAGAUGUACAUUUCUGAUGGGAAAUAGUCCAUACAAGUAUAAAAGAUCCGUACUUACAAGUUGGUUUCCUUCAUGAGCAAACGUAUCUUCCAUAUGACGGAACAGAGACAUCCAUUGACCACAAAGAUCAAGUUCUAGCUUUGAGCUGGAAGAAUUUCCUUGACCAUGAUAAGUCUCUUUCUCUUUGCUGCUUUUCUGAGCCAAGAUGCUUGCAUCUUUCUGGCUUUUCUUAAGUGCUAAAAGAAUGAAAAUACCAUGAUAAUCAAUAAGAAGGAAUAACCCAAGAAGCAUGGUAUUAUGACCACACAAGGAAGAACAAUUUUACCUGAAAUACGUCCUUUAAUGUCCUGGUAAUGGAGAUCUGACCAAAUGUAUGAUGCUGAUUACAAAACAGACCAAUUUAGAUUUUCUGAACACAAAUUUUAAAGAACCCCUAGUUACAUACAUAACUAAUGAACUAAAUAAACUUGCAUUCUAAUUACCUUUCAAGCAGAACGAACAAGAACAUGUUUUAAGCAAGUCGUCAUACAUGUCUGCAUUAGCACAGUUACUAGUCUUAAGUCCUGAGCACCUAUCCAAUCCCAGAGACUUGGAACCCUCUGAAAUAGGCAUCCUCGACCAUUCCGAGGAGUCAUGGUUGCUUGAGCCAAUUAUCCCAACGUCAAUAUCCUUUUCGUCAUUACUUAAAACAGGAUCAACUGCUUCCUCGUUAUUAUCAUUGUUUAGCAUAAUUCCAGGACACUCUUUCUUGUUAUCCUCAGAGCAAGUAGGGACUACAGAUGUGGGCAAGCAAGGAACUCCCAAAGCUUCACUAUCUGUAAUUCUGUGUUCACCCUCAUGCACAAGAUGUGGUUCGUCAAUCGGCAAAUUACACUGCACAGAUUGUUUUGGCAUCUCAGAAAAAGCAGUAUCAGCUUCACUCGAAGCCAGUGAGCAAUCAGAUUCCUGCUGCUCCUUGCUAAAUCUAGACAGCGCCAUUGAAUAACAUUGUUCUCCGCUCGAGCGUUUACAGUUCUCCUUGACAUAUUCGUCUUCCCCAUCCACAGUUUUCCCACAUACAUCCCUUGGUUUAGCACCUGAAUGACUCAAAAUGGAGGAAAGCUUUCGUUUGAGCGGACGAUUGGUUAGGUUUCCAAGGGCCAGACGAUUGUGGCCUAACACACCAUCAAUGUUAUCCUCCCGCAUUAUCACACACAGGAAGGGGGGACGCAAAUCUGAUCAACCAAUCUAUCUUCUAGAACUUUAAUCUCUCGGGCAGAAAAAAUCCUAAAUCAUCAGGUUCAAAUCCUAUUCAGUGUGCUGAGCGAAAAACACAAACACACACACACACAUAGAGAAACCCCAAUUUUGCAAGAUUAUGAAUAUAACAAAAGAAAGACAAGCAAGAGCGAAAAAUAAAUGAAUAAAAACAUAAAUAACACAGUAACCCUAGAAAAAUCGAGAUUCAUGGGCAAAAUCGUAAGUAUAGAAUCGGAUGGGUGAGGGGAAAGAAAAGCAUUGUAAUGUAAAAGUGAGAGAGGCAGAGAUUGCGAGAGUAACCUUGAAAAGGAUUGGAGGUAGAUUUGAUUUGAGUGAGGAGAGGGGAAAAUGGGGAAGUAAGAAGAAGGGAAGAGGAGGUCUCGGGGGAAACGGAGGAAAUGAUAAUGCUUUGGGUUUUAAUUUAUUAUUGUUUGUUUUAGAGGAUUAAUUUAUAUAUAGAGAGAGAAAGAAGAAGCGCGAAUGGUGUAAAUGUGGAGGCAGGGCCCGCGCUUCCCAUUCAAAAUGUUGCCGCAUUCUCGGUGGCGCGCUUUCCCGGCAUCUCUUCAUCCCCCCCUCCCGCUCCCUUCAAACAUCUUUUCUUUUCCCUUUCCCUUUCCCUUUCCCUUUGCCUCCUCUAUUUCUCUAUUUUUCUCUUCAAUUCUAAACAAUCAUACCCAUCUUUUUUUAUUUAUUCAUGUAUAUAAAUCCUUACAAUUUUAAAUUUCUUUUCAAUUAUGUCCUACAUUUUAAAAUUUUCUAUUUUUAUAUUCGAUCGUCUAAAUUUUUAAAAACAUUGUUUGAAGAGUUUUUGUUCCAAUAAAAAAUAUUUUGGCAUACCAACUAAUGUGUAAAAAAGGUCAAACAUAUUUGAUCAUAAAUUUGAAGACAUUUGCAAGUCUGUCUUUUUUGUAACUUGAUGUGAAACAAAUAUUAUGCAACAUUUUCACAUAAAACAAAAUGGUACAUUCUAAUAUUAAUGAUUUAUGUAUAUUAAGUGACGUAAUUGCAAUUUUAUGUGAAAAGGGACGCAAAUGUAUAUAAUGCUAUAAGUUUAUUUGAUUAACUUAGGUGUGUAUGUCAAUAUGCAUAGUCAUUACAUUUUAAAAAAAUAUAUAAUAGGUUUGAAUUUCUUUUAAAGAAAAUGUUUAAGCAAGACUACUGUUAGAUUUAUUGAGCCAUAAAGCAAUGUUAUAGUAUUUAAUAAAAUGUAUAUCAUUUGAGAGGGGAAUGAGUCCGUGAUCUAUUGUCAAAUCUACCCAAUAUAUAAUUGUAAAUGAUAUCAUACAUGCCUACUAAAUUUUAAACAUCAAACUAUCACCCUUUAAAAAUGAGGUCGUUCAAGUUUAUUCAAUAGCAAUAAGUAUUGUUGAAGAACAAAUGAGGUCAUUCAAUUUCACUUGGUCAAAAACCUAUAUGUGGUCAUGAACAUUGGAAUCAUCUCAAGUCAUGAGCGAUAACAGAAAUGUAAAAACAAGGGUGUGAGACUAAAAGUUAUAUUUUUAUUUUCCUCAACGUAGGAGGAGAAGUUAGGAUUUUAUAUAGCUCGGUGGUAUGUAUGUAUGUAUAUGAAUAGCGUUAGCCUUUCAUCUAAAAUAAGUAAAAGAAAAGGGAAAUAUACAAAAGAAAAAAAAAAACUAUAGAAUAUGUAUUUAGAGGUCGUAGAAGCUAUGUCUUUUGGGUAUUACACAAUCCUCAAACUGUCCUCUUGGAGCCGCACAUGAGUAGCCUUUUCUGAACUUACUGCUUCUAUUUCUCAACUCAACCGCCACCCUAAACUCUCCACAAACUGGCCUGUGAUCUGAAAGCCUCGAUUCCCUUCGAAUAUAACACAGCUGCUCUAUCCCAUUCCCUCGCCACAAUAUUCUAUCACACCUGAACCAAACACCCACACAAAUAUACUACUUACAAUUUCAAUACACACGCAUAUCACAUAUCACAUAUUACAUGUCAAUCACUUAAUUCUCACUACUUACCAAGCUGGUGUUCGUCGUUUCUUCUUCGAUUUCACCGUCUCCCCCGUGUAUGAAUCUGAAUUAUGAGUGUACUUGUAAGUGGGUGCAAAUUGAAUCCUCCCUUCAUUGAACCCACUGAACACUCUUCCUGCUUCUCUUUCUACAUUCAACUGUAAAUACUCCCGCUUAAGUAAAACAAGAAGCAAAACACACAGAAACACAAAGUCGUCGUAGUACUUAAGUUACGUACCUGAUCCUUCUCUAGCAAUUUAUCCCAAUCACCGUCCUCUAAUAACAUUUUGGUAUCCUCGUAGCUCAAUGACACCCGGUAGUUCAAGUCUCCCAACCAUAUUAUCCGACUGCAUUUUCACAAUCACGAAUUAAAUUAAUCAUCACAAAGUCCAUAGCAAAAACGUUAUUAUUUUGAAAAGUAAUCAUAAUAGUUGUAAUUACUCAUGGUCCAUAAUUCUCUCAGGGGCUCUUUUAUUGGGCUUCUUACAAAUCUUGCUGAACUGUGUGCUUUUGAUAAUCUCAGCAGCAUCAGCAUUUCUUUUGAUUUCAUCUCCUUCUUUCUCACCAGAUGCCAAAUGACUGCAAACAAAGCAGAAACUUGUCUCAUGCACUGACAUGCUAAUUGAUAUGCAUCCCUGAAAAAGAAAACCAAUACCCAAUUAUAAAUUCUUCCCCUGUUUUUUCAUUUUCAUAAACAAAUUACCAUUUUUUAAAAAAAAAAAAAACCAAACAACCUUGUUUCCAAGUCGACCCAUUAUCCCUCUUCCAACUGUUGAAACUCUAAGAUGACCAAUAUGUGGAACCAAUUCCUGUCUUGCCCAAACUGAAAGAAACAAACCCACCAUCUGUUUGCUUGAAAUAAGCUUGAAUUUCAUCAUAUCCCCAUUCUCUGCUUUUGACGAAGCAAGCUCUGAGAUCGAAACGAAUUCCUCCAUCAUCAACCUCCCAUAUUGCUCAUUUGUUGAAAUAAUCAUAUUCUCUAAAUCCGAUGUCGCUCCUUCAUUCAAUUUCCUUAGCCUUCUCUCUCUCGAUCCUAAUUCAAUUGGGCAAUUACAAGCCUUCAGUAGACUACUGUCAAGUGGCCUCAGGUUCCUGCUAAGCAUUUUUAAAGAGGGCUUUUGAAAAAAAGGAAGAGUCUUCGAAUCUUUUGAUGAUCCUUUUGUUGACCCAUGAUCUGACCCACCACCAAACAUGGAGUCGCUGUUGUUCCUGGAUGGUUUGUUUAUAGCUUGGUUUAUCAGUGUUAGCCAUUUUACUGCCGGUUCGUUGUCUUCUAUAACAAGCACGUUCCCAGCAUUUAGUGGAACAAUUUCUUGAAACCUAUAAAUUUUUCCCCCACAUUACCAAAACUAAUCUGUUAAAAAAUUUAACUUUUAUAAUUAAUAAGAGAGAAAAACCAAUUCAUUUUUAAAUAUUUUACGCACCCAAUCACAUAAAUGUCUGCUGAGUCUUCUACCAGUAAGAAAUCUUCGAGGUUGAUGCCAUUGUUAGGAGUUUUUCCUCCUACAUUCCAUGUCGCUGUGAAAAUCCUGAACCCCAAACCCAUCUUUUUAAUUAUAAAUUUUCAAAAGAAAAAAUAAAUGAUUAGAUCAAUUUGAAUACGACUACCAUAGGCUUGCACGUACCGGAAAUUCUUGGUCUCAUUUGGUAGAGUCAUGGGUGGUUCAAAGUUGGAGAGGUUUAAGCUUUGGAUAUCUGAACUUGUGUGUCUUUCUGAAGAUUAAUAAACAAAAGUGGUAAAAGUUUAGCUCUUUAAUACAUACCAUGAAAAUUAUUAAUAGUAAUCAAAUCAAACCCUUUGGUAAUUUGAAGUUAGGUGAAGAUGUAGACUUUCCUUUCUUCAUAACAUUUAAGUACAUUGCAAUACAAAUUUCUUUCACUUAGUUCUCCUAUUCAGAAAAAGACAAAAGUAACAUUUACAUCAAACAUGUUUAAUUAUGAACAAGAGUAACACUCUAGAAAGUUCAAGAGCAGUAGUUAAAAAUGGUAUUCGAUGAGUUUCCAUCUUUCACAAAUGGCACUCUUUUUAGCUAAUUAUAAAGUGUUGUAUCGAUCCAAACAAUACGGAUGAGGACUAAAUUUGGCUUAUGAAAUAUAAAUUUUUAAAAUUUGAUUGUUUCCUUUCCUUCUCAAAUUUAAAACUAGGGAAUAUAAGAUAAGUGAUGAAACGAAUCAAUUAUUUCAGAGAAAAAUUGACCUAAACAUAUACUUCUUUUUCUCUCCGUUGUUACUCAGUCAGAUCCUCAUCUUGGAUGAGAUACCCAAGAAAAUCCAAAAAGUUAGUAGUUCAAUGUGCUGAUAAGAGUUUUUAAUUUUGAUCUUAAUAUCAUAAGAAAUGUUUUUGUUUUUGUUUUGGGUGGUAACAGAUGUUCAUUGUAGGAUGAAUUGGAGAGAAUGUGGCUCACAUUUAUAUAGAGACAAUCGUUCUGCCCUACACACACCACAAAGGAUGUAAAACAUCGUUUUCAAUAAUUAAUUAAAACACUGUCUGAUUGGAAGCAAAAUUCUUCAUACUGAUCAAAAUAAUCAUAUUGUUCGGUAAGCUACCAAAAUAGUAUUAACAUUAAUCUCUCUCAAGUCUUUAACUCAUCGCAACGUGUCUUAAAAACCACAACACACAUUAUUUUCAUAUAUUUCAAAUGGUACCUGAAAAACUUUUCUUGAUUGUGGGAGUUGACUCCAUGAAAGCUUGUCUUCUUGAAGCAAUUCCUUUCCCUUUAAAACAAAAAUGAAACGCAUUUUAAUUACCAAAAGGGAACAAAACAUAACAAAAGAAGAAGAGAUUUAUUAGUAUUAUUAUUAUUAUAUAUACGUACCAAUAUCAAUGGCGCCAUCCCCAUAAUCUAACUUAAACAUUUCCUCCUCCGAAUUUACCCUUUCGCUCUUCUUUGAACUGAAGAUCUUUGGAAUAAUAGACUGAUGGUGCAUAAAUGCAGGGGAAGGGAGAAAGAACAAACAGAACACAUCCAAUCAAUGAAAAAAAAGGUGUAUUUGGUGAGAAAUUUAAAAGAAAAAGAAAUGAAUAAAAAUACCCGUUUUUUCUUUUCGUUCUUGACGGAGUUGUCCGGUGAAAGAGCGGGAGAAAGGGGGCCGGGGUUCUUGGAAGUGGUGGCAUAGUUCGACAUUCAUUCAUAGAACCCGAAAUUCCAAUGCAUUCAACUCGCGAACAGAAUCGCGAAAGAAGGCACCAGAAAAUGGCCGGCGAAGUAACGGACUGGAAUUAACCAGCCGGAAAAUCUUAAUAACUCCAAGAUGGGUUAUUAUUGUUAUCUUUUUUUUAAUCUGUGGCUGUUUAUUCAUAUAUAUAUAUAUAUAAUAUAAAUAAAAAGAGAAUAUAUAUUUUUUCUUUUUGGAGGGUGUGUGUUUGAGAAGUGAUUGUGUGUUUGAGGAAAUUGGUUAUGAGUUUGUGUAUUGUGGGGGUGAGAAAAUGGGGGCAAAGCUUUCGGAGAAUAUAAUUAGGAUUGAAGGGAUGAAAAUGGUUAGAAGUUACAGUUCGUAGCAUAAGUCCUGAUCAUCCGCUAAUCUCAAACUCUCCAUCAAUAUAUUUACACCUAAACAAAAUAUACAAGUCUGUCUUUUUGGAACCACUUUUUUUGAAAUUAGUAUAAUGUCGAAGAAGAUUCAUAAAUUCACUAAUACGAUCCCAUCCUAAUCAACCUUUAAUUCGGUUGCAUUUCUGCAACACUAGUGAAUAAAAUAAAUUUUGGCAUGCCUAGUCUAUAAUAUGCAAAUUAAAGGAGAUUAUUUUGUUUCCUUUUUACCCCCACCUUUUUAGUAUAUUCCUAUUUUACUCUUUUUGAAUUAGACACAAUCACUUCAAAAUGGUAUCUGAUUAUUUGAAUGUAUGUGUUGUUGGUUAGGAUCUAGAUAGUGUCUGAAUGAAAGUGAUCGUGUAUCUAAUUGGUGUAUCUUUUUAGAUGUACUACGACUACCAUCUCUGUUAGAUGAACGAAGAGAAUAAUUAAAUUUGAUAGACCUAUUUUCAACCCCAUUUCCUCAUUCUUUUUACAUCAAUUUUAUUUCUUUUCUUGUCUGGAUAAAUUCUUAAACCCUCAUCCAAAUGUGACAAAAUAAAAUUGACUAGAAAUUCUAAAAAUGUACAAAAUUGAUUAAACAAUCACUCACUUUGGAGAUUUUCAUUCAUGAGGCUGCAACGAAGAAAAUAUGUUAUUCAAAAAAACAAUAAUAAUAAUAUAAUGCAAUAUAUAUGUACAUCAAUAGCUUAUCUAUGUGUCCAAUCACAUGACAAACUUUUCUUUUAAAAAAUAAAUUUUGUUUUUUGUUUUUUUUUUCUUUGUGAUAGAAUAAAAUGCAGGGAGAGAAUAUAUAUAUAUAUAUUUUCCUUUUUUGUUGAAGUAUCAAAUGAUUCAAACCUUCACUUCAAUGAAUAGGCUUUGUUAAGAUUGUCCGGAGCAAAAGAUUUAGACUUGGUUGAUAUUUAAAUCAAUUAGAUUUUGUCAAUUGUGUCAUCGUUAAUAAUAGUUUUGUAGUUUUUAAUUGAACGAAUAUUGGCACUAAUCCUGAUUAGAAUAUCGGGCAGAAACUACGAAUAUAAGAGUCAGAUAUUUUAAUCCACAACAUUAAAUAAUUAGCAAAUUGGGUAGUAACUAUCAUAAUUAUACUUCGGUUUCUCUACAACUAAACAGAUAUGAACAAUUACAAUCAAGUGCACGGCGUUCCAGAUGAAUGAAGAAGAAAUUUUGUAUCUGUGGCUUCUGUGAAAUACCUAUUUUUCCUGUUCAAAUGCACCUAGUCCUUUCAGGAAGUGCUUGAGCCAGCUGCAGAUAACCUCAAUAACACUCCAGAAACAGAGAUCACUUCUCCACAUACGAGCAACAAACACUUUGUAAUUAGUAUCAACCGUAUGGUUUUAGAACAAGAAGAAGAAGCAAGCCCCUGUGAGUCCACUGGUUUCCUAUUUCAUUAGCAACAACAAAUAAGCAGAUAUCUUGUUUAUUUCAAAAAAGCUGGAAAACUAUUACUUGAGUAGUUGUAAUCUAACAAGUCAAACUUUCAUACCUGAAUUUUAGGGAGUUCAGCAAGACAUUUCGUCCAACUCUUGCCUGUAAAGUGCUAGACUCUGCACAAAAUAUACCAAGAGACAGAUGUUUAUCAAUCAAGUGAUGGGAUGGAGCAAAACAGACAGAAAAAUGUAGCAGUUCUCUGCCUUUUUCCUUUUAAUUUACUUGAGUUGACACAUAAGACGUUUGUCUAUGCUUCCUAAAGCACCAAUAUGAAUGUCAGCAUUUGAUUAAGGAUCCCCAGUUAUUCCAUGGACAUUUUCCAUAUCAAUAUAUACCACAACAGCAACUAAUUUGUUCUUUUUUCCACUUUGGUCAAUUUUAAUCAAUGAUUAGCAUAGCAAUAUUUGAAAUGAAUACUGAAGUUUUGCAAGCAAAUAUCAAGACGUCAAUUAUUAAACGACAUGAGGUCAAUGGAGAGGUAGAAGAUUCUUGCCUUUGUUAAUGCAUAUACACCAGCUUCUGAAGGACCUACAGGACUUCCUCGCUUCAUAAACGAUCCCUCCUUGUAUAUGUAAAGUAAUGGUACCCCAGUUGAUAGUUCCAAGUUAAUUACCUGUCUCCCAGCAUAUUAAUCAUUCACCAUCGAAAAACUAUACUAGAAGGUAAUAACUAACCACAUGAACACAAGAAUAACGUAUAGGAAAUGGUUUCUAUACCUCGCAGGUAGUCAAUUUUUCUAGAUACAUGAUAAUACACCUUAGCGAAUUAGCAUGGGCUGCAACCAUAACAUGCUUCCCAGAUUGCAGCCGUGGUUCAAUCUACAAUUCCUUCUUGCUUUGUGAGAAUCAUUAAAAUAAUCAGAGCAAUAAUUUGAAAGUGCUUACAUGUUCCUUAAAAUAUCCGACUGCUCUCUGUGAGCACAUCUCCAAGCUCUCACCCUCAGGCGGAGGAAUAUCAUAGCUCCGACGCCAUUCAUGCACUUGCUCUUCACCGUAUCUUUCGGAAAUCUCCUGUUUAUUUAAUCCCUGUAGCUCACCGUACCUGUAUUAUACAUAUGCGUAUCAAAAUAAUUAAUCUAAUAUUCGGACUUCAGAUAGAAGGAAAGUAUAAAUCCCAAUGAAAAGAGAGAGUACAUUCUUUCAUUCAAUUGCCACGCUCUAAUAACAGGAAAUGAUUGCAUUUUAGCCUCAUCACUGUAAAUUUGACUCCAUGCCUCUGCCUGUUUACUACAAUCAUGCAUAAUGAUAGGCACCUGAAAGCAUAAGUUUGUCUAAAUUUGAAACGUCUUUUCUGAAUAAUAAAACAUAAUAAUAAUCAAAACUUUAAAUGUAGCUAUAGAGGUUAAGUCCCUUGUUAUUGUUCUCCUCAGAAUCAGUACUAGAAAGUAUUCUUCCCCUAAAUGAACUAUGAAUUCUAAAAUGGAAAGUAUUUUCAUACAAUGAUAAAAAUGUCUUUGUGGAAGAAAAGAAAAUUUCAUAAGCUUUCUUUCCUCCUAUAAUUAUAUCUUACGACCGUCUUGGGCAACAAGUAUGAAGUUCUGAAUUCAUGAAAAUCAGGUCUAGGCUAAUAAAAAAUUAUCCACUUUUCAAGAUGUAAAGAACACGACAUAAUAUAGAUACCUUUUUGCAGCGAUGUUGAGUCAAAGCAAGCACAGCUGUCAUUUGCGAGCGAAUUAAAGCAGAAGUAUACACAAAGUCUAGUGGUAUGUUGCAAAUCCUCUUACCAGCUUCAAUUGCUUCGUCUACACCUCUCCUUGUUAAAGGUACAUCAACAGAGCCAGUGAAUAAAUUCUUCUCAUUCCACAUUGACUCACCAUGUCGAAUUAAUAUCAGAGCUGUUUCAACUUUAAAAUGGGACAUUUAAUGGACAGCACAAAGAAAUUCAAUCUCCUAGCUAGGCAACUAACAAAAUAUUAGAUGCCAUUGUUCCUGAUAGGUGACCAGACUUACUUGAAGAAGGGUUCUUAGAAUCAUCGAUAUUCAAACGAGAAAUAGGUGCAAAAUGGUCCUUAAUUGAAGCUUGUGGGGUGGUGGCACAAACAACAGAAAGCUUGUAAUUUCUUACACGACAAAACCCUCUUCUAAAGAAAGGAAUGUCAUUAUCAUUACCCCUCCGGACAAAGGGUGGAGAAAAUGCAUAGAUGUUAUGAGGAUUUGAAUCAUUGGCGUGAUUACAAAGCUGCAGUGAUCCAUUGAAGUCGUGAAAUCCAGGAGAAAUCAUGCUGAUAACACAGCACAUAUCAAUGACAGAAUAUUAUUAGAAAUGACAUGAGAGAAAUUUGAUAGUACAGGAACAGGCAGCACAAUACAAUUGGAAAUCGGUACGUAAGAGAUGAAAAACGAAAAAUAUGCGAAAUUGAUAGAAGGACACCAAGAAUAGGCAUAAGAGCGUAGUAAACAUCCAAAAUCAAAGAGAGGGAAGAGUAGGGUUACGUUGAGCUGGCAGUCCGAUUUAGUGGGAGUAGAGAAGCAAGGAGAUGGAAAAUAGAUUUGAUCCAAAAUGAGAGGGCACCAAGUUUUGCAGAUUCUGAACAGCGUAGAAGGACAUUUUUUUACAUAGUCGGGCAACCGAGAACACCGGAACGGAGGAUGCGCUAUCUUUAUUCUUUUUCCUUCUUUUGGUGUAUUGUCUUCUUCUUCUUCCUCUUCUUAUUUUAAAUAAGAUCAAAAUUAAUCAAACCAUUAUCUCUAAAAUUAUUUUUAGGGCUUUCUUUCUAUGUUACUCACCCAAUUAAAUAGGUUAAAUUUUAAAAUUAAUUUCUUUUUAAAUCUAACCUACUUUCAAAAUAUUUAUAAAAAAAAAAAUCGUUUAAAUAAUGAUACUUGACGCUUACCAAGAUUUUAAGCACACCCUAUUAAUUUAUUAUAUAUAUAUCAUUUUAGUUUUGAUUUUAAAAAUAUGUAUCUAUGACUACAUUCCUUUUAGUUUGAAAAUUUACUAUACCAAAUAAUAAAAACAACUAUGACGAUCAAAUAACUAAAAAAUAAUAAAUAUCUAAUAGUAAAAACUCUAACAACCUAGGAGUUUUUAAAACGAGAGACUGUUAAAGUCUGUGGCACAAUGGGAUUUGAUAAAUACGAUCUAUAUUUGAGAAGCUUCUUUACUUAGAUAAAAAAUAUUAUUGAGAUUAACUUAAGUUUAAAGUUACGUUAACAAGCUAUCACCAUAAGAAUUCAACCUUCAAUCUCGUAGGACGAUAUUCCAUAACGUUUCCUAACAUUUACAUUUAGAACUUCUGCUCUUUAAGAAACCAAGAAAUAAUUAUACCAUAAGAAUAUCUUUUAUCUUCUUCAAAGAAGAACUUUUGACUCCUUAUUUGUAAAUGGUCCUAAAUAUAAGGAAUAUAUAUUUUUUUUAUUUAAAUAAAAAAAAUUCAUAUUUGUCAAAUAAUCUCGAUUAAAAUCUUUUAUAUAGUAUUUACUAUGGCUAAACGUUUCAAACAGUCCCGUAAAUUUAUGAGAUAUAACAAACAUAGUUAUAUGUACUAAGUACUGUAUUUGGUAUAUAAACUUUAAACCAAAUAGAGACACUAUUUAGGGUUUACUGGUUAUAUAAUCAAACAGGUAUUAACUUUAUUUCGUAUAAUUGAACUGUAAAUCAAUAAAAGCAUGUAUACAAACGAAUUAAUCAGAGUUAAGUUAGUACUCAAUCUUGGUUAAAUAUCUUUUCUAUUUAUUUAUUUUUAUCAUUUGCAAUUGCAGGGAGUAGGAAUGACGCUAUAUGUGUGUAUUUUUAUUCUUUCACGUGGGCGAGUUGUGGACUUAUAUAUUUUCUUAUUCUUCAAACUUACUUUCUUUCUUUCUUUCUUUCUUUCUUUUCCUUUUAAUUUGAAACGAUGCUUACCUUAGGUAUCUUUCCUUCUCUCAUUUAAUUAUUUGGGAGUAUCUAAAUAUUCAUUAUUUUGCUAUCUUUUUGUUAUUUUUCCUAAACCCCCUCUUUGGUUCUUUUUUCUUCUUUUAUCACCAUAAACAUAUAUAAAAAUGCUUCUAUAGUCGUAUGAAUCAAUACUUUUUGUGAAAUAUGUUCAAAAUCUGCUAAAUUAGUAUCAAAAAAAUUAUUUGAAUUAGAAAAAGUUCAUAUAACAUUGAUGACAACAUUAUUCUUUAGUAACAACACUACUAAUUAAUAUAUGCACGAAUCUUAUCAUCAAAUAUUUUAAUUCUUCAAUAAUUUUAAGAUGUUUUCUUUCAAAAAUGUUGACUUGUACGUGACAUCAUGAUAGUAAAUUAGCGAUACUAAAUCUACGUGUCUAAUUCCUAAAAGAAAAUAAAAGUUAAAAGGAAAUAUUAGAUUGCACUUGAUUUACCUAAAAAAUAUUUAUUUGUUGUAGGUUUGGUUUUUAAUAAGAAAAAAAAUGUGGGUGUUGAGAUGCACCCAUAAUCUUACGGUAAAAUCGGAUUAGCACUAUUAAAAUAUGGCAUAGUGACAUUCUUUAAUAUGUUUUUUUCUUUUGCUUGUGUAAAGUGUGGGUAAAUAUAAGCUACACUUGUUUAAUAAAUAGCUUACAAAGGAAUACACCCUGAAAAAAUGAAAGAUUUGUGUAAAUUGAUUUUGUUUGCUGAAAAAUGAGAUGACAUAUUAUAUGAAGUAAAUAUUUUGUUUAAUAAAAAGAAAAAGAAAAUGUGUUUGGGAAGAUGGAAAGGUAAGUGGAAAAAAUUAUAAUGAAAAAGUGGAGAGCAAUAAUUAGUGGGUAAAGUCCUUUUUCAGCUCCCCAAUGAGGCAGCAGCUGAGUGCACUGCAGUUCCCCAACUUUCCUUUUUAUUUUUCUUUUCUGUGGCCACAUGCAUGCCUUAACUUAGGAUCUCCCUAACCCCCAAAAACUAGGUUAAUUAACAAUUACUACAACAUAAUUAAUUCAAAUUAUUUUCUCAAACACCGCAUUAUUACGCUGAUCAAUGCUAUAUUAUAUGUUAUAUAAUCCAUUAUGUGAUAGUUCACAACAUAAUAUAUAUAUCCAAAAUAAUUGGUAUGAUGUCACCACUUUUAUAUUAAUUAGACUCCAGUUGUAUAUAUCUUGUACCAAUUUUUAAACUAAUUAUACAUCGAAGAAGAUCAUGUCAAUUAUCAUGUAUGGAGCUAAACUUAUUGAAAUAUUGGAAGAGGAGUUGUUUUGUAUAUUUGGAGUAAAGUAAUUGCAAUAACUUUGGUGGGUGUGCUUUGUUGAAGGGGGAUUAAAAUAAUAGGGUUAGUGAAAACUGAUAUCAUUAGUGAUUGUGAUGUAAUCCUAUAUGAAAAUCUAUGGUCUAAUUAAAAAGGAAAAUCUUACCUUCGGCGGAAUCAACAAUUGCCACGUGGAAUCUUGUUGAUAUUUUAUCAACAAGGCCCAAGGGUGAUGUGUGUCUCAUGGGUCCAAAAUUAAAUUCAUUGAUUCGUCUGUUUAUGUCUUCGUCAUUCCUUUUCUCUCCACUUUUAUGAUUUCCCAUUCCUUAAAAUUAAUAAUAAUAAUUUAAGACUGAUGAUAUAAUUAGUAAUUGGGUGUAAUUAAUGUUAUUAUCCACCGUAUAUAUAUCCAUGAGGUAGCGUAAAUGGAAUUUAGAAGAUGAGUCAUGUAGUUGUCGUUUUAAACCAAAACGACACCUAGUGGUCCUAAUUGCGGAAAAUGGCAUAAUGCACAAAAUUGGAUUUUGUUUUUGAAGAAGAAGGAGCCGUGGGAAAUUACGAACACUUCCGAAUUGGUUAAUUAAACAAACAAAAACAAAAAUAUUAAAGUUUCACAUGGAUUAGAUAAUCAGAUAAUCAACUAUCUCCAUCGACAUGAGAUUUUAUUUUCCUAUAUUGUUAUAUUAUUGGUGAAGGUAUGAGUAGGAGACAUGUAAAUGAAGAAGGGAUGUUUUGAAGUUAGUUUUAGGCAAGAAAAGCAUAGGAAAAUAGUAGACUAAAAAGGUAAGAGGUUGCUGUGUCCUCAUUUCCUUCCAUUCAAAGUGGAGAAAUUAAGAAAUCUUUCGGGUGCGUGUCAUUGUGCAGUAAAAAGGAUUAAAAAUGUGUGUGUGUGUGUGUGUUGGGAAAGUGGGUUUAGUGAGAAAGGGGAGAUGUGAUAGAAGGGGGAAAAAAAGGGGAUGAAUGAAUGAAUGAAUGAAUGAAGGGAAAGGCAAACAAUGGUUAAAAGGGGGACGAAGGAAAAGAUGGGGAUGUGCCAUUGCUGUCCCAUUGUCUCUUUAGUAUUAGUAAGUGGGAAUAUGACGUUUUUGUCCAUCCCUUUUCCUUAAUUUUUCAUUUUUCUAAAUAUAAUUUCACUCAUCUCAUUAUGAUGUUUCCCUCUCAUCGCCUAAUCCUUCUUCCACUACACAUCUCAUUAUUUCCUUUUAAUCUCCUAACACAUACACAAGAUCUCAUUCUUUUUCUUCUUCAUUUAUAGACUUAGAUGCUAUAUCAAAUUUGUAGGUCCGAAACUCAAGUACUUCAAUGUUGUAUGUUAUUUUAUUUUUAUUUAAUGUUGAUUUUUACUCGAUAAAUAUCCCUCGUUAAGUUAAACUAUUAAUUUUACUACAUAAUAUAAUUUUCUUGUUUAUAGUAUUUUUAGCAUUUAAUUAAAAGAAAACAUGUAAGAUAAGUGGGCAAAUGAACGAGAAGAUUAAGAAGAAGAAAGGAUAAUUAAGUAUGUAUACCAUUUUUAGCAUUUAAUUAAAAAGAAAAGGAAAAUAUGUAAGAUAAGGUUUGGAAAUGAAUGAAAAAUGAGAAAUGGAUAACGAUAAAUGGCACAAGAUUUGCACCUGAUUAAUGUUAAUAAGAUUAACAUAAGUAGUGUGUGAUUAAUUAAGCAUGGGGGCUGUGAAAAGAAAAUAGAGUAUAACCCACUUUACAUCCUUUUCCGUAAACGUCAAAUAAUUGAAAUAACAAUUUUAACUUUACAGUUAUUGGAGAAAAAGAAAAACUAAAAAAGCGUGACGUGGGAUCUCUUGGGCUACGUGGUGCCCGCAAGCAACGGCCAAGAUUCCCUCUCACUCAUCAUCAAAAUACUAAUUAAUCAAUCUCAGUCUCUCUUUCUCUCUCUAACUCAAAAACACUCUUCCUAUAUAUUUCUUUAUUUGCCCAAUUGGCGUAGUUUCUCACACUCCUCCAACUUCCCCCACUCUCUCUUCUUCCUCCCGCCUCCACCUUCAUUUUUCCGCUUCUUCUUCUUUUAAUAUGCUGCUUGGCAAACGCCCUCGUCUUCCCAUCAAGAGAACUACCAGUAUGACCGGAAUCAGAGGGGAUAUCCCCGACGUCGAAUUUGAAGAACAACCCUCAUCCGAUCAGAUCAUCAACAACCCCGGCGGCGGCUACGAUCUUCACCACCCCAUCCCCCCGGUUUCACUUCCUCAUAAUACCACCGCCAUUAAUUACUCCGCCUUGGUUUCUCCUCGAAAUUUAAGAGAUCAGUCCCCACCUAACGAUCACUUCCUCCGCACGUGCGGUCUCUGCAAACGCCGCCUCGCUCCGGGCCGUGAUAUCUACAUGUACAGGUACAGUACCCUCCUCUCUCUCGAUUUCUUUUUCUUUCCCAAUAUCUUAAGAAAAUUAGAAUUUGUAAUUUAAUUUGGGAGAUGUGACGCGUAUGUGCAGAGGGGACACCGCGUUUUGCAGUUCGGAGUGUAGAGAGAAGCAAAUAAAAGAAGAUGAGAGAAAAGAGUACGGAGGGAAGAAGAAAGAGGAGCGGCAAGCGGCGGGGAUGGGGGUAAGGGGGUCGAGGAAGAAGGAAGCAGAGGGUGGAGGGAGGUAAUUAAUUAAGUAACGAUCGAUUAGAGUGGAAAUAUAAAAGUAAAAAAAAAAAAAAUAUUAUUGUGGGUAGAAGUAGAGCGGAGGGGUUUAUAUGUAUUUUAUAAUUACAUAAUAUAUGAAUGUAAUUCCAGUACCGACUCCGAUUCCGGCUGGGGCGGUGGUUGGUCACACGCCAGCUGGGUGGGGUGUUGGAGUAUGAGGUUACUAUAUGAUGAUGGGUAUAUUUUGGUAACUUUGUACAAAUGGAAUAUUUGGAAAAUCUUGAAAAAAGUAAAAAGGGAAAAUGAAAACAAAAAAACUAAAGGGAAAGGAAAAAUGCUGUGGGGAGAGGGGGAGGGGGAGGGGAAGUAUUAUUUAUUUGAUGUCGAUUUUGUAUUAGAUAUAUUGUAAUUUUAUGAUCUGGAACACUUCUAAGUUCUAACUACCUAGCUCUACAACACCCAUUAGAAAAUUAUUGUUUUUCUUUUUUAAUUAUUUAAAACAUGAAUUAAAUGUAUUUGGUAUCAAAUUAUGAGAUGAGACAUAUGAAUUUGGUAUCAAAUUAUGAUAUAUGUGAAUUUCAAGGAAUGGUCGUUCGAGAAUUGAAAAUAGAUUCAGUACCUUUUAAAUUCUAACUAGUAAUAGUAGUUUUUAGAUCAAAAAUAUCUUUCAUAUAAAUAUACUCUUUUCAUAUAUUUUUAAAUGUAUCUUUUUAUGAGUUUACAUUUCUUAAACCUCUUUCAAACAAAGUUAAUUAAAACUAAUCAUAUAAAAUUUUAAAGAAAAAUAUAUUAUGCUGAAUAUAAAUCCACUGAAAAUAAUUAAAAUUAUAAGCUUAAUUUAGCUUCAUAUAAUUAAAUAAUAUCGAUUUAAAAAAAUUACAAAUUAAAAUUUACCAAACGUCAAUCUUACUUUUUUCCACCGCUAAUUUUAAUAAAACUUUAAAGUAACUAGUCUAGAAGAUAAAAGUAUCUCAAAUUUAAGCUUUCCAAGUCUGCUAACCACGAUUACUAUCUCUACAAAUGAUACCCAAUAUAGAUAGAGAUACCAUUUAUUUAAGAUGUAACUACAAAUUCUUGAAAGCUGCCACUUCAAACAUUAGCCCGAAUAGGCCCAUUAUCCCACUUGGCUAGAGCUGGCUGAUUUGUACUUACAAAACCCAACUAUCGAAAUUAUUCCUUUUAUUAUGCUGAAACAAUCGAUGCAAUCUGCUUGUAACUUUUAUGAGGUGAAUAUUUAUAUAUAGAACAGUGUUUAUCAAGAGAGUGUCUCCAUAGCCUAUUGAGCUUGAAUGUUAUUUCAGUUUAAUAACAUUAGUUAUUCCACAUCACUUGCUUUUUGGAAAUGUGUGUUUACACCGUAAAAAUUGUGAGCGUAGUAACUUUAAAAGAAAAAUCAUUUGUAGCAAACUACAAGCCCAUUUCAGUAAUUUUAAUUGAUAAAAGUAUUGGAAAUUAUCUCUGUGGUACAUCUAAACAUAUGAAUAACUACAUCAUUGUUUAAUACCAUGAUCCAAUCGAAGCUGAGUAUAACUAGAUGUGUUGGCAAUUAUACAAUAUCCAAAAACAACAACCAGACCUUUCACAUUAGCUUUCAACCUUUCAACUUAGCUUUAAUUUCAAGUGCAUGUCAAUUACUAUGGAAGACUUGGCUCAUUUACGUUAUCAUUUAUAUGUGUUAUACGCCCUUAUAUUUGUUAACUAAAGUAUGAUAAUCAAACUUUAAUUCUAUCACUUUCUAUAAGAUUUUUCAUUUAGUAAAUAGUUGCCAGCAUGAGUAUAAUUCACCCUGGAACCACACCUUUAGAAAAAUAUAUUGAACAAUUAUUUCAUGUGGUGCAAAAUGGUCCAUCACAUUUCAUUAACUUCAACCAUUCAUUAAGAAUUUACCAAACUAAAUGCUAAACAUACGUAAUUUUUUGGUGUUUAGAGAUAACGUAAACAGCAGAGCAACUGGUAUAUAGUGUUUAUCAAAGAUUAUGGCUCAUGUCAAAGUUUACCAAUAUCUUCAACUUAUAACUACAAUAUUGUUUUAGUUGUAUUGAAAUGUCCAGAAAUUCAGAUUGAAAAUAUAUACCAUUAAUUUGCAAACUGAACAGUGGCUUACCCUUAACCCACUGAUUAUCUACUCCCAUUGAGGGAUGCUGUUGAAUCAGUCAACACAACAGCCUUCACAAAAGCUUACUUCUCUAGAAACACCCAUAAGAAAGAAAAAGAAAUGAACAUAGCUGAGAGGUUCUCCAAAGAACAAUUACAUCAAACUCAAACUUGUAAAGCAGAAAAAGGCAGAAUCUCUCAAGAUCAGUCUUCCUCCUUCGAUCACUUGUAUUCCAAUAUCAUAUUAUUCUCAGGAGCAAGCCCAACACAGGCCCUCAGAAUGUUCUCUAACAUUGCCCUUUGCUUUGAUAGUGCAUUCACAACUGGUGUGCCUGGGGGAACCUGUUUUUCCAUUACUCUCAAAUUUGUUAGGAGUUCUUUUUCUUUAAGUUCAAGUUAGAGCUCACAACUUAAAGAAGAUCGAAUUUGUACUUACAAGAGGUGCCUUGGUAAGGUAGCUCAGUAUUGUAGCCACUGGGUGGAAAGAAUGAAACUUCCCCUGCAAAAAGGAACAACCAACUGAUCUUCAAUCUUCAUCUUUUGUAAGUUUGAAAAAGAUGCAAUCAAUUCUUAAAUUUCAACCCACCUCUCCUUCAGCCUUGAGUUGGAUGCGAGUGCUUAGCUCAGCAAGUAGAACCAAAUCAAGGAUAAUGGGAGCAGCCAAGAGGGAGUCCUCGCAUGUGUUGUGCAGUACAAUGGUGCUCUUUCCGCCCAUGAAUAUCUCUGACGUGUACUCAUCCAUGGCUCUCUUGCUAUCUCCAACAUAUGGCACAUACUAAAAGAGCCAAACACUUUCAAAUCAGGGAAAAAACAAACAAAACAAAAACUUCAACAGAGAAGCAAAGCCAAAAGAGAAAGCACCUUGAUCACUACAACAUGGUCUGGAUGCUCCCCUGGUUCGUACAAGAUGCCAUUGCUCGAGACCAUGUCGUCGACCACAUUGCUCUUUGAUAUUUCUUUCGAGCGGAAGGUUUGUGGAGCAGAGAGAUUCAUUCCAUCAUUGUUUCCAAGAUGAUUGUAGCUCACAAUUGAAGUUGGCUGAAAUCAGAGAUAAUGAUUUGAUUUCACUAGUUUCCUGAGUUAGUUGAAUACCAAGCCAUUUUUGUGUCAGAGUUUUACCUUAAUACCAGCACCAACUAGAAAAUCUACUAGGACAGAUUUCAUCUUGGUUUGACCACUCUUAAAGUCAUCUCCUCCUAUCAAACUGUUUCUCCUAAUAGCCAAAUCAAUCAACCCUGAAAUUGGAAGAUUUUAACCCAAAGAACUCAUCAUCAAAAUGUUUGAUGCUUAGGAACAUACAAGCAAGAGAGCUAAAAAUGUUAAGCUUAUAUCAUACCUGGGACGAAGGUGUUUUGUGGGCUUCCAUUGAUAAAAGGAACAUUCUCAAGAACACAGGCUAUGGCAUACAGGGUAGAAGGAGAUAUUUCAGCCUCAUUCUUGUCCAAAGAAGCUAAAAGGCUCUCCAUUGUGUCAUUCAGUCCCACAACUACAUUGCUGUAUCUCUCUGUGUUGGCGGUCCAAAGCACAACAACUUCAUCCACUUUACUCUUCUCCUUAAACUCCCUAAGGAUUCAGAGAAUUAAUUACAAGAAAAAAAAGGGCAUGGGCUUCUAAACAAUUGCAACAAACAAAACAGAACUAGAGUAACAUAUUACUUGAUAUCACUUAUGAUUUGUUGGACUUGUUCUCUCUUGGUUCCUUUAAUCACAUUGUUAGCUCGAGAACCUUGAUUAGCAGCAAUGAAAUCAGGGUCGUAGAUCCCAGGAAGUGGGACCAUGGAUUCCAUGUAGGGUCUCAACUGCUUUUGUAGGUCAAUAUCAAACACCUUGGCCCUUGCCAUGGCAUCUGCCAAGUUCAUGUCACUAAUGUCCCAACCUCCAAACACAAUGUCAUCUGGAUUAACCUGUAGAUUAAACAAUAUAAUGGAGGUUAAAAAAACAGAGAUGUAAUUAACAUAGCCCUCCUCCUCCUUUAAACUAAAAGGUCACUACCAUAGGAAGCAGGCUUUUAAAUGGGGCAUAGAUCUCCUCUCCAUUGUAAGAACCCACCCGGAUGGACGAAGCCUGAGUCAAUGACCCAAAAUAAUUGGCUUGUUGUACUUUAUCCUUAGUUGCCCAGGAAAUCCCUCUGAGAAUAUUUAAAUAAAUCCACGUUAAAAAAAAGUAAAGAAGUUACUUCAGCAGAAACUCAAAUACAAAAGAACAAAAGAUGUUGGUGCCCAAAAGGAACAACACCCAUCUCAAAAUUUGCAACAAAAAUACUUUUCUAAGAAAUCUUACUCUCGAUUGGCAAUAACCCCCCCUGUAAGAGUACAACCAUUAUUCCCACCCCAUCCAACAAGCAUAACCCUGCACAACACAAAGUCAUAAGAAAUUUUCUUCUCAUAAAAGAAAUUGUCAAAAUAAAAAAUUGUAAAACAAUCAUAAACAACAAACCCUAGCUUUGGGACAUGAGUUUGAGUUUUGAAUUGGUAUUUGACAGUCUUGGGCUUCACCGUCCAUUGAUAGCUACCAUUCUUAAGCUCAUGAACAAGUUCUGUUGUUUCAUAGUUGUACACAGAAAGAAUCUCAUUCGCAGUGUACUCCACAUUUGGACUCUCAACCUUAAAGCUCUCAAUGAACAUUUUCCUUUUUCUGUUUUAGAAAUGCAAGAAGAAAAAGUAGUGAGAAUUUUACAAUGAACCAAACAAAGGCUGAAUUUUUUUUGUAGCUCAGGCUGCUGUAAUGUAUGUGAUCCAUUGCCUUCUGCUGAUGGUUUCAUUUAUAGACGAAAAUGCACUCAAAUAGUUAACACGUGGCAUGACAUGCAUGGAUUACCAUAUAUACAUACUACUUUGUAGAUUAGCAGAUUUCGUUCCCUAUUUCAUUCCUUAAUUUUGGUAAUUAGUUUUUUUUCUUUCUUAUUCUUCCGUUUCGUCUACAAUUACCUUCUAUUCACUAUUCUAACCCAAUUAUCAAUAAUAUAUCAAUUGUAUUCUAACCCAUUUAUUCUACAUUGGAAGACAUCAAAUUAUCAAUAAUAUAUAUAUAUAUAUAUACUAUGAGGUAAUUCAGAGGAGAGGGGUGUAUGGCCCACUAAAGCUAUUGGCUUUAUAUAUAGUUGAUGAGAAAUUGAUUUGAUAUAUGGAAAUGUGUGAAUUUGAUGGAAAAGGAGAGAGGGGAGGGCGUAAUAUUCCGACACGUGGUCAAUUAUGGUCUCUGUCCAAAGUUGAUGUGACCAUAAUUUAAAUAAUGCAAGCUAUAUAUAUAUACACAAUCCAUCAUCAUUAUUUUAAGACGAAACAUACUUGCUUCUUCAAACUUACUUUUAUGUCUUUGCAUUUUUAUCAAACUUUUUUCUUAUGUAACUUCCUAUUUUGAUUUAGUUGUUUUUUUUUUUUUAUAGGACAAAUAUGAAUGCAUGCACUAUAUAAUUUCUUUAGAACUACAAAAAAAUAUCAAUACUCUUCUAAGAAAGCAUAAGUAAUAAAAAAUAAAUGAAUAUGAUACUAUAAAUUACAUGGAAGAUGUUCAAUCAAACUCAUCAUCAAGAGUGUACAAUGGGCCCUUAUUAUAUUUGGUGGUUUAGUGGGUGGUUGUGAACAUUCUUCUAAAAUAAUGAGAAAGAAAAAGGAAGAGAGAAGAAUAUGGGGUUGCUGGGGGCAUAGAUCAGAUCACGAUAAAGCAAGAGCAGCCUAUGUGGCGGUGUAGGAAAAGGUGGGUCUUCUAAUGCCAUGCAGAGGGAGGCUCGUGACCUUGUAUCACCUUUGUGGCUCUCAUCACCCAGCAAUACCAUUCCCCCUUCUUCAUUGUUCUUAAUUAAUGCAUACAUCCAUAUAUAUCAAUCAAUCAAUCAAUCCAUUGUUUUUCUUAGCUUAUAAUCCAGAAUAGUUUAAUUGAAAAGACAUUAUUUACCUUCUAACAAAAGAACUUUCAAUUUUUUUGUUUAAUAAUUCGAUGAAAUUAGAUAUGAAAUUGUAAAGGGUAAUCUAGAAUGUUCCCUUGUAUCCAAUAGGUGGCGAUGGAGGUCCCAUCCUCAUCCCCAUCAAUGUGCAGGAAACCCACCCCAUUUAUUCACGUGAUAAUAUAUUAUGUAUGAUUUCUGUUUAUUUUUCUCAAUUCAAUAAAACGGUAGUUUUAAUCGGUUAAAGAAGAAUAAAGUAAAUAAGUAAAUGAAUGGAAGGUGGGUGGGUGCCAUAAAGUCCAAAAUGAAACGAAAGAAAACUAGAGGUGUCACAUGGGUUUGUAUAACUAUAAACAGGAAAUUGUGCAAAAGCUGAAACAGAGGCAUGAAACAGUAGAAUUGUAUCACAAUAUAGAACAGAGUUGGUUGGAAACUUGUCAAUUCAAUUCUUUGUAAAUUCCAACAACUGAUCCCAAACCAAUGCAUUUCUGAAACUUCAUAUACAUCCCCACUACUAUUUUGUUUGGGGUUAAAAAUUGGUGUGGCCCUUUUUCUUUACCAAAAGCUCUGUUUGCUUUUCCUUUUUAUCCAACUUUUCCGAAGAGUCUGGUAGUUGUGAAUGUGAUAAAGAAGAGAUCUCGUGAAAUUUGAUCUACUUUUUUAGCUAAAAAAUUAAAAAAAUUGCUGUUUAUAAGCCAUUGAAGGCCCCUUGUUUGGAGGCCCCUUGUCGUCCAUGUCAUUGUGAUAUUUGAGGGGGUAAGGGUAUGGUAGAUUACUUAUGAGAUAAAUAAAUAAAACAUUACAAAAGGAGUACUUACACGUUAUAGUUUUUUAAGGGUGUGUUCAAUUAUUACAAUAUAUGUAUGAAUAAUGAGGAUGUGAAUUAAUUCAAAAGUGGGGCUCUGAAACAUACACCAUCCCUUUUGGAUUUUUGCUAUCAAACUUUAGUUGGAAUCCAAUUGUAGCUUCCUGAUUUGACGUUUAUUUGUUUCCCUCAAAAUUACAACAUUUUCUAAUCUUAUUUAUAAAUAUAACAUAACAUCACAAUUUAUCAACCAUACCUAACUAUGUCAAAUCCAAUAAAAUAUUUUGUUAAUUUUUAAAUAGAGGAGAUUGUUUGAAGUGCUAAGUUGGUUAGUGAUUAUUAUGGUUUGUCAAUUAUAAUAGCUCGUAGAUUAUAGUAAUUUGUGUCUCGUCACAAAGUAUUUUUGAGGAAGAUGAUUUUUAAAUUAUUAUACUAUAGUUAAUUUAUAGGUUAUAGUUAGUUGAAAACAUUAUAAUUAAAUCUAAAAGGUGUAGUAGGGUUGCCACUCCACCACUUGAAGUUUAGAAUAAAAACUUAAGAAAGAAUUGAAGAAAGAAAACUUGUGGGAGGGAUAAAUACUUACAAAUUGACUAGGAGAGUUACAAAUUUUUUUUCAUAUAUUUACUAAUUAAUUGUAGGAUGAAUGAUCAAAUCUUCCACCUCCAGAUUAUGUUAAUUAAUUAACCUAAUUUCAGUUAGAUUUAAAAGUUGAUUUUUUAUUUUUAUCGAACAAGUUUAAUGGACAAAAUUAUAAAUGUGGUCUGUUCCAAGUUUAAAUUUUCUCUUGGUAACAAAUUGAUUUAAAGAAUUCAUGGCAGAGCCAUGAAACUGAGAUUUAAAGCUUUAUGUGUGUAUUUGUAUAUAUUUAACUGUGCUGUUCAAAAUCCAGAUGGUUGGUGAGAGAUGAUUUCAGCCAUGUGUUGUUUUGAAAGAAAGGUUCCAUUUGAAAGGGAAAAGGGUAUAGGAAAUGGACUUGGUUCAUUUUGCAUAAAAUUUGAAGAUGUACUCAUAACUUAAAAACAAAACAGGAUGAAGUAAUGAAAGAAUAAACCAAUGGAUUUCUGGUUAUAUAUUUUCAUAUAUGUACAUGAAAGAAUCCCUCCCAAGAACAAACAAGAAUCACUCUCCAAAAGCACAAGGUACUUUCAUCAAGAAGAUGACAUACCGCUCUUUUACGUCCACACUUCCUGUCCUUCAUAGAAAAUAUAUUGUUGUCUUCCUUUCCAGCUUAUUACAAAACAAUGACAAUUUGGAGUGCAAAGGACAACCAUGUGGUUUCAAGUCACCGUAAUAGCAGUCGAGAAUGUUUAAGUAAGACGUUGAGAUGCUGUUUUCCCUGAGCCAUGUAGAAUAAAUUCUUUACCUUAGCUGUCAUCUGUUUCAAUUCAGCAUAUUUUCAUAAACUGGUUGGGGAAAACAUUUCAUUGAAAUAUAAAGAAAGACCUAUGACUAAACCUUUCCAAUGCCUAAUCCUUCCCUUGAAUAAGGAACUGAUCUCAGUUGAUAUCCCGGUGAUGAUGGAGGAGAUUUUCGACUACUUUCCUCUCUGCAAUUCAGCUUCCCAUUGGCUCUGCUUCGAGUUGUUUUGGUGGAUGAAGUCUUCCACUUCUCUUGCAAUAUGCUUGGGAGGGUCGAUUCCUGGUGGAGAAAUUGUUUUAGAUAACUCAUUUGUCCAAGAAGAGCGGCAUAUGUGGUAGAAAUUUUUGUAUACAUACCAGAAAUAGAACAGUAGCACAAUGUUUGAGAACCUCCAAGUUCAUACGAACAUCGUCGAGGCUCCUGCACAAAAAUACUUUUGUCAGUUUGUGAACUAAGAUGAUACAAGUUAACACAUACAAAGAAGGGAGUCGAUCAAUUGUAUUGAUACCUGUGCUUUUGCUGUCCCAACUGAAAGUAAGAAGCCAAUGAUGCCAUCUAAAUAUAAAACAGUUCAAAAUAUAUGAGAACUAUUUUGCCAAACGUUGUAUGCUAUAUGUUAUGGUUUUCAAGGUUCAAAAGUUCGUUAUUUCUCACCUUCAUGUUCCCGGCUCUCUUGCCAAAUUUGUUCGUUAAGACUCCUAAAGAAUCAACCAUCCCAACUGGGAUAGGAGCAGGCCUGCCAAUCUCUGCAAAUGCCUCCUUAAUACGAACACAGUCGAAUCUUCGAAUGUUGUGACCUGCCCAUAUCCUUCCAUUCAAAAUGCUGAAUAUCUUGUCAGCCACUUCCUCAAACAAUGGUGCAGUUGCAACAGCUGCUCUAGUUAUUCCGUCAGGUCGGCUAGACCUCAACGCAACAGCAGAUAAAUCCGUUGGCCUAAUGAGAGUAGUAAAGCUCUCGAGCUCUACAAGUUUCAUUGGGCAGACAACAAUAGCACCAAAUUCCAAUACUCGAAACCGUUGCCCAACUCUUUUGGGUACGGUAGUUUCCAAGUCGAAAAAUACAAUCUCAGCUGCACCUUCUUUGAAUGAACUUGAAGCCUCCAUAUCCAUUGGCAUUUAUGUCAAAUAGUUUCAAGAUAAAGUUUUGUUUUCUUAAUGUUCAAUGACAUGGGAGAUUGAAGAGGUUAUAAAUGGGCGAAGAAAAGAGAGGAUUAUUCUUGGUGUUGAGGGUUUGAUUGGUUGUCUUGAAAUUAAAGUCAAGAGCUUGGUCCGUGGAUGAAGAAGUCCUUAGCUUCUGGAGGGUGUCAAUUGCAAAACCAGCUCAAAUUGAACGGUAAAUUGAUCAUCAAGAAACGUUAAGAAUGACUUUUGUUGUCACUUUCCUAUUGCUUUCUGCAAUCAAAUACAGUUCAUGCAGCAUCGUUUUGGAAUAUUGAUGGAACCUUUCAAGCCAGGUCUUCUUAACCAAAAAUUAUUCCGUCUCAUCCCUUGUUUUGCCUUCCAUAUUUUAUUACUCUACUCUUAAUUAAUCAACCAAAACAUAAAAUAAAAGUUUGUUUAUACAGUUGUGUAAGUUAGACGAGAAUUAUUUCCUCAAUCUCUGUUUAAUAGGAAAAACAGACUAAAAUAAAAUUACAUGAAUAUUUUCCCUUUGCUAUAAAACUUGCAAUCAGAGUUAACUUUCUCAAUUUAGCUAAUAUAAACUAUUCGAUUCAAUUGUAUAAUAGGAACAAUACAAACAAUUCAGUUUACAAAUCCGAAACCAAAACAAACUAAGAAAUUUUGAUUUACUUGGUAAUUUUAAAUCAAACUGAACAGACACAGCAGUAAAGUUUGAGUUUUUGAUUUGAUUCACGGAUUGGGUUCGAUUUUGGCAUUGGGUUCGAUUCAAUUGUAUCAUCCCUCUAAUUUUAACUUUGGCCCAGAAGAAAUGUAACAAAAAAUUACACUAGCAGAAAUAAAAACCUUCUGAGUAGAGAGAAUUCAUCAAAAGUUUAAAACUUCCCCAUCCUAGUUGUGGAAUAAAAAUUCAAGAAUGGACCAUAGAUGCAAAUUCAGGAAGGAAAGGAGAAACAUCAAAGGGGUUGAACCAGUUUUUGUUUUUGAUGACCCCACACUUUCCUUUUAUCUAUUUCCUCAAGCAGUUCACCCUGUUCCUGAUCAGUAAGCAUGAAGAUAACAGAUAAAGGAUUUGACCGGUUAUGAUGCAUUUUUACGAAUAGAAUUGGAUAUUAGAUUUUGAUAUACCUAAUAUAACAACUAAGAGCAGGCAAUAAAAUCAUUAGAAGUGCAGACAAGUUCAAUCCCUUAGAAGCUUUAGACAACAAGAAACAUCACCCGCAAUUUGGUUAAAGGGAAUGAUGCCAAUUGCAAAGUUCUGCGUUUAUCCAAUCAAAACAAUUUACCAUUUUCAUGGCACUAACAAUUUACCAGACCAUUCUAAAAGGUAACUCAUAAGCUACAACAACUAAUAUAACACGGUAGAAUAAAGAGGCAUUUGAAUGACCACCAGUAGAAUGAUGAACGUGACACCCAAUAAAGAGGAAUAGAUUUUGAUACAAGGGAUAGAACUCGAAACCCACACCGGUUAAAAAUGUGGGGGCACGGAUGCACAAGGUAUUGUAAUACCAAAAUCAUACACACAAACUUAAAUUCUAGUACUCGAAGAAUCAAAAUCAUCAGGAGCAACACGAGCAAUCCAGUUAUUGAGCGUUCUCUUAAUCUCAGAGUGAUUAACAUAAGCCAAUUCAUACAUACUACACAGAUUCACGAUCACUGUUUCAUUGAGAGCCACAGUCGGAACUCUUUCCAGUGCAUUUUCAAGCACCUUAAUCGAAUCUGCUAAAUCCCGCAAGUACAUCAAGCAAAGAGCCUUAUUGUUAAUAGCCACCAUGUCCGAAUUAUCCCUCUCAAUACACUCCUCAUAUUCCCUCACAGCUGAUAGAUAGUCCUUGCCCACCAAAAACACCAACGCCUUGUUCCUAUUCACAAGGUUCUUCAUCUCUACUUCGCUUAACGACCCACUACUUUUCCCCUCUUUAACCAACUCCUCAAUCCGAUUAAACGAACGUUUAGCUCCUUCAAUAUCUCCAGCGUGCAUUUGUAUAUACCCAAGUUUCGAAAUCAGAGCAGGAUCUGAGAAAUCCUCACUUAACAAAUUAUUAAUCAAGGUUAAACAAACCCCAAACUCCUUGUUACUUAAAUGAUGGCCAAUAAUACAAUUAAUCACAAACACUACCCUUUUCUUCCACAAGUUCACAGAGACAUCGAGCUUUUUCUCCUCUUUAUCCUUCAAUUUUGACUGUACAAAAUCCAGAAGUUCGUAGAACCGGUCCAACCCAUGUUGACGCUCGCCCAUUUUGAUGGGGAUUAGCGCUUGCAGCCACCGAAGUGAAAAGGGGACCAUGGAGCCGGUUCGAUUAGGGUACACGCUAGGGUACGAUUCAUACCUGUAUUGAGAGCUAUUGAGAUCUUCAAGAGAAUCAAGUUCUGCCAGGGCUUCGGCGAAACGUCGGAGUUUGACAAGGGCAAGGACAUUGUAGGAUAGGUAAGUGAGGUGGUCAUGGGGCUUCUGAAGCAGGGUGAGAGCUCGGGCUCGGGCAACCUUAUCUAAAAUUGAACGCCAUGAACCGCGAGUGGCGAGAUCUUGAAGAGAGAAAAGAUCGUGAGCAAGAUCGUUGAGGGAUCCAAACUGAGUGGUUAAAGGGUCCGAGGAAAUUGCCAAAUUUUCGAAUCCAGUUGUUAGGGUUUCGGGAUCGGAAGUGCUGUGAGAGUGAGAGUCAGGUGACGGUGACGGUGACUCAGUUUCCAUCUCGAGCGAUGAUGAGUCGUUGGACCGAGAGGAUCCAGUUUCCUACCUCCUCCUCCUUGGGGUCUUCUUCUUCUUCUUCUUCGACAACAGUUUCCUAUUUUCUUGUUACAUCGAUCAACCGUGCUGUACAUUGGACCGAAAGGAUCCAGGCUCAGGCCCAAAACCAAAUGAGCUUCGUAUUGGGCCUAUUAUACAUCAUGGGCCAUUUCAUGAAUUUACUAUGAAAAUCUUCCUGACAAUUUGAAAAAGAAAAAGAAUAAAAAUAAUUUUCAAAUAUACCCACCACAUGGGGGCUCUUAGGACAUUGGGUUUUAUUAAUACGUUGGGGUUUCUCAAUAUGUAUUUGGGGUUGGGGAUGAAGUUUCUAAAUAAAAGUUGUGCAAAAUGUUAGGAUAAAUACUUUAAAUAUAUACAAUAGAGCAUGAAGAAUAAAUUAUGUAUCAAAUUUCAUCUCCAAUAAUUAAUGAUGGCUAUAAAAUGACUAUUGGCUUUUUCAACUAAAAUCUGAUUUUUAUCUUUAUGGAAUAUCAAUUAUCAUUUUCACUAAAUCAUAAUCAAUAUAGAAACAUAGUCAAGUUAGAGAUCUUUUGACCUUAAUUAAAUAGAUCGUACCUAAUUUAAUAAACUAACCAAAUUUAAUAAAUUAUUAAUUCACGUAUAUAAUUCACUUUAAUUAUAUAAUUAUAUAAUUAUAAACAUACUAUUUAAACACGUCUGACACAGAAUAGAUAAACAAAUUAUAAAGUUUACCAGUCACGUAGGUGUUAUAAAAAUAAUUAUUCUUUCAAAGACUACAAAUUUACCCAAAACAAAAAUUAAUAAAGUAUAGGUUGAAAUAUCAUUUUAUUCAUUGUAAUUUGAACCUUUUUCAAUAUGAGUUAAUUAUACCUUUAAAUGUCUAAUAUUAAUACUUGUACUUACCAUCAAUAUUAUAUUAAAACCUUCGAAAAAUUAUUAAAACCUGUUAAAUAAUAACAAUAACUUUCAUAUAAUAUGUAAUAUGUUUUCAAAUUGUAUAUUAAAAUGCUAAUAGAUACGAACAAGAAUUUGAAAAUCCACGAUCCACCCGAAAACACCAAUUAAGACAAAAUUUAAAAUUGGUUUAAAAUUACAAUAAUUAAAAAUGGACGAUUGAAAUGGUAUAGAUUAUAAUUGAAUAACUUUCCAAUAGUGUUUGAACCUAAAUUAAAAUACAAUUAUUUGGUAAUUUGGGUUGAAAUUAAAAAAAAAUCACACAUUCCAAAUCUGGAAAAUGAGUAUUUUGAGAAGUAUGAAAAAUGAGAUUCAAAUGUAUUUGUAGAAGAGCAAGUUAUAUAUCACUGUUAUAGGACAUCAUCGAUCAAAUCUGGAUUUGUGGACUUUGAUUUUGAAGUUAAUAGAAUAGGAACUACAUCAUCGUCCAAUCUCUUAAAUUUGUCAAAAACUUUGAAAUUAAUGAGUUUAAGUAGAUUCUUACAUCGCAGACUUGUUCCAAAUUUUAAAAAUAAAUUAUUGAGAGAAAGGAAAAAAAGAAAUGUAAAAGAAUCCCCACCUUCAAGACUAAUUUAGUGGGUAUAAAUGAAAAUGGAAUAAAUAGUACAAUGUCCAAUUUGCCAAAAGAGUGAAAAAGGGAAAUGAAUACUUUUACCUUUUUCAUUUGAUACCCGAUGUCCGUUAAGGAAUUGAAAUUAAAGGCUUAGGGAGGUAGAUGAAUAUUAGUAAGAAAAAUUAAAUCUUCAUAAAUGUUCUCUUUCUUUUUUCUUUUUACAUAAAUACCCAACGUCCGAUUGUAAAAGGUAGCUAAAAAGUUUUAUGAUAUAUGCGAUUAAUUAAAAUCUUAAUUAUUUCUUAAAGAUCAAAGUCCUCUCAAAUGGAAAUGGUAAUGGAAAUAAAUCGUAUUUUUCAUUUUAUGAAAUGAAUGUAUUUAUUACGAAUUAAUUUCCAUCUUUACAAUUUACAAAAUUCCCUUUAAAUUGGACAGUCCCCAAUUUCAUUUUCCUCACCAACACAAAAACCUCGGAAUAAAAAAAGAAAAGGAAAAUAGUAAUCUGUAGAACACAAUCACAAUGCCUAUCUUCCCCAAGCUUCUUGCUGCCCUUCUUGUCCUCUCUCUCAUUUCCACAGGUAUAACUAUAUGGCAUUUCAACUCCAUUUUGUCCUUUUCUUUAUUUAUCCUAACCAUUAUUCUCUUCCAAGUCAUUCCACUUUUUUCUUUUUCCUUUCCUAUAAAAGCAGUUUUAUGAUUAGGUGUGAACAUACCUUUUCUAUAUUCUUCUUUUCUUAAAAAUAAUUUCGCUUAUAGUACUCCUAAAUAAUGUUUUAAAAAAAUCAUUUUUCCCCUUAUCAUUGAAAAGAGAAACUCUUUAGUGUCUUUUCUGAAAGAUGGAUCGUUAAACAACAAAAACUUGUAUCAUGUUAAAUCAGCAAUUAACUCAUUAGAGUAUGGUUAAACAUUCAAAUAUAAUUGUGUUUAAGUAACUGAAGAUUGAGAUACUGAGAGCUUAUGAUUGGUUUCAGGAAACUGCCAAUGUUUUUUGAACAACAUAAAAAUCAGCCAAAGCAUGACAGGAUUUCAGAUCCAUGGAAUGACAGAAUGGAAAGUAACAAUAACCAACAACUGCAUAUGUUCUCAAUCUGAUUUGAAACUAGACUGCAAAGGCUUUGCAACUACUCUAAGCAUCGAUCCUUCCAUCUUAGCCAUCUCUGAUAGCGAGUGUUUAGUCAACAAUGGCCAACCUAUUUUCAAUUCCAGACCCAUCACCUUCAAGUAUGCACAAAGCCCCAAAUUCAAUUUCAAGCCUCUCUCCUCCCAGAUAUCUUGUUCUUAAAAAUCUUAUUCAUUUUUUACUCGGUUCAAAAUUAGUGUCUUUAGACACUUUUAUAAUAAUAAAAACUUAUCUUUAUUUAUUUUGUUUUGUUAAGUUAUCCAUUAUUACAAUUGUUUCACGAAUUCCCAAUUUGCGCAUAUGACGUUGCUUGAACCACGUUAGAUUAGACCAUGACUUGCAAAUUAAAAUACCUUUGAAUAUAAUACAGAAGGAAGAAGAAUAAUCUAAAUCCAUAAUUUUUUCCAACUUGUAUUCGUCAAGAUAAUGAAAUAUACGAAAAUUCGGAAGGAUCGUUUCUAAGAAAUUUCGAAGAAAUAAUGAAAAAAGCACAGUGGACUUGAAAGUUUCAUUAACUUUUCAAUUGACUAUUAUUAUUAUUAUUAUAUUAACUUCGAUAUUAUCUAAAAUGGUUUUACGCGUAUGGGACGAAAAAGGGUUUAUCACGAUGAAAUGGACACUCCCUUUUUUUCAAAAUGGGAUAUAAGAAUUUCUUAAUCCAAAACGGGAAUAAUUUUCCAUUACUUUUUAAUUAUCAUUUGAUUUGGUUAAUUGUACCUAAAUUAGAAUUAUAUCAGAUUUUGUGUACCCAUGAGGUUGUAGAAGAAGUUGAAUGUCCACCCUACAUGAAAAAAUGUUUUGACUUAUCAUCUCAUUUAAUAAUCAUUUACACACAACGUGUUAAUACCAUGUUUCUAAGAAAAAAAUUUGUUCUUAUUAUUAUUAUUUUUUUCUAAAUGCAUUGUAUUACAAGCCAAUUAAUUAGUUUGGCUGAUGUUGACUAUUAUUAAUUGUUAUAACUUGAUGAUGAAAAUAAAAUUUUAUAUAUGACUAUAAUAACAUACUUGGAACUCCUAAUAUUGUUAUUGUAUGUUUAAACAUGUGGUAAAAAUGUUAAUUUAUUGUUGAAAGAGCUCUACCUAACGUCUUUUAUCAAGCCAUCGUCAUAUUUGCUGGAUUCAACGUAAGAACACCUUUUUCUUUCUUUGAAAAAAAAGAUACAUAUGCUAAUUUGUUCAAUACAAUAAAAUAAUGCUACACUUCUCGAUUAAGUUAACAAAGUUUUUUUUUUUUUUUUUUUUUUUUUUUUUGUAUGGCGGAUUGAAUUUUCUUUAAUGAACAAUUAAUAUUAUUUAGUAGAUUAAUCGAGAAUGAGCCAUUAUUUUAUAGUUUAUAUAUAUCAGUUAUGUUUGUUUUUGGCACUAUCGAGGUAAGUAGAAAAUGUAAAAAAGUUCAAAUGAAAAUGUCGCAGCCGCUGCCUUGGACCAAGAUUUGAUUGGGUCAAAGUCAUGCAGGAUAUUUAUAUAGAACCAAUGCUUUCCCCAAAGCAUCAACCUCAAUGAUUUUUAAGCCUUUUGGGUUUUAGAAGAAGCACUCAAACGAUUCUAACAAUGGCUUCGCCGUUACAAAGUACACGAUACCUCUUAAUUCUUCUCUCCUUUGUCUUCUUCUUACUACAAUCUCAAACUGCAGAAUCAAGAACUCUGAACUAUAAAUGGGAAGUGAAAUCUGAAUUGAAGUCCCCCGAUUGCUUUAAAAAAGUUACCUUGACCAUUAAUGGCCGAUCUCCAGGUCCCACUAUCUACGCCCACCAAGGUGACACCGUCAUCGUUGAGCUCAAGAACAGCCUCUUUACCGAAAACGUGGCUAUCCACUGGCAUGGAAUUCGACAGGUACCCCUAAAUUUUCAUUUCUCUCCAUAUUUUUCUUCGUUAGUUUUAUAGUUCUUCUUUCUGACGUGCUCGUACAUUUGAAGAUCGGAACACCAUGGAGCGAUGGAACAGAAGGUGUCACUCAAUGCCCUAUUUUGCCUGGUGAAACCUUCAGAUAUCAGUUUGUUGUAGACAGAGUAAGAGAUACUUGACUUACUCGUUUUGUUUUGUGUCUCUCAAAAACUCCAUGCUUUAAUUUGAGUUUGACCUUUGUGAAAUUUGAAAUCUGCAGCCAGGAACUUAUCUAUACCAUGCCCAUUAUGGUAUGCAGAGAGAAGAUGGUCUCUAUGGAUCCAUUGUGGUUUGGGUUCCAGAAGGACAAACAGAGCCUUUUUCCUAUGAUCUUGAUCGUAACCUCAUCCUCACAGAUUGGUAUCAUAAAAGCAGCCACGAACACGCCACUGGAUUGGCUACCCCUGGCUCUGGAUUCAACUGGGUGGGAGAGCCUGAUUCACUGUUGAUUCAAGGAAGAGGGAGAUUCAACUGCUCUAUUCUGGGAUCUUCCAGUGGUACCUGCAAUUCAUCGAGCACAGAAUGUGUUCUUCAUCCAUUAACAGUCGUACCGGGAAAAACUUACCGAUUAAGGGUCUCCAGUCUCACUUCUCUUUCAGCUCUCAGUUUCCAAAUUGAGGUAAUUACAAGUUCAUCUACUUGAUUUCAUGUACUCUCCUUGAAAUUCUUCUUAAAUGGCUUAAACUGAUAAACUCUCUGUUUUGGAAACAGGGUCACACCAUGACUGUGGUUGAAGCUGAUGGGCAUUACGUUGAGCCAUUUCAAGUAAACAAUUUGUUCAUUUACUCAGGAGAAACAUAUUCCGUUUUGAUAAAAGCCGAUCAAGACCCUUCUAGAAACUACUGGAUCACAACCAAUGUGGUGAGCCGAUCAAGAACCACCCCCCCUGGAUUAGCCAUUUUCAAUUACUACCCAAAUCACCAGAGUAGACUCCCUCCGACAACUCCUCCAGCACCACCUGCUUGGAACGAUGUUACUCCCCGAUUGGCUCAAAGUCAAGCCAUCAAAGCCCGGCAAGGUUUUAUCCACACGCCGCCCAAAGCCGCCGAUAAAGUGAUCGUGCUUCUCAACACCCAAAACACCGUGAAUGGCCGUCGCCGGUGGUCGUUAAAUAACGUUUCCUUCAAUAUGCCUCAUACCCCAUAUCUUAUUGCUCUAAAGCACAAUCUUCUCCAUACAUUCAGCCAGGAAAAACCACCCACUGGAUACGAUUUCAAGAACUACGACAUUUUUAAUCCGGCGCCCAACCCUGAAGCGACGGUAAGCGACGCCAUAUACCGGUUGGACUUCAAUUCAACUGUGGACAUCAUACUACAGAACGCCAAUAUGAUGAGCCCAAACAACAGCGAAACACAUCCUUGGCAUUUGCACGGACACGAUUUCUGGGUUUUGGGGUACGGAGAAGGGAAAUUCGAUCUUUAUAAGGAUCCAAGCAAGUACAAUUUGGAGAACCCGAUCAUGAAGAACACGGUGCCGUUGCAUCCAUAUGGAUGGACCGCUUUGAGAUUUGUGGCGGAUAAUCCUGGUGUCUGGGCUUUCCACUGUCACAUCGACGCGCAUUUCUUUAUGGGAAUGGGUGUAGUUUUUGAAGAAGGGAUCGAGAGGGUUGGAAAAUUGCCUACUUCCAUUAUGGGAUGCGGGGAGAGCAAGAGGUUCUUGAGACCUUAACUCAUUUCCAUUCCGAUUACUAUUCUUUAGAAAAACACAAAGAAUAUUCUUUUAUGUUUAGCCAAAUUUUUUGUGCUGAUUGAGAGUCACUAUGAGUGUAUAGGUAAAUGUUAUUGCUACUUAAUAAGAAGAAAUCGUAAUAGUUUCUUAAAUGAUUUAAAUAACAAUACCAUUGUUAUGUUGUUUAUUUGGACUACUAUUGGGAUGUUGUGUGUGUGUGACUUUUGUUGAUAUCAACUGCUCCUUUUAUAUAAAAUUUCAGUUAUUCAUUCAAUUAUGACAAUAAAGUUUAUCAUUUUAGAGGUUUAGAUAUCACAUCUCAUUCCACUAAAGAAAAAGUUUUACAAUUCACCUUUGAUUUGUGAACAAUGAUUUAUCAAUUUAGUUCAUUAUUUUGUUCUUUUUACUAAAUAUAUUAUUAAAUGUUAAUAGAACUUUUGACCUGUAGUUAUAGUUAACAAGUGCAUUGAAAACCAAAUUUUUGUUUUUAUAAACUAUAAAGACUACACAUUCAUACGUUUAAGAUUUCACUUAAUUUUGAAAAGAAAUUUUUAUGUAUUUAAUGCCAUAAUUAAAAUUUGAGCCUAAAAAGCGUUAAGGCUUAAACUUCACAUACUAAAUUAUGAGUUCAAUGUUGGAAGCCUUUUUUAAAAUAAAAAAGUUGACCAAAAGAAUAUGACUAAUUUAAAAGAAGUAGAAGAAAACAAUUGGAUGUUUAAUUUAUAUGUAUUUUCAUAUUGAAGUGCAAUUUGCAAAACGUAACUUAAACAGGUUUUUUGCUUCUAAAAGAUGGAAAGUAGUAGGUUUUAAGGAGGGUGACAAUCACAGCCCACAGGAAUGACCAAAUGUUUAAUAUUUAUAAACUAGAGAUGAAAGGCAACAGUAGUGACCAAAUGUUUUAUUUAUUGUUUAUUUCAACUUUAUCCUUUACAGUAAGGGACACUCUUUUCCUAUUUUUUUAUCCUCAAGUUUUUGUAGUAUUAGAUCACUAAUAUUCAUCCCUUUUCAGUAUAUCAUUUGGUCCAAAGUGUAGUAACUCUACCAAUUAAUUGAUAUAUCUAAAUAUCAACCUUUAAUAUUCCACUCUCACAAUUCUCUCUUUUAUUUUUCUUAAUUAUGAUUUUUCUCUUCUUCUAAUUUUAUUUCCACUUCAAUUUCUUUCAUUUUCGCCACAAAUUUGUUAUUUUAUUUUUUCAUUUUCUUUUUAUCUUCUCACAUUUACAUAUUUUCGAUUAUGGAUAUUUCAAUAAUGUUAGUCUUGCUAAACAAUCUUUAAGUAUGUUAGUCGUAUAUCCAUAGUGUAUUAUCAAUUUAAUCCUAAACCAUUAUUUGUUUUUUUUUCCUUCUUAUAUUUUUAACUUAGUCUAACAUCUAACAUGACCAUCUAUAAAUUCAAUUUUGAGGUUGAUUUAAAUAAAGAAAACCCUUUUCUUUCUUCUUCCUCCUCUCUUUUUUCUUCUUGUUGAUUGUGGUUGCAAGCAUACGACGAAGAAUAGGGCAAAGCUUCUAGUAUCGGGUAUGAGAUGAAGCUUUCAACGUUAUUUUUUUAUUGGUCAUUCAUCCAGUUGACAACAUAAGUUUUAGAUGAGAUAAAGAUUGAGAGAGUUCUAGAUAUAAAACCAAUGAAUAAAUGUACAUAUGUAUAAUCGUUUAUUUUAUAUAAACGAUAAUGGUUAUUGUCGUUAACAUUUGCGUAUAUUUUUAAAUAAACAAUAAAAUAUUUUAUAGUCAACUUAAGAAAUGAAAAAUAUAUAUUUAUUUAAAUAUUUUUAAAUAAACAAUCAAACAUUUUAGAGUCAACAUAAAAAAUGAAAUGGAAAAUAAAAUCAUGUUAAAUGUCAUCUUAUCUCUUCAAAUGAAAAUAGAAAAAAAAUUAUAUUAAAUGCCUUUUCACUCAAAAUAAGAAAAUAUUAUACUAAAUACAUUUACUCUCUUUUUAAUAAACCCUUAUAAAUGUAAUUUGUGUCUCAUCACUAAAUAAACAUUGAAAAUAGGAAAACAUAUAUUAAUAAAGUUAUUGUGAAACUAUAAAAUCCUUCCUCGAAGAUUUUGAAACUUAAAAUGAGAUUUUUGGAUUUUUAGGUAAAAUAUCUGAUUAAUUAAUUUAUAUUAUAGAGAAUAAGUAUGAGUCUGUUGGCCCAAAAGCCCAAAAGCCCAAAAGCCCAAAAGCCCAAAAUCUCAAAGGCAAUCUUCUCAAUAGGUGGAGGCUCUUAUCCAAAUCCAAUGGCCCAUAUUUUGCACUUGUGGGGCCCUACAGUUCGCCAUAUCUAUCCUAAGUGCGCAUUCAUUCAAACCACUGCCUCAAACAAACAUCACACUGUUACAACUUACCAUUGCCACCUUCACUUUAUUCAAGCUUCACAUACACCUCAAUCUGAUCAUACUAAAAUGGCACUUUCCCCAUUAACCUUCACAACCCCAAGACCUCAAGCUUCCCAAAUUUUCUCCCCCAAGUUAUCUUCCACUGUUAAACCCACAUCUACUUCUUCUUCUUCUUCUUCUUCUUCUUCUUCAGUUUCUGCUACUAAGAAGGCAAUAUCUAACAUGGGCAUUGGCCUUCUUGCUGCUUCGGUUUUGGCUCUUUCGCCCUUGGAUGCAAACGCUACCAGAAUUGAAUACUAUGCCACUGUUGGAGAACCCCUUUGCGAGUUCAACUAUGUGCCUUCCGGGCUUGGCUAUUGCGACAUCGCCGUCGGAUCCGGUGAGGAAGUUCCUUAUGGUGAGCUUAUCAAUGUCAGUUCCGAUCUUCAAUCAUCCACUUCUUGUUUCUCAUUUUACUUUUCUUCGCAUCAUCAAAUUCUACCCUGCUUUUAUAUGACUGCUUGUUUCCGUCCAACUUCUCCUGCAUUGCUUCGUUGCAGUGGAAUGUGCAAUUCCCGCCAAUAGUAUAUCAAUCUAAUAUGUGUCUCUCGUUUUUUGCUGAGUUUGCAUGUGGGUUAUUUUUCUUAAUAUGUAUAUGUUGUGUCACGUGUUGCAAUGAACUGCAAUUCACUACGUUUAAUUUCCCCAUUCCACGCAUAAGGGAUUUUAUGAUAUGUUUUUGCGUUAUUUUACCGUUCAAAUGCAGGUUCACUACACUGCAAGGUUUGCUGAUGGGAUAGUGUUUGACAGUAGCUACAAGCGUGGUAGAUAUCUCACCAUGCGUAUUGGUGUUGGCAAGGUAUUGAUCAAGUGUUUUGUACAGCUUCUUAAGGUGCAUAUGGGCUUGAAAAGUUUGGCCAAUUUGUUUAAGUGCGAGCGGCUACAGGCUUUGAGAGUAAUGAUACUGUUUAAGAGAAAAGUGAUGAAAAUAUAUGUAUUUUAGGUCAUUGGUAACUUAGUCCAUUUCUGCACUUUCCAGAUCAUGUCGUUUCUUUAGGAAAACGUAGUUGAGCAGAAUUCAAUUGUACUUAUAACUAUGAGAAAAAAAAAAAGCAAAUUUAAUUAGAGUAAAACGGUCAGCAGAAUAGCUUUUCUAGGAUUGAGGAACAUCUCUCUUUGUCCCAUCUUAAUAAAAUACGCACCUUGCUGCAUCAACUUGGUUGACAAUCACCUCCCUAUAUGCAACUAUCUUCUAAGAGACCUUGUGUGGAGUUAGUUCUCCUACAAAUCCCAAUUGUUUGUUGACGAGGAUGUAGAAAGAAAGUGGUGGGUUUCUUUAACGAUUUGACAAGGAAAGAGCUGGAUGAGAGUGGAGGCAAGUCUGUUACCAACAUGGGAGGAUCAGGGUACUGAGAAUUUUCCUUCUCAUGCCUAGAUUAGGAGCAAGAUACUAUUUGUAAAACAAACUUUUAAUUUACUUGCAACCAAUCAAUAGCCAUUAUAUGGAUAAAUAAUUCAUUACCUUAGCCACUAACUAUAACUACAUUCAUUUCACCUUGUGGUGAGUGUGGGACCGUGGGUAACUGGGUGGGUGUAGUUACUUACCACAUUGACUCAUCGGAAAGGGACUAAAGUUGAUAAGAUUGUUGCCAGGUAAUAAGAGGAUUGGAUCAGGGAAUAUUAGGGGGUGAAGGAGUACCACCAAUGCUAGUAGGUAUGUCUACUGACGCAAUGAGUAGAAUUUUGUGGUUUUCUUUUUUUGCUGGUUUGCUUCUAAGAAAUUAUUGCCCCUCUGAUUUUGCCUAGGUGGCAAACGUAAGCUUCAGAUUCCUCCACAUUUAGCGUAUGGACCAGAACCAGCAGGCUGUUUUUCAGGUUGAAUUCUUUGAACUGAACUGCUUUGUUUUGCGUGUUGGCUAUCUAAAUUUUCGUGACAAUGUUGCAAGCUGUCUGUAGUUGCUUCUGUUGGCAAGUUAACGGUAGUUUAUUUUGUGCAAAUGCAUUAUAUGUUAGUGUGUAGUUGCUUUGCUCCAGAUAUCUCUUUUUGAUACUGGUGAAACCCAAGUACCAAUUAACUAAUGGACUCUGUUAAUGCCAUUUGUGUUGCCUUUACAGGUGAUUGCAAUAUACCUGGAAAUGCAACUCUUGUGUAUGAUAUAAAUUUCGUUGGAGUCUACUCAGGAAAUAGGAAGUGAUGGAAACAAUACCCAAUUUCCUACAAAAUUCUUGUAGAUAGACAACACAGAGUAAGUGAUUUUCUGACUUUUCUAAAUGUUCAAUCAUAUCAACCUAUCCUUUGUUUGGUUUCUCUUUUAAGUUGUGUUCACAGCUCAGCUAUCUUAACACACCCAUUUGUUUUUUGGUCCAUCUCAUACAGUAGAAUCACAACAAUUAUCUCAGUAGUGUCUCAGAUUCCAUUUCAUGCUUCCUGCUUCAUCUAUUGUUCAUCAUACACUUUUUCCCUCUUGGUUUCCCAGAACUUAAGUUGAAGCUAAACCACGAGCCAAAAGAAGUGCAUUUCUCUCUGGAUUUUCCAAGUAUGUGGAACUCAAGCUUGACUCUUAAGGCAGAAUACUUGGUUUUCUCCAACUAACCACCAGCAGGACUGGCAAUCCUUUUUAGGUGAAAAUCCAGCUAGGCAUGGUUGAAAUUGCUCAAUUCAAACGUAAUUGACCAAAACUAUGUAUUUGGUUGUUUUACAAGAUUAUGACUGUAUUUCUAUGCACGGAUACUAUUAUACUUUGUAAAAGCACGUCUUGUUUCUGAGUACUUCAGUAACUUUAUGCAAAUGGAAUCUAAUGACCGCAUUUUCUUUGAACACAUUCUUUUUUAAUAUGAUCGAAUUGUCAAUGAACACAAAAUUAUUAAACAUAGAUCACCCUAAUUUUUUCUCACCGCGAUUUUUCUUUAUGCUACCUUUGGAUAUGAGAAAAAGGUUAACGGAAAAAAAAUGUUCCGAAAGCCAAAAGCAAAGAAAGCAGGAUUCUUUCCUCACGUUUGGUGAAGAGAGAGAACCGGAAAGGAAGCCUUGGCUUGGCCUUUUUCUUCGUUUGCUGGGACCAAAUGCCGUUUGAAAUAAUUUGAAUUUUGUGUUCAAAUUUUUAGGCUCUUUUCCAAACCGAAAGUAAGUGCAAAUGUAUAGCCAUACUGCUCCUUCACAAUUCAUUAACUUAAUAAUUUCCAGUCCUUUAAAAUAAAGCGACUUUGGUUUUCUUCUUUUUUCCUUUCCUCUAACAGUUAAUAACCAGGUUGGAAUCUUGUUUUCUUUAGGUGAAAGAACAGCUGUGGGGAAGCCAAAGUCGUCUCACAAACAGAAAAUUACAACAUCAUGAAAUAAAGUAAUCUCUUACAUCAGCUAGUAACAACUAACAACCCCAAAUAUUCUAAUUACUCAUCCAUCUAGUUGACCAUUUCUUCUUCACAAAUGAUUGAACACACAGUAAUAUAUAUCAUUACCAUAAUUAUUGAGGUGUUUGACAAAAAUUUAGCAGAAGAGAGAUAUAUAGAGAGAGGUACAAAACAGGAGACUUGUUUUAGCUGCAAAGAAUUACAUGACAGAGCAAGCAUUUGGGUUGUCAUCACUGAACAUGUUGAUGUAAGGAUCUUCAUAUUUGGUAACAGAAGCAGUAGUGGCAGUUUGCUCCACAUUUCUUACAUACCCCGGUGGUGCCUUCUUAUCAUAAGCCUGAGCAAUGUAAGGCUGUGACACUAAGCUGUAGGGAACAUAUGGCCAUAUCUCAGCCUUUUUCCCUGUAGACUUCGCCUUCUUCAGUAUCUUGCUUGCUUCAACAUACCCCGUAACUGUCACUUUCUGCUGCUUCCUGUUUAUCUCCACAGAUUUUACCCCUUCCAAAGUUCAAAAGCAACUGCAUUUUGUUAGAUAGAGAGAAAAGGAAGAAGUAAAAACACAAAAGGGUUGAGUUUCUUUAGACAUAACAUACCACUGAGUGAAGAGAGGGCAUUCUUGACCUUAAGUUCACAGCCAUCACAGUCCAUUCUGACUUUCAACUCCACGGUUUGAAGCUGUUUCUUCUUCUUGUGUUUAUGGGUGUUACCCACCAAAUCUGACAAGUACUCCAAAGUCCCACCAACACCCAUUUUUCACUCUUUAAUCGAUGUAGUUGAAAAGGGAAAGGGACAACAGAAGCUCACAGAAGCAAAAACCAGAGUUGUAGAAAGAAAUGGAAACGUAAGUUUGGGUAGAAUGAUGGAUCUUUCUCUUUAGUCUUUACCUUCUCUUCAAGCAAACAAGCAAAGAAAAGGGCAUUAGAAACAAAGGCUGCUUUCUCUGGUUUUGAGAUGGUUAUAUGAAAGGAAACAGAGCUCGUUAUAUAGCCAUCUGGGUUACAUUUUAAAACUAAAGGAAAAAGGGUUGUGUUUUGGUUGUGGCCCCCCAAUCACCAAAAAUAAUUUGGCUUAGGAAGCUUGGUUCUUUUUUGUUGCUGUGGACGUUGCAUUUUUACUUUAAAAUGGCAAUUCUUUUAAGAUUAUGAAUAUAUUAAAACAAAUCUAUAUGCUUUUCUUAAUGAAGAGGUACUUUUGGCUCUAUCCUUUGGAAGAUUGAUCGCCUUUAUUCCAGUAAUAAAAUUAAGUUUAAUUUACAAAUACCAAAACAAAAAUAUAGAAAACAAAUUUGCAAUUUAACCUAAAACUAAAACCAAUUGGGCUGUCAUUUAUGGAGUGAAGCUGAAUUCAACAAGUUUUAAAAACCAACGCUAUACCAAAAAUGUCACCGCCAUCUUUACCUUAAUGCAUGAGGAGUCUUCUUAAUUUAGUGGUUUGCAUAAUUUUAAUUUAAUCUCAAUUUUUUCACGUAACUUUUUAAAACUAUUUCAUCUUAAACUCCAUUAUAAGAAGCUUGAAGGUGCAUGGUGGUCGGUAGGUGAUUAGAUCAAUUUCAAUUUUAACCUUAGUUUUUAAUUAAAUGGGUUUGGCUGGCUUAAACAACAAGUAGUAACAACAGACAGAUAUGUUGUUAGGAAGAGAAGUAUGUUAUGUUAUAAUAGUUGAAAAGAAAAAGUAGUGGUCAUGUCGUUUUCUGAACAACAUAACACUAAACAUAUAUAUAAAAAAAUAAAGACUUGGGAUUAUUUUAGUUUUCAUAAACAAUAAUUUUAGUGUUUGUUUGAAAAGUGUUGUGUUGGGGACUUGGGGGUGGAGAGAACCCGAAGGAAGGAAAGUGGGCAGCAGCCUCCUUCCUUGUAUGCAAUUGCAAAACUUAAGUCUUUUUCAAUUGUAUUCUUCUAAAAGUUUUAUAAUAAUCUUUCCCUUUUCAUUUCUGUUUUUAUUGUGUAUAUUUAUUGGUUUUUCACAUGGACAGGUUAAUUGGCUUUGAUUAAAUCUUUAAUACUACUACUAAUCACUGAUUGGAGCCACAAAUGUUGAUUACUUGAGUGAUUUAGAUGAUCAAGAUUUUUCAAAAAUUAAGUCAAAUUAAUUUUGACUUAAUUUGUGAAUCCAGAAAUGUGGUUUGGGAUGUGUGUAAAAAGAUCAUGAUGCUGAUUCUUUAUUCUAAUAGAGGAAGGAAGUAAAAUGGGUGUGGCUAAUCUUACCAUUUCUUCCUCUAUUCCUUUUCCUCCACUUUCUAUUUUGUCUUCAAACUUCUCCCCUAAUAAGCACACAUUUAAUAAAGUCACUCUAUCACACUAUGUACUUUUUUUGGCCACGAAUAUUUUUCAUUUCAUCAUGCAACCUCUUUUUUUAUAUAUAGUAAUUAUAGCUACAUUAAUAACUUUGACGGGACCCCCAACUUAUAAUUAAUUAAUUAGCUUUCUAUCAAAUUAAAAAUAAAAACGGUAUUAGAUUAUAUCUAUCCAUGAAAAAAGAUAAGAAAAUUGUCAUGAUCUUUAAAACAUAAACCGACACUAGAGAUCUAACUUUACAUCUCAUAAAAUCUAAUAAAACUAAAAAUGAUGGUAAUUAUAAUUUGGUGUUUAAUUAACUUAGAAUAAUAAUUUGUCCAAAAAGGUAGACAUGAGAUGGGAUAGGACAAAGGCCUGUGCAAAGGAAAAACUGUUCCAACUCUUACACAAAACUGGGACCUUCAAUGUGAAGAUAAGAAUAUUAUUUCUCAUUAAACUAACCACCAUUCUUAUUCUUCAAAAUAUUUAGUAACCAAAGACAGAGAUUUAAAUUAUUGGUUACAAGUUAUUAUUAAUGCAUAUGUUUAAUAAAGAAAAAAAGAAAGAGGAAAAAGGGGAUUCACAAACAAUCCAUCUUCUUGUAGCUUUUUUAUUUUGGAGGUUUGGUUUUGUUAGACAAAGAGCAUUGUCUUUUUUAUUUAUUCUUUUCAAUGGAACAACAACUUUUUAGAAUUGGGAAAAUAAAGGUGACUUUCUUCUUCACCACCACCACCACCUCUACCUCCCAAACACAAUUAUUGCUAUACAUUUUAGCUCUCAUUCCUAUUCCUAUCUAUACUAUGAUUAAUUAUUCAACCUUCUCACUUUCCUUUUUCUUUUGUAAUAUUUGAAUUUACACAAAUUUGACGAUCUCACAAUCUCAUUCGAUAGUUUUUUCAUUUUUCGUUCUGGUGUACUUUUUUCACUUAAAACGCGUAAAAGAUAAUGAAAAUGGAGGGUUAAAUUUGUAAAAGAAAUUAAAUAUAAAGGAAAAACCCUUUAGUGUAUGAGGUAAGUAUCACAUUGUACUAGUCUUUUCUAAUGAUUUCUUUUUAAGAUGACGACAUAAUUUAAAUGUAUCUAUUCUUAUGAAGCUUAAAUUAGUAACAAAAUCAUUCCAUGGCCUUGUUUUUUUUCUUUGGAAUUGUUCAUUUGUACUUUAGAAUAAUUAUAGAACCGAAUUUAUGUAGUCUAAAUUGAUUUGUGAGAUUAUAUUAUAAAAAUUUAUAUAGUUUAAAGGUCUAAAUUGAUUUGUGAGAUUAUAUUAUAAAAAUUUAUAUAGUUUAAAGGAGAUUUUAUAAUUAUGAUUUUACAACAUAACAUGGCAUAGCUAGAAUUAUAUUAACUUUUAGCAAUGGCUUAAACACAAUAACCAAAGUUGGCUUUGGACAUUAUUUCAUGAAAAAAGAAAGUUUUGUUUCUAAUGUUUGUUUUGACCUCAUGAAUAAGAACAGCACACGACUCCUUUUUAUAACGUUUUGGUUAUAACUUUUUUGUACUUUAAGGGAUUGGGCUUUUUUUCUGCCCUUGAUUUCUUGAUUUAUGUUUUUACUUUUUCAAAAAAAGAUUAGAAUUUAUAUUUGAUGCAGAAAGUCAAAAUUUAAAAAGAAAUUGAAAGCUAUUGUUUUGCUAGAUUGUCUUUUUCUUAAAAAAAAAGAAAAGAAAAGAAGAAGAUUAAGUGAAUUAAUAAACAAAUAUAUUUGAUAUUGAAAAAGAAGAUAGCUGUAUAACACAUGCAAUCAAUUAUUGUAUGGUGAACAGUUUGGGUAUUCAUCUAAAAUGCUUAAUUGUUCUUACUUGAUUUAAAUUAAUAUAUAAAGAAAUUGUAAAAAAAAUAAUUAAGUUAGAAGAUAACAAAAAGGGGAUUAGUAAUAUGGAUGUAGAAAUGAAUUAAAAAGUGGUGUGUUGGGGAAAUGAAUAGAGAAGGAAUUGUUGUGUGAAUGAAAUAAUUAGAAGUACUUUGGUGUACGCGGUGUCAGGUAAUGAAGUUCACUCAUUGAUAUAUAUAAUAAUAAGAUGAGUCCUCUUCCCUACAAUUUCAAACAAUAAUUGAAAUUUGGAAACGAUGUGGCCUUCACGCACACGAAGGAACCAUAAUCUAUAUAUAUAUAUUAAAAUGAAAUAUUGGUUAGUUCUAAAAUUAGUUUGUAUUAUUGGGUUCCUCAACUUUAAAAAUUUAUAAUAAGUCUUUAACAUUGAAAAUCUAAAAUAUCUAUUUGAUUUUUUAGGCAUUGUUAUCUACCUUUAUUAAAAAAAUUAGGCCCCUAUGAUAACUAUACUCAAACUUUAUUACUUUCUUAUCUACAUUUUAUCUAUGGAUUAAAAAUCAAACCAAAAUUUGAAAAUUAAAAAGAAAAAAUAACUGACAAAAAAAAUGUUUUCUGUUCUUCAAAUUUGACUAAGAAUUUUAAUCUUUGUAUUUGAGAAAGAAUGCAAAUUAUUGUAAGAUAGGAAAAGGAAAUAGGUAUAAUUAUAUAUAUAUAAAGCAAAGCCGAAAGAAGAAAUGGUUACGAAGUGAAAUUAAAAUAAAUAACAAAUAAUAAGGUUAGGAGAAAUAAAGAGUAAAGAUUAAGAAGGUAGUAAACUAACGGUAAUAUAUAUCAGAAGAGGAAAACAUAUAGAUAGAAGAAUGUAUAGCUACAUAACCAAAAAUGCAACGACUAUCAUCGACCCCCAUUGGAUGGCUCAUAUAAUGCCCCAAAAAAAAAAAAAAACUAAGAAAAAAGAAAGAAAAGAAGGAAAAUGCCAUUGAUGGAACUUGCAAGGACACAAGAUCUACAUGUCGUCCUUGCUGGGGGGAAGAUAGAUGUAAAGAGACUACCUCCAUUUACAUGUAAAACUUACUUAGAUAAAGCUCAGAAUCUACAUCACACGCAAGAAGAAACAAGGCAGAGUGCUAGAAGAAGCAGGUGCGGCAAUCUGAUUGAAUAAAAUCUGGAUGGGAUGAAGCAUGGGGUAGCAGCUGAUGGUUUAGAAGGGGCCCUUCCAGCUACGGCAGGAGCCACCGCGUGCCCCCCUGAAGCGCUCUGCUGUUCAUCGGCUGGUAAUGGGUUUGGCGGUGUCUCUUUUGCAGGAGUAAGAGGCAUUUUCUUUUCGUUACUGAGAUCUUGACCUUCGACAUGAACAUGGUAGAAAUAUGAAUGGAAGUUCAUGAAACGAGUUUAUAAAACAAUGGAAAAGCCAUACUUUCAUUUAACAAACGAAAAUAAUAUACAAUGAACAAUACAAAAAACCAACCCAUAUGAAACGAAGCAAGAAAAAAAAUGAUGGUUAAGACAGUUCAAACAUUUUCUUUCGGUUUUAUCAUGCACAAGAUGUGGGCAUCAGUUAAGAAGCUGCAAAAUCAUGACAAGUAACUACUAGGAGAUGGAAAUCUUACAAUUUGCGUGUGACCAACCCAACUUCAAAUUAUCCCUAUCAAAUACCAUCCGGUAUCCAGUCAUGUAAUUUUCUGCACAAGACAGCAAUACAAAAUUACCAUUUUCAUUAGACGUACGAUUUACUGCACAUAUCGCAUAUAUCAUAUUAGCAAUCUAAAUUUGAGGAGACAUUGUGAGCUUACGUCCCAAUAUUCCGAUAUCUCCAUCAGCAGGUAGUAUAGCAAAACAAAAUCCAGCUAACCCCUGUAUGCAUAGUACUGUUUAGUAUUAACACAGGCAUUAUUUUCUUGUAUUAGAAGUGAUGCAUAGCAUGUGACUUCUUCAGGAUACUUAAAACAAUUAUAUCAUCUAUUGGAUAGUUAGAACUAGAGACUAACUGCUAGGCUGUAUCAAAGAAGAGGGCCCUACCUCAGCUUGAUAGUUUAAGCACACCUUAUUUUUUUUCUUUUAUUGUUUUAGUUCUUAUUCUUCGUUUCCUUGUAGUCUCUAGUUUCUGGAGUAUCUAAAGCUAUCAACUUCACUACUAUGUUUCACAGUUCGAUUUUUAAGUACUUUUAUGCCCACUAAAAGUCAAAGCUAUUCCAUUAAUGGCUAAUUAUGACAAAUUUCAAAGAUCAAGUCCACAUCUUCACCCAUAUUCACCAAAUCAAAUCAUGCACACUUAAACAUUCUUAGAAGGAAACUUCCAUCUACCUGAUCGCCAUAGAUAGGGAAUACAGGAUCAUGAACCACAAAACUAUUGUUUAGUGGAAACAACAAUGUCACAGAUGGAACCUUUGGCAUUGCGUCUGCACUGUUGGAAAAAACGAUAACAUUAAAGUUAGACAUGCACAAGGGUGGGGUUUAUGAAGGGAAAAGGAUUUUACUGGUUAUCCAUCUCAUCGAUAUCACCUGAUCUUAUAGCAAUACUUCCAUGGAUAUCCUUUAAAGGAGACGGCGCUUGUAGUGUUUAACCUUUUAUCAAACUAUGAAAAGGGGAACUGGUUAAAGGACAAACGAACGAUAAAUUAAGUACAAAGCUGAACUACAAAAUGAAUGUACCUCAAUCACAAUAUUUUCAUAAGCUUCCUCUGGAAGAUAUGUAAACGAUGUCCCACUAUCUAUCAAUGCUUUAAAACUUGUCUGCUUGAGGCACGAAUUCUCAAUACAACAUGCUUCCACCCCAACAAUGUAGGUUUCACUGAAAGAUUCAGGUAUCACAAGGACUUCAGUCGGCAUAUAUAACAAAACAUGAUCAUCAUAAACAUGGAGAUAAUUCAUUAUGGUAAUUACUAUUUCCCGUCUAAUGGCACAAAUGAAGUUGUUUGCUGACUUGCAGGUCCCUCGUCCCCAAAAAAGAUUCUUCCAGAUCCAUCCUCAUUAAAACACAGCGAGAAGGAAUUCUGCACCAAUUCUUCUUUCGCAAGGGAACUAAGAACAGAAAUUUCUCCUAACCCUAAUCCAAAAAGACCAUCUGGAGCGACUCCACUUAGAUAACCGCCGCUUUGUUUCAUACCACACCUGUAUUAGAGAGCAAAAAUGGGUAAUAUAAAUACAGUAUCCUUCCUUAUUGCUGCAGUUUACACACAGCAAACAAUUGGAGGAACAAAAUGUAGGAACAAUGGAUCAUACCCUAAAAUGACAGGAGCCUGAAUCGUACAAUUAGAUGAAUUCUCACAACCGGAUGAAAGAUGCAACACAUCCUGAAUUAGUAGUCCUGAACUUGAAGUAUUUUCAGUAAUGUAGUCAAUAACAUAAGGACAUGACUGCUUCGGACUUUGGCAGCUUUGGCCUGAGUCGCACAAAUUAUGGCUGCAAGAUAUAUGCUUGCUCGUGCUUGAACUGGAUGGACGGUAUUCAUUGAGAUCUUUAUCCUGCAUUAUAAAUAAUGCCCCAAACAUGAGGGAGCAGGAGCACCUGCCAAUCAAUCAUCGGAAAUAAGUGCUAAACUUGCUGUCUUAUUAAAAAGACUUCAUAAUCCACUAAUACAUUCGCGCCAAAAAUGAGUUAGCCAAUCUUUCAUCUCCGUCUCCCCUCGGGCAUUUUUUAUUUCCCAUUGGAACUGGCCAUGCCUUUCUUUUCCGCCAAAAAUCACUACAAGACUUCGAAUUCCAGAACACAAUUUGUCCAAGCAUAACCCUUGAUCUAACGGAAAUAAAAAGGCAAUAUGCUUGGGUAUAAAGCAUAAGUCGUGGAUUAGAAGUAAUUAAUGUUUAUGUGGAAAGAACAGAUUCUGAAAAGCAGGCCUACCAGACUGCCAUAGUAACUUGCAGACAAGGGAGCACAUUGUAUGCAAUUACAAGGAACCCAAAGUAGAUCACUCCCAGCAUCCAAUGCAACCAGAAAAGAAACACUCGGUGUCCCGAUAUCAAUCCAGGUGUAAUGCAACCUAUAAUACGUAAACAACAAGAUGAUUUACAAGUGCAUAAGAUAACAUUUUAUAACACAAAAUUUUCUCAUAAAGGUGCCACUAUGCAAAAAGCUAUUAGAAGAUGGUUUUUUUUCCUUUUUUGGUGUGUGGGGGAGAGAGAUUACUAAAAAAAAAAAAAAAAAAAAAAACAAACAAACAAACAGAAAAGUAAUGCAAAACGGAAGAACAAAAAAUAGCAAGAACAAAAAGGAGAAGGAAGGAAGAGUAACGGUGACCAGCCAAAAUCAUUUCCGAGCGCAAUGGUUUUACUGCCUUCAGACGGGAAAAGCAACUGAAACCGAGAACCAAGCUUCAUCUUCUGCCUCCGAAAGUCACCACUAACAAGCUCCUGAUAAUACUCCAUACUCCCCUUCUCAGGCCAUGAUACUCGUACACUCGUAUUCGUACUCCCUGAAGCCCUAAGGGCCUUCAUCUCCUCAGAGAACCUGUGAAGUAUCCUUGAUGUGAACGUAAUAGACACCACCUGGUGAACAAAAAUCACCAUCAGCAGCAACAAAAGCAGAUUCCGAAGCGACAUUGCAACUCAGUCCUUGAAAGGACGAAGGAAGUAGCUCGAAGACGAGAUCUGGAGGUUCAGAAGAAACCCACGAACAAUUCGGAGCUUUAGUUACCCGCCGGUGAACCAAAAUGAAAAACAGAAACAGAAAGAAUCUGAGGGGUAUGAAGAAACCCAAGUUACGGGACAGAGAUCGGAGAAGAAGGCGAACGAGUUACGACGGAAGUAGGAAAGAAGAAAUGAAGUGAAGUGUAAAGAAGAAGCGAAGUGAAGUGAAGUGAAGUGAAGUGUAAAGAAGAAGCAGAGGGAGGGAGGGGGAGAGAGAGAGAGAGAGAGAGAGAGAUAGAAGAGGGCAAAAGAAGAAAAGGAAGGGGAGGAGGAGGACAGAAGGGAUUUGUAAUACACGGGGAAAAUAGCGCGUGUUAUAAAAUAAUUCCUUUUCAGUGUGUGCGCGCCCGUAAGAGAGGUUGUCGUUUUCUUAAUCACCGUUGGAUACAUUUCUUCUGCCUCUUUACUUUUCUUAUUUUUUCGUUUUCGUAUUUUAUUUUUCAAAAUAUAUCGAUGCUUUUGUAAAUUUUUUAUUUAAAUAAAGAUUAAAUGUGAGCUACUACUUUUAGUUUCGGAUAUUUGGACUUUUCAAAUGAAAUAAAUUAAAAUUCAAAAUAAAGGAUAAAUAAACGAAAUAAAUUAUUUGGAGAUUUUAUAAAAAAAAUAAGUUCAGAUUUAUUUGAUUUCUGUGUUCGAAUUAACCCUUUCCAAUAUAAUAAAAAUUACAAACAUAACAUAAUUUAGAUUUAAUUUUUAAAAUUUAUUAAUACAUUAUUAGAAAGUUAAUAGAUAAUAACAACAUAAUCUAGUGAUUAAAGUAUUUGUUAUUUUUAAGAGUAAAAAAAAAAAAAAAGUUGAAUUUUCUACAUUUACAUUUAUUGGUAAGAAAAGUUUCCUAAAGCAAACAUUCAGAUAGAAAAUGUAUGCCUCAAUUAUUGACAAAAUCAAGAAAAUAAAAAAGGUAUCCCAAUAAAUCCCUUUCAUGAUUAUUGGUGGUCUUGCAUAAGAAAUGUAGUUGGGGAUAAAGUUCUAUUGAAGAUAGGACUCUUAGGUAGAGAGACCAAGACUUACUAAAAUUGUAUUUGGUCAAAAUGUAAACUUUUGGUAGGUACAAAAUCUCCACUCUUCUUAAUUCAAUUGGUCCAAAUUAAAAUGUUUACCCAAAUAUGCAUUGCUCCUACUCCUAACUAGCUAAAAUGUUCAGCUUAAGUGACUGGCACUUAACAUCUAUUUUUGUAGGUGUGAGUAAGGUUAGCCACAUACUCAUGUUCAUUUAGUAUUUAUAUUCCACCUUGGUUCGAACAUUUUACCCUAUAUGUAAAUAGUUUCAAAACUUUUGACAUUAAAAAAUAUAUAUAUUUUUAUAAGAAAAGAAAUGAUAUGUGAAUUAAAAGUGAGGAGACCUAAUUGAAGGGAAACAAAGAAAUUGAAAGAUGAACUUUGUGGAGGCACCACACCAAGAAGGUGGUCCAAGAAUUACUUACGUGUCGAUUAAAACUAAAAAAGCGCAUUCAUUCUCAUUGGGCGGCGGCCCUUCACUUGCGAAUUUAAAUGAUAAAAUUCUUUUAAAUAAUUCAUCGCAUUACGUUUCAAAUUUCAAACCUAUCCUCUAAAUACUACCAACUGCUGGCAGUGGCAACCCACUCAUUGUCAUUCACCUGCAGCACUUUUCACUUCUGAUUUCUGAAUAUGAAAACUCCAAACCAAACCAAACCAUUACUAGAAAGAAAAAUUAUUUAUUUCAGGGUAUCCUAAUAUAUAAUUCACAAGUUCUGAAACGAGAGAAAAACUAAGAAAACAGAGAGAACGUCCAGAACAUGUGUUUAUAAGAGGUUCCUAUGCAUACAUUCUUUUUAUAAUAAUAAAUUCACACAAUGAGAAGUUACAUAAUUACAUUAUACAUUACUUUUCCUCAAAAUUGACAAGCAAUUGAAAUCAAUGAAAUACAAACAAGACCAAACCCAGAAAAACUAGUGAAAGGAAAUUUCCAAUUUUCUAUUUAUAAACUAAAAAAAAAAAAAAAAAAAAAAGAGAAAUCUGGAAAGUAUAUUAUAUACACUAUCAUGAUAAAUGCUCAAAAUUGAAAAAAUAAUUCCGCAAGGGGAAGGGGAUGGUCUCCUACUAAUGCAAUGGUGUAGCUUACUUGUUAGACCACUGAAAUUCUAUUUCCAAAUUCCGAGGACCGCUUUUGCUUUCAGGCAACAGGGUGUACUCGCCGGCAACCGCUCCCAACAUUACAACUUUGUCAAUUUGAAUUGUUACUUUCCCGAAAGAGCUCUGUUUUUGUUUUAGAGUACAUGAAAAGAAAAUUAGUUGUGAAGCUUUCAUAUGGAAACAAAUGAAGAGAAACAAAGGAAACUUAAAUGAAACUCGCCUUCCCCAUUUUGCUUUUGUUCUUGCAAGAAAUAUGAAGCUUCUGGCCUUUCGGUGGACUCUCAAAGGACCAUGCAAAAUUCUCAUCCCAUUCUGGAUUUGGACCGGUUGAUACAACCUGACCAAAAUUUAAAGAGAAGUUACAGUUUAGAAAUCUGAGACAAAUUGGGAAAAGGAUCAAAGAACAAAAGAAGCGAUGAUAAUAUUGGUUAUGAUGGAAUAAAAUAGGACCACAAAUUUUCUCCUAAAACCGUUCUGCCAGUAAAAUUUUAAUAAGAUACGGGGGCAUUUCGUCCAUGAACUGUACAAAAGAAUUAUUCAAACAUGGUGCAUAUGCAGAUGAAAAAUGAUAUAUGGAGAUGGACCACACAUGCGACAAGAGAAAGGAACCACACUACUCCAGCACACAACAGACUAUAGUUCCGAUAAUUAGUUAAACAUAGCCACUAUAAUUGACUAAUAUAUAAAUUAUCUUCCAUGGAAUAUUUACAAGUGUAAAAACUAUGAAUAAAAGGAAGAUGCAGAGAUGGAGUACAUUACCUUUGUUUGCCUCGGUGGAGUAUUGCCAAGGGUGAGCUUACAAAACACGCUGGGGUUUCCUACUGACUGCUUCAUGUUGUUGCCACGUUUGAUUAUAACUAAUAAUGUUCCUGGCAAGCACUGUAACAAAAAUUCAGCCUUCUCCUGGAAACGAGGAGGACCUGACUGAAUUAGAUACUGAAGCAAAGGAAUGGCAUCUGCAGCAGCAACAGACUGAGCUCUUGAAACCUCCGCUGGACAAGCUGACCAAGCUUGCCUCAAAAGAAACAGGGAAUCUAACGCAGCUUCUUGAGUUGCCUCAGUACCAGUCUUUAAGGAUGUUACUAGAUGAGGAAUGCUGAGUGUAGCAGGCUCAGUAGCUCUCAAUCGUGGGAAGUUGCUGAAAAGAGAAUUUAGGGCUUUCAGGUAUUCCUCAUUCACGGUUCCAGUGGCCCACAAGUCCUUUUCAAUGGCAGCUGCAAGACCAAAUUGUUAUGACACUAUAUCUUCCGAGGCAGGUAAGUAAAGUUUAUUAGGCAAGCGUCUAAGAAAUUGUUGUAAAAGCAGAUGAUUAAUUCUAGAAUGCAGUCUCCCAAGGGGAAAAAAUAAAGGAAAACAUUCAAAAAUAUAUUCAAUCGUGUAGCAGAUGUGCGGAGAUGAUUGAAAAGGAAAACCCAAUUCUAUCAAUGUUAUUAUGCAUGUGGAGGGUUUAGGGAAAUUACCAGUGAUGGCCCUAACUGUCUCACUGGAUGCGUAUUCCUGAAUGGUAUGAUUUGAGAAAAGGAGUUUAAUAAACAUUGCAGCCUGCACAGAUGUAUCUGGAUCACUGGAUCCAAUUAGGUCCAAUACCACCUGAACACCACCAGCCUCUGCAACUGCUCUUUUGUUUGAUCGACUGUACAUAACAAGAUUUUGCAAGGCACAUAUUGCUACCACUUUCAUUUCUUCUGUUGGUUGGUCCUCAAGCACAUUGACCAGAGCACGGCAAGCUGAAACAGCAUCCGUGCUUCUAGCAAGAGCUUCAUUCUGGAACAAAUCACCAAGUGCCAAAGUUGCCAGCAACCUUGGCUGUUGAGCUUGAGUUUGAGGAUCCAAGAGAUACUGGGAUAAUGGUACAAUUGCAGAUUUAGUAACCUUGGUUUCUCUGAUCUUCACAUUAUUAAGAAGUACUUCCAGUAGUCUAGCUGCAGUUUCCUCACAUUGAUGGCUUCUCAGAAGUUCCAACAGUGCCUCAAUUGCUCCACUUUCCGCCAUUGCUUCAGCACUCGUUGCAUCAUCACUUUCAAGUACAAGUAAAGCAUUCAGUGCACCAACCACUGUGCUUUCCAAUCCAGAACGAAGCAACCUGACCAACACCGCAACUGGGACUUCCAGAUAAAAUUCAGAACUGAACUGUAGAAUACUCGCUAAUACAGUGGCAGCAGAUUCCCACAAUGAAUGAGGAAGUGAAGGAUCAGCUUGCAGAAUGACUUUGGAUAACUCACUGACACCACCUUCUUUUGCUAUUUCAUUUGGCCACGUUAGUGCAAUACUAACAAGAGCCUUGACAGCUCUCUGCUGCAAGAUUUGAAUACCAGAACCAAGUACUCGUAUUAGAGGACCAAUCACUUGCUGCGUAACUGAGUCCUUUUGCAAAUGUUCUUCCACAAGUAGGUGUGAUAGGAGCUCAGCUGCCAAUUGUUGCACAGCUGGAGCAGGGGAAUCAAGUAAAGGAAUGAGGGGUUCAAUUGCUUGGUGACAGGUCAAUGUAUAGUCAGCACGACACUGAGGAUGCUCUAAUAUAUUAACAAGAACCUGCAGUGCACUAUGCUGUCCAUCAGGUCCAAAUUCUGGUCUUGUCAACAAUAGGAAAAGAGGUUCAACCACUUUUGCAGCAGAUGAUCCCUUAGCAAUGUUAGCAUUAUUAGUCAGUAUACGUAGCAAUUCUGCAAAGGCUGAACAAAGAAAAUCAGGUGCUUCAAGGAGGAUAUCCAAAAUGCUUUCAAUUACUCCAGCUUUUACCAUUUCCAUCUUACAAGCAGGUCUAUCUUUUCCUAACUUUACAAGUGCUCUAGACACUGCUUCGUGAAGCAUGAAAUUUCUACCAUAGAGGAGGCCUACAAGAGGGAUAACAGCUCCAUGUGCAGCAACUAGUUCUGCUAGUUGUUCAUCAUCAACUAGUUUAUCCAAUGCACGGACAACUGAUUGUUGAGCAGGACUAAAUUCAGUCACAAGAAGCGAUACCAAAGGCUCGACACAUCUCGCAGCAGCCAUUGUAGAUCUGAUUCUUGUAUUUCCAAAAAGUACACAGCACAACUCAGCAGCAUCUCCCUUCAAGUCCAUUGUACAAUUUGUUGACAGAAUUUUGCAAAGGACAUCAACUGCAUUCAUUUCAACAUCUGCAACUGCAAGGGCUCUUGAUGGGUUUUCACUUAAUAAACGAACUAAAGCAGCAAUGGCAGCAUGUUGCUCCCUCUCUGAGCCAGUACUGAGAAUCUCAACUAAGGGUUGCACAGCUUGUCUGGACGAUUCAGCAUUCCUAAUAUGGUCAGCAGAAAAGAGGCUCUCCAAUGCUUUAGCAGCACUAUACCUUGCACCCCUUCCACCCAAACGCAGAACUGCUACAAGCUGACUGACAGCACCAAAUGCGGAUUCAUGCCUACGUAUCUCAGAACUGCUGAAAAGAAUUCCUAACAAAUCAGUAGCAGCUUCUUCAGUUGCAUCUUGUGGUCCAAGUGAAAGAUAUUUGGUCAAUGCUUCCAAAGCCCCUGAUUCUACCAUAACAAUCUUAUUUGAUGGGCAGUCUUUCGCUAGCUGGGUCAAAAUUCCAAGAGCUAGAAAAGGUGCUCCUGGGCGAUCAGGAAUUGGUUUUAAUAAAUCAACAAGAGCUGGAAUUGCUUUCCGAGAAGUAGCACCAGUCCUUAUGUCAUCUACCCGAAACAAUCUCUCCAAAGCAACUUGCUCAGGGUAGCGAACCAGCAUGAAUUCUUCUGACAGUUCAAGAAGAUCAUAUAUGUCAGCAUCUGCACACCCAAGUAAAGAUAUUAAUCCCCCUGCUGCACCAGAGUUUGCAACUGACAGCAGGGUACCCCUGCUACCAUUACAAACUAAACUUGCAAUGGCCUGGGCUGCAAAAUAUCUAUUUGCUGGCUCCUCUGCUUUCAGUAAAUUUGCAAUCACUGGUAUAGAUUUCAUGGUUGCAUGUGCUCGUAUUAUAUCCCUGUCUUGAAAUAGAAUUGCAAGCAAUAGAGAAGAUAUCCAUAUGCUGCUGUCUUCUUUAAAAUCAAUCUGUGUAAAAAUUGAAUAAGCAAAAGAAAAUUAAAUGCAAUUAGUUAUGAAACCACAAUGAGUAAAAUAUCAAACAAAGGACCAUAAAUCAUGGAAAAACUAAAGGAAGGUAAGAAGUUGAGCACCUGAGCAUACUGUGAGGAAUAAUUGGAUAUUCCCUCUGUGAGAACUUCAACUGCUCCAGCCUCCAUGAUCACAGUCUUACUUCUUCCGUCGUGGCAGGCAAGAAGACAGAGUAGCCAUAUUGCGAGGUUGACACCAUAAACAACAGCAGUAGCUUUAUUGCAUUCUGUACCACAGCUGCCUUCUUUGGGAAGUCUAUAUAUGCUGAUAAAUUCCUUAUCAGUAUCACUCUGAUUAUCCAGUACAGAACUCUGCGAAGAGCUUAACAUUGCAACAAGAGAUUGAAUCAGUAGACUACAUGAACUUGAUGCGUGAAGAUCUUCCAACAGCCUGUGGUGAUUAACAUUAGCGGCACAUACGAGAAGGGCAGUUCCACCAAUUUUGACCUUAAUGUUUGUGGAAUUGAUCACCCUCGUAGAAACAGAAGCUAUGCAUCCAGAUGCAGUAACUACUUCUUCUCCUAUAACACCAGGUUGAUCCCGGCAAAGUCGUGCUAAUACCUCAAUAGCCUUGUCCUGUAGUAUAGGAGUUGCGUCAGUAAUGGAUGCAACUAUUGGGGAAAUGCUUUGGGGGAAUUCAGCUAAGACUGCCCAUGCAGGCUUCAUGGUCCCGCUAACCCCUUCAGAUCUAGAUAAAAUAGCAAGAGCAUCUAGUGCUUCAGAUGUGGAAACAGUUCUGGUGUCUGCAGAUCCUAGAAAUGAGACUAAUGCGAGAACAGUUCCUGCACUAUUCACACAAUCAGUGAUGCUAUGGUCAAUUUUCCGAGAGCGAAGCAAGCGAGCAAUUCCUGCUGCUGCAUGUGUCUUUCCAGACAUUGUGCCUUCACGCAAAACCCUAGUGGCAGGCAAAAUAAUUUCUUCAGUAACAGCCUUCUCUUGGACUUCACUAUCAAGUAGAAGAUUUGCCAGAGCACAGGUUGACAGUUCUGUAACUUCCAGAACUGCAGACUUUGCAAGCACAACUAAGGGAGAUAAUACAUCUCUAGCAGCAGCAGCCACGUCCCUGUUCUCCUUGAUUGACAGAAAUAUGGCAGCAAGGCACCGGGAAGCCUCUGCCAGAAUACUGUCGGAUUCAACUUUAAGUAGUUUUAUGACUGAUAAGAGAGUCUGAAUAGCAAUGCUACUUUCACGCAAGUCUUUGCGGAUUUCAAAUAUUCCAGCUAAAGCUGAUGCAGAUUUGGCUUGGGUCUCUUCUCUAGUAGAAUUCAAUAUUUUAAUCAUGGUCUCAAUUGCAUCAUUAGCAGCAGUACCUUCACGCACAAUAUCAUUGAGGGGGACCACAGAAAGCAUACUUCUAAGAGCAUCCAAAACAUAGACUUUGGAUUCUGGUAAAUCACUGGUUAAUAAUGCAGUAAGUUGGCUGAUGGUUGCUGUAUCAGAUUUAUGAAUCAAAUGAUUCAAAGUCUUUGCUGCAAUUUCUUUUCCAUUAGAGCUUCCAUUCUUAAGCAACCACAGCAGUGCAGGGACAGCAUCAGCGCUUUCAACACAUGCACGUAUGUCUUCACUGUGAUUGCAUAAGUUUCUAAGAAUUGUUGCAGAAUCUUCUUUUGCCUUUGCAGAACCAGUCUCUAGAAUUUGAACUAGUGGAGGUAUGCCACCAGCAGCCGUUAUAGCCCAUUUACUCUCAUCAUUUUCGUUCGAUAAAAGACAAAGCAAUGCAACCGCACAUUCCUGUUGCUGCUCUGAUGAGAGUCCAAGAAGUGAAAUCAACAGCUGAACCCCCUCACGACCUUGCAGGGCACGCCAUAGACUACCUUCAUUGUUGCAAAGGGUAAGAAGGGCUCUUACAAGCUCUUCCUGAACUUCAUUGGUUGCCAUUGUGAUCAAACCAACUAGUAAACGUUUUGCAUCAGAAUUUGCAAGUUUGACAGCAAGUAUGGGAUUACCAUACAAACUAGCUAAUGCUUCUAUAGUUCGUUCCUGCACAAGAAAGGUUACACGGGAUCCAAACUGCUUUACUAAAGUCUGUUCAAUAAUUAUAGGAUCUGAUGCUCUGGUGGCUUCUUCUUUGCUAUCAUAUAUCAUAAGAGCUGAUGCUAAAGCCCCUAAUGUGUCGGCAGUUUGAGCAGCUGAUGAGCAUGCCUCAAGGCUUUGUCCAAGGCUUGAGAUAACAUAAGACAAACCACCUGAAAUGUUUGCUAAAGCACACAUAGCAUUCUCCUGCAAUGCCUGAGCAUACUCACCUUGCAUGAACUCUUUCGAGGGAGCUAUUGUUGCAUUUAUCAAGGCAGGGAUACCAUUUGAACUUGCUACCUCACGCCGUGCUUCUUUGCACUGAGCAGAAAGAGAUUUAAGAGCACCUGCAGCUUCUGCUCUAACAGAGGCUUCAUUUCCAGGUCCUAUUAAUUUGAGGAGCUUUUUCGUAGCCUCUGCAGCCAAAACCUUGGAGCAAAAAGAUGCAUCUUCCAUCAUCACAUGUGCCAGGAGAAAGCACACAUUUGCUUGUGUAUUUGGCUCUCCUGUUGCCAAUAAAUUCACAAGUAUGUCUACACCGCCUGCAUUUAUAGUUGCAGACCAAAAUCCCUCAGUGCUGCUUGAGAGGUUUCUUAAAGCUCCAGUCAGUAAGCCAACAACAUUUCCAGAUUUGAGCCCAUUGUGUAGCUGCUCCCAAAGUACCGGAACAACUCCCUCAGUAGAAAAUAUUUUGGAUCCAACGUGAUCCCUAGCACCACCUUGGGAAACAGCAUAAAUGGUCUUUGCAGCAGCAAUUUGACCCUCUGACGAACUUGAUUUGAGGAGACCAAGCAAUGGGGGGAUGCAUCCUCCAAGUAGAACCUUUACCCUUAAUUCAUUUUCCUUGCACAAGGAACCUAAAACAGUAGCAGCUUGUAUUUUCACCCCAAGGGAACCUGAACGGAGAAGAGAAACUAGUACUGGAACUGCUUGAGAGUGAGAUCCAACAGCACUGAAUGCACUCUCACGUGUAUCAAUAAGUUCCAGCAAUUGCCUCAAAGAAAAUUCUUUCUCCUGCACAGAGGAGGAACUCUGCCGCAGCUGCUCAAUGCAUUGAGCAACACUUGCGAGUGUCCCAUCUGGAUCUUCCAUGCUAUUGCGAUCUCUGCAAGACAUAUGAUCAAAGUAAGUCAUCUGAUCUGGGUAUUAUUGUUCAGCGAUACACAAAUUGAACAAUAACACUUGUAUUUUACUACUUGGAUCGACUCACACAAAACAAGACUGAAUUAUAUGCUAUCCUCAUUUACUAUUGGACUCAUUCAUCAUAUGCUGUCCUUUAAGGAGGCUUGGGCUCUGGAAAGAUGGGGAAAAUGAAGUUCAAACUGAAGGAGAAGUGGACAGCCAACUAAAAUUUAUUAGGUCCAUUCACAUCCGUGUUCUUAAAACAAGACAACACACACACAUACCUAUGUCAAAAAUUAAAUGAAAAAAAUGUGGAUAUGGUAAAACCUCUAAAAUAAAAUAAUGCAUGCAAGUGAAGUGUAUACAUAAAAGCAUAUUGGUUAUCAAACAAAAAUGAGUCUUUCAUAAAUGCCAUGAAAUGACAAAAGGAACAAAAAUUAUACAUACAAGGACAGCCAAUAAAUAAAACCAUAUGGAUUAUCCUUAGAAGUCAGAAUACACAUCUUCCAAAUAUAACAUGAACUUGUUAAAAAAAAUGAAAUAAAUAAACAUUCAACUUUGAUUUUACCUGGAGCCCAUCUUCAUAAUAGAAUGCGGAGUAGGAGGCUCUGAAUCUUGAAUUUUUCCAUCCAUGUUUUUCUCCUACAACAAUUGAACACAGAAAUGAUUAGUACAUAACUAACAUAACAUGUACCACAAAAUCGAGAAAGUAGAAUACUUUAAAGAAAGCAUAGAACUAUCUUAAGCAGCUUAUUUUGUUUUUCCCAAUACAUAAACACUAAACAGGGUACAUACUAAACCACUCGUAUCAAAUUGAAGAUGACAUCCCAAAGAAAACUGCAUUGACUAAGAUUAUCUUUGAAAUUCAGUUAACCAGUCCAUCCGUCUGUCCCCUCUUAAACCUCAAACAAUAUUGAGCUUAGACAACCAAAUAAUUAAAAUAAGCAUACUCAUGAGUCCAUAACCCAAUUUUCUUGAUAUGCAUCAGAAUCACACUCACACAUGCUCACAUUUAAAACAACUAUUGUUUUCAUAAGCACUCCAUGCAAGAAUUGGUAAAGGGAAAAUUAAUUUACAAAUCUAAUGACAACAUUUAAAUAGAGGCCACAAAAUACCAGAUCAUUAGUAGGAUGACUGCUACCGUUGCUGGCAGCUAGUCUCCAAGUUAGUGUCGCCGCCAGUUUCUCUUCCUUUUAAGUUACAAUGAAGAUGAAACAGAACGUCAGAAUUCUACAGAUCUAUGAAAGAAAGGCAAUUAAUAGCAUAGCAUUCUCCUGCAAAACAAUCAUGAAAAAACCAGAUCAGAGACAAUGAUUAAAAUGCCGCGAAUCCAAAUAUUUUAUAACACUUGAACCGUUUCCAUACAACUAACAAAUAAAUAACAAAACCAGAAAAACAGCGAUGCUGCUGAAGUAGCGGUUCUAAGACUAAUUGAGCCAAUUAAAGUUCUUCAGGACUAAUGUGAAAUUAAUUUCACAUCACGCAAGGACACAUAUAAACUGUCUAUACUCCCGACACCGCCUCUCUCCAGUAAAUCAAAUUCCAUCAACAAUUAAAGACGGAAAUGAAAUCAAACCAAGCAACGAAAAUCCACAGAUUUACAUAAACACCGACCAACUAAAAUAAAAAUGACGCAGAUCCAGCAACAAAGAAUCAAAGUACAACUGAUUUAGUGAUCAGUCAAACAAGUCUAUAAAUGCACAACACAAAUAAAGUAAAUUAUAAUAGCAUUUGGCUAAGGCAAAAUCGACAAAUCGAAAACAGGAAUUUCAGUGAAUUUUUUACAUCGUGGCCAAUGCAAGCAGCUCAAAUCCAUUUCAUGCAUCAGAAAGAAAAUGAUAGAGAGAAAAAACCAACCUAAGAAGAGACUGGAAUGAAGAGCAAGUUUCUUACAAGAGAAGCGAGCAUAAAGAGAGAGUGAGAGAGCUUAGCCUCUGAUUUUCCUUUUUUUCUUUCUGGUGCUGUUGCUCUCUCUCUCUCCUCUUUUUUCCUCUUUCUCUCUCUAAAAAAUGGGAAUUACGUCUCCGAAUAUACAGAGAUUGGAACGGAACCAAGCAGGAGACAGCGAUGAAGCUUUAUGAGCUUUUUCCACAUCCACACUCUCACUAAUACACCACCGACAAGCUAAGCCGCCGCUUUCCCGGCUAACCUCGGCUCGGCUCACAUAUUCCUCCAUUUUUUUCUUCAUUUAUUUUACAAAUUAUAAUUGUCAACCAUUAAUUAAUUUUUCUAACUCUCUCUCGUCUUAAAAAUAAUAUAUAAUAAUACUAAUUAUUAAUUAUUAUUAUUAUUAUAUAACUCUCUUUCUCUGUCUACAAUUUAUCUCGUGGUGACUUUACAAUUAAUUGAGUUGAGAAUUUCUUCUUUAAAAAAAAAUUUGGCUUGAAUUAUUAAAAAGUAGAAAAAGAAAAUUAAAAUCAAGAGGAUGAAUUGAAAUGAAAUGAUACCUUAUCUCUCUCUAGAAAUGUUUUAUUAUUAUUUUAUCAUAUAAUAGACAGGUAUUGUGGACAGUGAGAUACACCUAAUAAAGCUAAAAUAGAUUAUAUAAGAUUUGUCUAAUAGUCCCUCUCACUUAACUGAAUUUGAUUUUCACUCCCUAAUCAAAAUGCAUUACGCAUCCCAAAAUUGAACCCAGAAAAUAUAUAUAUAUAUAGAAUUCCCCUUUUGUAAUUAAAGGUUAUACGUCUGAAAUAUUUUACCCUCGAUGAUAAGUCAAUUUUUAGUUUUACAUAUUGGUGAAGCACAUGAGUUUAAUGAAAUUGUGAGUAAGAUUAUUGGGGAAGAAUGAGAAAUUUGGGAGGCAGAUAAGAAAUAGAAAAGACUUGAGGGAGGAGAGUUUGUUGGUAAUUGUGAUGAGAAUGAAAUGAUUGGGACUGUGUAGCAGCCGGUAUGAUGUUAUGAACAAUAUUCUCUGGUGAUUUAUAGCGACAUUAUUUGUAGUUUUGUAUUUAGCUGUGCUGUCACCUCCCACGUUCUUUCUCUUCAUUCAGCUAAAACUAAAACUCUCUCUCCCUCUCCAUAGCCAUGCCCCAUGUUCCGUCAUCUAAUCUCUUCUAUGUCUAAUCUCUCUCUUUAUAUAAUACAUUAUAUAGCUGUUGAUUUGGCAACAAUUGUGAUUAGGGAUAUAAGACCUCCAUUAUGUGAUAACAGUUGAUUAAGACUGUAAUUUGGAGCCAACUAAAGCAAUUACACGAUGAUUUGGUUCGCUGUCACUUUUUAUAUUAUUAUAUCCAAAGAAAUGUGCACUCUUUUUGCACAUCAACGGGCAAUCUUAUUUGAAAAGUAAUAGUAAUAAUAAAAACAAAAACAACACAAUCCAAGGACUGCCUAAAGCUGAUGACGGUAAUUUCAUGAUUAAUUACAAACCACGAUGGGAGAAAAAAGAUAUUUAUUAAUUCUUAAUCCAUCAAACUUGGAUUUGAAGAAUCCGAAAGGACACUUUAUUAAUUGGUCAUCUUCUAUUGGUGCAAAUAUGGAUGAAAUUGCCAGCUAAAGGGGCCGGCUUUGGUUGGUAUGUUUAGAAUUUUUUGCAGUACUUUUAAAGCAAUAUCGAAUUUUAGAAAAUCACAACUUCAACUUCACCUUACCCUUUUAAAAAGAGAGAAAAAAAGAACAGAAAAAAGAAAAAACUUGGUCUUGCCCAAUCCCAUCAUUUCCACCAUACAAAUUAGAUUGGGCCAAAAUGGAGAGAUUACACACCUACUAGUAUUAGUACUAAUUAGAUAUCAAAUAAAAAUUAUGAGUAAUUAACUAACAAACUUAAUCAUCCUAGCACAAUUUUGUCACAUUUCAUUUUUAUAUAUAAAGUAGGUUGUUAUAGCACUCUCAGAAGGUUAUCUUGGAUGAGGAUUUUUAGGUAAGGGUGGAUUUGACUAAAGAUGUUGAACAGAAGCAACAUGGAUUUAUGAAGUCCGAAUUUAUUGGAAAUAUCCAUAGGUUUCCUACCACAUCAAAAUUACUGUUAACAAGCUCCAAAGUGUUAUUAUAACUGAGGUUUUCUAGAUUCACUAUUUAAACCCCACAACAUACUAGACUUGAUGCCAAACUCAUGCCUCAAAGGGCCCCUCAAAUAGUAUCCUAUAUUAAGAAUAUUUUCCUCCCCCUAAUUUUGAAAAAAAGGGUCCGACAAGAAUCAUCUAUUUCUAAGUAAGACGAUUUCUUCAACGAUUUCUUCAACAAUUUCUAAUAGCAGAUCUCCGACAUGAGAAAUGUAUAUCCUUUGAGAAUAACUAUUCAUAAACGUAAGUGCUGAAAGCAAAAUACUACCGCCAAGGUCCCUUCAACCAGAUCUGGGAUAACCACCAAACAUGCUUAUAAUCAAACAUGUUAAUGAAAAGCAAUGCCUUUCGAAGCAAAGUAAUAAAAGUGCCUCUCAAGUGAAAACAAGAACCAGGUAUUUGCAACUAACCCACUUUGACAAAAGGUUGCAAUAUGAGUUUGGCAUUGGCCUGAGAAGUGCCCGAAUGGCUGCAGUUGCUGUUCUUGGCGCUGCAGCAGAAGUAAAAUCCGUUACAAAAUUUUUUAUCAAGGUCAAUACAGAAAGAAUGGUGCUAUCCAAGAAUCGUGCGUUCCUCUUGCCUGAAAACUUGUGAUCUUUCUGUUCCCUGGGUAAACAUAGAAUUUUAGAUGCUCUGUAGAUAGAACCCUCAACUAAGAGGUGCGACAUGAAGCUAAUAAAUAUGUACUACAAAAAAAAGCACACAACCAGUGCCUGUAUACCGGAGACAGAGAUGGCAAAUUACUUUGAGGUGUUAGGUAAGGCUUAUUGAUGAGGCAUAUAGUUGAAGCAGGGUCAGGGCUUGCUCCGUAAUGGCUCGAUUUCUUGCUUGCCUUACCCAAUCAUGAACUACCUCUUCUGCUUUUGUGCCUUUAACACCUUCUUCAAGAGAAUGUGCUGCUUCAGCCAAGUUUCCUUCAGCCAGGCAGGACUCCACUCGGUUGAUGAUAGAUUCGAUCCCAGUACCAGAUUGGUCAGCCUCCUUCACCUAAAGAAGGUCAAGGAAAUUUCAGAAACUACAGCAAUAGGGGAGAGUAAAUGGGAGAUUUAAAGUUCUCUCUAAUUUACCUUAAUCCAGGAUGCUACACGAGCUAAAGAAUGUGCCAAAAUGCCACCACCGCCUGGUGGGAUAAAGCUCAAGUGCCGUAACGGUGCUUUUAAUGCAUCAAACUGCAUGCAAGGAGAUGAAUAAGUUAUAAGCCAGAUACUUUCACCAUCAAAGAUGAACUAGACUACCAAACAGUCAAUAUUGUACAACAAUAUUCCAGAACGAGUCAGAUUUGAUAAAAUCAAAGAAUUACGACGGUUUGAUAACAUUCAAUACAUUUUUGGGGGAAAGAACAAAGGUAAAAGAUAAUAUCUGAUUUCCUCCCCAUAAAGUAAUUCAUGUUGACAGAUAUGGUUGAAAGUAGUAAGAAUUUCUUCGAAAUCAACAACAUUGCUAUUCAAGAACUUUUUUUUUUCUUUAGUUGCCUUUUCUCGUACUUCCAAAUUCCAUCUGACCUACACCAAACUUAAACAGCUAUUCAAUCACGUUUUCACUAAACUUUUGUUUUAAAAAAACAAAUAAUAACUCUUACCAAUGCCAAACAGCCCCACGGUUUUUCAGUAAAGGAAAUGACACUGAUUAUAAUUAGGUAACCUUUUGAGAGAGAAGUAUGCUACAAUUUAUCUUCAAACCAGGGAGAACUUAAUGUACCUUUUGUGUCAUCUGUAACAACGUAUCUGAGCCAUGAUUCAAUAUUUCUUUAGGAAUGGAUGAAAGGAUCAGCUCUAAGUUAGAAUCUUUGUCAAUGCCUUGAAGAUUAACACGUAAUGCUUUUAUUUCAGCCUGGAUCGGUAACCCUCUGGAAAGAGCAUCUUCAAGUGCCAGUGCCCCCUAUAAGAUCGAUGACUUAUAGUUGAUUAAACACUUUGAGAUAAAUUGGAUUGGCUAUGCGCUAGCAAAAUAUAAAAAGGAAAAAAUAUGAUUUACAACCAUGAAAGUUCCUGAGACACCUUGUACUUGAGCACAAUGCUCGUUGAUGGAUUUAUACAUAUAUAAACUUUCUUGACAAAUGAAAUACAAAAGCAAGGGUUUAAAAAUCCUUAGAAAAUGCCAAGUUUAUAAAAAAUACUCUACUGCAGAUUCAAGGGAAGUUUUGGAGAAUUUCCUCACUCUUAAGUACAAUUCUCUCACAAGAUAACUGAGCAAAAACGUACUUCCCUGGCACUUUCUUACUUACAGACUAUAUAUUGCUCAAACCAAAGCUCAUUCUCACUAUAUUCUCAGGGGCCCAUCCCUCUAACUAACUAAUAACAAUUUAAUAUUCCUCAACUGCCUACACUUAUACACAUGCUUAAUGGGGGGGUCUAUCAUAGACUCAUAGUCAGCACAAAUAACCAAAAGAGGCUAAUUACAGAAACCUCGACUAAGGAAUCUCCAAUUGAAUCUUACAGGCUAGAACAUCCACCCUUGACAAAAGAAGAGAAUGAGAUUAUUCAAGCAAGAAUACUAUGACAAGCAAUUUUACAAUGUCAAAACCUGUCUUCAUUCUAAGAACAACCUCGGAUCUUAUUUUCAAAAGAAGCCUCACAAAACGUAACUAAAAAAAAAAAAACAAAUACCGUUUCCAAAUUUCAGCGUACACCCUAAUUUUAUGUUUUUUAUGGAAACAUACUGGUUUCAAACUUUCUAAAAUGCCUACAAAUAUGUAUGUUGUUGCGGAGAGACCUAGAACUAUUUUAACCUGGAAGAUUUUAAACGUAGUUUAAUCCCAAUGUUCAUCAGUUUCCCUGUUCACAUGCAAAUGAUGUAAAUCUGAUAGAAGAAUGAUCACCUUCAAUAGUACCCAAACUACUAAUAUUAGAUGCACAAACGUGCACCAGUAUGUAGGAAGACAAAUCUUUCUCCAAAAGUAAGUUUAACUUCAGUUUCUUCUAUACUACAAGUAAGAAAUGAAAACAUCAAUAAGUAGAAGUGCGAACUUACCAAUGCAAGUUUCUGAGCAGAGUGACUUUGACGAGCUUCUUCAGACCUUGCAUAGAAUGCCAUGCAAAGGGCAUUAAUCUGCAAAAAGAAGUUUCACACAUAAACAGAUUAUUGGUGGUAGAUUGAUUGCCUGGAUUCAGGCCAAAGGACAUGGAGCUAUAUUGGAACAUGCACAUCAUUGACAAGAAAAUAAACUAUUAUAGCAACAAAAGAAUUGCCAAAUUGAUGUACAGUUGACGUGUUUCUUCAUUAUAGUGUAAAAUUUUCAUCAAGCAAUGUCCAUAAAAAUCGGUGAGCAUCUUUCAUCCUAUGAAGGAAAAACUUCCCCCCGAAUGGUGAUAUCGUAAAUGAAGAACUAAACAUUUUUUUUCAACUUUUUUUUUCUUGUUAUGAAUGUCAUUUUUUAAGGAGGCAUGUUAGGUCCUAAUAUUAUCUAUAACUUCCACUUUGAAUAUGCAUGAUGUUUUUAGCUCAGGUAAAUCAAUAGCUUGUGCUAUAUUGCUUACAUGAAGAUUUGCUUCAGCCAUUUUUUCUAUCUGGGCAGCCUUCUCACUUGCAAUUGCUGCAGCUAACUCUGCUUUUGCCAGAUCUUGAAGUUUUCUCAACUUUGAUUCUAACUCAUUUUCCUGCAAUGAAAUCAUUUUUAAAAGUAUUGGUAAAGGGUCAGCAACUUGAGCUUGUUUGUCAUUUAAGAAACACUCCUACCUUCUGUUCAAGUUCCUUCUGAAAUUUAUCUUCCAAAUUCUCUUGUAGUGACAUCAGAGCAGCAGCUGCUUUUGUUUUCUCUCGUUUUAACUCCUGAAAAUAGUUAAAAUCCCAAGAAGCCAAUUAUAAGAAUGAGAGAAACACAACAACAGUGUACAGAUGUACGCUCUCUGUUCAGAUGAUACAUCUAUAAGAGACUCCACGUGCGUAAUUCAAAAAUUGAGAAUUCAACCUUGUCCAACAUAGCAGCCUUUUCUGCAUGCAUAAAUUCCCUAACCCGAGCAUCCCUCAAUGCUUCGUCCAUCUUGUUCUGUACAGAACAGAAACAUAAAUCACAGUCAAUAAUAGUCGCAUUUCAUAAAAAUUACAAUCGUUUCACGUACGAUAUAAAAAAUAUCUAUCGAUCCAUACCCACAGUGCUGUCUUUUCAUCAGCAAAACGACGAUAAUCCAGCUCAGCUUGCCGCUUUUCAGCAGCAUGAAUAGCUUCUAAGAAAUCAAUGACCAAUUUCCCAUCCUUGGAUAUGAAGCCAUCAUUCAACUCCUCAAUUUCAGCAAUUAAAGCCUGGCAUCUUGGAAACAAAACUUUAGAUCUUGUCUAAGACUCCUUUACUCAAUUCCAGAAAAAUGGACAUCCAUCAAGAAGAAGGAAAAAGUAAAUGACCUCUGUUCCUUUGUAAAACUUGUCAGUUCCAUCUUUGCUACCACCACCCAAGGAAGUCAUGCCAGCCUCACCCUUCAAAUGGUAGGCCUCGAGAAGAGAACUUGGCUCCCCUGUAUCUUCACUUGUAUCAUUCAACUCCUGGAUAGAAUACGAGCAGAGACAGAUUCACUUUAAGUUACACAUCUUUACUAGAAAUGAAUAUAUUUGGAUAAGAGAUUAAUAUAUUUAAGAAACAAAAGUUCAGAGAUGAUAUCCUGUGAAUCUAGAAUGUCUAAUUCUAAUGAACCAAUCAUCCUCAUCAAACUUCAUUUCUGGCCCGAAUACUAUUAGGCAAGGGAUUCUAGGUACCUGGUAUUUUUUCUAACUUGCCUCCUGUAAUAAACGUUUCAGUAAUCCCUUUCUGACACUGGAGUGGACGAAUAAUAAGUUGGAAUAGACCAAAUAGGUUCGUCUGCUGUAUGAUGAGAGGCUAGUCAUCUUCUUCAACACCCUAUGCAAUAUUUACAAAUUUUAACCUUCUUAUUAAUCCAUAAGGAUUAUAGACCUAUAAUCUGGUCUCUCCUUCUGCAAAGUCCUCAUCAUAUUUGAGAAGAUUUUUAUCAUGAGAGAUGAUGACUUGGUUUUGCCACUAUCUUGCUAACACGUGUUUCAGUUUCACCCACGUAUCAAAGAUAAGGGGGUUUGGACAUUUGAUUGUUCCAAGUCUUUCUCUUGUGAGCUGGUUUCUGGAAGGUUACACUCAUGAAGAAAACUAAAUUUUGCACGCUUGAUGCCUGGUGAUUUAUAGGAGGAUUAAUCCCAAAUCUCCACAGGUGUUCCUAUUUUACCAGUUAAUUGAAGAUUAAGAGGAUCUACACAUUUUUUUACUUUUCCCUUUUCCCAUAAUGAUUUGGUUUAGGUUUUGCAAUUGUUUGGCAUUAUUUUGGCCCCAUUUUGUAAUUUUCAUUCUAUGAUUGAAGAAGUUCUAGUAGAUCCUUCAGUUCAGGAAAGAGAAAUAGACAAUUGUGGUGGCAGGUUUUUAAUCAACAUAAGAUAUAUUUGGUAGAGAGAAACGUGAGGAUGUUUCAAUUAAGGGUCCUCAGAUAAAGUGUAGCCAGACUCAAAAUUAAGUUCCUCAUAGAGGAUUUUUUGUUGAAACAUUUUUAGUGAUUUUACUCUCAUUUCAAUUACCAAUAAUUAUACCAAUUUUUUCUAACUGUUUUCCUUCUCAUAACCCUUUUAUCUUGGCGUGGGCUUUUUUAUAUACAGCCUCUGUUUACUUUCUUCCCUGCCUCUUAAUAUAAGCUGGUUCACUAUUAAAAAGAAUUUGCAUUGAGCACGUGCAUUGUAUUGUAUGACUUAAACCUUCAAGCUACCAUUACAUCAACAUUUGAUCUGAAUGGAUAAAUUGAAGUUACCUUCAGUUUCUCUUCUGCAACUGUAUCUUCUUGUGGUGGUAUUCUGAUAUCAAUCUGUGCGGGUUCUGCAUCUGUCUUGCUAGAUAUUGGUGAAGUUUGAACUUCAUCGUGAGGCCAAUCCCUAGUACAAGACUCUGCGCUUUGCAUGUUCAAGUUUUCAUCUGUGGAUAUUUUAGAUCCAAGAUUCUCAUCCUCUACUUGACUGCCACUUUGAGUAAAUUCUGGCAAGUUUUCCUCCUCGAUCUUUUCAUGUGGCAGUGUCCUGGAACUGUCUUCAAACUGACCAUCAUCUUUCUCUUUUCCCCAAUCUUCAAGAUGAGGAAGGUGGGUAUCUGUCUCAACUUUCUGCUCAGUAGACUCCACAAUGGGAUUUGAGCUCUCGGUUUCUUCUCUAACACUAUUCGAUUUUUCGGUUUCCUCACUACUCGGUAAAUCAAAUUUCUGCACCACCAAAGGUUGGACAUUGUCUGAAUCACUUUUCUGAACUGUUUUAGUUGACUCUACAGAAGAAUUCUGCUCUAUAUCAACAGUUCGUUGGUCUAGAUAGCCGGCUUGGUAAGCUGCAAAAACAGCAGCACCAAUAACAACACUGCCAAAGACAACUUUUGGGAUGGAAUUUCCAGAAUUAGGUGGCACAUUUGUAGGUUGUGGUUUCAGAUUUUGUUUGGGCGCAGAUGAAAAUUCCCUUAUCUUAGAAAUACAUUGGGGUGUAUGCCAACAUUGCACCUGCAACAAAAACCUGUCAAAGAAUCAGAAAAUAUUUGAAAAAGUACACCAUUAAACCACAAAAAAUAUCAGGAUUGCAUAGUUUGGUCCCUAUAUUUUAUUAUAGACUAGUUUUGCAACACACUCUGUUCGUCCUCCCAUUUCAUUUGUCUCACAGCUUUUGGGCACAGUAAAAUUAAACAUAAGAAUAGAAACAUGUCAAUGGGUUUAACAUUUCUUAACACUGUCAAUUAAUUACAACAGCAGAAGAAAGAAUGGUAUAAAUAGAAAGUUCGUGUAUGUUAUAUGAGAAGGCUUCAAGUAGUCAGUUAAUAAAGACAGCACAACUGCAUCACAAGCACGUAGCAGGCAGAUGAAAAACUAUAUGCAUGUCUUUGCUCCCAAGUCAAAAAUAAAUUUCCAAGCAUUUAUUUUGCAGAUGCUCGUACUACCAAGAAAGAAUAGCAUAAAUAGCAAUUUAGUGUAUGUUAAAAGAUCCCAAUGUUGUACAUUUCCACCCAACUGCAUCUACGAUAACAUAUGUGAAGAACCAAGCAUGUGGAUUUAUAUGCUUAUAAGUCGAAUACACACUUCUCCAAAUAUCUGUUUGUAAAUUAUCUCAGCGUUUGGAUUGUACAAAACGAAUUCUGAUCGCAAAAAUGGGAAAGUCUUAUUUACGAAAUUCUACUUGCCUGGGGUGAACUCUGCCUCGGAGUCCUUCCACCAGAUUGACGAGAUGAUAAUUUCAGAAUUGACCUGCAGACAACAAUGCGAUAAAAAUACUAUCUAUAAGCAUCACCCGCUGUAACCGAACCCAGCGAGAUCCAAAUUCAUACAUAACAUGGCCAUUGACAUUGAGAUUUAUUAUCAUUUAUUAGUAGAAAAUUCCUAUUGCUGAGAAUGCCAAAUUAACCCUCGGGAGAUUAAAGAAUAAGAAUCUGGCAAUUUUCAACCAUUCAAGAAAACACUGCACUCGAAGGACAAUCGAAAUGACUAAUUAACGAAGAACAUCAACAUCACGAGCAAAAUAAAACAUAGUUGAAACAUAGUUCAAGAACAUUUCCGUACCUCCGCCACAUAGCGUAUACCUAUUCAGUGAAAACGGCGAGCGACGAAGAUAUUUGAGCGAAUAACCAAGUAAGCGAUUAAAUGCAAGUUGGGCAGUGGGUGAUGGAAAGUCCGGCCUGGUAGGAGGGUGGAACAACGGGUUCGAAAACUCAAAUUAACAAUCGGUUUACCGGAGGAAGAUCGCCGGAGACGAAGGAAAACAUCCGAUGACACCGGAAUUUUACCGCCUAAUUAGAUGUGUCCGACCAUCCGCAAGGAAUUAUUCCGCGAGUUGCAAUAGAUUCUACAAGGCCCAUUUAUAAAGUUGGGCCUUGAGCCCAAUAGAUUUGUAGGAGGUUGAUGAGCUGGGCUGAACGAAUCUGACAAGACUGCCCUUAUUCGGGUCCAUUGUGAUUCUAAAGGUAUGACUCGAUCAAUACUUUGUAGAUGUAAAUUUGAUAGACGAGCUAGUUUUUUUUGCAACAACAAAUACAGCCUUCUUUUUAAAUCUCAAUUGAAGCAAGGUAAUCUUUUAUGAUAUAACAUACGUGUAGACUUGAUUAAAGAAACAAACAAAAAAUUAGGGGAAAAAACUAAAGAGAUUGUAUUUUCUUCAACUCAAAGUUUCCCCAACUAAUAAUACUGUUGUUGCUAGUUAGGUUUCUCCCACCACAAGAACUGAUAAUGAAUUUAAUAACUGUAAAAAAAUAAAAUUUGGGAUAAUUCUUCUGUAAUAGUAUUUCAAGUGACCGAUACCGUUUUAGGCUAUUUUUAAACAUAGCAUAAUGAAUAAACAUAUAUAUUACACCAACACAAAUUACUAUUUUGUAUUUAUCAUGAUAGCAGUUUAUCUUGGUAUAUCACAUGUAAACAGUUAUAUUUUUUUAUAUUCAUAAAUAUUAUAAAAAAAACGUGCAUUAAAAACACUUUAUCCUUUUUCAAAAGUAACAAUAAUAAAUAUUUUUCUCUAAUAAUAUUCGAAAUUAUUUCACAACCUUUAAAGAUUGUGUGGAUUGCCCAUGUGUUCAAGCAUCUUUAUGUCUAAAAUAGAUUCGACUUAGUUAAACUAUAAUUGACCAAUCAUUUCUCUCUAACAGUCAAUGAUUUGAUUUUUCAUUCUAUGAAUGUUGAAAACAUAUACAAGGGUGUAAAAAUUUGUUUAAAUGAUAAAACGAUUGAAAUAUUUACAAACAUAACAAAAUUUAAUAGUUUAUAAAUUUAUCCGCAUCCAUUUGACAUUUAUUAGAUAAAUGAUAAUAAUCUAUCAACAUUUAUUAUUGAUAUUUUACUAUAUUUAUAAUUUUUUUUUGGUUCAUAUCACUUUAUAGGAAGUGGUUAUAUAUAUAUAUACAUACACUUAAAAGCAUCAAAGUGGAGUGGUAGGGGCCAUGUCACAUGGGAAGAACAAAGAGGCAUCCCAAAUUCAAAGAGUGAACCAUGCAUGUCAUGUCACAUAAAGCAUUAAUUUUCUUUUAUAAUAUUUUGUUUCCUGUUUUUAGUUAAAAAGAGAUAUUUGAGAUAAAAUCCCACAAAAGUGAUAUCUAAUGAAUUUCACUAUCAUAUCCAAAAACUCAAUUAUUAGUUUUCAAAACGCACACACACACAAUUAUCAAAAUGUUUCUAAACAUAUAGAAAAAAUCUACUCACGUUUUUAUACUAAAAUUUCUUUUGAACAUUACUGAGGUUGUCUGUCUCUAAUGGGUGAAUUUCUUUGACAUACUUAUUUCAUUCUUUCAGCAAUCCUUCAAUUUAGAAAUCUAAACACUUUCUCAGAGCUAGAGAUGCAUCAAUCAAAGACUAAUCUUGACAUUUUUCUAAUUCUUUAUUACAAAUUACCAUAUUUUUCACCAAAUAUAGAAUCUAUAACCCAACUAUUUUUUGCUAUUCAAAAAUCGUUUAGAGAGAAAUUGCACAAUUAAGUCCUUGAGGAAAAUCGGCAAAUGGUACAUAACAGCCAUGAGGGUGGAAUAGCUUCCAUAUGAGAACCAAGGCGAUGGCUUCGUUUUAAGAACAGCGGCGACUGUCUUCUCGGCAAACUCGGCAGUAGGGGUGGCGUUAGAGCCCUGCGAGGCAUUGGCCCUGGCUAACAUUGCAGCUUCAAAGGGCUUGAAUAGCUUCAACUCAGGCAUCUGAUUAAAGUUGGCAAUGGCAGAGUUUCCAAUGUUUGAUUUAAUGGCUCCAGGGACAACGUUGAUAACGUCGAUUCCAAAGGGCUUCAGCUCCAUCCUUCAAUGAUGAAAAUAUCGAUCAAGUCAACCAACAUCACAGUGUGAAAUAAAUGCGAAAAUCAAAUGAAAUAUGUCAGCAAAUUGAAUUGGAUAUUCAUUGCGUUUAUUCAAGUUUCUAUCAUGGGCCGUGGCCCCCUAAAAAGCAAAAAGAAAAAAGAAAGUUUUAGAUUUUGAACUUUAAUGUCUUGGAAUAACUUUUCUAAGCAUUGAAAAAAAGAAAGUUUUUUUGGAGGGGUAUUUUUUUGCACAAGAGUUGAGAGUAACAACAUAGAAACAGAAGUAGAAGUGUGGAAUGGUAAACUUCCCCUCUUUAUUUAAACUAAAAAAUUUGUAGGCUUUCACAACUAAAAAACAUCAAUAACCCGUACAUUUUACUCCCAUCAGUUUACAAGUUUCUAGUUUUCAUAACUCACAACUUCACUCUUUGCCUCAAAGAUCGUCUUAUAAAACAAUGUUCUAUAAAGUCAUUUCAAACCGACUUUCAUGAAGAAAUAAGUUGUCUUGAAUCAACAAUAAGUAACCCAUAAAAAUAAACCCAGCAGAAAAAGAAAUAUUUGCUUACCCAUCAGACUUUUGUGGGUUGUUUCUGUUUCUACAGUUCUACUUCAGUGCAUUGUAACUUAAUAUAUUCUAUACAUAUCUUUGAGAUCUUUGAGCUGCUAAAAAGAUACACUAGAAAUUCAAUAGGACCCCGGCACUUAUUUUUCUCAUAUGAAUACUCAAUUUAAACUUUAAGCAUAAAGGUCUCGAACCCACUACAUAAUCAAACAAGCAAAAACAUCAAAAUUUCAAAUCCAACUAAAAAUUAUUCAAAGAUAGAUAAACAAAGUGGAAUGAUGCUCAUCCACUCACAAGAAUGGCUACAAGAAUCGGAACUCAAAUCCAUAGAAAUAUUAAUUUAAUCCCUUGAUUUAAGGUAAGAAUUGCGGUUGAAAGUUAAACUCCACCAACGAGCUUUAUUUGAAUUUUGGUUCUUUAUUUUUAAAAAUUAAUAUUUAUAAACCCUAUUUUCACCUCUAAUUUUCUUCCUAACUCGUUUCUAAAAAAUCUAAACCACUCAAAAACCAAAAAAAUAGUUUUAAAGUAUGUCUGAAAACUUUUUAGUUCUUUUGUUUUUGGUCCUCGAACAAUGGAUUUGUUCUUUUAACAACUUCCCUGUCAUACUAUUUAUCAAGAAAGACCAAAUUUUCUUAGUAAAUUUUCAAAUUGCAAAAACUAUCUUUCUUUACUUUUCAAAAUUUAGUCUUGGUUUUUAGAAUUGCAAAUUGCAAAAACUUUCUCUACCUUUCAAAACUUAGUAUUGGAUUUUAGAAUUAAUGAUAAAAGGUGGAUAACUAAAUAAAAAAACCAAUAGAUGAAAAGUAGAGAGUUUGUAAACUUAAUUUUUAAAAAGCAAAUUGCUAUCAAAUAGCUUUAGUAGUCAACUUUCAUCCCAGAAAAAGACUAGUGAGGUUCAAAUUAACUUAAUAAACUAUCACUAGCGAGGGUCUGGAAGAUCGAGAUAAUUAACUAAGGCAAGGCAAAACAUUUCGUGCAUGAUCAGGAACACAAAACAAUUGUUAAUUAUACCAUUAGAUGAGAAUCAGAGAGGUAUAUACGAACCUCAGACAGUCAGAAAUGGAAUGAAUAGCAGCUUUGGAUGCAGUAUAAGCACCAGCCCAUGGAAGAGGCGCCAAUACGGUGACACUUCCCAAAUUCACAAUCUUCCCCUUUCUUCGUGAUGCCAUGUGAGGAACCACGGUUUGAAUCAAUCUCAUAGUCCCUGCAAAUGCAAUUCUCCAAUUCAUAAAUACUAAUUUAACAUAAUACAAUAAUCCACUCCUUUCCAUAUUGGAGUGUUCAUGUUCAAAUUUUCCCCACCUCUAACUCUGCUUUCUACAUUUCACAUACCAAACAAACAGCUUUGUUUCUAACCAGUGGCGAAUCAGAAAUUUUAUUGACUAAGGCUUUAUAGACUAUUAAAAAUAAUUUGGAAGAAAAUAUAACUAAUAGGACUUGAACCUGAGUAUAGAGGGACUAAAUAAUUUCAUUGUUCACCAACUUCUUAAAUUGGUACUAUUUCAGUUUUCUAUAUAUAUAUAUUGUAAUAUAAAGAUCUUAAGUUGAUGGAAGAAAAUAUAACUAAUAGGACUUGAACUUGAGUAUAGAGGGACUAAAUAAUUUCAUUGUUCACUAACUUCUUAAAUUGGUACUAUUUCAGUUUUCUAUAUAUAUAUAUUGUAAUAUAAAGAUCUUAAGUUGAUGGGACUCGAGCUCCUGUACCUAUGCUAAAUCCACCCGUGUUUGCCAGGAAUACAAUUAUAUACAGUAGCAGAAGCUGACGAACACAGUAGAGCAGAAGAUAGGAUGAUAAAGUCUUCAGCGUUUAUUUCUAACCGACCACUGGAUCAAAUGUUAAUCACAAAACAAUAUCAAACUCAAAUCAAUUCGAAAUCUAAAUAAGCGGCUCAGUCAAUUCACAGUUUCUAAUCCCUAGAUUCGAUAUCAUUCAAUUCUGAAGGAAGAAAAAUGAAAUGGCGAAUCUGAAUAUUGAAAUACAAUUAAUUUCGCUGAUGGAUAAUUUGUUAGAGACCGAAGCUCACCGAAAACAUUGGUAUUGAAGGCGUUCUGCAUAGCGGAAAGUUGAACCUCGGCAAUAGGUCCAAUACAUUGAACGCCAGCGUUGUUCACCAAAAUAUCGAUUCGACCGAAUUUUUCGAUGACAAGAGACGUUAAUCGCUCGACGCUUUGGUCGGACAGGACAUCGAGUUCUUGUAAGAAAAAUCUGGGAUCGUGCUCCAGGUCCGCCAUUGAGGAGCGGGACCUGCUGGUUGCGACUACCAAACAGCCCUGGUCGGCGAAGGCUCGGGCGAGAGAGUGGCCUAUGCCUCCGUCGGAACAGCCGGAGAUGACAACUACUUCUUUUCCGGCAAAUUCCAUAUCCUUUUUAUCUUCUUGAAAAGUGAACGAACCCCGCCCUCCUCCAAAUUAAACCGAUUGAUAAAUCGGAGAUUGAAGUGUUGGGUAGCUCCAAGUACAUCAAUAAGAGCAAUUGCUCACUCGUCUGCACCUAGGCCCUGAAGACUUCCACAUGGCCGGUCUUUGUGGUGCCACUUGGCAACCCCACAUGGACGCUUUCCCUUUUUUCCCUCCUUCAUUUACGGUUAUUGUAUUUCUUGGGUGAUUUUAAAAAAAAAUUGGGAUUUUGGUUUUAAAUUUAUACAUAUAUAUAUGCUCAAUCUCUUCUCUCAUUUAUACAACACUCUUUAUUUUUAAUUAAUCAAUUAAAAAGUAAUAUUUUUAAAAAAUUGAAAUUAUUCUUACCAUGUUUUUUUAUUUAUGUUGCUAAUUCAUUUUCGUUAACUUGUGUUAAAUUGUUUAUGAAUUGUUGAUAUAAGUGGUUGAAGUUUCUACGAGUUACGUGCUGGUUUAUAGGAGUUGAAUGAGUGAGCAUAUGUGAGUUUUGAUUUGAAAGUAUCUGUUGAUAUAUAAAAUCCUAAUAAAUUUUAAACCUUUACUAAAAGUAAAAAUUAGAUUCCUUUGUUGAAGUCCAUCGAUAAUAGACUAUUUUAGUGAGGAGUAUCUAUAAGUAGUAGAUAUGGUAGAAGUCUUUUGGUAACAAAGUUUAACACUUGAUUUUAUUUAAAUUGCAAUUUUGGUUUCUUAAAUUCAAACCAUAGUUGGCAUUGGCUCACCGUUGGAAGGACGAGUAAAUGUUUAACUACAACAUUUAUUGCAUCCUUUUAUUUUAUUUUUCAGUAUCCAUUGUUUGUUUUAUUUGUAAAUUGUGAAUAAAACUAUGGCAAGAGGUAAUUGAAAUGAAACCAUAGCAAAUUUUAUAGAAUUAAAAGCCGUGGCACAAUGCAUGCAUUCAUUUAUCUAAAUAAUUCAAUUACAUGAGUACAAAAAAUAAUACAUUUUUUAAACGUAAAUGUUGAUAGAUUUUCAUUAGUGGAUAGAUUCUCAUGUCACAUCAUACUCUAUAUCGUUCAUAUCAAUAAUAUAAAUUUUUCGUUGAUAGAUUUUGUUAUAUUUUCUAUUUUUUAAAAAUAUUAUUAUACAAUUGUAUACCAUCUCUAAUAUUAUUAUGCCCUCGAUCAUAUCAAUCACUUUUAUAGAUUAAAUAAGUAUACAUCAUUAUAAUAGAAAUAAAAGUUCACUUUGUAUAAAAUUGUUUUAAAUUUCAUAAUACUAUGCAUAGUUUAUAUAUAGUUUAGAGAAUGUGUUCAUGAUACAUUCACAAAUAUUUAAUUGAAAAGAAUGUUAUUAAAAAAUAUAUAAUAUUUGACAAACACUCAAAAUUAGUCUUAAAACAACAUAAUCCAAACAUAACCUAAAUGGUUUUACUAAUUGAUAAUUUGUUUGCAUUUACUUGCUCAAGAAGGCCAUAAGUUUAGAAAUCAUCCCUAGGAACAAAAAAACGAAAAGUUAGAAAUUAUCCAAAGAACUAUUUUCCAUAUUGUUUGUUGGUUCUCAAAAAAAUAUUGAUUAGGUUAUUACAUUUUGGGACAGCAUACAUCUAAACUGACAAACUAAAUUUAGUAGUUUAUUAGUCAAUAAUUGAGUAAUAUAUCAUUAUUGACCACAACAAAUAAUGGCCUACCUCUUCAAAACAAUACUUCAAAUACAAAGUUUCCCCGACAAACAAUUACAUCGAAAAUUACAUCGAACAAAUCCAUAUUUAAUCUCCAUUUUUUUCAAGACUUUAGGAAAUGACAAUGCUAUUCCCCCCAUAAAUUGACCUAUAUAGAUAUAGAUAGAUAGUAUUUAAUUCUAAACCCUCUUAUUUCUAUCUAAACACUGGUACCAACAAGAAGAUGCUGUCUCCUUAUUUCGAGAAAAAAAAAAAGAUAUUGUCGAUAUUGUCUAAAGUCUUCCCUAAACGUGAAUUGAAGAUAAAAAGACGAAAUUUAUCACUAUAAUUGAAGGGAAAUUAAUUUAGUUUCUAUUGUUUCAUAAGUUUAGAUUUAGUCUCUUUUAAGUGCAGAAAGUCUAAGAGAAAUCCUUAUAAUUGAAUGAAGCUAUCACAAAUAAUCCUUGUUAUUGAGACUAAAUUAUAGUUUUCUUAAGUUAAAGUGACCAGUUUUACAAUUUAGAAUAGGAUUAGAAUGUUGGAUCUCAUUACACCAUGGUUGUACUAAAAAAUUACAACUUUGUUUUCAAGAUAUAGGGACAAAUUCUACAAUUGAAUGCAUAAUUACUACGAAUUAAUUAACCAGUUCUCCCAUGUUCAGAAGUAUCAGAAUCAUUUUUUGACUUGUUAACGUGUUUUAAUGAACUAGAACUAUAUUUCAACAACGCUCCAAAAUUCACACCAAAAAUGGAGACGAAGAGAGAAAGAAGAAGAUAUAACCCAUAAUUUGUACCUUCCUUAGUUUGAUUUCUAGCCAGAUCACAUCACCGAAGGAAGUUCAAAAAUUUACACAAGACGUAGAAAAAGAAAAGAAAAGAAAAAAAGCACUAAAAGCUUCGACUCUGGCAUGAAAUUUCUAUUGAGAAAGUAAAAGCCAGAGGAGGCCUGUUUUCAGGAAUUAGAGGUGGCCUGAAGCCCAAAUAGGGUACCCGGAUGGACUUUUUUACUGGAUUUUCCGGCAAUUCCGCCGGCGGCGUGAUGGGAAGUUUUUGGAGGUUUGACGGAAUCUUCUCUCCUGCCAGAUCUCUCCUGCUCCAUCCUCUGCAGUUUUUCCUCUGCUUUCUUUUUCAUUACAUAAACCCUAGCGCAGCUAGCUCCCAUGGAGGACAUGGUUUAUACAGAAGAAAAGGAAAUGAAAUGAAGAAAUUUCUACAAAUGUUUCAGUGGGCUUUUAAUUUGUUCAAUCGGUGGGUAUUGAAUGGCUUAAACCCUUGUUGUAUUUAUAGUGGAAAACGUGUUUGGUGGCCUUGGUGUUUCGUUGGCCCCUAGCGUAGGGGUCAGAUAACCAUAACCCCCAUUUUCUGUACCUUAUUUGGAUUGGACAAUUUCUUUUUAUUUCAAUCAAAUUUAAAUUAAAUUAAAUUUGCAUUUUUGUUAUUUAUACAAUUUUGCGUUUAACUUAAUCAAUGUAUUGUUCAAAAGUUGAGAUCUGCAAAUUCAUUGUUUCUUCCAUUCUAAUUUACAAAGGAUAAGUUUUGUUUUUAAUUUGAUCUGAUUUUUAGUUUAAUUUUAUAGUUUUUAUUUAAUUUUCUACAAUUUAAGCUUCUUUCAAAAUGCUAGCGUAGUUUUAAUUUGAUAUGGUUUGUUUCUUUAUUAAACUUAUAUCACUUCAUUACUUAAAUAGAUAUGUCAUGUUGCAAUCAUGUGCAUAGUUUGUGAAGUAAAAGUCAUGUGAACUUGGUUAAAUUUGUUAUGAACUCAACUUAAAAUUAAACUUUUUUAUUUAUUUGUUUUGACUCCAAUAAUACACUUGCAUAGUUGAGAUGUGUUUAGAUGUGUUUUACUGUUCAACUGUAGUUAGAAGUUUGUAUCUAAAUUUAUACUACAAGACAAAAGAUUAAUAAAGCAAUUGAGAACACAAAUGGAUAAGCAGUUGACUUAAUACAACUCUAAUUAACCAUUACAAGAUCUAAAUUCUCCUAAUUUAAAUGAUACAAGCAUAACAUUGUAUAAAUUUAAAUCUACAACUAAUUUGAAUCUUUCCAUUUACAUUAUGAAAAACACACUAUAUAAAAACUACAAUCUUUCCAUUUACAUUAUGAAAAACACACUAUAUAAAAACUACAACAGUAUAAUUAAUGUUUGAAUUCAUAAACGAAUCGGUUUAUAAUUUUAAUUAGAGUUUCCUUUUAGAAUCGUCAAUAUCUACUUUAAUCAUCUUCAAACUAAUGGAUCGAUGAUUUUCAAAUGUAAUCAUACAUAGAUCAAUUAUCUUUUUAAAAAAAUCUACAAAGUUUGAUACAGUAAUAAAAAAGUUAAUUAUUAGUUUAUGAUUUCACUAAAUUCAAUGUUCAAUUUUGUUUAGUAUGAUACUUGAUAAAAGAUUAUUGUCUUUAUGGAAAAAGAUCACAUGAAUUAUGAUUAAUUAAAUGAAGCUGAAUUUCAAAUUAACCAAUUAAUUAAUCACAACAAUACAAAUGAAUUUACACUAAAUUUUAAAGAGGUAUUUAAAAAUGGGAAGAAAAAAGAGAGAGAGAGAGAGAAAAGAAUUGAGUAAUAGACGCUCAAUAAUGGAAUAUUUAAUUGGAAUCACCAAGAUGGAGAAAACGGUUGAAAGACAACUAACACCGUUUACCGGGAUGGUUUUUAAAAACACAAAGUACACAGAAACGAAUAAAACGGUGGGAAACCCCAAGCUCUGAGGAAAAUAAAAAAAGAAACAAUGGCUUGUAUUAGAUGCGGCACUCACACCACUCCAACUGUGAGGUCGCCCCACGUCAGCUAAAGAUAUUAUAGAUGGAGGCGGCCAAAGGUUCUGCUUACGUGUCUGUUGAUUAUUCGCCCGAAAUUUCCAACAUAACAAAAAAGUGCUCUUCUUUUUUCUUAAUAUAUAUUUUUUUAAAAUUAUGGAAAUUAAAUGUUGGAGAGAUAAGAGUUUGAUUGAGGUCACAAUCUGAGUCGUGGACCGUGAAGGCACCUUUUUUCUUUCUUUUUCUCUCUUUCUUUAUUUACUUUGAAUUAUUUCAUUUGUCAUUAUUACCUUGCACUUACAAAAGUACCUAAGUCUAUUUCUUCAUUAUGCACCCACUCAAAUGCGUUGUGCCGACGGGCUAAUUAACAUCACCAUUCUAGAUAUAUCAUCAAAGAUUUUCUUUAUUAUUCAAAUUCAACAUUAUCCAAGUACUGAACUUUUUCCCCCAUUUGACGUUAGAUACUGUGGGUACAAUUUGAUGUUAAAUCCCACUAUAAUAUUUCAAUUCACCAUUUGUUCAAGUGCUGAUUUUUAUAGGAGUUAGAAGGUUAUAUGGUUGAGUUAUGAAUGGAAGGAGGAGAAAGAUUAUAAUAUGAUAAUGAUUCACAAUUAUAAAGGGGAAAGUCAAAUUAAAGUAAAGAUUGAAUGGUAAUGACGAAAAUAAUAUAAUUUAAUAAUUGAAAAAAAGAAUUAAUUUAAGAAUGAAAAGGAAUUGGCAUUAUGUGAAGAUACUGAAUGAAAUGGAAGGGAUGGAUGAUGAAGGGUACGGUGGUUACGGAGUACGGAAAUUCCAUUAAGGUGAGAAGAAUCGGAGAUUGAGAUUAGGUUGUCUGCCUUUUUCUACUGUUUCGUAUCGUUUUUUGCUUUGAUGUUUGUCCUCACUUUUUAAUUCCUUUUUCUUUUUUAAUUCUUUUUUGGAAGAAAAUUCCUAAAGGUUAGGUUUAAAAAAGGUUAUCUCUUACGUCCCACUAAAACCGUCUUCGGCCGAAAGGCCCAUUGGUUUUUGUCUUUCUCGCUUGGGCCGCACCCAUUUUUCCACUUCUGACACCAAACUCUCUAAACAAAUACAGAACAAUUUUGGUGAUAAAAGUGUUUAACAUAAAUAUAAUAUGUUCGACAAAUUUUGUUAUAUUUUUAUUUUUAAAAAUGUUUUUAUAUAUGUUAAUGCUUUAACAAAAUUUGUAAAAUAAUAAUAAAAAUAUUUUCUCGAGAAAAUAAUAAAUAACAUUUUUUUAAAAGAUAAAUCAACAAAAACAAUAAGAGUAAUUUAGAUGCAUUGAAAGUGCACAAACAAUUUUGUGUAUGUCAUUAACUAAUUACUUCCUUUUGGUAGAAGAAGGACAUUUCUGUAUGUAGUUUUGGAUGCUUGGUACGCACAGGCAUACAUUUCGUUCUUCAACUCCAAAUGAUUUCGUAUAUGAAUCGUGUCUUUUAAACUAAGAGUAUAUGUGUUGUUUAUCUAAAUAGUUGAAGGUUGCUAAUGACAUUCUUCUUCCCUUCCUCAAGCAUGUAUCCUACUAAUUAAGACUUGCCAUACAUAUGUUCAUGCCUUUACAUUAGUAAAGGUCUAGGUUCCUUUCCCUGGUGAAAGACUUGAGGAAUUUUUUUUGAAAUGAUUGAUUCUCAGGUAAAGUGACAUCUAUUUUAUCUAUGUAUAUUAUCGAUUUGAAAAAUUACAAUGAUGGCCUUUCAACAAUACAAGUUAAAAUUACACACCUAAAACUUUAAACUUAAUUCAUCAUCCUCUCAAACUUACAAAGGUUAGUUGUUCGUGAUAACUAUUAAAAACAAAAAUGGGCCAUGCGUGUGUUAAUAAAAUGUUAGGCAUGAUAGUUGAUUUCAUAACAACAUAUAGUUAGUAAUGAAUGAACAAUGAAAAAAAUUGUUGUGUGUGACAGAAAACAAUUGUGAUUUUCGUAGUCUUAUUUCUUCAAUACUUUAUCAAGAAAAUGCCAAGACACGCGUGGUAACAGUUGCCAUUAAUUACCAACAUAAUAUCAAAUUGAAUUCCACCAAAGUUGUUCAAAAGUCAAAAAUUCCACAUUUUGAUUAAAUCCAUUGUUUCCGUACCCAUUUCUAAUAAUUUCGAAAGUUUAAUACGAAAGAAAUAAAUUAAUAUCAUAUUCUAUUAUCUUUUUCAAAUCUUCAAACAUUGACAUCAACAAUUUAAACCGUUCAUCCGAUUAGACAAAAAGAAGGAAUAUAAAGUGAAAUUUUGCGAUGGAGAGAUUUUGUUCGUUUGGGCGGGAGGGUUUGGAGUUAUUAUUGAUGGAAAGGGUAAUUUGAGUAAAAUUGUAAAGUUGUGGCGGGACGGAAAGAGAUGGGCUGACGUGUUGGUUGUGGACUUCGGAAUGGGUCCAAUGGAUCCAGUCUCCUUCAACUUUGUCGGCCCACAAUACUCUUAACAAUAAUAAUAAUAAUAAUAAUUUAUAUUAUUUGAUUAGAGCAGCCGUACGUCCACAGUAAAAUUAGGGUUGUUUUGUUGCUGUUUAUUAAUUCCAUCCAAUUUUACGUCUCUUUCUAAAACUUCAAUUAACACUCACUAAUUAUGUCAAUUUUAUAAUUGAUUUACUAAAACAUGAGAGAUUUCAAUGUUGAAUCAAUUAAGACUAAUUGUACUGAGAUUUGAAAGGUGACAUUAAUUAUCUAUCUGUUCUUUCCAUCUUGUAAAUGGUAAAUAUGAAAAUAAAGAAUUUAGUGGAAACAAACUUCUAUUUCACACACAUAUAUAUUUGGUAACAAAUUAAAAAAUCGAAUUAUAAUAUAAACAAGAUGUAUCGUAAAAAAUAACAAAGCGACCAAAUUGUACAAAAUCAAGUGUAGUAAGUUUUUGUCGUUUCCUUGUGCUAUGGAUUGUGAAUAGUUUAUUUAUUUUGUAAUCAUUUAAAUAAUGGUGUUUAGAUGCAUUUAUACUAUAUUUAUAAAUAAAUAAAUAAGUUAUAAUUGUGAGAAUUGUCAAAAAUAGCAAAUUUGACAAAAUAUUUACAACAUAUAACAAAAUUUCAAAUUCUACUAAUAAUAAACAUUAAUAGACACUGAUAUGAUUCUAUUAGUGAUAUUGAUAAACAAUUAUAUAAAUUUUUAUCUUGGAUAUAAUCCAAAAUUUUGCUAUAUCUUAUUAAUAUUUUGAUAUUUAAAAAAGUGACUGUCAUAGUUACUCAAUAAAUAUUGAUAUUUAUAAAUAAUAAUGUAUUAUUAAUUUAUUUACCAGCCACGUUAAGUAAUUUUUGUAAUAUCAUAUAAUUUAUAAUACAUGGUAUUUAUAUUUUAAUUGAAAAGAAUAUAUAUUGAGUUUAUAAAGUUCAAAAUUUAAAAUCAUGAUAGAACAAAAUUAUUAUUUGUAGAAACAAAUAUCAACAAAAUGUCAAUAAUUUAAAGAUUAAUGGGGGGUGGUGGUGGUGGUCUGGUUUUGGUAUAUUGUUUAGAAAAAGCCAUUUAUGGGGAAAAUUAAUUGUUAGAAAACAUGGGCUUAUUAGGAAAUAUUUCAACUCUCUUUCUUCCUUCUCAUUUCCCUUAUAUGUAGAGAUGCUUUUUUAUUACACCAACUUUGUGUAUUUGGAUAUAUUUGUUAAUGUAUUAAUUAUUCCAAUCAUUAACAGACAAGUUAAUAGAUAUAUAAAACCAUUCUUGUAUAUAAUAAAAAUGGCUAUAGAGUUUGAAGCAGCCUGAAAAACAUCUCAAGUUUGUAGAAAUUAAAAAAAAGAAAGAAGAAUAAAAACGAUAUUCAUAAUUUCAUAUUAAGAAAAGAUAAUUAAGUAUGGAUGGUCUAUGAGUUGGCCAAUCCAACAAGAGAUAAAUAAAUAAACAAAGGAGAGGCAAAGGGAUUGAUUUUCUUGGAAAUUGGGUAAGUUCAAAACCAACUCAUUCUUUUCCCCAAUCAAUUAUUAUUUAACGUCCCAAUUUCCAAGUUGAUCCAAACUCAAAACACAAAACCAUUAUCAUAUUUAUUAUUUUUGUUCUAAAGUUUAGAGUGUGUGUGUGUGUGACAGUAUAUGAACUGUAUAUUCAUAUCUUCAAAUUUGUAUUCAUAUAUGUUUUAUUUGUGCAGUUUUUUGCUUUCUUUAAUUUGUCAAUUUCACGACACCUUUAGGUUAAGAAAUCAAUGCGUCACACAAACCAAACUAAAAGAAAAGAAAAGAAAAAACUUAUCUUUGAAACAGUCAAAAUAGAAGAUUGAAAUUAUAACAAUAUAGUUUGAUUUAAUUGUCCACUUGAAUGAGAUUAAUUAAGACAUCAUAUUGCAUCCUCAUCUACGUCAACCAAUUAAAGCCCACGUCUUAAAUCGACUAAGAACAUUAAUGAAUUUAAACCAUGAUUAUUGUUUGGAAGAAAACUUCUUAGAAAUUUUUGUAUUGAUAUCUUUUGGAAAGUUAAACACAUAUUGGAAUCUUGUUUUAAUUAUUGUAUAGGAUGAUGUUCAACUUAGGUAUGAACUUUAUCUAAUGUAGUUUAAAGAAUAUGAAAUCCAUAUUUUAAUCAAAUGUGUGUGUGAUCUUAUCCAUAUUUAUAUAAAUAAAAUAAAUGGUCAACUAUAUUGAUCAUUUUUUUUUAAAUUACACAAAUUAAUAAAUAGUUGCAAACAUUGAAACACAUAUCGAAACGUUUUGUAAAUUUAAGAUAUUCUUUAGUAUAAAUCAUACCAUAUAAUGAGAUCGACGUUAUUUAUAAUUUCUUUCAGAUAUAUAUCUAAGAUUACUGUUACAUGUACUUCCAAAAGGAAAAAAAUAAACAACCGUAUUAAUAUUUUGAUAAACUAUUAUAUUGUCUUAACUAGUAGAAAACCAAAAAAAUUUAAUGAGUAUGUAAAAGUAAGAGGUCUAUUGAUCGUAGCAUAUAUGGUUUAUCGUUAAGUUUUAAUUACAAAGUUUGAUAUAAUUUCUUAUAUUAGUUUUUCUACCAAAAAAGAUAGAGAAUUGAUGAACUCAAAGGCUUUGCAGAGUAAUUGGAACGAAAUUAGAGGUUGGAAUUUAAGUAUGACAUCAAAAUGAAUACAUUAAAACCCAUUUUGAGCUUAUAAUCAAUUAAUCUAUGUUCAUAUAUAUAUAUAUACAGAGAGAGAGAGAGAGAGAGAGGAGAGGAGAGAAAGAGUAUGAUAUUUUGGUAUAUAUGAAAGUAACACAUAAUCAAUAAUUGAAUGUAAAAUAAAAUAAUAAAAGUAUGAUUAGGGAAAGAAAAUAAUAAUAUAAACGUUGGGUGGGGGUGGGGUAUCCUAAAACGGGGUUUGAGGAAUUCCACGUGUACCGAAGUGAGGUUGGUUGUAUAGAAAUUCUAUAAAUCCCGGAGUUUGAACAUUUUUGUAACUAAAGAAAAGGAAAAGGAAAAUGAAAGAAUUGAAAGGAAAAGAGAGAAUAUAGUGUAGGAUGAAAUUUUCACAAAGCUUAUAAAAUUAAAAAGAAUUGAAUUAUUGGGUAUCUAUCUCUGCCUCCUCCUUCUCCUUCUCCUUCCCCUUCCCCUUCCCCUUCCCCCCAUCUCUAUCCGGACGAAGCUAUGGGAGCUCUCUCCGAGUUCUUCUCCCACCUCCACACAAUGACCGCAGUCUUCUUCACCCUCUUACUUCUCGAAUUCGUUAUUCUCAUUCGUACCAUCUUCGGCUUAAGACCUAACUCCGACAAGCGCGUAAUCACGACCGCUCAGUUUUUCAAACUCAUCGAAGACAAGAAUCCCACCAUCCGUUUCUCAAAUAAGGUCACCCCAAGUAUCGCCGAUCAGUGUGCCGUUUGCCUCUCUGAAUUCGAGGAAGGAGAGAAGGUACGGAAAUUGCAAUGCAACCACACUUUUCACAAGGAUUGUCUCGAUAAUUGGUUGAAACUCUGUUUCGCUACCUGUCCGCUUUGCCGGAGUAAGGUUUUGCCGGACGAUAUCGUCGCCGGCUACCAUAGGCUUCGAGACCGUGUAGAGUACGACGGCAGUGACGAGGAGCUCAUCUUUUUGUUAUCGGCAUUACAUGGUAACAGUAUAUAUAGAUUUUUCUAGGGCGAAACACCAAUUUUAUUUUGUUUUUAAUCACAGAAUAGAAUUAAACAACAUAGAAUGUUGAUUUUCUGUAGAUUAACUAGGGAAAUAUUGUUUUUCUCCCCUUCAUUGACGAGCAAUAACGUUAAGGGAACAGCUCGUUUCUGGUUCGAUCGAUCUCUCUAGCUAGAUCGAGAUAAAUCUAAAUCGUGUAUGUUUCUCUUUACUUGCAAUUACGCAACCCAACUGUUAGAUGUGUUGUUUGCAUGAUUGCUUCCUACUCUUCUUGGUCAUUCGUCAACGAAUCAUUAAUUUUGGAGACACCCAAUUUACAUCUUGACGGAGACCCUUUUUUUUUUUUUAACCCAAUAACGCACUGAAAUCCUCACUAAAAUCAUCCAAAUCACAACAACUUUUUUCCAUCAGGUUAAACUAAUCCAAAUGAUCUAUUGAGAUCUUUAAGAUAUUGGAUGAUCGUCUAUUAGUCUCUCUUGAUGUGGGCUUGUUGUCUCCGUAGGACCAGGAGUUAUGGUGCGAACUUAAUUCUAUAAUUUUAGUGGAUGCGAGUUGGUGAUCUAAUUUAUGGUUCUCUUACAAUGUAAAUAGAACAUGGUAUGUGAUGGCAUUUAUUAAGAACAUUGAGUGAAAGGAGAAGCAUUCAAAAUUUGAUGGAUUCUCCCUUGAUAUUUUCAUGGGGAUUUAGGUGGAGAUGGUAGGAGAAGGACUUAAUGCUCUGUAUCUAAAUGCACAACAAACUGAUUGAGCUCAUUUUCUCUAUAGUUAAACCCCGAUGGCGAAAGUGAAAACUAAUGGAUUGUGUUUAGCUCACCAGCACAUUUAUCGAAGAAUAGGUUUGCACGUUAAUCGAAAAACUUCAUUUUACACCACUACAACCUAAAGACAAACUUACUAAACACAACAUAUUAACUCUAUACUUAAACAAACUUGAAAUGUUUCUCAUUGGGAUGAUCUGAAACUAAAGCCACAAGCCCCCCUCCCUUUUUUUUUAAUGUUUGGAUCUCGUUACUUCCUCGAAGCUUUUGAAACAGUUUGGAGUUUGUUUUCUUCCACUUUUGAACACCCACCAAAAGAUGAGGGCAACUGAGGACACGGUCUUUAAAGAACAGUGAUUAGGUGAGAUGAGUUGCAUUAUUGAAGUCAGUGUGUUUAACUUUUUAGCAUUACCAGAAUCAGGGGAUGGGUGAAAGAGGAGAAGAAGCAAAGCAAAAACAGGUUUUAGAUGAUGAAGCCAAAUACCUAUUUACUGUUGGUGAGAAUAAGUUUGUCCUAAAUGGGGUUGUGGGAGCUACAGUAGUUCGCAUGAUGUACUGAAUUGUUCUGUAUGUCGGACAAUAGCAAUAAGUUGAAAUGUUAAACAGGCAAAAUCUCGUGGUGGAGCAGCGGAGGGUAAUUCAUAAGAUUUGACAUUUAAUGUCAGAUUCAAAAAAGUGGAUGAACAACUUCAAUAGUAAAGUAAUAGUACCACAAACCAGAAGUAACGCAUAUGGGGGAGAUGAAUCCUUAUCUAUUUUGGAAAUGGGGUUUGUUGUUGGUUUGAUUCAUUCCUUUUUCAAUUUUUCAGGGUUGAAUUUUAUUUGGUGCAUAUCCGUUUCCCUUUUUAACCAUGGAAUAUAUUGCUGAAAAUAAAAAAUAUGACUCUGUUUAGGUCAUGAGUUGGUAAGAAAUUAAGAUGCAACAGAUUCGUUUGGGUAAGAGUAAUAUUUGAUUGAAGAUGUGCGCCCAUUUCUAUGUAUCUCUUUCAAUUACAAAACAAAGAAUGAUUCAAACAAAAUUAAAACAACAUGGGGUAUCCUAAGCAACACAUAUAUAUUCAUCUAAGUGUCCAAUCAUGGAAUAUGCUACGUAUUGUUGUUAUUCCUUUCUUCAAUCGUGGAAUACAUCGUGAAAAUGUUAAAGUGAGCCCUGUCUGUUUAGGUCAUCGGUCAUGAGUUUGGUUAGUAAAGUGCAAUUGAUCUCGUUGAAAAAGAGUAAUGUUAGGGUCAAGUGUUGCAUCUAGUUGUGUAGUUCCUUCAAUUGAUCCAUCAAAAGUUGUCAUGUAAUAAAGUUUCUUUAUUUUUGCUUAAAAAAUUAUUUUAAGCCUCUUUUUGUUUGUGAUGGAAGAAAACAAGUAUAUGUAUACAUACAUUUAUACACGAUAAACUUGUAAUUAAACAUUUGAAAUGCGUCUCACCUGGUGAGUUGAGUUUGAAUUGUGAAGAAAGAAAUAAUUUAAUGAAUUGAUUGAAAGCUACAUUAUAUAUAGGUUGGUUUAUUGAAGUCAUUAAAUAUACAUUAUACAAAGAAGUAAUCUUUUAAAAACACAUGGCCACCACCAACUCCUAUCUGUAAGUUUGGUUCAGGGCUCAAAAUUAGAGACAUUCAGGAUGAUCAACAUCAUCUCUCUCAAUAAAUACAAAUGAUUAUAAGUCGAUUAAAUCUUUCUUUCUACAAUAAGAUAGUUAAAUAAAUGAAUUAAAACUAAUCAUUAUUUUUGCACAUCAAAUCAACCACUAUCACAUUAAAUAAUCAAUAAAUUUGAAGGAAAAAAAAGUCUUAAUCAAUAAAUUUGAAGGAAAAAAAAGUCUUAAUCAAUAAAUUUGAAGGAAAAACAAAGUCUUCGUCAACUUUUAUAAUUGUAAUUUGUGUGGGAGUAUGUAUUUAUAAUAUUUGUCUAAAUAAAAUAACUAUUAAAUUAGCAAGGGUGUUUGAGAUUUAUAGUUGCGUAUUGAUUUUAGAAAAACAAAUUUAAGUACAAUUUUUCUUUUAUAAAAUUGAUAUGAAACUUGUAAACAAAAUUUUUAUAUAUUUAGAAAUGAUUUUGAAUCAUUAUUGUUUAGAUUUUGAAUCAUUAUUGUUAUUAUAUUUUUUGAUUUGAGAAAUAGUUAUGUUAGUAUAUAAUUGUUUGUUUUAUAAAUAAUUUAAUGAUGUACAUUCUUUUAUUCCAAUAUUUUAUAAAAAGAAAACUGAAUUAGACAUCCAUUUUGGGAGUGGUUGAUUGAAAAUCACCCAACAAAAAUUACCAAUAACCUAAUUCGUUUUUUAAACGAUUUUAUAUUUAUUUUAGUUCAUGUCAAACAAGAAAAAGUGAUUUUGGACAAACACAAAAAAGUAUAUAUCUAAAUAUGGUGAUAUGGAUAGUUAUUAUGGCAACCAUGGAUAGAACUUGGAAUCAACUACAACUACAACUUUGGAAACAAAACCAAACCAAAACAAAAUUCAUAAUUCAUUAGAUGAACUUCUUAGUAAAUUAUUUUUAUAUACAUCCGUAUAUAUCCCCAUUAGAUGAUCAAAUUUACACUUUAUAUGAGAUUUAAUGUAGAAAUAGACUUUGGAUGUUCAAAACCUAACUUUUAACAGCUUGGACUUGAAAACAAUGAAUUUGAAAAGUACUUUAAAAAGUAACUUUUCCUUCUUACAAAAAAACCAAACCUAAAUUGACGAAAUUUUGAAUAAAUUAAACCAAAAUGGCCUCUCAGAUAAGACACAAAUGUGUCACCAUAACAACCUUUACCAUCAUUUGAUUUACACUCUUAAUUUCACUUUCACUUUCUUUGAAUGCCACCAAAAUUUCAUAACUAUAUAUCAAUUACAUAAAGAGAUAUCACGACCAUAAUUAUAAUUACGAGUUGAAAAGCUCACAAGGUAAUUUAUUUAAAAUUUUGUCUACGAUUUAAUAUCAAAUAUAAAUAUCAAAUUAUUAUUGAUACCAUCUUAGAUGGUGGAUUGAUCCCAAAUCAUAACUAUGAACAACUAAAUUCAUUGAUUUUUCAAUAUGGGAUCUGAACAGCCUCAUCCAUCCACCAUAUCACAUAUUUAAAAGCACCAACUAAGUGGCCAACUCUCGAUGAUUUCUUGAAAACCAAAUCAUCCAUCUUUUCCCAACAUUCAUAUGGUUAAUUCAAACCCUAUAAUAAUCAUCAAAUCAUAAUACAAUCCCACCCUUCUUCUCUCGAAUUCAAAAGCAUUUCAAAACUAAUAGAAUCCAAAAAAGGAAAAAAGAAAAAAAAAAUGUACAGAUUUGAGAGAGAGAGAGAGAGAGACGAGAAACAUUUACAAUAUAUAUAUAUAUAUAUAAACCCAAUAGAGGAACUCAAGCUGAGAAGAACCCAGUGGAAGCAGCUCGACCAAUUUGAGAUUUGGGUUCAAAAACCCAAUUGAAUUCCGACAUCUCAGCAGAGUAAUUAUGCUUUUUUGCCAUUUCCAUCAUCUUCUUCAUCCUAAUUGAAGUAGCAGUUGCAGAUAUGGAAACCCCAGAAGAACCCAACUCUUGAAGCUCUUGCCUGAUCAUCUCUUGACCUCGCCUUGGAUUCUUCGUCCUCCUCUCGUAUUCCUCUGCUACAAGAAUUGCAAUAUCCGCCAUGGCUGUGAUUUUUCAACUCUCCCUCUUAGUUGAUUUUGAGGAGACCCCUUUAGGAGGAUGACAUAAUUUAUAUUCAGAUUGAGGUAUGAUUGUGGAUAAGGCUGACAAGUCGGUGUAGUGUAUAAAAGAAAUAAAAAAAAGUGACCUUUGAUGACUUAGUCUGGUUUUUUGGGCAUUUUGGUUUUACUUUUUCUAUGGGUGGACCCUUUGUGGAGAAAUUUGAUUGUAUUAUAUUGUAUAUCUAUAAAAUAUACACAUGUAUAUUGUAUUUCAUUGAAGGGUCUUCUUUGAUUGUGCCAAUACCCAAAUAAAGGGGUUUCUUGGCAACAAAGUUGGGAUAGUUGUGUGAAUUAUAAUAGAAUAUAUCAGUAUUUCAAAAUUCUAAUGGAACACGUAUUCUUAAUAAACUUAUAAAGAAUUUACAGAUUGUUAAAUGAUACAAGAAUUGUUAAUUGAGAACAAUGAGAUUAUGUAUAUUGUGAUAGAUAGGAUAGAAAACCUAUCCAUUAUAAUGGAUGUCUUGUGGUGUUUUCAAUGAAGUUGGUGGUGGAAAUUUUGUAGGCAAUAUUCUAGUGGGUUUGGUGGGGGGGAGGAAUGGUAAAAGGCAAUACCAAUAGUUCAGGACUUGUAAAUGAUAAAGAAAAAAAAAAAGAAACCAACUCCACAAUGUUAAUUAUCUCAAACUCUUUCUUAAUAAAUGUCUGUCCUAUUCAACCUUCUCCUUCAAACAAUGAAGAGAGGGUAACUCUUCUUUGCUUUUCAAUAAUAAUAAUAAAAAAAACAUAUCUUUCUUUUGAAGCAAACUAGCAAAAUUGUUGAAAAAAAUAUUGAUAAAUAUAGUCAAAUUUUAUAUAUUUCUUAGUGUAAAAAAUAUGGAAACGGAAAAGCAAAAGGAAAGUGGUUUUUGAGAAUCGGAAAACAGCGAAACUGAGCAAAUGGUUUUGAUCUCAAAAACCAAAACCAUCACCGACAAACGCAUAACACAUCAGAUUCAUGUAACUAAUACGUGUCUAAUUACUAUUUGUUCUUCAAAUUAAUUAUAUAUUUCGUAGUACACAAUACGUGGCAUCAUAUUACUGGUUGUGGGCGGUGACAAGUCCACAGUCCACGCAUUUUCUUUUGUUUACUCUUUUAAAUCAUUCAUGCAUCUUAUUAAUUAGCUUCUAAAUAAUUCAUAAUUUAACCAUAGUAAUCAUAAUAAUGUCAUAAAUUAUACACACAUUUCAAUAAAUUUUAUUAAUGUAAUCAAUUUCAGUGUUUGGCAAAUAAAUUUCACUCUUCCAAUAUAUACCUAUUAAUAAUGAAUUUGAUUGGAGUUUUUCUAGUGCAUUAUUCUAUCCUUGUGAUAUUUAGAAGCACAUAUUUUAUAAUUAGGUUAUUCUUAAUGGAAAGUAAACUAAUGUAGUCAUAGUUAGUACUUAGUAAUUAGGCUGCAACUUACCCACUUGUUUAUAAAUCGAUGGUAAUUUUAGUUAGUGUAUUUCAUUUUAUUACACUUUUUUUUAAUCUAUAUUUCGUAAUCCUAUGAAAAUAAUGAGUUCACCUUGAAUUGAAAAAUUGAGAGUACUCAAUUGGACUGCAUUUGAGAUUUAUGUGAAACUCACUUUCGUUAUUGUUACUAUCACGAUAUUAAUUAGAAUUAUGAUAAAUGUUAUAUUCUUAGUUAUUGUUAUUCGGUAACAAUAACUAGUGAUAAAUUAUGUAUAGCAAGAUUGUAACUAUAGAUGCGAUAACUCGUAAUUGAAACUCAUUUCAAUUGAUUCAUUAAUAAAAUUUCAUUUUUAAAAAAUAAUAAAACUUUUUUUAUUAUGGUUUGGUAAACAUAACUCUAAUGUUAUAACAACUUUCUUUACAUCUCGAUUACAAUAACCAAUUUAGGCGAACAUAUUCCAGUCAAAACUUGAUCUUUUUAUAAUAAAAAUCCUAAGGAAAGUCCACUUUUAAAAUGCUAAGAUGUGCUUAAUAUUUACAAAAGUGUCGUUUUAAAAGAAUUGAAUUAUCUAUCGACUCAUCAGCAAGAAUCUCAUACUUAUCACCAUCCAGUUCUUGACAAAUGGGAGAUAAGAAUGAGAAAUAUAUAUAUAUAUAUAUAUAUAUAUAUACCUGCAGGCCAAGGGAGGUUUAGUUAUUUUUAAAAAGAAUGAUAAAAAUGUGCCUAAGAAAGAGGAAGACGGAAGUGAUAGUAGAAAACUCACAAAUAUAAUAUACUUUAUACUCAGUAAGAGAAACGUUAAAAGCAUAUUAAUUUGGAGACAUUUGUCAGUUUUGAUUGUAGGUAUUCAAAUUCGUUCCCAUUCCCUUUCCUCAAACGGAUAAGACGAAAGAAAGUAAGAAAGAUCACGAGCUUCAUCAAGCUAGCCAUUCUAAGAAUACAGAAGAAAAGGCUGAGGGUGUCACACAUCUGAGAGCAUAUGUAUAGGACUUUCUUGGUCCAAAGUAACUUGUAGUAAGUGCAACUGAGCAGCAAAAGCAUAUGGUGAGUUCAAGCUUCAACAGGUGCUCUUCUGGGCAAAGUGAAAAACUGACACAUUUCAUCUCAUAAAAGGCCAAGAGUUUUGAGCUGUUGAACGUGCUCUGCAGGAAGUGGUGGAGGCAACCAGUCAGAUCCUGUCAUCUCCCCAUCUACAUCUUCCACAACAUAUUCCUGUGAGAAAUCAAAACAUCCCAAAAAUAUAGUAAUCAAUCAAAAACCUAACCAACCAACAUAUUAUUCACAAGUGAAACUUUCUAGUCGUAAUUAGUCCAUUCUUGCCAAUUCAAGAAUAGCACAAAUUGCACAAUUACCAUCCGAAAAUUGCUGGUUGAUCCUCCAACCUCCUACAAAAAUGGUCGAUUCACAAUCAAUCCAUCCAUGGGAAUAUGUCAUUUGGUUUUAGUGUCCCCCACUCCUGUUAUCUUUCUCAUCCCAAAGACCAAUAAGACAGCCCUCGUGAAUGGAUGUGCUCGGCCAGCUGGGCAUCCACCUUCAUCCAUGAUGUUUGGCUUUUAUUUUCAUUUUCUAACGGGGUGUGUUUGGACGACUAGUAAUUUUGCUCUCUUUUAAAUCAUGGGAUUUACUGAAAUUUUUUAAGAGUACUUCUAAUCUAAAACACUUUUCUUUAAUCACACGCAGUUUGAAAAUUUGUAAAAGUAGAUAAAAGGCACUUAAAAAAGUACUUUUAGAUGAAACAUUUCAUUAGUUUUGCUUACAAAAUAAAUGCUUCACUUAAGAACACAUUUUUCAAAAUGAAAUCUCAGACUCGCCCAAAUUUAGUUGGUUCUGUUUAUUUCAAUAGCCAGUCUAGUGUACAGAAAAAGAAACCAUAUUCAAGUAUUUACACUCCUAGCUCAGAGUUUGAAAGUUAUGCACAAAUAAAUCUCAAAAGAGAUCAAUCAACUCACCUUUGUUAGCAUUCUUUUCGCAAGUAUGUGAUAGUGUCGUUGCCAUAUUCGUUGGCCAACCAUGGUAGCCACCAAGACACUAUAGAAUAUACCAAUCACUGUGAACAAACCAAGAACAAUCAAGGCCAUUAUAAGUAAUAAUGGCAGUCCUGCUUCACCAGCACCUCCUAGGCAUCCACAUUCAGUUGCAAUGCUUCCACAACUUUCGAAGCAAGUGGUACAGUCGGUCCACAUACAAAGAGUACCAGGUAAAUGACAGUCUGCACAUAGUCUGGAAAGAUGCAAGAAACACAUAAAAAUAUGAUGCUGGUGAAUAAACUAAAAAUACUAUUGUUUGGAAAAUAUUUCCAGCAUUUAUAUAUUAUAAUUUGAUGAAGAUAGAUAUAACGAGCUUUGAUAAGGAUUUUAGUCAUCAAUCUAAAAUAGCUUGAACGAAUUCUUAGCUUGGCUAAAUAUUGAAUAUUCUAUAUUUCCAGCAACAUUCUUUCACUACAAUGGGACGGGAAGCAGAAUAGAGAAAGAUCAGUCGUGUUAGAGAAUCAUCACUGCAUGGCAGCAGUUAUGCCAAAGAAUGAGCCUACGCUCCUCAACAAGCAUUGUUAAAAUUUGAAAACAAUAAAAUUUUAACAUAAUUAAAAAAGAAACUGCAAAAUAUGGAUUUAUACCCAGGGUGGCAACAACAUAGACACAAUUCUCUACAUGGUUGAGCCAAAUCACUCCUAACUCUUCGAUCAUAACAAGUGAUGAAGCAGCCAGAUACGCCGAGCAAUGCAAAAAAUAAUAAAGCCCCUGCAUAGGAAAUAACGCAAACUAGUAAAAACAGAAUUGAAAGAACUGAAAUAUGUCUUUCGAUUUUGUAGAACAGAAUAGCAUCUAACAUAAAGAAAUAAAAUAAAUUAAAAUUGUCUCUCUACUUUGAGGUUUGUUCAACUUUAAUCCACAUACUUUCAAAUAUUCAAUUUUUGCCCAUGUACAAAGCUUAAUAUUUUUCUAAAAAAAUCAAAAUUGGCUAAAUAAUAACAAUAACUUUCACGUAAAGAAAUAUGAUAUGUGAAUAUAUUUUCAAAAUUUAUAGUGAAAAUGCUAAGAAAUAUCAAAAAAUUAUUUUAAAAAAACAUUAAUAAGCAUGCAGGAGGGACUAAAUUAUAGAUUACUUGAAAAAGUUGAGACAAAAAUUGAUCAUUUAAAAGUACAAGGACUAAAAUUGAACCAAAUUUAAAUUAUAGGGACCAAAUUGAUAUUGCAUAUUUCAAGUUGACUCAAUAUAAUACUCAUACAGUGAAGGACCAUAAUCCAUUAACUACUUCCUCCUUAUGAGGUUCAACAACAAUAUGAAUAAAAUAUUGCGAUAAUGUAAUAAGCACAUUUUUUUCAGCUGUUGUUCUUUGCCCUCAAACUUUCAUUAGUUUUCAUUAAUUUCUAUGAAGCACAAAAGAUUUCCCAUCUCUCUACACACUUUAUCUCACAGGCUUUUUUUCCAUACAUAAUCUCACCCUGGUCUCUCUAGUCUCUACACUCCUCUACUACACAGUUCCUCUCAUCAUCAACUUCUUUCUAAAAAGUAAAAACAACCUCUCAACAAUUCUUCUCACUAUCACAACUUUUACAAUUUUAGAUACACCCCGACUAGUAGCUUACCAAUUCUUAAUAUACUUUUAAUUAAAACUUAAAAGACACUCCUUUCUAACUAAAGCACACCGCAAAAGUACUUAAAAAGUUAGAAUUAAAUAAGCAAACGAUAUAUUAUUACUUAUCAUCAAAGUUCUUAUGUUAAAAGUUCUUUGGAUGUGAACCCAUAAAAGUCAGAAGCGCUCUAAGCAGACCAGCAAACAAGGUCACUAAGACAAACUGCUUGAAGCUAUGGGCCAAACAAGAUUAUGCCCUAAUGCUAUAACAUAAAUUGUGCAUGCAAAGCUUGAAUCAGCCAAUUGAGAUUUUACCGCAUAUGUAAUAAAAACUAAUUUUGCUAUCAAAACCCCAAGUAAGACGAAGCCAGUAAUGUUGACAACCAUCUAUUAAGUAUGUCAAAUAUCCCAGAGAAGCAAUUACCUGCACAAAGAUAAACAAAGGAAUAUAAACUAUUCUACAGAAAAAUAAUCUCAUGCUACAACAUAACUUGGUUUGGCAAUAAAUUAAAUAGAAACAAAAUAAAACUUACAAGCUGAACCGCCAAAAAUAUAAAUAUAAUGUCUCUAGUCACAAAAAAUCGAAAUUUCAGGGUUCGCCAUUUUCUGUCAGCAACAGCAUGUACUCUCAAAUGGUAAGGGGCCUUACAUGUGGUACAGUGAGCAAAAGCAAACCCUUCCUGCAAUUUUAAUCACGGAUGACCAAAUGUAACUAAAUGAUGGCUAUAGAAAUUUCCUUAUUUAUUUUCCUAAAUAAACAUAGAACCAGUCUAAGAAGACAAAAACGAGACUGUAAAUAUGACUGGUGCGGGCGGAUACAAAUACCGCCCAAGAGUAGUGAUAUUCUUUAUUUUGUUAAUUACCCUAAAUUAGAGUCAAUCGUGUGAUAAAAAUUGAAACUUAAAAAAUGCUGGUGCAAGGAGAACAGAGUUAAUAAUGGCAAAAUACGAGUUAAUUUCUUAAGCAAUAAAAGGUAUCGUAACAAUCACUUGUUAAGGCUGAACUUAGUCAUUAAGGUGAGGAAAAUAUAACCAUGCAAAUUCAGGGAAUCAUGGGUGUAUUAUCAGCAACUUCAUUUGAAAAUUCAAUCACAAUAACUAAACUUACAUUGAAACCACCAGCAUUCAAGAUAGCAUUCAUACCUUCACGGCUCGCCAAUGAUCCAGACAUUCUCGAUGAACAUAUUUGGAUGUCCCUUUGCAUUUGCAAGGAGCAAUAAAAUCCCUACCUGAUCAUGUAAUGAAACACGCACAUUGGUUAAUUUAAAUACUCCCAUAGUCUCAGUGUGAUACCCCCCUCUCCUACCGUUAUACAAACUUUCAAGUGAACAGUCAACUCCAAAGAAUUCUAAAGCACGAAUGGCCAAGUGGAUGGGGAAUGUUAACAUCGCUUGUCAAACGAUCAAAUUAACGAAUUUUUAACACCGAAGAACCUAAUUAAUUAGACUUCAAGUCUCACGGUAUUGAAAGAAACAAUGAUCAUAAGAAAACACAUCGUAAUUUCGGAAAAUUAAGAUUCUAGGGUCCAAAGAACUUCGCCUAAAACGCUGCACUGAGCCAUUGAUUAUAAAGCAAGCAGAAGAAAUUAGGUUCCACAAUGAUUUCCCGGAAGGAAAAUGUGGAACAUACCCAAACGAAAACAACCCCACCAACCGUACGAAAACAGUCGAAACCUAACAAAAACUGAAAAACAUAGGAACGAGGAAUUACCAUCGGUCUCAAGGCAAAUUCUACACUGAAUUUGUUCCCCUUGACCAGCUUCAAGGUCGAUCUCACUAGGGUCGGUGAUCGGCGCCGGAGGAAUAAGAGGGGAAGAAUCUGACGGUUGACCCGCCAUAAGGAGUUAAGAAGCGGAAAAACACAAAAAAAAAAAAAAAAUGGUGGGAAAAAAGUGGAGGAGAAUUAGGAUAGCAUGAAGAAGAAAUAAGGGAUCUCCAUGUAAAAGAGUUGUAAGCCCAGAGAGAAUAAUAAUGGUGAAGCAGGAAGAAAGCAAGAGAUUGUGUAGAAGUGUAGAGCAGAAAGUGGUUGAAUGUCUUUCUUCCCAAAAUGGCCACAGCCUUCACCAUUUUUUGACCAACUUAUCCUUCAAUCCCUUAAAACUCUUUUCUAUUUCUAUCACAUCAAAUUUUAUAACUCAUUCUUUUUUUUUUUUUUUUUUCAAUUACAAAAUUUUAUAUCAAUUUAGUUCAUAAAUAUUUUAAUACUAUGAAGCUGGAGUAUGAAGUUUUGUUUGCCAACAAAUUGGCUUAUAAACAGUCACAAUCAUAACUACUAUAUAUAAAUUGAAAUUUGAAUUAUUGUUUGUUUUUUUUUAAUUUUUAAUUUAAGUAUUGAUUCGAUGCCUUUUCAAAAAUACCAAAUCCUCACAACUUUUUUCAUUAAAUUUAAGUUUUCUUUUUCUAUCCACAACAAUUCCAACGUAAAAAUGAUAAAUGUGUUGUAACUUCUAUAAGAAAUCUUUUUUAUAAGAAAAACAAAUUAUCUAUACGUUACACGUAAUUUGCAGUUAGUUGGGUUUAUAUGAUAAAUUUACAAUACCUUAGUUUAUUACUUGGUAUAAGAAUAAUAAAAAUCUAUUUACGUAAUAUUUAUAAUAUUAUCAUUAUUAUUUAACAUUUCUUUGGUUAUUUUUAUAAUGUUGUCCUUAUUACUUAUUAUUUAACAUUACUUUGGUUUUUCUCCAAUGAUAAUUAUUUAUUAAUAAAAUGUGAUCUCCUUUCAUUAUCAAAAAGAAAUAUAAAAAAAUCUGAACUCAUAUUACUCUUUUAUUUCCUUUGUUGCCCUUUACCCUUUAUAUGAAAAAUAGGGAGAGAAUAGUUUAAACAAUGUGAUUUGGGCAGCGAAAAGUGAACUCCUUCCAUUAUCAAAUUAAUUAAAGCAUUGAAACUAAUCGCCGUUUAUCACUGCUGCAGCUAAAAAAGUUCAAAGGUACUCUAAAAUUAUGCAGCGGAGACAUAAUUACUAAUUUGGAACACAUCCUAACAAACGUUCUCAAGAAGCUAAAAUAAAAAUUUUUAAAAGAAAAAAAAAAAAACCCAAAAGUCGGGGGAACAAAGCUACAUAUGAAAAGUGUCUAUGUCCGCUUUUUCAUCUCCCUAUUUUUUUUUACUUCUUCCUCUUCUUGGGAGGCUGGAGUGCUUCCUCGUCUUCGUCCUCGUCCUCUUCGUCCUCGUCAUCUGCUACUUCGUCUUCAUCCUCUCCACCAUCAUCAUCGUCGUCGUCAUCACCAUCUUCGUCGUCGUCAUCCUCAUCGCCAUCAUCGUUAUCAUCAUCAUCAUCACCAUCAUCGUCUUGAUCCUCCUCCCCGUCAAACUCUUCUUCUUCCUCUCCAUUCUCUUCCGCCCCACCAGCUCCACCCUCUGGAUUCUUCUUAGAAUUACUUUUGUUAUUAUCGUUGAGGUUGUUGGUGUAGUCAUCUCCAUCUUCAGAUGAUAAAUCCUCUUCACCUUCACCUUCACUCAAGUCGCCAUCCCCAUCACCUUCAUCGUCAUCAUCAACAUCUCCUCCAGCAUCGAGCGGUGUGGACGAGGGGCACAGGGUGGAACUAUCUCCUUUCAUUUCAGGAUUGAUCAGAAAUGCACCAAGAGAAUCCUGCAACAAAAUUCCCAAGAGUACAAUGGUCCAUAAGGUUAAGCAUGUCAGCGACCAAAAACAUCACUUCAAAAAUGGUCGUUGCAAUCAAAGAAAAACAGACAGAGAAACCACACAAGGACUAUCAAUUUCUAUGUUCCUUAUACACUUGAACUCAACAUAGUAGGCAAUAGAUUUUAAUGAAAACAUUAAUGCUAAAACAACGUAGCCGCUACCAGUUCACCUGAAUUUCCUUUUAAAAAGUCAAAUUGAUAGUAAUGCCUCAGAAUUUCUUUUGUUUUACAAUUUCAAAACAUGAUGAUUAGUAACGAUAAGGACAUAUUAAAAUAUUUAACAGAAUAUGAUGGGACAUAUUAACAGAAAUGAAUAGUAUGGCAGGCGUACAUUUGUUUAUUCCCCCCCGUCUCAGUCCUCCAAUUUGACAAUCUCUGUUUUUACUUUAACCUCCUCCCCUUUUUAUUUUAUUUUUUCCCCAUGUCUUUUCUUGUCGGGAUCUGGUCACCAACCAAAGUGAUAAAGAACCCACUUUAACGUUUAAAUUACCCACUAAUUUUAAUCAGCUACUUCAAUUGAAUGUCAUAAAUGGCAUCCAUUAAGAAGCAGAAAGGCAGAGGAUGGUGGGAAGGGAAUAAACUUCCCAAUCACAAUCGGGCGGGCACUAUCAUAAGCUAGAAAUAGAUACAGGAAGAUGAAAAGAUAAUCUUUUGGGCACUAGAAACCACGUAUUAAGAUUGAUUCCUAAUCCAACAAUUCUCAAAAAAGUCGCAAAGUACUCCAAGAAUUAUUCGACACCGAGUCCAAAGCAUAAUAUUCCAACAACAAAAGAAAAAGGUGACAUCUCCCUAUCUUAACAAUUGUUUAGUGAAAUAUUUCACAUGAAACGAAUAAACUUUGGAGCAUAGCUUUAUUUAUUUUAUUCUUAAAUGGAAAUAAAAUGAAAUUCCGUGUCAAUCAUCAAUAGUAUCUUCAACCACUGAAAUGAAGUGAAUUAAAAGAGGGAUAUGGCGUGUCAUUCAAGUUGUCGGUUGAGGGUCAUUUCCGUAAAUUCAGCAUCAAACCUCAACGAACCCAUCAAGUGGGGUCAAGAAAAUGAUGGCCCAAUAGCAAAAAAACAAAGGGAGAAAGAUAAAUCCAAAAGAAUCAAUCCCAUGACGCGUGAUUACAGUAAUUUCCUUGAAAAAAUAAAAAUGAAAAGUUUUCAACUUUUUAUUUUAUUAAUUUGUAGAAAAAGUUUUUGUUUUUUGGGUUUGAAAAGAUCAACCAAAAUAAUCUAAUGGAAGCCGUACGAUGGGAAUCAGUUAGCCAAACGGAAGGAGUGGCAGUGAAUGGAUCUGUUGGAUAUUUUUCUCACCUAUCCUACAGCUUACUUUAUCGACUAAGGCUCAGCCGAAAUCGGCAAACAUCAAAACGGUUGGCCGAAGCCGGGGGACUUCCAUAAAAAAACACACAAAAAACCAUCCAGUAAAAACCCAUUUGAAACAUAAUUUUUCCUCGAUAUGAAAAGCAUAUCAACUAGAAACAUUCAUUAACUGGGCAGAUAGAACUCAGAAAUUACAGAUAAGGUGGUAAUUAAAAAGGUUAGAGACAGAGAGGGGCCUUGCCUGAGCCAGGCGCUGGGUGUUGACCAGAGCCGAAGCUAGUAAAGCAGCUAAGCAAUUACUGGCGCAUGCCAGUGAGCCAUCACCGAGCGUGACACCUAAUGAAGCAUUUGCUAUCUCCAUUCGCGCGGCGACUGUUCCCUGCAAAUGGAUCAAAAAACACUGAUGAGAGAUGUGGUCGCCGUCAGAUCUGUCUCCAAAAAUUCAACAGCCGUUAAAAAAUGAAAAAAUGAAAACCUAAAAAUUAUAACAAAACAUAACUCCACCGGAAAUUCUCUCAGUCUCUCAGUCUCUCAGUCAGCCCCUUCCCCUACCGUGUUGAUUUGGUAGUUUCUACCGCCUAUCCUGAGGUUUGACCGCAGACAAUAAAUCCAAAAAGACUCAUUCUAAGACAUAUUCAAAUACCUUUUUUAAAAAGAGCAUAAGAAGUUUUCUGACGCAUCCUCUAACAAGCAGAGGGACCUAAACUUUCAGUGAAGCAAAAAAUUCCAGUGUUCAUAAAGUCAACGGUAAAUCCAUCCCAAAAGUUACAAAAAGCGUAGAUAUACGAGAAAUUAAACUCCACACAGCACAGAAAUUCAGUUAAGUCGUUCAGAAACGACCCCGAAACACUAGUAAAGUGAAGAACAGCAAAGAAGGUGAAGCAAAAAAAGCAGAAAACAAGAAAAGAUGAAGCUCAAAUAGGGGAAACAAAACAGAAACAGAUAGAAGGAAGAAAAAAAAGGAAUUAAGAGAAAAAGCAUACCGAGAAGAGAGAUCAGAGCAGAGAGAUGGUAGAUCUGGAGGUAUGGAGAUCUAAAACCACAGAAAAGAAGGAGGAGAAGGGAGGUUCAUUGUGGACCGUCGGAUCGAGAUCGAAAAGACAAAAGAGAAACGAAGAUAUAGAAUUAUCGGCGGCACUCAGAGAAGGGGGGGGGGGGGGGGGUUGAGAGGGAAAGAGGUGAGAGAGGGGAAGUGAGAGAAGCGAGUGCGAUUACUGGAGACCGACUGCCCGUAAUUUUCCAGUCCGGUAUCGGGCAGAUCGGGCAGCGUCGUAAUCUUGUAAAAAAGACCGCGUUUUAAGCUGCCCAAUGAGCCUCGAUGGACAGGUGUGGGUUCGGAUAAACUUUUCUCUUCUAUUUUUCCCUUUGGUCCUUUCUUUUUUUCCUUUUUACUUUUUCAGCAACCAGUUUUUCCAUUUAUUACACAAACCUUCCUCCAACGAAAACUGUCUUUUUCAUAAAGUCUUCGUCCCCCCCCUUUUUUUCUUUUUUCCUUCCCCCCCUCUUCUUCUUCUUCUUCUUCCUCUUCCUCUUUUAAAUCAUUCUUAUUUAAAUUUAAUAUGGCUUCAACUUUAAGCAUCUGAACAACUCUUUAUCUUCAGACUAAAAGUAUAGUAUUCAAAUUAUUAUUAUUCCUAAAUAAGAACAGUAUCGUCAGACCAGACUCAGUCCACCAGGAACUCCACAUCCUUGAUUAUAAAUUAAUAUCAAUGAAAGGAUAUUGUUAAUUUAAGAAUAAACCGAUAGAGCUUAGAUUUUAAGCAAGAGGGAGGUAUGGGCCUGUUUUAACAACCAGGCCCAGGCCCAUUCUUGGUCCAAUUAACCAUCUUCUUCUGGAAGGAUCAAAAGCUCCUCCACUUUAAAACCAUGGAAGAUGUUUAAUAACCCUAAUCCAUGUAUUUUCAGGAAUGGGGACACAGAUGGCUUAUAUUUUAAAUUUUCAAAACAAUUACCUUUUGAAAUAUGUCAUUACCCGUAGUUAUAAUCUAUGAACUAAAUGCAGUCAUGGUAGGUUCUUUGGCAAAGCAGAGAACGCCUUCUCUGGAAAAGGUUCGGAUAAAAGAAUAAUAGAAACUACAAAAUAAAUAUCACACGGGAAGCCUCGGUUCUUAUUUUGUUAUAAAUCAAUAGGUUGAAGCAAACUUAGCUCAACUUGCAUUUCCUUUCUUAAGAGAAUGAAGAUUUGAUUCAUUUUCGUUAUUAUACUAAAAAAACCAAUAAAAACUUAUCUCGAGACAACGAUUCAAUGUAUUUAUAAAUGUAGAAUAAAUGUUAGGUGAGGUGUGAUUCAAAAUUUAAAAGUUAAAAGGACAAACUUGUAAGGAAGUUAAAAAUUAGAUAUAACAUAAAAUUGGAGGAGCAAAUUAUGAAAGAAAGGAUAUAAGUUCAAUAAACCACAAACAAUAUGGAUUUUAUUGUUUAUGUGCUUUUGGGCAUAAAUUUGGGAGCUGUCUUUUGAAAUGAACCACCACUGGCAUCUAUCUAAUACAUAUUCUGCAGUAGUCAAACAUAGGAAUGCUGUAAAAGAAAAAAGAAAGAAAGAAAUGUUCUUGUUUGAUUAGUGGACCAAACUAUAUGCUCCCACCACCAAGUGAUUACAUAAUAUACUAAUUGGUAUAGCAAAACUUGGAUGCUUCUCAUACACCAUCUUUUUGGUGUACACCUAAAUCUCAUAACAAAAAAAUAGGUUUCUAUGUAGCAAACUAUAGUUGAACUAGUAGAUUUUGAAACCUAAGAAUCAAAAUAGAUAUCAAACUGAUGGAAGAACUCAAAAUUCAAAAGUAAAAAUAUAACCUUUUGAAAUCUAAAGAUCAAAAUAGAUAUUAAACUAACUCAAAACAAACAUUACUUUUAUUUCUGUUUUUUAUAUAAUACAGUGACAUAGUUAUUAUUUCCACAAUGAAUUGAGGUGUCAACUUGUCACUAAUACAUUGGAGAGAUCGUUAAAUAGACUAAAACGUUAUAAACUCACCAUUUAUCACGGCAGUUUAUAAAAAUGGAAGUUGUAAAAGAGAUCCAAAGAAAUCAAAGUCUUCAAAAGCCAGCAGGAGCCCCACCCUUUCUGGGGUCACUUACAGCAACAAGCUUCCCGAAGCCAUCACCUUGUCUCAAUGAGCUAGAACCUUGAACAAUGAACUGACAAAUUGUUCCUCCGGCAAGCCCUUCUAAGACGUGACCUUUCUUCGCAAGGACUGCCCUUGUUUCAGCCGGAACUUCAAAAUGAUCCCCCAGCACAGUGGUCCAGUUCUCAUAGUUCAAAAUGUUUGGAACCAGCUGUUCGUUUACCAAAUUAUAUUAAUUCCCAAACUUCAAAUUGCACUUCAGUGACUAAUAUUUUAGUGUAAGAAUGUUUGGAUCAGAUGAACAAAUGGAGGAAUAUUAUGAGAUGGGUUGGUGAAGGGAAGCUAGAUGAUGAAACGAACCUGAUGGUAAACUCUGGGAGCCAUCACAGAUGAGAAAGGACUCAUUCCUUUUGCAAAAUGAUUCAACAAAACCUCUGCUGUUCCAGCAAUGAUGAAGCCUCCUCCACUUGCACCGACCACAGCUUUCAGUUGACCAUUCUGUGGAUGAGUUUUACGAAAAUCUUCGAUUAUAACAUAUUUAUAGAGAGAGUGAAAUUUGGAAUUCAAGUUCAUUUGUGAUUGGAGGAAAUUAGAAUGAAAAGGGACCUUUAGAACAAUAGUAGGAGACAUGGAUGACAAUGGCCUUUUUCCUGGCCUAAUGAAAUUGGCUGGUGCUGGUGGAAGUUGAUUAGCAGAAACAUUAGCCGGGAUAGCAAAAUCGUCCAUUUCAUUGUUCAAGACUAUUCCUGUACUUGGGGACAGUAUAUGUGCUCCAAAAUAGUAGUUCACAGUGGUAGUCAUGGAGACGGCAUUUCGUUCUCCAUCGACUACAGACAAAUGACUGGUUCCAUGGUCAUUGAUUGGAUUCCAUCUGUUACAAACAGAAUAUAUGUUACCAACAGGCUCAACUCAAAGGAAGAAAGUAGAGAUAGAAGGUCUUGCUUGGAACGACGAGGAAGCACUUGGAAAUGCUUACAUUUAUAUGAGGAUAUAAAGGAAAUACUAACGGCGAAUCCAUGUAGGAGCACUGACCUGCCACCAUAAUGGCUUGGAUGAAAAGUUUUGUUGUCAUUGAUGGUUUUCUUCAAUUGUUCAGCAAAUUUGGGUGAGAGCAUAUCAGAAAGAACUUCGGUAACAUUGUAGAAAUCAGGGUCACCGAGGUUCGUCCUUACUGCAACCACAUGUUUCAAUGCUUCAAUCUCCCGAUGGAUACCAAGAGGGCCCAAAAGCCCUGAAGGCAGUUUAUAUUGAGCCAGAAUAUUAAGCAUCUGCAGUAGAACGUGGUGUUACUAACAAAAUGAACUUUUAACAAAACUGCUCAUAAAGACAAGACAACAAACUUACAAGGAUCACUCCAGAGCCUCCUGAAGGAGGAGGCAUGGUGGUUAUCUCGAGAUCCAUUGUACGAGAUAAGAUGGGGACUCUAGUUUUAACUUGAUAACUCUGCAAGUCCUUCAUUGACAGUAACCCUCCAAGCUUCCUGAUGUCUCUUAUCAAGUUAAUUCCGAUCGAACCAUUAUAGAAGGCACUGACACCAAAUCUAGAAAUAGUUCUUAGAGUUUCUGCCAGUUUCUGGUUGCGGACAAUAUCUCCCUGUUUCAACAAUUUUCCACCUGAUGUUAACAAGUUCCUGAGCCCUUCAUCCCCUAAGAUCCCUGAUUCUGUUCUAACCAUCUGCAUAUGAAGGUAUGGAGAUAUUUUAAACCCCAAGCGAGCAAGACGUUCAGCUGGUUGAACAAGCCUUGCCCAUGGAAGCUUUCCAUGUUGUUUCCAAGCCUCAUGAAGCCCUGCAAGUUCUCCUGGAACGGCAAUGGAAAGGGCUCCGGAUGCUUUUGAUGCAACAUUGCCAGCAUACAUAUUCUGUAUAUGAAUGCAAAAAAAUUUAAGAAACUGAUUCAAUGAGAAAUUUUGGAUGAGUGAAGUUAUCAGGUUGUGUAUAGCCAAUUGAUAACAACUCAUUAUUCAUCAGUUUCCAAAUGUUAAAACUCAAAAGUUACACCCAAAAGACUUUUAAGCAUAUGCUCGUGUAAAGUUCAACACAAUGAUGAUGAAAGAUAUGAACUACUUAAAUAACACUAUUCAAUGCCAUCAAACUAUCAAUCACUAUACAACAUUUGAAUUUCAGACAUGAAUGAACAACAUGAGCUUUCCAACAACAAUAAAAUGAGCAAGAAGACUAUAUGACCAUUGUGCUUCUUUUUUUCUUCAUGAAAAAUGAUUAAGUUGGAAAUCUAACAAAGAAGAAGAAAAAAGCGGAGUACCAUUUACCUCAGAAGCUAGCAAAGGUGCGGUCUCCCUCAUAUCGAAAGCCUGAGCUUUUCCACUGGCUGAUCUGAUCAGCAUAAAGGCUCCUCCACCAAUGCCACUUGAUGCAGGACUAACAACCCCCAGGCAAAGAGCAGCAGCCACUGAUGCAUCAACAGCAUGUCCUCCUUCGCGUAGAACAUCCAUACCAAUUUUGGAGCAACGGCGAUCAUCUGCGGCAACGGCACCAUGGCUUGCUACAACAACUUCAGGUCGAGCUAUGGAGGUCGGAGUCAGUAACCCAAUAGAAACAAGAACAAUCACAAGCCACCGUAUCAACAUUGCUGCAGCCACACAUGCAAACCAUUAUAGAUUACUCAGUAAAUAAUACUGAUCAGUUUAAUUGGGAAAAAAAAAUGUAAAUCACUAUCAGGAGAGCAUACAUUGAUAUAUUCUUGCUGGCCAAACUAUGUUUAAAGAUAUGAUACAGAAUAAAGGUUUUAAUUAAUUUUUAAAGUUUUUCAAAUCAGCCCAUUUGCCGAGGAUUUAUAAUUAUAUUAAAAGCAACGUAACUAAAACCGUGAUUACGAUCAGGGGCGCAUUCAUUGACUUUUGAAGGCCAAACCAUGUUUAAAAAGAGCAAAAUGGCUUUGAUCUUUUAUACAGUUUUCUAAAUCAGCCCAUGUGGAAUUUGAAAAUAAUGCCAGAAGCAGCACAAGUAAAAUGAUUUCAGUAUCUUUAAGGUGCAAAACAAUUCCUUAGACCAUGUUUUGUUCCUGUAUUGAUGAGAACAAGAUUUUGAAAAUAGAACACGCCACAAAAGAUAAGAUUGAAUUUAGUGCGUUUGUUGGCCUUAGAAGUUCAUUUGGCAGUAAAAUUUGCCAAGUGGAUGUUUAUGUGGAAAUUUCUGUUUGGUACUUGGAAUGAAAAGAAUCUGUGGCAGAAUCUAACUGCUAGAAGUUGACAAAUUGGAAAAGAUUUUCUAAGAGAGACGGUAAGCGGAUGAAGAAAGAAUGAUUAGAACAAUAGAGAAAAUGAACAAAUAGUGUACAAGCUCAUGCCUAUGGAGGGAAAAAGGGUGGCCGUGUUAUUUCUUCUAGAAAAUUUUGAGUGAAAAUGUUUUAGAUGGCAAUGCUAUUGAAAAUGUUUUUUUUAAAGAAGUAAAAUUUUGUUAGAUAUGCUAUAUUUAAAACCAUUCCAAACUAUAAUGUUAUAUUAUUACUAAAACUAAAAUAACUCAAUGUUUAAUUUUAUCAUUUUGUUAAAAUUAAUUUUAAAUAAUUAAAAACCUUUUUUCUAAAAUAAUUUUGAAAAUAACAAAAUCCAUAAAACCUAUACCACCGUCCAAAUCUAAUUCAAAACACCAAUUAUCAUUUAAAUGUGAAUAUCCUUCCUAAAAAAAUGUCAAAAAAGUAAGCCACCACAAAGUGACGGUGAUUAUAAGUACAAAGUUUGUAAAAAUAGUAAAAAAAUUAUGAUAAUAGAGUUCAUGUCACUUAUCUUUUUAAAAUUGUAAAAAUAACAAAUUUAGAUAUAAAAUAUAUAUAUAUAAAAAUAAAAAAUAUGUUAUUAACUGUUUUUUACUCAAUUUUUUAUUAGCUGUUUUUUACUAAAUAUUUUUAUCAUCCAAUCCAAUUUUCUAAAAAUAUCUCCCAAUUUGUAUAGUUGUUAAAAUUGGCGUUGUAACCUUGUAGAAGUUUGACCAAACAUUUGCAAAGAGCUUUCCGGACGAUCUACGCCAUCGUCGUUACGUUGGUCCUCAAAUUACUAUUCUCACUCUUCGCACCCCCAAAUGUAUAAUCAUUCUCCCCACUAAUAUUACUUCAAUUUUCCAUGGAAGAUUGAAAUGAGUUCAAUUUGAGGAAAAACCUUUCCCCAAGAUUCUGCCAUGAAUGAUUUCAGAACGACGAAAUAAAAUGGAGAGUUCUGACUCAAAUCACCAAUUUAUAACCACAAACAAAAACCCAGAAACCAAAAGGCGAGAAUGGAUCACGUUGAAGCAAGAUUGAAAUUACUCAUUCAAACAGUGACUCACUUGGGAUGAUUUAUUGGCUAAGUAAGAGAAUCAGCUCGAAUCCGCCCUUUCUUGUCGUCUUCUUCUUUCCGUAGUCGAUUUAUUUGGCAGCAGCCUUGUUCUUUCCUGGGAAUUAAAGAAGAAAAGCAAUCGCAAUAAGGAAGUUGCAUUGACAAUGGGUGAAAAACAGGAAAGAAGGCGAUAUAUCGUUAUCAUAAUCGACGACUUUCGUGACAAUUUUUGGGCGUUGUUUUUUUAUGAAUCGGAUAAAUUAGGAUUUAGGGUCUAGUUUUCAUCUUUUGCGGUUUCGUCGAAGUUCACUUUACCUUGUAAAUUCUGCACUCCACAUUUCUCGAGUCGUUCGUUUCAGAUAAUUUUCCGAAUUUUCAAGGGCUAAAACUACGUCCUGAUUAUCCAGAGGAAAAGAGCCGUUGAUCAUCCGAUUCGACCCAACUUGGCGGAUUGAUGAGAGAUUAGAGAAGAAUCAAAAGAGGUCGCAUAGUGCGAUAGUUACUCUAGGAAUCUUCCACCAUGUGAACCUUUUUUCCAUGGACCUUUGAAAAAGUUUGAAACUUUCUUUGUUAGAACUUUAUUUCCAUCGUGCGAUAUUUCGUGGAUAAUACUAAGAUACAAAAUCUUGUAAUCUAAAAGUAAAAGAAUCUAAGUCAGUGACUUGAUAAUUUUACUUAUUCUAUGCUUGAAUUUCAUGAGUAACUCAGCAAACCCCGUCUACAAGAUACAAUCAACCAUCCUUUGUGAAAACACUCUGAAAGUUUUGAAUAAAAGGUGAUGAAAAAGUGGUUCUAAAAUGCCAUUUGAAAAAGAAAAAGACACAUUAAUGAACUAUUUGUUAGCAUUCAAAUACUUCGUUCUUAGUUAAUUAUGAAAUUCGAAAAGACAUGUUCAUUGCAACCACAACCUAAAAGUACAUCUUCUGCCUAACUUUAUUUGGGUUAAUCCUAUGCCAAAACGAGUAUCCCCUCCGUCCAAGAAAAAUCUACAAUCCUACUUUACAAUCUCAAAAUGAACCUUUUCUCUCCUUAUAAACAUUAUUAUUUUAUUUCUUUCCACUGAUUUAAAUUCAUUCUGCUAACAUGUCUUUUAACAAUGGAAGCUAUUGAAGAGAUCCAAGAAUUCACAAUCUCAAAGCCAGCCGGAGCCCCACCUUUCCUUGGAUCACUUACUACCACAAGUUUAUCCACGCCACCACCUUGUCUCACUCACCCAAAACUUUGAACAAUGAACCGACGAACUGUCUCUUCUAAGACACGACCCUUCUUAUCAAGGUCUGCCCUUGUUUUAGCAGGCACUUCAAAAUGACCCCCAAACACAUUGGUCCAAUUCCGCAUAGUUCAAAAUGUUUGGAAUCAGCUGUUUGUUUGCUUCAAUUCAACAAAAAAUGUAUUAGUUCCCAAAUGACUAACAUCUAGUAGUGCAAGAAGGUUUAGAUCGGAUGAAUCGAUAUAGAAGUAUUACAAGACGGAUCGGAGAAGGAGCGCAUUAACCGGAUGAUAAACUUAAGGAGUCAUCACAAAAUGAUUCAACAAAACCUCUGCUACUCCAGCAAUGAUGAAGGCUCCUCCACUUGCACCAACCACAGCUUUUAGUUGACCAUCUUGUAGAUGAAAUUAAGUUCAAAGAAAUCUUCAAUUACAAGACACCUAUAAAGGUAGUAACAUUUUGAAAUUCAAGUUAAGAAAUUAGAAUGAAAAGAACACCUUUAGGAGAUAGUAGGAGACAUGGAUGAUAAUGGCCUUUUCCCACAGUCAGCGAGACAGCGUUAUCAAGUGUUGAAUAAAGAAGUUGGGCUGAAUUUCAUCACCUUCUGGGCUGGAGGCCCAUUAUAGGCCCAUAUAUAAUAUCCGACCCGCGUUGUUCGCAUCCCGUCAACAUUGCUAUUAUUCAAUUUCAAACCACCAUCUUUCUCCCGCCCAAUCUUCUUGCCCACGUCUCAACAUCGGUUCUUCGGCAGAGCUCAAAAAGAGGAAGAGAGAGAUUUACCGGUGUAAAUUAAUCCAUUUUUUUCCGUCUCCGGCAGCUACAUUUCUUCAUGUUUUAGAAUCCCACUGCGAACUUCAAUUAAUUUCACUGUGCACUACAUUAGGGUUUGAAAGUUUUUGUACAGUUGAAAAUCCAGUGACGAAGUACGGAUUCAUCUCAGAAUGCUGCAAUCUGAGUAGUCCAGUAAAGCCAAGAAAGACUGGUAGCUGAGAAUGGCAAGGCGAAAGGCGAAGAAAACGGUUAAGAAGUCCAGCCCUUCACCUAUACUAGAAGCAAAGGAUGAAGCAGCGAAUGACGAGGAUGGUAUGUUGAAAUUCGUGGUGAUUUCGAUUCUUUUACUGAAGCCGGAAUUUAAUUGAAAGAAAAUUGUUUUGUUUCUCUUCCCGUUAACAUAAUUGUUCCUCUGUUUUCCCUUUUACUCGUGUUUAGUUGAACGGCAUGCUGCUGCAAUCCGUGCCAUUCGGGAUGUGGAGAUCGGGCGUUUGAUUACUGAAUUGCGGUUGCUUCGUUCGUAUUUCAACAAGGAGCAAUUGCAAACUCCUUUAUUGCAAUUCUUCGAAGAAAAACUUCCUAGGUUGUCUAUUUCGAGAACAGGCGAACAAGGAGAAAUUGAAGUACAAUGGAAGGAUACAGAGGAUGAACUACGCACCAAUCCAGCUGAUGGAAUAGAUAUACAUGCGUCUCUCCUUCACCGCCUGUCGAUAGCUUAUCCUAACUGCUCUGCCGGAAUGCGAUCUUUCAAUGGAUUCGAAUUUUCCAGUAAAUCAGGUAUCUGUAGAUUUUGGAUUUUGGAGCGCAAAAUCAUUUAGUAAGUGCCCCCUUAUACGACGCUUCUUUGCUGCAACUCACCUUCUUUUCUCUACUGAUGGCAGUGAAAACGAAUCCUUUCAUUGUCGAGAACCUGCAAAUUCCAAACUUUGUAAGUAAUAUUUGCAUAUGAUAUCUUAAAUCGUACAGUAGUAGAAUGAGUUAUAUGGUGCGAGCACACAACAUACGAUGUAGUUUGUCUAUAUCUUUUGUUUCAUGUUGUUGAUUUGUGGAAGAACGCUACUAGAAAUAAAACCGUGAACAAUUUGGUAUUGACUCAUAGAUUUGUUAACAAUUCUUGAUUUUAGGUUUUGGAGGAGCCCUCGGAUAAUUUGGUGCUCGGCAUGCCAGACAUACACCAAACUCCUGGGGUUUGUAUCUUUAUGGUUUUUGCACAUCGCUUAUUGCAUUGGCCUUUUCAUGUUAAUAUUCUAUAGCUGUCUGUUAUUGCCAUUUUUUUAGGCGGUGUUUUCACUUAAAUUAUCUAGGCACAUUGAUUGUCGGGGUCUAAGGAAUGGAAUUACUGUAGUGAUAGAUGGGUGGCUGCAAUCAAUUAUUAAUGUUUUAUUUUCAAUAAUUAACGGUGUUUUGUUUAAAUAUUUAAGGGUGUCUAAGCUAAUUCAUGUCUAUAAGUAGGGAUUUAUUGCCUCAAUCUGUCAAUAAGUUUGAGUUGUGACUUCUUGGUUAUAAGUUGGGAUCUUGUUGCCCACCAUCAGUUAAACUUUGUGGUUAAUGAAGUCUAAAUGUAGGGAAUAAGUUCAGCACAUAGUGGCCAUCCCACUACCAAAUAUUUGAAAAUCAAAGUAGAAUCACAUUAUGAUAGUUUUUUCUGUGAGGAUAGUUGAGGCUAACAAGCUGACCUUAAAGAAAACAUGGCCUUCAUAUACUCAUUAGUAAAUCGGAAAUGAACUUUGAACCUAGUAUUUGUCUUGCAAUCGGAUGCUAUUUGAAAUUUUGGAACGUUGGACUAUAGUUUUGUUUUUUCUUCUCUCUUUUAAUGGUUCAUUUUGGAUUUGAAUAUUUCUACUCCGAAACUUCAGUGUAAAUGUUCCUAUGGAUAUCAAUACCAUGAUAAAAGUUCAUAUUUAUAUAUGUUUUCUGCCAACCAACUAGGGGAGAUAAAUUAAGUUCCGAGCUAAGUUGCAAAAAAGUUAUUGGGAGCCGGGAGGCAAUAGUCGAUCAUUUCAAAAAUCAAUCAUGACUAGAUCGUAGAGGGAAUGAUGGAACACGGCUUCAUUUCUAGUAAUUAAAUAAUUUAUUUGUUAAGACAGGGAAAAUCUUGAACCCAUGAAGGAAGCUGCAAAGAUGAAUUCUAAGUACAAAGAUCGGCAUGGUUCUUACUAAAAAAUACAUGUAAAGAUUAUAUUUUAAUAACAUCUCAGGCUUGUUCGAGGGAUUAUCCCUAACAGAACUUGCUUAAGGCUGUUUUUGUCAUUGUUGCCUCUAUUUAGUGUAUUAUACUAUAACUAUAAGCUAACUAGCCUUCCUUCUACAGGUGAGUAACCAACGAUUAUCCAUUGGGAUGACUCCGAAAACCCGAAGACUGCCAAAACCAGGCGAGAUGCUUGUGUCCAUCCAUGGAUCCCCCUUGGGUGUUUACAAGGAAGACAACAUGGAAGCAAUCCAUGGUAUGCUCAUUUAGGUCAUUUCCAUUUCUAGACAUGGAGUAUUUUGGUGGGUUUAUAUAAAUCGUGCUUCUACAUUUUUCUAAUGGGUAAAUUGAUAUUGUGCAGAAUCGGAAGAGGGUUGAUUUGCUGAUUCAACGCGACUUGACUGCUUGUCAAUAGAAGUGAUACUCCAAAUGCGAUCAUCUCGACCAUCGUUUUACUUUUACCUGAUGUACUUUCAACCUUCUUGUCUUGUAAUCUAACCUUUUGAUUACUUCUUAAAAGUUACUCUUACGUGUAUAACUAUAAACUAGUGUGUUUUAACUCCAAGGAACGAGCAUGUACAAACACGCAAUUGCUCCACUAGAUUAUUGUUCAUUGUUAUUUGUUACGAAAGUUGACGUUGGAUUAAAGGUAAAUCUGGAUUGUUGCUUUGUCUUUAUUUCCAACAUGUUUUUUGUGAUUACCAACACAGUCUCAGAUCGCUAAUGAGGCAGAAAAAUGGUUCAGACGGUUGCUUAGGCUCUCCGAUGACAAUUGAAUCAAUUUAUAUAAUCCACAAAUACAAAGCACACUUAGUUUGUCUGUACAUCCCAAUUUUGUGAGGAGUCGGACCUCAUCAAAUCAUAAAAUUUCAUGGGAAAAUAAAUGAGCAUAUAUACAAAAUUUUGGUUUCUUUUCAAAACUCAACAUUCCUGUAAUUUUUGUAAAACUGCCGUACCAUUCUCCAAAUUUUAAGAGGAGAAGUCAAGAAGCUUCUAAAGAAUGUAGAUUGACCACAAAAAGGAAAUUCUUAAGCUAACCCUAGCUCUGGAGCAUGGUUUUCCACACCACUUUCUGAGUUUCGUGAACCUGUUCUAGUUCUUGAAGAUCUUGGUUUUUGCACAUUACUUUCUAAGUUUCUUGGACCUGAUCUAGUUCUUGAAGAUGACUGUUUUUCCACACUACUAUCUGAGUUUCUUGAACCUGUUCUAGUUCUUGCAGGUUCUGGUUUUUCUUGUGACGAUCCAAUGGUUCCCAAAGCAUCGAGGAAGAAUCUCUUAUUUGGAAUGAUGCCAGCUUUGUCCAUAUUCUUCAAGAGCUUCUCCAGAAGUUCCUUCUUAUCAGCUUUGGUGUAAGCUUUAUAAAGAAGCUUGUAUGUUGUUGAAUCUGGAAAUACCCUCAUAUUACCUGCACUCUCAAAAAGCAAAUCGGCUUCCAAGGGUAAACCAUUGAUGCAGUAAACAUCAAGCAUGGCAUUGAGGGUUGAGACUCUCACCUCCUUCCCAGAAUUAACCAUUCCAUCAAAGAUUUCUCUAGCCUUAGAAACACAGUCACAAUGACCAUACAUCAUGAUCAGGCUUUCACAAGUAACAUAGCUGGGGUCAUAUCCCAUAUCCUUCAUCUUCCUAAAAACCUCUUCAGCUUUCUCUCUAAGCCGUGCCUUCCCGUAGUUUGUGAUCAUUGAAUUGAAAGUAGGCAGUGUUGGCCUCUCCUUCGAUCGUAGUAAGCUCUUAAACACCUGUUCCAUCUUGUCAAAUAACUGUUUCUUCCCAUAUGAAUCAAUCAACAAGUUAAAGGAUAUGAUAUCUGGUUUAAUUUGAUUGCUUUUCAUGCGAGCAAGCAUCAAUUCCAUCUCUUUAAUGUUCCCAUUUUUCCCAUAUGCAUCCAUCACUCCAUUAUACGUAUAUAUAUCAGCUGAAACAACACUCUCAUCGAGAUCUUUAAACAAUGUAUUAACUUGAUCCACUUUUGCAGCUUGAGCAAAAGCUCUGGUAAGAAUGUUGUAAGUAACAAUGUUUGGCUUACAUCGUUCCAUUCCUUUCAUCUUCUCGAAGUACGAAAGGACUUUAACUAAAGCUUUAGCUUUGUCCUUAGAAUGAAGAUGUGCUGUGAUAAGUGCAUUGUACACAGAAGUAUCAGGUCGACACCCACUAUUUCGCAUCUCAGAAAACAACCACAUAGCCAUCCGAAUUUGACCCUUCUUUCCCAUAAUAGAUAUUAGUUUAGAAUAAACCCCAUUGUCAGCAAUAUACCAACGUUGUUUCUGCAUCCAUCUGAAGACCUGGAGAUGAAAACACAUCAAUAAAACAUAAUAGCAGAAAAAUGUAGACUCUCCCUUCUUCAUCUAUGCCUAAAUAGAGCUUGAACUACAGUGAAAAUUCAAUUAAUUCUGUGUAAUGUUCACAAAUUGAAAAUUCAUAUCCUCGAUUUCAAAUUCAAUCAACCGUCUUUGAGCAUUUUCACCACUACCCAUCAAUCCAAGUUCCAAAAGUCAAUACCCAUAGGCUCAAAUUCAGAGUUCAAAAGAAGAGAAGCGAACCUCGAGACAUUCAAGCCAUUUAUCUCUUUUCCCCAAUUCCUCAAAUAGAAGAAAACAGUGCUCAGUUCUCAUAACACGAACGUAUUUGUCCAGUGUCUUGAGCAAUGGUUCUUUGUCGCUGAAAUUUCUAAUUAUACCUCGAACCAGUUCUUCAGCCUCGGAUCUGUCGGUUUUAACCCCAAAUUUCCUACUGGGUCGAGUCGAAAUGCAGACCACUCGAGUCGAAACGGCUUUCUUUAUAGAUGAAGGGAGUGGAAGCCAUAGCCGGGAGAGUUGGGAAGAAGAAUAAGAUGGAGUGAAUGUGGGAGAAAAUUGCAGAGAAAAUGAAAGAGGCAUUGGAGAAUUUGAAGUACCUUGGAGUUCGACAGGGAGAGAGGAUAGCAAAAUCCGAUGAAGUAAAUGGUUGAUUUUGUAAAUUCCUCGCGUUGGAGAAAAAAACAAAAAAAAAACAAAAGAGGGAAUUGAACCCGACGUGAAUCGAACACGCAACCUUCUGAUCUGGAGUCAGACGCGCUACCAUUGCGCCACGGAUCCACUUGUUGAUUUCAUAAUUAAGUAAAAGAAUUAAACCAAUAAUAUUUUCAUUGUAAGAAAUAAAAAUGAUCUAAACAUUAAGACUAAAGUUUGGAUAAUUUUUUUGAAAAUGUUCUCUUUGUACAAUUAACACGAUUCUUGAAAAAUCAUUAAGCUACAUUGUAACAUCUUCAAUAAAUAAUUUUAUUCUCCACAACUAUCAUCUAAUUUCCUCGAAAUUUAACAAAAAAAAUUGGAGGUUAUGAGUAAAAGGAGGGUGUCAUUGUUAAUAAAAAAUGUAAAACUGUGGGUUGGAUUGCCUCUACCACAAGGAGAAAUAGAAAAAGACGUGUGUGGCGGUUUCUUCCUGCACCAAACCAAUAAUGUUUGACCAUUACAACCUAAGCCUUCUUUGAAAUUAAUGCAUCUCCUAAGGAUUUGCCAUUGAAAAAAUGGUAGUUUUGUAUUCUCUUUUUUUUUUUUAAUAACAUUUUAAAAUUUUUCUGUGUGUAGCCCAUGAAAUUAAGUGCAACAAUCCAUUGCUUUUUUUUUUUUCCUUAAUGUGUGCAACUUUAGAAAGCUAUGUAUAGGUGAAAGAAGAAAAAAUAAUUUUCAUUGUUGUUUCAAAAAAAAAAACGAUCCAUUUCUCGUUUCUAUUUUUCUUUUUCCAUUUAUUGUUAAAGGAAGGAAAUUCUUUCAAAAAACAAAAGUAAAAUUGAAUUAUCGAGUAAAGGCCGUGACAGAAGAGAAAUUAAUUUUCGUAGUUGCAAGGUUAUUCUUAUUGUCCUCUUACCUUUUUUCUUUAUUAAAAGAGAGAAGAUUAGAAGAAAGAAAAGACGUGCAAGAAAUGUUAGCUUUUCUAUCCAUAAAAUAGAAAACAAAAGCAGAGAAGAUUUUGAAAAUAAACAUAGAUUUUUCUUUUCUUUUUGGAUAAAGUUAUAGAGAGAAACAUCAUAUAAAAUAAAAAAAAGUGUGAGAAAAAUGAGUUAGCACAUAUGCAUGGGAGACUGGCCGGAGAUUCGCCAAAAAGAUGGACGCAUGUCACCGGAGGAAAGUUCAUCGACAAAUAUUUAACCACAGGUUAAGUCUUCUUUUUUCAAGCCUUGAAAAUUAUUAAUAAAACUAUAAUAUACGUAACCUUUCAUCACUUAUUGCAUACCAUGGCUUGGGUUUCGGCUACAAUAAUUGGGUUACUGCUUCUUCUUCUUCUUCUUCUUCUUUCAAAUUACCUCUUUGAAAUAUGGCUAUUCAAGAAUAAGAGUAAGGGCAAGAAAUUACCUCCUGGCCCGAAAGGGUUUCCCAUUUUUGGCAGUCUCAGUUUGCUCAAAGAGUUUCCUCAUAGAGAUCUUCAUCGCCUGUCUCAAAAAUAUGGUCCUAUUAUGCACAUCAAAUUGGGACUUGUAAACACGAUUGUUGUUUCUUCCCCACAAGCUGCUGAGCUUUUUCUCAAAACCCAUGAUCUUAUUUUUGCAAGUAGGCCUCUCACUAUGGUCUCUAAAUUCUUGUCUUAUGGCCAAAAGAAUUUGGUUUUUGCUCAAUAUGGAUCUUAUUGGAGGAAUGUACGUAAAAUGUGUACACUUGAAUUGCUUAGUAAUCACAAGAUCAAUUCUUUCAAAUCCAUGAGAAAGGAAGAGGUUGGGCUGUUGAUUGAGUAUCUCAAAGAGGCUGCAAGUGAUGGUGUUUCUAUUAAUAUUAGUUCAAAAGCUGCGUCACUCAUUACAGACAUGACUUGCUUGAUGGUUUUUGGGAGGAAAUUUGGCGAUGAAGAGUUGGAUGAUAGAGGUUUCAAGGCUAUGAUGCAAGAGGUGAUGCAAUUAAUUGCUGCUCCUAAUUUGGGAGAUUUUAUUCCCUUUAUCGAAAGAUUUGAUCUUCAAGGCCUGAAUCGUCGGAUGAUAAAUGUUAGCAAAGUGUUUGAUGGGUUCUUUGAGAGGAUUAUUGAUGAACAUCUCAAGUCUAUGGGCGAAAAGAAGACAAAAGACUUUCUAGAUGUCAUGUUGGAUCUAAUGAAUACUGAAUGUCUUAGUUAUGAGUACCGAAUUGAUCGAUCCAACGUCAAAGCAAUAAUACUAGUGAGAAUUCCAAUCCUCUUAAUCCAGUAAAAAAAAUGCCAUAAUUAGAAUUGAGUUACUUCAUUAUUGAACAAAGUUUCAUAAAUUUAUAACUUUUUUUAAAAAAUAAUUUAUAAAGUAAUUUCAAAUGAGCACGUAAAUUAUGAAUUGAAAUAUUAAUAUUAUUAUUUUAGUUUCUAUCUAUUUUUAACAAAUUCAUUCUAAUUAUUAGAUCUAUAUUAUUAACUUUUUGUUCAUUUUGAGAUUAUUGAAUUUUAAAGAAAAAAUCCAUUUCCAUCCAAUAAAAAUGAGGACAACUAAAUGAAUCAUUUCUUUUAAUGAAGUAUAAAAGAUCAAAAGGAAAUGAAAAGUAUGUAAAAGUAGUGCAAUAAUUUAAAUAUGACAUAAAAGAUGAAUUGGUUCAAUAUAUAUAUACUGAGUUUGAUUUUGUUGAAGGAUAUGCUUGGUGCUGCAAUGGACACAUCAGCCACAGUAAUUGGGUGGGCACUACCUGAGCUCAUAAGACAUCCACAGGUAAUGAAGAAAGUGAAAGAUGAACUUGAAAAUGUGGUGGGCUUAGAUACAAUUGUGGAAGAAUCACAUUUAAUUCACUUGCAAUAUUUAGACAUGGUCAUUAAGGAGAUUCUUAGGCUCUAUCCUCCCGUUCCAUUGUUAGUUCCACACGAAUCUCUUCAAGAUUGCGUUGUUGAUGGUUUUUUCAUUCCAAGAAAGUCUCGUGUAAUAGUAAAUGCAUGGGCAAUUGGACGAGAUCCAACUGCUUGGAUUCAUCCACUAAAGUUUCAUCCAGAGAGAUUCAUGGAUAGCCAAUUGGAUGUAAAAGGAAGAGAUUUUCAGUUAAUUCCAUUUGGAGCUGGUAGAAGAGGGUGUCCAGGAAUUCAUUUGGGUUUGACUGUAGUUCGUUUGGUAUUGGCUCAACUUCUACAUUGCUUUGAUUGGAAGCUCCUUGGUGGUAUGUCAAUAGAUGAAUUGGAUAUGACCGAAAAUUUUGGUUUGACUUGUCCUAGAGCUCAAGAUCUUAUUCUCAUUCCUGUUUAUCGACUUCAUAUUUGAAUUUAAUUAUUCUUCUCUCAUGUCAAUUUGAAAGUUUAAUAAUAUGUAAAAGAAUCAUAGUCGUUCAAUAAAAUAUCACGUGUACCAUGUAAUGAUUGGUUAACUUAAUCCCAAAUUUUGAGUUUAAAUUUCAAAUGGGAGGAAUCAAAUGAUUUAUUGUAAAAUUUAAAAUUCUUGAAAUUUAUAAAUUGGAAAAUCAUGAAAUGAAUUUUGUAAAUUGUGUUUUAUACAGUUCAAAAUGAAAUUCUUUUACAUAUUAUUAAUUUAGAGGAAGGAUCUAUAUGUAAUUUUUUUCAGUAUUUCUUUUUAUUGAAAUGACUAUAUAAUUCUUUUACUUAUUAUUAAACUCAACUUGGCACAAUGAAAAGGGUAAUUAAAUUCAAAUAUGAAGUCGAUAAAUAGGAAUGACAAUAAGGUCUUGAGCUCUUGGACAAGUCAAUCCAAAUUCUUCGGUCAUAUCCAACUCAUCUAUUGACGUACCAUUGGGAAGCUUCCAAUCAAAACAAUGUAGAAGUUGAGCCAACACCAAACGAAUCACAGUCAUACCCAAUUGAAUUCCAGGACAUCCUCUUCGACCAGCUCCAAAUGGAAUUAAUUGAAAAUCCCUUCCCCUUACAUCCAAAUGACUUCCCAUAAAUCUUUCGGGACAAAACUUUAGAGGAUGAAUCCAAGCACUUGGAUUUCGACCAAUUGCCCAUGCAUUCACUAUUACACGUGAAUUUUUUGGAAUGAAAAAGUCUUCAACAAUGCAGUCUUGAAGAGAUUCAUGUGGGACUAGCAAUGGAAGUGGUGGAUAGAGCCUAAGAAUCUCCUUAAUGACCAUAUCCAAAUAUUCCAAGUGAAUUAAAUCUAAUUCUUCCACCAUUCUAUCUAACCCCACCACAUUCUCAACUUCAUCUUGCACUUUCUUCAUCACAUCUGGAUGUCUUAUGAGCUCUGCUAGUGCCCAUCCAAUUACUGUGGCUGAUGUGUCCAUUGCAGCACCAAGUACAUCCUAUUCAUGUAUAUGGAAUGUAAUAAGUGUAUUUUAAAACACAAAAAAUUACAAAACUACAAAAUAUAACGAAAUUUUAGAUAUAUCAAAUAUAGGUACCGAUCAAAUCACAUUUUUAAAUAUAACAAAAUGAACCAAAAUAUUUACAAAAAUAUAACAAAAUUUAAAUUCUAUUAAAGAAAAUUGUAAAAAAUAACAAAUUUAACAUAAUAUUUAUAACGUAUAGCAAAAUUUUCAGAUUUUAUCAAUAGUAGACAUUAAUAAACAUUUAUAUGCAUCUAUUAGCGACAUUAAUAGAUAGUGGUAAAAGUCUAUCAAUUUAAAAAUAUUUAAAUACAAUAUUUUAAUUAACAUAAGACAAAAAUGGACAUUAUUAAUAAUUCCAAUGACCAAAAUAAAUAUUUUGAACCAAAUAAUCCCAUAUUCUUAAAUUACCAAUUGAACUAACAUAAUUUGAAGUAUAAAAAUAAAUAUGACCACUAAAUAAAAAAUACGGGACGUGAAGAGGCAUUCAAACCUAAACAAUAAUAAUAAUAGAUUUUCAUCUACAAAACUAUGAGCUCAUCUGAAAUUACUUUAUAAGUCAUUUAAAAAGAAGUAAUUUUAUGCACGAAAAUAAAUAAUUCUUCAGACAAGAACUAACUCAAUUUUUGACCUAGUUUGAUGAUUAAAACAUUUAAUUAAAUGUCUUUAACUAGAGAUCAAAGGAUUUAAAUUCUUACCAAUAUUAUUGCUUUAACACUGGAACGAUCAAUUCGAUACUCAUGAGUAUCUUCAGACUUCAUUAGAUCCAACAUGACAUCUAAAAAAUCUUUAGUUUUUUUUUCACCCAUGGACUUAAGAUGUUCAUCAAUAAUCCUCUCAAAAAACCUAUCAAACACUUUGUUAAUAUUUUUCAUCCGACGUGUCAACCCUUGAAGAUCAAACAUUGCAAUAAAAGGAAUAAGAUCUCCCAAAUUAGGAGCAGCAACUAAUUGCAUCACCUCUUGUAUCAUAGCCUUGAAACCUCUAUCAUCCAACUCCUCAUCCCCAAAUUUCCUCCCAAAAACCAUCAAGCAAGUCAUGUCUGUGCUGAGUGACACAACUUUUGAACUAAUAUUAACAGAAACACCAUCAUUUGCAGCCUCUUUGAGAUACUCAAUCAACAACCCAACCUCUUCCUUUCUCAUGGAUUUGAAAGAAUUGAUCUUGUGAUUACUAAGCAAUUCAAGUGUACACAUUUUACGUACAUUCCUCCAAUAAGAUCCAUAUUGAGCAAAAACCAAAUUCUUUUGGCCAUAAGACAAGAAUUUGGAGACCAUAGUGAGAGGCCUACUUGCAAAAAUAAGAUCAUGGGUUUUGAGAAAAAGCUCAGCAGCUGGCGGGGAAGAGACAAUAAUUGUGUUUACAAGUCCCAAUUUGAUGUGCAUAAUGGGACCAUAUUUUUGAGAUAAGCGAUGAAGAUCUCUAUGAGGAAACUCUUUGAGCAAAUUGAGACUACCAAAAAUGGGAAACCCUUUUGGGCCAGGAGGUAAUUUCUUGCCCUUACUCUUCUUCUUGAAUAGCCACGUUUCGAAGAUGUAAUUUGAAAGAAGAAAAAGUAAUGCAAUUAUUGUAGCCCAAAUCCAAGCCAUGGCAUGGAGUUUUAUUUGUCCCAGCUAAUUAAUGAUGAUGAUAUUGAAAUAAAAAUGGGAUUUAAUAAUAAGCUUUGAUUGUUAUAAUUAAUUGAACUAUCUCCAACCCUUUUUAAAUGAUAGGCAUAGUUGUUAGAUGGUUUUGUUUUGUUAAUAUUUUAAAGCCACCAAGAAAAUUUUCAAAAUUUCAAAUUCAACUUUUGCUAUAUACUCUAGGGAAAUUCAACUAGUGGAGGUGUGGGUAGGAUGGUUUUCAACGAUAUCGGAGAUCAUGUAAAAUUAAAAAAAUUCUCCUUGUUAAUUUUUUCUCCAAAGAUGUACGAUAUUAUAUUAGAAGUAGAAUGAUUUUCAAAAUAUAAUUUUGGAUUGUUUUCUUCAAUAGAUCAUACAUGCAUGGUGUGUAUUUGUAAUAAUUUUGGAAUGUCAAGAUUGGGGUGCGGCCAGUAUAAGUUUGAAGAUGCAAAAAUAAACUAAACUUCCUUUUAAAUAAGACAGUUGAGUUCAAACUAUUCAUUCUAAUUAUUAUUAUUUAUUAUCUACAAGAUACUAAUGGGAGAGAGGGACAACUGCUCAACUGGAUUUUUUUCUAGAAAGUAGACAAAUUACUUUGGAGUUUUGUUAUUAUAAAAAUAAAUGGAAACAGGAAAGAGGUAAUGAAAUUAAAAAAGGGAGAUGAGUAUAAGAGUGGCCAAAAGUCCAAGCCAUGCCCAAUCUAAUGAUACAUUUGUAAUUAUGCUUGGACAAAGAAAGUAUUUGGCAGUAGUCUAUAUAUCACAAAAGAGUGUAGCUUUGUAAUUAAUAUAUAUCUCACGAACAUACUUUACACAAAAUAUAUCAAUCAUUUAUUUUAGCCCCGAGCAUCAAGUCAAAUCUUUAUCGAUUUAUUUCAAUUCCAGUACUUUUAAAUAUUGAAUUAUUAUUGUACAUUGUUAAUUAAAAUGACGUCUCCAAUUUUUUUUUACUAAAUUUACAUGGUACAUGAAUUCAAAACAAGCAAUACAUAAUUGAAGACACUGUUUUCAUUCAUAAUGAAAAUGUCUACUAACUAAAUUCAAUAAAAAUAAAAUGAAAAUGAAUAAAAAGUUUAAAUGUAGUUGUGGUAAAAAUUAUUGAAGUGAUAGACAAUUGAAAUUACAUCCCACUCGAGACUUCCAACUAGAUCUAGCAAAUCUGAGAUAGAUAUUAUUUUGAUAGUGAUUGGGUGUGUUGGAGUUUAGCAUCUCAAUUAUGAUGGCUCAAAAGUUGUUUACGUCGUCCAAGUCAACUCCAGAACAGUUGAAUAAAACCCAAGACAAUUUUUCAUAUAAAUGUUAAAUAUAAUCUUAUACUCUCCUUCUAACUAGAUCAACAUCUAAUUUUAAACUAUACAUUACAUUUAUUUGAGGUUAGAUGAAUAAUUACUAUUUUCAUUAUAACAAAUUACAUAUUCAAUCAUAAAAAAUAAAAAAAAUACUCUAGUCACUUUACUCAUUCAUAUAAAAUAUGUAGCUGUUAGUGAAAUUCUAAUUUUUUAAGUUACAUUCAUAAAGGCAUGUUGGUAAAAUAUUGACGUCAAUAAUUAAGUUACUAAAUAUUGGUUGAUGAUGUUUUUAUUUGUUUAGACAUAAAUAUAGAUUGAUGUUGAACUAUUAAAAUAAGCAACAUUGUUAAAGCAAUGUGGGAGGACCCAUGGCUAUUAUGUUAUGGGAUGUUAUUAACUUUAAUUUAAUUAAAAAUUUGAUUGGAUUAGAUUAGAUUAUAGUUUCCUAUACAACUAUCAAAUUUCAAGAAUAGAAAGUUAUUUAGUGACCACUACAAAAAAGUAAGUAUAAAAAAAAAUAAGAUAAAUGAAAGUUGACAAUAAUUAGACGUAGGUAUAGCAUAAGUUGCAUGAUAAUUUAUAUCAUGUAUAAUAUUUUUUAAAAUUACAUCUAUCUUUAUUAAAUUAUUUUUUGGGAUGCAAAAUGAUUAAUUUUGUUUAAUCUGUGUUUUGAUGGCCGUAAUUAAAGUUAGGUCACAAACAAUUAAUCCAAGAAAAGGACAUGCAUCCAUUGUUAUCAAUGUCUAUACCAAACGAAAAAUACCCAUCAGCCAUUUCUCAAGUAAAAAUUAAAACCCAAAAAUACCCUCACCAGUCACCACUCAACUCUUCCAUUAUUGCUAACGUCCAACGCAAAUUUAAAUAAAUAUAUUGAUUUUUUAGUUUCAUAGUUAUAUCACAAAAUAUCUUACAUGCUUUAAAUUUUAUUUUCUUAAAAAAAGAGAAACAUUAAAUAUUUUAAUUUAUUUUAUUAUUUUUCAUAAGAAUAAAGAUAGACCAUUUGAGAUUGAUUUAAAAUAAUUUAAAUCACACUGUAAUCUAGUUUAUUUUAAAUUAUUCUAGAACACAAUUUUACAAUUUCAGGUUGAAUUUUACCGUCUUAAUCCAAAAUUUUCACACUAACAAAAUUAAAAUUCAACUAAAAUACUUUUUCUUAUUUUCAAACAUGGUUGAUAUUUGAUCCAUACCUUUAUUAUUUAACAUUUAUCCUUUUUUCGCACAACCCAACCCACCUAUUUAUAAUCUCAACAACAUAUCCAAAACCCCAACACUCUCAUCUCAUUUGAACAAAAUCUAAGCCGUUCCAACAGUAGAGAGAAACUAAGAAAAAGCCUAUGGCUUUGAUUUUGGUCGUCGUCGUCCUCAUCACUCUCCUCCUUGCUCUUCUAAUCUCACACUCAUGGCUAUUCAAAUCCCAAAUCAAACCCAAAAAAUCCCCUCCAGGGCCAAAAGGGUUUCCCAUUUUUGGUUGCCUUCAUUUACUAGGAAAACUCCCUCACAGAAAUCUCCACGAAUUAUCCCAAAAGUAUGGACCCAUAAUGAGCAUGAAACUAGGGCUUGUUCCCACCAUCAUAGUCUCAUCCCCUCACGCCGCCCAACUCUUCCUCAAAACCCACGACCUCAUUUUUGCAAGCCGCCCCUCUUCACAAGCUUCAAAACACAUCUCUUAUCAACAAAAAAAUUUAGUCUUUGCUCCAUAUGGUCCUUAUUGGCGCAACAUGCGUAAAAUGUGCACUCUUGAAUUGCUUAGUAACCUUAAAAUCAAUUCUUUCAUGCCUAUGAGAAAACACGAGCUUGGUUUGUUGAUUGAGUACUUAAAAGAAGCUGCUCAUAACAAAGCUGUUGUGAAUCUGAGUGCUAAAGUUACGUCACUUACAACUGACAUUAUUUGUUUGAUGGCAUUUGGAAAGAAAUAUGGAGAUGAAGAAAUUGAUGAAAGGGGUUUUAAGGCUGUAAUACAAGAAGGUAUGCAGUUGUCUGCUGCGCCUAAUUUGGGGGAUUUUAUUCCGGCAAUUGCUUGGCUUGAUCUUCAAGGAUUUACUCGUAAAAUGAAACGUGUUCAUAAGGUGUAUGAUGAAUUUCUUGAAAAGAUUAUUAAUGAACAUCUUGUGGCUAGAGGUGGGAAGAAGACUAGGGAUUUUGUUGAUGUUAUGUUGGAUCUUAUUGGUUCUCAACAAACUGAGUAUCAAAUUGAUCGUUCUGCUAUUAAAGCUAUAAUGCUGGUAUGCCUACCUCUUUCUUCUAUUUCUAUCUUUUCAAUCCUACGUCUUCUCAAACUUUUUAUAUUUUUAUUUUUGUACAUCACUUACCUUAAAAAGAAUAAUAAAUUGCUAUCCAAUUAUAAUGAAAGGUUAAAAAAACAAACGUUUUUUUUUGUGUUUUUUCUUAUAUUUUUUUAUUAACCUAACAAAUGUGGUGGGAAGGUUCUUUAACAUAUGUGCUGAAGAAAGGAGAUUGUUAUGAAUUUUGUGUUUGAUUUUGAUGAUUAUUGUUUAAUAAAUCUUUAAAAUAAUUUUGUGUCAAUUAUUGAUUAUUAAAAUUUUUAUUUAUGUAUUUAAUAUAGGUCAUUAACCUAUCAUAUUCAACAUUUUUAAAGUUCUAAUUUAGUUUAUAGUUAUAUUAAACAUGAAAUUUAAAUUAGUGUCGAUUGAACAACUCAUUUUGAAAAUUUUUACCUGUCCAUGUUGGUUAAAGACAUUUAAUCUUACAUUUAAUGUAAAAAAAAAAAAACAAAAAACAAAAAAAAAUUAUCAUGGAGACACUUACUUUACAUUAAAUUAUAUUAUCCCCUAAUUAAUGAACUAAGAAAAACAGUAUAUUUACUUUUUAUCGGUGCAAUUAUGAGGAUGGCUGAAGAGCGAUAGAACAGAAGUGGACAGAUAUCUUUGAAAUAUAAAAGAAAUCACUAAAUAUUUACCCAAGAAUAAAUAUAUCACUAAAAUUCAAAAGUGAUUUACAAACCAUUUUUUGCUUUUGGAUAAAUAUUUUGUCAAUUAUUGGAUACUAUUUUUAGAAAUAAUAAAGGUGUAUAAUAACAUUACUAAAAAAUUUAAAAUAUAAUGGAGUUUGUGAUUUAUCCCUAGAUUUUCACUGCUAUUUUUCAAUAAACUUGUACUUAUGAUAUGAUUUAGAUUUUGAAAACUGGUUGUUGUAAACUUUUUUCCUUGUUCUACAUUAACUUGUCUAUUAUAUGAGAUCCACUAACAUUGAUUUAAAAUUUAUUGAUAUUUAUGUAAUGAAAUAUAUAAUGUGAAAGAAAAAUAUAUGGUAACCAUACUUGUGAAGGUCGGCAUUCAAAUUAUCUUUAUUAUUUACCUUUAUUGAACAACACAAAAGAAUAUUCCACAAAUAUAGGGAAAAAAAACUUGGUUUAUCUUAUUUAUUUAUUUGGUUGUUUGUACUAUUAAAUGCAUUGUCAUCCCCAUACUCUAUCCCUUUAGUUUAUAUUUAUUGUGUUGGGUACUUCUUGUAGGAUAUGCUUGCAGCAGCAAUGGACACAUCAUCAACAACAAUAGGAUGGGCAAUGUCAGAGCUAAUAAGACAUCCAGAUGUAAUGAAGAAAAUGCAAGAUGAAUUACAAGAAGUUGUUGGUUUACACAGAAUGGUUCAAGAAUCUGACUUAGUAAGCUUAGAGUACUUAGAAAUGGUAGUGAAAGAGAUUAUGAGGCUAUAUCCAGCAGGUCCAUUAUUGAUUCCACGCGAGUCUCUUGAAGACUGCACUGUCGAUGGGUUCCAUAUUCCCAAGAAAUCAAGAGUAAUGGUAAAUGUAUGGACUAUUGGGCGAGACCCGAGUGUUUGGAAUGAUCCACACAAGUUCUUUCCUGAGAGGUUUAUUGGUAGCAAAAUAGAUUUGAAGGGUAAUGAUUUUGAAUUGAUUCCAUUUGGUGGUGGGCGUAGAGGAUGCCCUGGAAUACAAUUGGGCUUAACUAUGGUUCGGUUAUUGUUGGCUCAACUUGUGCAUUGUUUUGAUUGGAAGCUUCCAAAUGGUAUGUUGCCAUCUGAAUUAGAUAUGACCGAAGAAUUUGGAUUGACUUGUCCUAGAGCAAAAGAUCUCAUGGUUAUUCCUACCUUUCGUCUUAAUGAUUCAAUUAGUACUAAGAAUUUGUCUUCUUGAAUAACCUAGAUAAUAUAUAAGUAAUGAUUGAUAAUAUAUAAUAAUGGUCAAGAUAAAGAGUGAUUGAAAUACUCUCUUUAUAUAAAUAAUAAUAUACAUAGAAACUUUUAUCAUCCUUUACCACUUCUUCCCGUUAGUUGAAAUAAAUGAAUAACAUUCGUCUUAUUUGAUAAUUAUUUGAUUAUUUAAAUUAAAAAUGAAGCUCGUAAAAUGAUAUUUUACGUAUAUAGUUUUGAAAACUUUUUAAAAAUAUACAUGGUCUUUUUGUUCACAAAUUUUUUAUACAAAUUACUUUGGAAUUUUGUUAUUGAAUUUUGAUUUAUUUUUAUUAAAAAAAUAAAUGGAAACAGGAAAAAGGUAAGGAAAUUAAAAAGGGGGAUGAGUAUAAGAGUGGCCAAAACUCCAAGCCAUGCCCAAUCAAUGAUACAUUUGUAAGCAUGGACAAAGAAAGUAUUUGGCAGUGAUCUAUCAGUACAAAGAAUUUGUUUUUGUAAUUUAUAUCUCACAAAGACGUGAACAAGAGUGUACCAACUUUACACAAAUCAUAUUGACCAUUCAUCAUAAUUAUCACGACCAUCACAUCAAAUUUUUAUGGGUUUAAUAUUUUAAAUAAAAUAUUAUUUCGAUUCCUAUACUUUUAAAUAUUACAUUUUUAACAAAUUUAAAAUAAACUCAUCUCUUCUGUUUUUGGUUAAAAUUAUGUACCCAAACUGUUACAUGGUAAAUAAAUUCAAAGCGAUAAACAAUUGGAACAACGUCCACCAUGGGUGUUUGAACUAGAGUGAGAGAAUGUGGGAUGGACUUUACUUUGAACAUUUAAUUUUGAUAGGGAAUGGGUGUGUUGAAGUUCAGAACAGUUGGAUAAAACCACAACAAUUUUUCAUUUUCAACUCACAUAAUUUUUUCUUCAUUUUAUUCAAAACAAAAUAUAUGUACUUUAAUAAAUGUUAAAUAUAAUCUUAUAGUCUCCUUGUAACUAGAUCAACCUCUAAUUUUAAACUAUACAUUAUAUAUUUAUUUAAGAUUACAUGAAUAAUUACUAUUUUCAUUAUAAAAAAAUUAACAUUAAAAAAAAGAAUCUUUUUUUAUGGUGAAGAAAGAGAUCGUAUUCAUAUUCCAUGUUGUCAACAUUUGAUGAUAAAAGAAUACACAAAAAAAAAAGAUAUUCUCGUCACUUCACUCCUCUAUGUCAUCGAAUAUAAAAUAUGUCGAUGUUGUUAGUGAAAUUCUAAUUUUUUAAGUUCUAUUAAUAAAAUAUCGACAUCAAUAAUUAAGUUACUAAAUAUUGGUCGACAUGUUUGUUUGGACAUAAAUCCGGAUGGAUGUUAGAACUAUUAAAAUAAGCAACAAUGUCGGAGGACCAAUAAUGUCUAUUAUGUUUUGAGAUAUUGUUAACUUUAAUUUAAUUUUAAUUUUGAUUGGAUUAUGCUGUAUUGUAGCUUGGCAUGAAACCAUAAAAUUUCAUGAAUAAAAAGUUAUUUAUUUAGUGGUUGCAACAAAAAGUAAGUAUGAGAAAACCAAGAUAAAAGAAAAUCGACAAUAAUUAUGUGCAAAAUAGGUUGCAUUUAUAUCAUGUAUAAUCUUUUUUAACAUAGUAAAAAAUAAUAAUAAUCAAUUUCUUUAAAAGAAAUUAAAACCCAAAAAUACGCUCACCAUUCACCAAUCAUCACCUAAAGACACUCCAAAGGUUAAAAUUAAAAUAUGUCUAUAUUGAAAUUUUAAUUUUAUAGUUAUAUUGAUAAAAUAAAGGUAGAGAUCAAAGAAAGUGUAGGUUUGAGAUCGAUUUUAAAAUAAUUUAAAGCACUUGUUUAUCUAAAAUUAUUCUAAAACACAUUUUUUUUUAAAAAUUUCACGUUGAAUUUUACCGUCUUAAACCAAAAUUUUCAUACUAAUAUAAUUAAAAUUGAACUAAUACUUUUUCUUAUUUUCAAAACCACUCUCAAUCUUAGUUGAUAUUUGAUGCAUAUCUUUAUCAUUGUUUUAUCCUUUUUCACACAACCCAACCCAUCUAUUUAUAAUCUCAACUACAUAUCCAAGACCCCAACACUAUCAUCUCAUUUGAACAAAAUCUAAGCCGUCCCAACAGUAGAGAGACACUAAAAAAGAGCCUAUGGCUUUGAUUUUGGUCGUCGUCGUCGUCAUCACUCUCCUCCUUGCUCUUCUAAUCUCACAUUCAUGGCUAUUCAAAACCCAAAUCAAACCCAAAAAAUUCCCUCCAGGGCCAAAAGGGUUUCCCAUUUUUGGUUGCCUCCAUUUACUAGGAAAACUCCCUCACAGAAAUCUCCACGAAUUAUCCCAAAAAUAUGGACCCAUAAUGAGCAUGAAACUAGGGCUUGUUCCCACCAUCAUAGUCUCAUCCCCUCAAGCCGCCAAACUCUUCCUCAAAACCUACGACCUCAUUUUUGCAAGCCGCCCCUCUUCACAAGCUUCAAAACACAUCUCUUAUCAACAAAAAAAUUUAGUCUUUGCUCCAUAUGGUCCUUAUUGGCGCAACAUGCGUAAAAUGUGCACUCUUGAAUUGCUUAGUAACCUUAAAAUCAACUCUUUCAUGCCUAUGAGAAAACACGAGCUUGGUUUGUUGAUUGAGUACUUAAAAGAAGCUGCUCAUAACAAAGCUGUUGUGAAUCUGAGUGCUAAAGUUACGUCACUUACAACUGACAUUAUUUGUUUGAUGGAAUUUGGGAAGAAAUAUGGAGAUGAAGAUUUUGAUGAAAGAGGGUUUAAGGCUGUAAUACAAGAAGGUAUGCAGUUUGCUGCUGCGCCUAAUUUGGGGGAUUUUAUUCCGGCAAUUGCUUGGCUUGAUCUUCAAGGAUUUACUCGUAAAAUGAAACGUGUUCAUAAGGUGUAUGAUGAAUUUCUUGAAAAGAUUAUUAAUGAACAUCUUGUGGCUAGAGGUGGGAAGAAGACUAGGGAUUUUGUUGAUGUUAUGUUGGAUCUUAUUGAUUCUCAACAAACUGAGUAUCAAAUUGAUCGUUCUGCUAUUAAAGCUAUAAUGCUGGUAUGCCAAUUCUUCUAUUUCUACUUUUUUUAAUCCUACGUUUUCUCAAACUUUUUUAGAUUAAAAGAAAAAUAUAUUAUAUUUAGGGUAAUAUUUGGAUGCAUAUUUAUUUUUGUCCAACACAUACCUUAAAAAAAUUAAAAUAUUUCAAAAAUGAACUAAGUUGCUACGUUAUUAUAUGUUAUAAUUGGAUAAUUUGGUGUACCAAAACAAAUAUAAUCUUUGUGUUUUUUCUUAAAACAAAUGUGGUGGGAAGGUUCUUUUAACAAAUGAACUGAAGGAAAUGAGGGUGUUAUGAAUUUUGAGUUUAAUACUGGUUAUUGUUGUUUAAUAAAUCUUUAAAAUAAUUUUUUGUCAAUUGAUUACUGAUUUGUUUUAAUUAUUUAAUAUAGGUCAUUAACCUAUCUUACAUUUUCUCAAAAAAAAAAAAGAAAAAAAAAGAAAAGAGAAAACAUCAUGGUGACACUUACUUUAAAUUAAAUUAUCUUAUCCCCUAUUUAAUGAACACUAUAUUUAUUGCUUAUCGGUGCAAUUAUGGGGGUGGCUGAAGAGAGAGAAAACAUGUGGACAGAUAUCUUUGAAAUAUAGAAGAAAUCACAGAAAUAUUUACCCAAAAAAACAUCACAAAUUCAAAAGUUAUUUACAAACCAUUUUUCUUUACAAUUUUAGAUAAAUAUUUUGUUGAUUUCAUCGAAAACUUUUAGAUAUUGAUGAGGUGAUGUUUUAGAAACAAUAAUUAAGUGUAUUAUAGUAUUUUAAAAUUAUAAAUAUAACAUAGUUAAUUUAUAUUUAUUUUAUACUUUUAUAACUUUUUUUUGUUUGAAAACUGGUUAUUUAAUUAUUAUUUUUCUUUGUUCCACAUCAACUUGUUUACAUUGAUGUAAAAUUUAUUGAUAUUCAUAAUGUGAAAAAAGAAAAAAAAAGGGUAAACAUACUUGUGAAGGCCGGCAUCCAAAUUAUUAUAAUUAGUUAAUUUUAUUAUUUAACUUUGUUUAUGGAAGAACACAAAAGAAUAUUCCACACUUAUUGAAAAAUAAUACUUGGGUUUCUAUUUUUUAAUUAAUAGUAUGAAAGAUUUAAUUUAAAAGUAGAGAGACCCACAAUAAUAAAUUAGAAGUAAUGAAAUCAAUUGUUAUUAAUAGUUUUACUUAAUUACGUAUUUCUGUUUUUGGUUGGGUUCUUUUAGGAUAUGCUUGCAGGAGCAAUGGAUACAUCAUCAACAACAAUAGGAUGGGCAAUGUCAGAGCUGAUUAGACAUCCAGAUGUAAUGAAGAAAAUGCAAGAUGAAUUACAAGAGGUUGUUGGUUUACACAGAAUGGUUCAAGAAUCUGACUUAGUAAACUUAGAAUACUUGGAAAUGGUAGUGAAAGAGAUUAUGAGGCUAUAUCCAGCAGGUCCAUUAUCCAUUCCACGCGAGUCUCUUGAAGACUGCACUGUCGAUGGGUUCCAUAUUCCCAAGAAAUCAAGAGUAAUAGUGAAUGUAUGGGCUAUUGGGCGAGACCCGAGUGUUUGGAAUGAUCCACACAAGUUCUUUCCUGAGAGGUUUAUUGGUAGCCAAAUAGAUUUGAAGGGUAAUGAUUUUGAAUUGAUUCCAUUUGGUGGUGGGCGUAGAGGAUGUCCUGGAAUGCAAUUGGGCUUAACUAUGGUUCGGUUAUUGUUGGCUCAACUUGUGCAUUGUUUUGAUUGGGAGCUUCCAAAUGGUAUGUUGCCAUCUGAAUUGGAUAUGACCGAAGAGUUUGGAUUGACUUGUCCUAGAGCAGAAGAUCUUAUGGUUAUUCCUACCUUUCGUCUUAAUGAUUCAAUUAGUACUAAGGAUUCGUCUUCUUGAAUGAUGUAGAUUAUAUCUAGGUAAUGGUUGAUAUUAUAAUAAUGAUUAAGAUAAAGAGUGGUUGAAAAGCUCUCCAUAUAUAUGAAUGAUAAUACACAUAGAAAAUUUUAUCUUUCUUGCCACAUCUGGUCGUUAAUUGAAAUAAAUGGAUAAUAAUAAUCAUUUUAUUUGAUUUUUUAAAUUGAAAAUGAAGCUUGUAAAACGAUAAUUUUAUCUAUAAGUUUAUUUAUUUCAUAAUCCACUUUUAAUCAUUUGUUUAAACAUGAAGUUAUCUAGUUUCAAAAACUUAUAGAAAGAGAUACUGGACUAUUCUGUUCACAUUUAUUUUUAGUUAUAGUUUCAAAAACUUAUAGAAAGAGAUACUGGACUAUUCUGUUCACAUUUAUUUUUAGUUAUAGUCCACAUUUGUUUUUAGUUUGUAUAAAUAACUCAACUUGCUUAUAUUUAGUUUGUAUAAAUAACUCAACUUGCUUAUAUUUAUUUGGAUAACUUGUUUUCUUUUACACUUCACAUGUAUUAAGGAAAAUGAUUUUCUAACUUCAACCUAACUUCAUACUUACUGUGAAUUUAAAUACUUACCUUAAGAAAGAUGACGACUCCAACAUCCAAAAUGGGUAAUUUUUUUUCUCUCUCAAGUGUCCAUUUACUUGGGUUGAACUAUUAGUUUGAUUUGAGAUGACAUUGAGUGUAGAUUUAUAAAUAAUUACGACAAAGACGAAAAAUGGGAACCACCUUAAGAUUUUGGGCUCUAGGACAGAUCAACCCCAAAAUUUCUGUCAUGUCCAAUUCAAGGGGUGACAUACCAUUGGGAGGCUUCAAAUCAAAACAGUGUACUAAUUGAGCCACUACAAGACGAACCACAACCAAAGCUAAUUGUAUUCCAACACAGCCUCUUCGACCCGAUCCAAAUGGAAUUAGUUCAAAAUCUCUUCCUUUCACAUCCACUUCACUUUCCAAAAAUCUCUCCGGAUCAAACUUGUGAGGAUCAACCCAAGUAUUUGGAUCUCUUCCAAUGGCCCAUGCAUUUAUUACUAUUCUUGAUUUCUCAGGGAUAUGAUACCCAUUUAUAUUGCAAUCUUGUAUGCAUUCUCUUGGAAUUAAUGGAACUGGUGGAUGCAUUCUCAAACUCUCUUUUAUUACCAUCUCCAAGUAUUUCAAGUUACUUAAGUCUGAUUCUUCCACCAUUCUAUUCAGUCCUACCACUUUUUCUAAUUCUUCUUGCAACUUUUUCAUUAUGUGUGGAUUCUUAAUAAGUUCUGAUAACAUCCAAUUGAUUGUUGUUGUUGUACUAUCCACGGCUGCAAUAAGGAAAUCCUGCAAAAAAAUUAAGAAAUAUUCUCAGGUUUAGUUAUACAUUCUUUAAAAUAAUUUAAAAUGAGAGUUUAGCAAAAUUUCAUCUAUUAUAGAGAUCUAUCCAUUUUUUGGCUUAUCACUAAUAAACAAUAAUUUCUUUUUGCUGUAUUUAAAAACAAGCUCUUUCAAAUUAAACACUAAAGAAAAAAGAAAUCCAAGAUACACUCUCAAUCAAUCAAUUCACUUACCAGGAUUAUAGCUUUGAUAUUUGAUCGAUCAAUUUGGUACUCUCGAGAUCCCAUCAAAUCCAACAAAACAUCCACAAAAUCCUUGUCUUUAUUAUCCCUCUGGAACACAACAUGUUCUUCAACAAUCCUCUCUAAGAACCCAUCAAAUAUUUUCCCAACAGCUUUUGCACGACCCCCAAAUCCUUGAACAUCAAACCUUGCAAUUAAAGGAAUAAAAUCUCCCAAAUUAGGAGCUGCCGCUAAUUGUGUAGCCUCUCGUAUCAAACCCUUAAACCCCUUUUCAUCCAACUCAUUAUCUUCAUAUUUUCUCCCCAACACCAUUACACAUAUCAUAUCUCCAAUAACACAAGAAAUUUUAGAAGUAAGAUCCACAGCCACGCCAUCUGUAGCAGCCACUUCAAGACCUCAAUCAACGAACCAACCUCUUGCUUUCUCAUUGAGGAAAAAGAGUUGAUUUUUAAGGAGCUAAGCAAUUCAAGAGUGCACAUCUUGCGAAUAUUGCGCCAAUAAGGACCAUAUUGAGCAAAAGCUACGCCCUUUCUACCGUAAGAAAUAUGGUUGGAAGUGAUGGUAAGAGGUCGGCUCGCAAAAUGAAGGUCGUGAGUUUUAAGGAAGAGCUCGGUUGCUCUAGGGGAGGAGACGAUAAUGGCGGGGAGAAAACCUAAUUGGAUGUGCAUUAUGGGACCGUAUAUUUGGGAUAAGUAAUGAAGGUCUCUGUGAAUGAGUUUGCCUAAUAGAUGAAGGCUUCCAAUAAUUGGAAACCCUUUUGGGCCAGGAGGGAGUUUGUUGCAUAAGGACUUGGUCUUGAGAAGCCAUUGUUGAAAGAGGUAAGGGAGAAGGAAGAUGAGUGUAAUUGUGGUCAAAAUAAUCCAAGUCAUGGCAAUUAUAUUAGAGAUGUAUUUGUGAGGUUAUGUGUAGGGUUUAUAAUAUAUUGAUAUAUUUCUAUUUAUAAAACGUUUUUCAUCGUUAACUGACCGUUUUUAGUUUUUGGUUUUGAAAUUUAUGAUUGUUUUAUCCCAAUUUUUUAAAAAUCGUUUUGGUUUUUCUUUAGUUAGAACAAAAACACUUUCUUUUUUUUUAAAAAAAUUAAAGUAAGAUCUAACUUUUUUACAUUUUUUAAAAUUAGUUUUUAAGGCUACAUUAAAUAAUUACCGUUUGAUUUUUGAAAAUCAAAGUUUUCUAGGAAUUGUUGUCUAUAUUUUAUGACUAUUUUCAAAAUCAAAACCAAAAAGUUGAAAACUAAAAAAGUUGGUUCAUGUUAAUUGAUCUAUAGCUCGCGUUAUAAUUUUCGCCUUCACAAAACAUUAUCAUAUUGAUUAUGCCGCACAUAUUUUUAAUUUCUACAUUAAAUAUGGUAACUGACCUACUAGUUUCUAUUAAUAAGCUAAUUAAUUACUCUAAUAACGGCUUAUAAAUUAAAAUAUUUACAAAUUAUAAUAAAAUUUUAGAUUUUUUAUAUUCGUUAUUAAUGUCACUCAUAAACACAUAUAAAUGUCUAUUAUUGAUAUAUAUUGAAAUUUGACAAUUUUCUUAAAUUAAAAUAUAAUUGUGGUCAUCACAAGAUUAUCAUUUAUAACUAUAUUUGUCGUAAUAAGUAUAUAUACCCUUGCUCACAAUGUUGAGUGCAAAGUUUGAGGUUGGAUUUACAUCCCCAUUUUUGUUACCCUGGAUGAUUUUUUUGCUUAUGUCUUGUGAUGUUUAACCGUUUCUCGUGGAGCUUUUGCCUCUCUUGCAAUAUGUCUUAAAAAAAGUGAGUUUUCAUAUGUAGUAAAUUUUUCAGGUAGAUUACUUAUGAGUUAAAACCAUAAUAACCAAAUUGUUAGAUAUUAUGUUAAAUUUGUCUUUAUCCAUAAGUUUAAAUAUUUAGGUCAAUUGGUGAUUUAGAUGGAUAAUUAGAACAUGUGGUCUAGGAAAGUUAUGUUUUCAAGUCCAUGUGUAGUUUCUUCUCCGAUCAUUAUUAAUUUUCACUUCAAAUUUUAAGCUCAUAAAUGAGAAGGAAAGUUAGAUAUUAUAUUAGUUUUAAUUAUUGACUAAACUUAAAGUUUUGAGUCGAAACUUUAUAAAUCAAAAUAUAUAUAAAAUAUAUUUUACCAAAUUAAAACUAACUUGGAACAGUAGGAAUUAAAUUGAAAGAAAAACUCUGAAAUAGUUAGAAGAAAAAAUUAAUUAAAGACUUAACAAGAUUAAAAAGUACUAUAAAAUAUUUUCUAUGGAUAUAUAUGCUUGAAUGUUUACCUUACAUGUUAAAUGAAAAAAUAUACUUAAACUUUCCUUUAAAAAAUAUUAAUUAUGAUUUGAAAAUUAUAGAAAAAUUGUCCAAAAAUAUUUAAAUUUUAUAAUAUAAAAUUUUGUUAUAUAUUUGUAAAAAUUUAGUUUUUAGAUUCAAUUUUGUUAUAUUUUAAAAUGGUUCGGAAUUCUUUUGCUAAAAUAUUGAAAUUAAUGAGGUCAUUUAACUAAUUGACUACGGCGAUUUCGUAUUUAUGGUCCUUAUUUGGAAAUUUAAUAACUUAAAAUCUAAUAUCAUAUAAUUAAUAAUUAGGUAUGCACUUAAUUAUGAUUCACGAGUUUUUGUACAAAAAUGAUUGAUGGAGUUUCAUUUCAUCGAUUAAUUAUUGGUGGGGUUUUACAAAUUAUGAUUGCCCUUUGAAUAUAUAGCUCUACUUUUACUAACAUGUGGUGUUGGUGCAUUCAACCUCUAACUAAUUCCCUUAAUAAUACAAACACCAUUCAAUUUCAUGAAAUUAUAUUUCUUUACUUUUCAUACCCACCUUUUUUUCUCCCAUUUUCAUUCAAUAAUUUUUUAAAGAUUCAUAUUAUCAUACUUUUAGCUCAGUUAAUGUGAUGUUUAUCUCCGUGAUUAACGGUUAAGUUUACCUUUUUUUUCUUUACAAAGUUUUAACUUUAGAUAUUACGAUACAAAGUUGAUAAAUAUAACAAAAUUUAGAUUUAGCUUUCAAAACAGUCUAUCAAAAAUGAUGGUUUGAAAGGCUAUCAGCAGUGGUUAUUGAAAAAUGAUUGUCAACGGUUGUGGCAUGAAUAGUGGUUGGAGGUUGGCUAGUGGGGAUCAACGAAAGUGGUGACUAAAUUUUUUUACACAAAUUAGAAGAGAUUAAAACCGUUAAAACAUUCCAAGUUUAUUUUUCUAAAAGUUGGUUUGUAAACAUUUACCCUAAAAUAACUUAUUUUAUAAACUUGAUUUUUCAAAAUUUAUUUUAGAUAAUUGUCAAAUACAUGAAUUUUUUUUUUCUUUAAAACAACUUAUUUUUUAAUUUAAACAUUUGGAAAAGACGAUCCAAACCCACAAUCUAAAUUACCUUAAAAGGUAUGGGAACGCACUUUAGUCUUUUGCUUAAGUUGCCUCUUGAAAUCUUGUAUUUGAAUGGAAAGCUGAACUAAAAUUAAAUUGAAACAAAAAAGACUUUGUUUCUAGCAACCUUGAUUGUAUUUUCCCAAGAUUUUGUUCUUUGCAGAUCAGCUACGUAGUACGAUCAAUUGGGUAUUUGGAAAAUAGUUGCGGUUCAAAUUCAUCCACUCUGCCAAAGAAAAAACAAAAACAACAGAUCAGUAUCAAUAAAUCAAGUAGGGCCUAAACCAAAAAGAUGUUUAUCUUGACAAUUAGCCCAACCUAACUUUCAUCUCUAUAUCCUUCUUCCAUUCCAACACCAAAUCCCCCAAACACUGAAGUCUCCAAAAUUUGGUUCAUAUGGCUUUGAUUUUUGCCAUUAUUUCUACAUUAGCUCUUCUUGCUCUCACUCUUCUCUUCAAAUUCUACCCCUUCAAAGCCCAAAAAUUGCCUCCUGGUCCUAUAGGAUUUCCCUUUGUUGGUAGUCUCCAUUUAUUAGGAAAGCUCCCUCAUAGAGAUUUUCAUAUAUUAUCCCAAAAAUAUGGACCCAUUAUGCACAUAAAAUUAGGUCUUGUUCCCACAAUCAUAGUCUCUUCUCCUAAAGCUGCUGAACUCUUCCUCAAAACUCAUGACCUUGUUUUUGCAAGCAGGCCCCUUUUAGAAGCCUCAAAGCAAAUGAAUUAUGGGCAAAAGAACUUAGUUUUUGCCCCAUAUGGUCCUUAUUGGCGCAACAUGCGUAAAAUGUGCACUCUUGAAUUGCUUAGUAACCUUAAAAUCAACUCUUUCAUGCCUAUGAGAAAACACGAGCUUGGUUUGUUGAUUGAGUACUUAAAAGAAGUUGCUCACAACAAAGCUGUUGUGAAUCUGAGUGCUAAAGUUACGUCACUUACAACUGACCUUAUUUGUUUGAUGGCAUUUGGGAAGAAAUAUGGAGAUGAAGAGAUUGAUGAAAGGGGUUUUAAAGCUACGAUACAAGAAGGUUCACAAUUAGCUGCUACUCCUAAUUUGGGGGAUUUUUUUCCUUUUAUUGCAAGGUUUGAUGUUCAAAGAUUGAAUAAUCGAAUGCAAUGUGUUCAUAAAGUGUUGGAUGGGUUUCUUGAGAGGAUUGUUAACGAACAUCUUGAGGCUAAGGGUGACAAGAAGACUAAAGAUCUUGUGGAUGUUAUGUUGGAGCUUAUGAAUUUCCAAGAAGAAACUGAUUAUCAGAUUGAUCGCUCUGCUAUUAAAGCUAUAAUGCUGGUAUGGAUCCAUGCUAUAUAUAUAUAUAUACAUAUAUUCAUUCAUUUUAAUACACAUUUACUCCCUAACUUACAAACAAAUGUUAUGAUAGUACGUGAAAUAAUUCUAAUUUUGUGUUCAACAACUCCAACAACUCCUUAAUAUAUUUGAAAUUUUAAAAAAUUAGAACUCAAUUAGCAUAAUGUAUUGACUUGGUGUGCUCUCUUAAUUUAAUCUACUUUGUUUUAUUGUGUUUAAUUAAACGAUGGUUGCUUGGAUAAAGGAAGAGAAAACAAAUUUCAGGUAGUUUCGUUAAAUAUUACAUUGUAGGAAAAGCAGAGCAGGAAUGAUAUAUGUAAAAGCUCAAAAUCUUUUCUCUCUUUUUUUUUCUGAAAAAAGGUAAACAUUAUAUAUAUAUAUACACAUACAUAUAUAUAGUGUAUAAUUAUGUUGAAUAUAUAAUAUUUUUGUAUUAUGUAUAGGAUAUGCUAAGUGCAGGAAUGGAUACAUCAGCAACUGUGAUAGGAUGGGCAAUGUCAGAGCUAAUUAAACAUCCACAUAUAAUGAAGAAACUACAAGAGGAAUUAGAAAAUGAAAUUGGUUUGGAUAAGAUUGUGGAAGAAUCAGAUUUAGAAAGAUUAGAGUAUUUGAAAAUGGUGGUUAAAGAAAUUUUCAGACUAUAUCCACCAGCCCCAUUAUUAUUACCCCACGAAUCACUUCAAGACUGUAUUGUUGAUGGCUUUCAUAUACCUAAGAAAUCACGUAUAAUAAUCAAUGUAUGGGCCAUUGGAAGAGACCGAAAUUCGUGGAUUGAUCCUCAUAAGUUUGAUCCUGAAAGGUUCAUAGAUAGUCAAGUGGAUGUGAAAGGAAGAGAUUUCCAAUUGAUUCCGUUUGGAUCUGGUCGAAGAGGCUGUCCUGGAAUGCAAUUAGGCUUAACUUUGGUUCAAUUUGUGUUGGCUCAACUUGUACAUUGUUUUGAUUGGAUGCUUUCAAAUGGUAUGCCAGCUUCUCAAUUGGAUAUGACUGAAGAAUUCGGUUUAACUUGUCCUAGACUUCAUGACCUUAUAGUCAUUCCAAGAUACCGUCUUCGAAUUUAAUAUGCUUUUUUCAAUAAUGAUAGCUUUUAACUUUUAAAGUUGUGUAUGUUCCAAUUAUUCAGUUUCUUUCCUCUUUCAAUCAAAAAAAACUUUCAAAAUUGAAUCUCCCCAUUUACAGGUGAAAGAUGCAACGUAACAAAAGAAUAUCGGAUGGUUUCACAAGUUGUUGUAUCUCAAUUAAAAAUAAAACAAAAAACAAAGAAAAUAGCAAACCACAAUCUUUAAUUACGUGACUUUUUUAAAAAAUAAAGGUCACAAUCGAUGAAGGGAGAAGACAAAAAAUCAUAUGAGUGUGUGUGAUCAAAUGUAAUUGUUGGCAGUGCUUAUGAAGAUACCUUGAGAUUGUAAGAAUGACGAGAACCACAAGGUCCUAAAAUGCAACGUGAUUUUCUACCUCCAUUUGUUUCAAUCUCUGUUCAUGACCACAUAUAACAUAAUAGGGUACGAACUAUUCUAGAACGAUAAUUUACACACAUAUUAUAAACACAAACUAGUGAUAUAAAAUAAAAUUCACAAUUAAGAUUCUCAACCCAUAUAAUUGCUUUAACAUGUUUCAUUUGAAGCCACAUCUUAGAAAAGAAAUUAAUAUAUAUCAUGGAGAUAGGAUAUAAACAUCUAGCUAAUACAAAAAUGUAUAAAAACUUGUGAUCGAAAUCAGAGAUUUUAUUAAACAUCCAAACAAAAAAUGUAGCCAAAGUAUGUAAGACCUCUAAUAUUUAUAAAAUUGAUAGAAAUCUAUCCUUGUCUACCAUAAAUAAAAUUCAAAAUUUAGCUAUAUAUUGUGUAUAUUUUCUGCAUUUUUGUUAUUUAUAAUAAUUUUCUUAUAUAUAAUUCUCAAAUGAAAAAUAAUGGAGCUUGUUUUAGACGGAAAGCAUGGCUUGGAUUUGGGUGAUCGUCGCUAUUACAAUAAUUGUUCUUGCGUUUCUCCUACAGUACUCGUGGGAGUUCAAAGGCAAGAAUUUGCCUCCUGGUCCAAAAGGGUUUCCCAUUUUUGGAAGCCUUCAUUUGAUAGGAAAGCUUCCUCAUAGAGAUCUUCAUCGUUUAUCCCAGAAAUAUGGACCCAUAAUGCACAUGAAAUUAGGCCUGGUUCACACCAUCAUAGUCUCAUCUCCUCACGCAGCCAAGCUGUUCCUCAAGACCCACGACCACGUAUUUGCAAGCCGGCCCCUAAUCCACACUUCCAGCAUUAUGACAUAUGGUAAAAAAGAUUUGGUAUUUGCUCCAUACGGUUCGUAUUGGCGCAACAUCCGCAAAAUGUGCACGCUCGAAUUGUUCAGCUCUCUCAAAAUCAACUCAUUUAAAUCCAUGAGGAAGAAGGAGGUUCGGGAGUUGAUUGAGUAUCUUAAAACAGCUUCGACAGACCGCAUGGUUGUGAGAUUGAGUUCGAAAGUGACUUCUUUGAUUGCUGACAUGACUUGUUUGAUGGCGUUUGGGAAGAAAUAUAGAGAUGAGGAAUUUGGUGAGAGAGGGUUUAAGGCAGUGAUACAAGAAGGUAUGCAAUUAGUAAUUGCUCCUAAUUUGGCGGAUUAUAUUCCUUUUGUUGCUCCAUUUGAUAUUCAAGGCUUGAAUCGUCGUGCUACUUUUGUUCUGAAGGAAUUUGAUGGGUUUUUUGAGAGGAUUAUUGAAGAACAUAUUGAGUCCAAAGAUGGAAAUAGAAACAAAGAUUUUAUGGACCAUUUGUUGGAUAUCAUGAUGUCCUCACAAGACCCUGAUGGAUAUCAAAUUGAUCGCUCUAAUAUUAAAGCUAUUGCUCUUGUAAGUACAUUUCUUUCCAUCUAUACUUUUUUUUUUUUGGGUAAAAAUGAAUUUGUAUUGCGUAAACCCCUCAAUUAAAAAUCUAAUUUAUUCCAAAAUAUUUUUCGUUUUAGACUUGUUGAUGCAUUUCUAUAACAUUUUCAUAAUUUUCUUCUUUUAUAAUGUUGAUAUAUAGCAACCUCAUUGUAGAGAGCCCUCAUGGGACAUAAUUUGAAAGUUGAAAUUCUCUUAUGCCAUAGGACUUGUCUAUGAGGAAGAUAAAUAUUUAUAAAGUACAAAAUUUUUGCAAAUACGAUUAACAUGUUUCUUUAAUGUAUCCAAAAGAGGCAUUUUAAUAUUAAACAAGAACUAUAAUUAAAAAAAUAAAAGUAGUGGAAUGCAUCUGUCUCAUUUCGAAUUUUCCCCCAUUUUUGAUCUCAUAUUAAAAACCUCACCAUUAAUUAUUACUAAAUAAAUAUGUAUAUAUUUAGGAUGUGCUGUCGGCAGCAAUGGACACUUCAGCCACAGCAAUUGAUUGGGCACUAGCGGAGCUCAUCAAACAUCCACAAGCAAUGAAGGAAUUACAAGUGGAAUUAGAGAAAGUGGUUGGUUUAAAUAGAAUGGUUGAAGAAUCUCAUUUAGAACACUUACAAUAUUUGGGAAUGGUCAUUAAAGAGGUUUUAAGGCUGCAUCCACCUGCUCCCUUGUUAGUUCCACACGAGUCUCUUGAAGAUUGUACGGUUGAUGGUUUUCAUAUUCCUAAGAAAUCGCGUAUAUUUGUCAACGCUUGGUCAAUUGGGCAAGACCCAAAUGUAUGGAUUGACCCACAAAAAUUCUUUCCGGAAAGAUUCAUCCAUAGCUUAGCUGAUGUGAAAGGGAGAGACUUUCAUUUGAUUCCGUUUGGAUCAGGUCGUCGAAGUUGUCCUGGAAUACAUUUAGGAUUACUUAUAGUUUCACUUGUGGUGGCUAAUCUUGUGCAUUGUUUUGAUUGGGAGCUUCCAAAUUGUAUGUUGGCAACUGAUUUGGAUAUGGAGGAAGAAUUUGGUUUAACCUGUCCUAGAGCUCAGGAGCUUAUGCUCAUUCCUACUUACCGUCUUCGCAACUAACAAGUUGAAGUUAAACGUGAUUGUUGGAGUGCUGCACACAUCCAUUAUAUACGAACAAAAAGUUGGAUUUGGUUUAAGUAUUAUUGGAUGUUUAGUCGUGAAUUUUUAUGCUAUUUUUCUAUUUUAUGUCUAAUAAUUAUUCUUAUAUAUACUUUCAAGCACAUGUAUAUUUGCUCAAAAUAGCAUAACUAUUGAAAACUAUGGACCUUUUUAGGCAACGUAAACCUGCACAAAAUAUGCAUUCUGGAGUUGCUUAGCAGCCACAAAGUUAAUUCUUUCAAAUCAAUGAGAGGGAAAGAAAGUGGAGUUAUUGUUGAUUAAGGAGCUACGUGAGGCUGCAAGAAGUGCACAUGUUAAUGGUUUUUAGAAAGACAUAUGAAGAUAAAGAACUUGAUGAAAAGGGUUUAAAGUAGAUCGAUGGUAGAAGAGGCCUUCAAAGUAACUGGAGCUUUUAACUUGGGGGGAUUUCAUUCCUUUUAUUGCUGCUCCUGAUCUCCAAGGAUUGAGCCGUCGGUGCAAAAUCUGUUCAUAAAGUAUUUGAUAGUUUUCUUGGAAGGAUCAUAGACGAACAUCCUUGAAUAAUCCAAGAAUAAUAAUAACAAUUGAUAACAAAGAAGACGUAGAUGCCAUGUUGGACAUCAUGGAAUCUCAAGAAACCGAGACUACCCUAUUGAUCGAUAUGAUCCACCAUCAAAGCUAUCCUGCUGGUAAGUAAUUAAACAUGACUGUUUAGUUUCCACUAAUAUAUUCACUUUUCAAUUGCUAAAAUAUAUGAUUAGACAUAUGAAAAUGUAAUUUCCAACAAAACUCCUUAUCACUACUCAGAUUUUAAAAAAAAAAAUGCCAAAAUUUAUCACAUGUCUAGUUUUAUUAUUUUAACAAGUUUAUUAUUUGGAUUAGCUCAACUUUUACAUUGUUUUGAUUGGAAGUAGCUUUCAAAUCUUCCAAAUUGUAUGUUGUUAGUUAACUUGUCCUUUAGCUCAAGAUUUGACAGUUACUUCAAUUUACCAUCUACAAAAUUAAAAUGAAUAACACUAACGAUCGUAUUAAUUAUCACUUACUAUGUUAGUAUGCUUUUAACAACAGCACAGAGUCAAUCAAUACUUAGAAAAUAAUAUUUACGAAGUGAAGUUAGGUUUUUAUGUGAAUAGAAAGAGUAGGUAUACUCUUGUGAUACCAGAAAAUUACCGUGUGUUAUGGGCUUCGUUGCCUUUGUGUACCCUAGCUCUAGUAAAACUCAUAUCAUGGACCCUCCUUGCAUAUAUUAAUUUGAUUGUUACGUGUAACAUAAUGUAAUUUAAUGAAAUUAAUAUUAUAUUUUUUUUUGCGAGUAACUACUUAAUAAUAAUAAUAACUUUCAGACUCUUAAUAGUAAUACCACCAAUAACAAUAAACCUUUUUUCUCUCGAUUUUACUAUAUUUAUAAAUUUGUGUAGUUACUACCAAAUAAUAGCAAAUUCAUGUGUUUUAAAGUGGGUAGACUACUUGAAUUAGAUGAAAUUACCAAUAUUAUCUUAUUUUGAUAUUUGAUAUAAUUAAUAUAAAUUUAAGACAGGAUGAUUUUAUCUCUCACCGCCGUCGAUUUCGAAUUUCCUUUUGAGCUUUAUAAAUGUGCUACAGAAUUAAUAACCCAACUUUUAAAACUUCAAGGAUGCAAUCAAUACUAUAUUCAAAUUUCAACCAUUUAAGACCUCAUUUAUGUAACUUUUUAAAAGUUCAUUCAAAUUUAGAAUUGGGUGUAGCGAUUUAGAAGUUUAAUUUCAAAACAUAAAUUUGGAAUUAAGAUAUAUUUGAUAAAAACAAAAGUUGUAUUUUAUAUUUUUGUAUAUGUGUUUCGUUCUAGAUUUAGAAAUUAAAUUUUAAUUCAAACAAUUGUUUAAUAUGUGUUUGUGUCUAUAUUUAUAAAUCAUAAACUAGUUAUAGUUGUUUGACAAUAAAUUGUUAUUAGUUUAUUUAGUAACAUUUAUGUUAAAAGAUGGAGAAAUUCUCAUGGAUGACAGAAAAAAAAAUUAUAUUUAAAAAAUAAAGCAAAAAAACUUAAUAAGUUUUGGAAAAAAUGAUAGAUUUCGUAAAAAGAUUUAUAUAAUUAUUACAUAAUAUAAUGUUAUAUAAUUUAUAAUACAUAUUUUAACUUUUGAAAAUAGAUUGAAUUUGUAACAUGAUAUAUUAUGUUUUUAAAUGUUUGUAUAUAUUUAUUUAUUUUAUAUAAAUCUGCAGUUUAAAAUUUAAAAUUUAAAAUAUAUAUGAAUUCAAUGAAAGCGUUGACAAAACUGUUCCUUACGGAAUUUGAAGUGUUUAAACCAUAGAAUCUAAAGAACAGUUUGCAAAAACAAAGUUCGUGAUGUCUGCUAAAAAUGGAUGACUGAAGUUCCCAACAAUGCGUUUGUGUAUCAUUAUUAAUUGAGGUAAAGCCUAUCAUUAUCAUCUCUUGACAUCAUAUGGAACUAAACAACAUACAUUAAAGACAACCUCCUUGGCUCCUUGCUCUUCAUCUUGUAGGAAAAAGUACAAAACAAAAACUAGGUGAGAUACAUUGAUUAAAUAAGAAACAAAUAAUUACAAACAGUAAGUUUAAAGUUUUUUAAUAAAAUAUAAUGAAAAGGCAAAAUUGCACUAUAAAAGCCUCAUAUAUAUUACUUAUAAAAGUUAUAGUAUACUAAUGUAUUUGUCAAAUAUAUACCAUAUAUCACGAUAAACCAUCCCAAUAAGGAAACAUUCUUGAUUAGAAUUUCCCAUGCAUCCAACAACAUAUCGAUCACAGAGGUAUUAAUAUCAUUUAGUUAACUUUUCCUUCUUUUAUUGUGCAUUGAAACCAUCAAAUCUGAUAUCAGAAUAUGGAAGACGUGACAAACUCUGAUCCUUGUACUCAUCACUUGGGCGGCCAUUCUGCUUUUAAAAGAACCCAAUCUCCAAAAGCCUUGUAUGUGUGAAAUUUUACCUCACCACAGAUAGGGUUUGAGGAAUAAAUUUUUCCAAUCUCCUUAUGGCUUGGUAUUUUCUCGCUGUUGCAUUAGUUGGUCUUGCUCUUCUGUUGAGAACAAGGCUAUAUAGAAGUCCUAACAAAUUGCCUCCUGGUCCUAGAGGGUUCCCUGUUUUUGGUUGCCUUCAUUUGCUAGGAAAGCUUCCUCAUAGAGAUCUUCAAAGUUUAUCUGAAAAAUAUGGAUCCAUUAUGUACAUGAGACUCGGCCUUGUACCCACUAUCAUCGUCUCUUCUCCUCAUGCAGCUGAGCUCUUUCUCAAAACCCAUGAUACUGUUUUUGCAAGUCGCCCAUUUGUUCAGGCUUCCAAGUACAUGGCAUACGGUCAAAAGAACUUGGCGUUUUCUCAGUAUGGCCCUUAUUGGCGUAAUCUGCGUAAAAUGUGCACACUCGAAUUGCUGAGCAGCGUGAAAGUUAAAUCUUUCAGAUCAAUGAGAAUGGAAGAGCUAGGUUUGUUCGUUGACUAUCUUCGAGAUGCUGCAAGAAAACGUGUCAUUGUAAAUCUCAGCUCCAAAAUCUGUUCUCUCAACACAGAUAUGACAUGUUUGAUGGUUUUUGGAAAGAAAUAUAAAGACCAAGAGUUUGACGAGAGGGGUUUCAAAUCUGUGAUACAAGAGGCCAUGCAGAUAGUGGCUAGUCCUAACUUGGGAGAUUUUAUUCCUCAAAUUGCAGUACUUGACCUUCAAGGGUUGGACCGUCGCUCAAAAGCUGUUAGUAAGAUAUUUGAUGAGUUCUUUGAGAGAAUUAUUGAUGAACAUCUUGAAUCCAGGUAUGAGAAUAAGACUAAGGAUUUUGUGGAUGUCAUGUUGGAAAUCAUGGACUCUCAAGGAACCGAGUAUCAGAUUGAACGGUCUAACAUCAAAGCUAUAAUCCUUGUAAGUAAACUUCCUACGUAUUAAAUAAAGGAGUCGAGAAGGAUAUGGCUUACUGUGGUCAUGAUACAAUAGCAUGCUUUUCUGAUGUUUCCUUCUUUUUUUUUUUUUUUUUGAAAAAAUAUAAUAUAUCUCUGAAUACUGUCACCAAAAAGUAUGCAUAAAGCUAAUUGCUCCUAAAUUUUAGUAACUCAUCGGCUUAAGUAAAAGAAAUUUCAGUUAUUGGUUCUAAUUAGCUUGACCCCAAUUUUAGGAUAUGCUAGUGGCCGCAAUGGACACUUCUGCCACCACAAUCGGAUGGGCAAUACCUGAGCUCAUCAAACAUCCACAUGUGAUGAAGAAAAUGCAAGACGAAUUACAAAAAGUGGUGGGUUUGGAUAGAAAGGUGGAAGAAACUGACUUGGAUCACUUGCAAUAUUUGGACAUGGUCGUUAAGGAAAUUCUCAGGCUACAUCCACCAGCUCCAUUAUUAGUUCCACAUGAGGCUCUUGAAGAUUGCAUUGUUGAUGGUUUCUAUAUUCCUAAGAAAUCACGUAUAAUAGUAAAUGGAUGGGCAAUUGGAAGAGACCCAAACUUUUGGAUUGACCCAGAAAAAUUCUUUCCUGAAAGGUUUAUUGGUAGUCAAGUGGAUGUGAGAGGGAAGGAUUUUCAAUUGAUUCCCUUUGGAUCCGGCCGAAGAGGUUGUCCUGGCAUGCAAAUGGGUCUAACAGUAGUUCGUCUAGUGAUAGCACAGCUUGUCCAUUGCUUUGAUUGGGAGCUUCCAAAUGGCACGUUACCAGUUGAAUUGGAUAUGACAGAAGAAUUUGGAUUAACUUGUCCCAGAGCUCAAGAUCUAAUGGUUACUCCUAUUUAUCGCCUUAACAACUAAACAAGCCAAACAGUUGCACAUAACUUUCAAAUAAAUAAAGAGUUCAAUAUAUUAUCAGAUUGUACGUGUGAAAUCAAGUGAAAGAUGUGCAUGGUUUGCAAGAUUCAGAAUUCCUGUCAUAAGAAGAGAAGUUAAUAAAUUUGUGCUUGUAUGCUUAGCAAGUAGGUCUGCUUUUGUUGGGUCUCAAUGAAUGGGCCAUCCGCCAAAUGAAAACUGUGUAUUUUAUAGACUCAAACCCUAUCUGUGUUGUCCCGGAAGGUAACCAUAAGCCAUAAUUGCAUUAAAGACAUGUUACAUGAACUAAUAAACAACGUUCGCAAAUGAAAACUAAGUCUAAGUAAUAUUCUAGAGUAACUCACGGUACACAAAAUGAUUGUUACUCUAUUAUAUUUCAUUAAUGGUGACGUACAUGCAACGACGCUCAAAAUGCUUCGUACUUCAAAAAAAUGAAUUGAAGACAGAAGGUUGGUGGAGAUUCUCCAUCUUAAUUAUCAAUACACAAUAAACUUCAGGGUUGCGUACUGAUCAAAACACGCUCUCAAGAUAAAAUACAUCCCAAGUUCAAUAUAUUUUCUUUGGAAGAGAAUACAAGAAAAGUUCGAGAAAAUGGUGGAUUAGGACACAAGACGGUGGACAAAUGAGAGUUGGGUUACUUCAAAGUAUCGGGAAGUGGUCACCCAGAAAAUGCUCGACUCAAGUCGUUGCAUCUACCAUUCUAUUGUUAGUACUACUUUAGUCUAUCGUAGGUAGUAAAAUCAAUCGCUUCCCAUACUCCCAGAAAGUGCACGUAAAUAUUAAACAAAUGGGUGAGUUAAAAGUGAUCUUUGAAAAAUAUUGACUCUCUUUUUAAUGUUUGGUAAAACUGUUUGUUUGUAAAUCUACUGAAAUCACUUCUGGAGAACAUGCUCAGUUUUUAGGAUCUUUGAAGUAUGUUUUCUUAAUUUUCAGAAGGUUAUUUACGGUUUCAAUUUUCAAUUAUAAAAUUCUACUCUUCAAAAAAAUUAAAAUUUAUUAAAUCAUACAAUUUUUUAUUUUAAAUAUAUAUAUAUAGAGUAAGAUGACAAUUUUAAGUCAAAUGUAUAAAUUUAAUUCAUAUAAUUAUUAUCAAUUCAGUUAGUCAAACGUUCAGAUCGUUAUUUAAAAAAAAAUAUUGAGUAAUCCAUGGACAAUAAUUUUAAGAAUAAUAAUAAAGUAUAUAAACAUCUUUUAAAAAAAUGUGAAUGUAACAAAAUCUGUAAAUGAUAGACGUAUAUUACUGAACUUACAAAUAGCAAAAUCUACGUCACAUAUCACGUAUAGUUGACAGAUUUUCUUAUUUUUACAAUUCUUAUAAAAUAUGGUUAUAGACUAAUAUUUUAAAUUUAAUUAUUAUAUUUGUUAUAAAUAUACGAAAUAAUAGCAAAUUCAGUGAGUCAACUUUUUAUAAACUUCAAUUAAAUGAAAUUGUUAAUAUUGUCUUAUUUUGACUUUACAUAUAAUUAAUAGAAAUUUAAGUACAAUUAGAUUACACAAAAGGUGAUAUUGGCCGACGCAAAUAAAUUUUUUCCAAAAGGACUCAUCGGUAGUGAAAUAGACCUAAAAGGAAGUGACUUUAAAGUAAAUAUUCCAUUUGGAUAUGGAAGAAGUUGUGUUGUAAUACAAUUCGGUUUACCUUACAAUUCGAUUUGUUUUAUCUCAACUUCUACGUAGUUUUGAUCGAAUCAAAGGCUUUCAAAUCUUCCAAAUUGUAUGUUUCCUACGUUAACUUGUCCUUUAGCUCAUGAUUUAAUGCUUACUCCAAUUUACUAUCUACAGAGUUAAAACGAAUAACACACUAACGCUUCUAUUUAUCACUUACUAUGUUAGUAUGCUUUUGAAAAAUAGUAUAGAGCAAUCAAUACUUAAAAAUAAUAUUUAUGAAGUGAAGUUAUAUAUAGAUUUUAAUGUGAGUAAAAGAGUAGCCACUCUUAUGAAACUAGAAAAUUAUGGUGUUUGUCUUUGUGAAUCUCUAGCUCUAGUAAGACCUAUAUCAUGAACCCUCCCCUGCAUGUCUUAAUUUGAUUACUGUGUGCAACAUGAUGUAAGUUAAUGAAAUGAAUAUUAUAUUUUUCUAUGCAUGCGAGUAACUACUUGUUAUACAUGUGUAAAAUAUCUUAUUUAGAAAGGUUUAAUUUGAGGAUUAGCUCAACUAUUGAAAAUGUUAUUCAAGUAAUGCGUAUGUGGGAGAAAGAUUUUAUAAAUCAUUGUCGUCCAAAACGUGUGUAACUGUCAAUAUAUAUAUAAAAGGCUUUUCGAGUUAGUAGAUCUUAAAUCUCGUACGUCUUUCUAGAGAAGAAGAGGAAGUGAAUGGGGAAAUCAGUUGUUGGAGCACCAUAAGAGUGGAAGAAGAAGAUGAGAAUUAAAUAAUUGAGAGUGUGUUGUAUCAAUCAAACUAACAAUUGUAUAGAAUUAAAUAAUUGAGAGUGUGUUGUAUCAAUCAAACUAACAAUUGUAUCAGUUUUAGACUCUAAAUUUUUACAAGUUUAUCAACUUAACCUCAAACUUAUGUAAAUCUAUUGACACAGAGGGUAUGGUGGUUCAGGGUGCACAAAAUAGAUACCUUUAGCCCUCUCAUCAUCUUUCAAGGAAUAUUUAUUCAGCACAAAGGAUAAAUACAAACAGUUUAGGGCUAGAGUUUAGAUACAGCAGACCCACCCUAACAAUAAUAAUUAUAACAAUUGUUGUCGUUAUAUAAAUUGUGUGUUAUGGGAAUACUAUGCCAAACUUAUACUUUCCUCCUCCACAUUUACCUUUCAUGAGCUAAACUUUGCUUAGCUCAAAGUCAACACAAAAAAUGGGUUUCAUUUGGAUCAUUCUUAUCAUCAUCCAUCUGCUUGCUCUUCUACUUAUCCUUUGGAAAUGGUUGCACAUGAAUAACAAAACCAAGAAAUUACUGCCUCCUGGUCCUAAAGGGUUCCCCGUUUUUGGUAGCCUUCAUAUUUUAGGGAAGUUUCCUCACAGAGAUUUUCACCGCUUGUCUAAAAAAUAUGGAGCCAUAAUGCACAUAAAACUAGGCCUUGUAAACACCAUUGUUGUGUCUUCCUCUGAAGCCGCGGAGCUGUUUCUCAAAACCCAUGAUCUUGACUUUGCAAAUCACCCACCUAAUGAUGCUUUGAAGCACAUUUCUUUUGGUCAAAGCAGCAUGGUGGUUGCAAAAGAUGGGCCUUAUGUACGCAGCGUGCGCAAAAUGUGCACUCAGAAGUUGCUUAACAGCCACAAACUCAAUUCUUUCAAAUCAAUGAGAAUGGAAGAAGUUGGGUUGUUUAUUCAAGAGCUUCGUGAGGCUGCAAGAAGCGGGUUGCUUGUAAAUCUUACUUCUAAACUCUCUUCUCUCGGUGCAAAUAUGAUAUGUUUGACGGUAUUUGGGAGGAAAUAUAAAGAUAAAGAACUUGAUGCAAAGGGUUUUAAGAGAAUGGUAGGAGAGGCCCUCAAAGUAAUUGGAGCUGUUAAUGUGGGCGAUUUCAUUCCUUUUAUUGCACCUCUUGAUCUACAAGGAUUAAUCCGUCGUGCAAAAUCUGUUCACAAAGUAUUUGAUAGGUUUCUUGAACGGAUCAUUGAUGAACAUCUUGAAUCCAAGAACAAUAAUAGUACCAAAGAUUUUGUUGAUGUCAUGUUGGAAAUUAUGGAAUCUCAACAAACUGACUACCAAAUUGAUCGAUCCACCAUCAAAGCCAUCAUGCUGGUAAGCAAACAUUAUUUUGUAGGUAACAAUCACACAAUCGUAGUAGAUUUUUCUAUAUUUGCAAUAAUGUAAAAGAGUUCUAUUACACACUUAACUAUCAAAGUAAUUUAAAGGGCCACCUAUUGCAAUUAAUUAUCAUACAACAAAUUAAAAGUACACCAAUGUCUGCUUUUCUGUUUUUUGUGUGUGUUAGGAUCUUCUUUUUGCCGGAAUGGACACUACAACGACUACCAUCGGAUGGGCAAUAGCUGAGCUCAUUAGACAUCCAGAGAUAAUGAAGAAAGUGCAAAAUGAAUUAGAAGAAGUUGUAGGUUUGAAACGAAUGGUGCAAGAAUCAGAACUGUCUCAUUUGAAAUACUUAGAAAUGGUUGUUAAAGAGGUUUUCAGGUUGCAUCCUCCAGCUCCGUUACUGAUUCCACAUCAACCCCUCAAAGAUUGCAUAGUUAAUAAUUUCCAUAUUCCUAAAAUGUCACGUGUAAUUGUGAAUGCAUGGGCAAUUGGACGAGACCCAUGUGCUUGGACCGAUGCACAUAGAUUCUUUCCAGAAAGAUUCAUCGGUAGUAAAGUGGAUGUAAAAGGAAACCAUUUUGAACUAAUUCCAUUUGGAUCUGGAAGAAGAGGUUGUGUUGGAAUACAAAUGGGUUUACUCAAGGUUCACUUUGUUUUAGCUUAACUUCUCCAUUGUUUUGAUUGGAAGCUCCCAAAUGGUAUGUUGCCUGUUGAUUUGGAUACGACAGAAGAGUUUGGUAUAAGUUGCCCUUUAGCUCAUGAUGUUAUGGUUACUCCUAUUUAUCGCUUAAAGAACUAAUUAUAUGAGUAGUACUUCAAUAUAUUACUUGUCACAUCAACAUGCUUUUAAAAGUUGUACAAAAGACAUUAAUACUUGAAGAAUGUUUAUGAAGUUAUAGAUUUUUAAUUUAUAUGAAUUAAGAAAGAGUAUGUGUAUACACACUCUCGUGAAGUUAGAAAAUUUCCAUAUGUGAUGAAUGUUUGUUGUCGUUGUGAUAUCCUCGCUCUAGUAUGACUUGUAUGCAUGAACCCUCCAAUGUGCAUUAGGGCACUAUAUAUAUGUAACAUUGUAGGGCACUAUAUAUGUAACAUUAUGUAAUAUAAUGAAAUGAAUAAUGUGUAUUCAUGUAUAUGCUAGUAACUGUGUUGUUAACAUGGAAAAAACCAUGCAAAAUAGAGUUGAAAGGUAAGUAAUAAAAAAAAAAUCCUCUUUUAUCAAAGGUCUAAUAACUUAUGUUAGAUUCUUACAAAGUGAAUGCAAAGAAAAUAAAGAAAAGACAAGAAAGAGCUUAUGCUUGUGAUAAUAUAUAGGUUGUUUAAUGAUAAUUAAGAUGAGGAGAAAGGGUAAUAUUACAACUAAGGACCCUAAUGUAUAACUAACAACAAUUAUUUUAAAACUAUAUAUGUGAGUGUGGCUCAAAAAUUGCCUUUCGUCUAUCUUUUCAUUCAAUUAAGUUUGUCGAACGUCGAUAUCAGCUACUUCCCACGUGGUUAGUUCAAAAGACAACUUCCUUGGCUCCUACCUUUUCAUCUUGUAGGAAAAAGAACAAAACAAAAACAAGGUGAGAUACAUUGAUUAAAUAAGAGACCAAUAAAUUACAAACAGUAAGUUUAAAGUUUUUUAAUAAAAAAUAAUGAAAAAGCAAAAUUGCUCUAUAAAAAAAACCCAAACAUAUUAUUUUUAAAAAAAUCUAUAGUAACAGAAGUAGUAUAAAAGAGUUGUGUAAAGACUACAAAAUACAUGAAUAAAUCAUUUAGUGAAGAGUUAAUUAAUGGCAAGGGAAUAAUAAGUAAUGGUUCCAUAUAUUACAAUACCAUAUUUGUUAAAUAUAUAUGAUAUAUCACGAUACAGCAUUCCAAGAAGAAAACAUUAUUGAUUAGAAUUUCCCAUCCAACAACAUAUCGAGGUAUUAUAUCAUUGAGUUAACUUUUCCUUCUUUUAUUGUUCACUGAAACCAUCACAUUUGAUAUCAUAGUAUGGAAGACGUGGCAGGCUUUGAUCCUUGAAUUCAUCACUUGGACCGUCAUUCUGCUUUUAUAAAAGAACCCAAUCUCCAAAAGCCUUGUAUGUGUGAAAUUUUGCCCCACCACAAAAUCUGAGUCUCCUUAUGGCUUGGAUUUUUCUCGCUGUUGCAUUGGUUGGUCUUGCUCUUCUAUUGAGAACAAGGCUAUACAGAAGUCCGAACAAAUUGCCUCCUGGUCCUAGAGGGUUCCCUGUUUUUGGUUGCCUUCAUUUGCUAGGAAAGCUUCCUCAUAGAGAUCUUCGAAGUUUAUCUAAAAAAUAUGGAUCCAUUAUGUACAUGAGACUCGGCCUUGUACCCACUAUCAUCGUCUCUUCUCCUCAAGCAGCUGAGCUCUUCCUCAAAACCCAUGAUUCUGUUUUUGCAAGUCGCCCAUUUGUUCAGGCUUCCAAGUACAUGUCAUACGGUCAAAAGAACUUGGGGUUUGCUCAGUAUGGUCCUUAUUGGCGUAAUAUGCGUAAAAUGUGCAGACUCGAAUUGCUGAGCAGUGUGAAAGUUGAAUCUUUCAGAUCAAUGAGAAUGGAAGAGCUCGGUUUGUUCGUUGACUAUCUUCGAGAUGCUGCAAAAAAACGUGUCAUUGUAAAUCUUAGCUCCAAAAUCUGUUCUCUCAACACAGAUAUGACAUGUUUGAUGGUGUUUGGAAAGAAAUAUAAAGACCAAGAGUUUGACGAGAGGGGUUUCAAAUCUGUGAUACAAGAGGCCAUGCAGAUAGUGGCUAGUCCUAACUUGGGAGAUUUUAUUCCUCAAAUUGCAGUACUUGAUCUUCAAGGGUUGGACCGUCGCUCAAAAGCUGUUAGUAAGAUAUUUGAUGAGUUCUUUGAGAGAAUUAUUGAUGAACAUCUUGAAUCCAGGUAUGAGAAUAAGACUAAGGAUUUUGUGGAUGUCAUGUUGGAAAUCAUGGACUCUCAUGGAACCGAGUAUCAGAUUGAACGGUCUAACAUCAAAGCUAUAAUCCUUGUAAGUAAACUUCCUACGUAUUAAAUAAAGGAGUCGAGAAGGAUAUGGCUUACUGUGGUCAUGAUACAAUAGCAUGCUUUUCUGAUGUUUCCUUUUUUUUUUUUUUUUUUGAAAAAAUAUAAUAUAUCUCUGAAUACUGUCACCAAAAAGUAUGCAUAAAGCUAAUUGCUCCUAAAUUUUAGUAACUCAUCGGCUUAAGUAAAAGAAAUUUCAGUUAUUGGUUCUAAUUAGCUUGACCCCAAUUUUAGGAUAUGCUAGUGGCCGCAAUGGACACUUCUGCCACCACAAUCGGAUGGGCAAUACCUGAGCUCAUCAAACAUCCACAUGUGAUGAAGAAAAUGCAAGACGAAUUACAAAAAGUGGUGGGUUUGGAUAGAAAGGUGGAAGAAACUGACUUGGAUCACUUGCAAUAUUUGGACAUGGUCGUUAAGGAAAUUCUCAGGCUACAUCCACCAGCUCCAUUAUUAGUUCCACAUGAGGCUCUUGAAGAUUGCAUUGUUGAUGGUUUCUAUAUUCCUAAGAAAUCACGUAUAAUAGUAAAUGGAUGGGCAAUUGGAAGAGACCCAAACUUUUGGAUUGACCCAGAAAAAUUCUUUCCUGAAAGGUUUAUUGGUAGUCAAGUGGAUGUGAGAGGGAAGGAUUUUCAAUUGAUUCCCUUUGGAUCCGGCCGAAGAGGUUGUCCUGGCAUGCAAAUGGGUCUAACAGUAGUUCGUCUAGUGAUAGCACAGCUUGUCCAUUGCUUUGAUUGGGAGCUUCCAAAUGGCACGUUACCAGUUGAAUUGGAUAUGACAGAAGAAUUUGGAUUAACUUGUCCCAGAGCUCAAGAUCUAAUGGUUACUCCUAUUUAUCGCCUUAACAACUAAACAAGCCAAACAGUUGCACAUAACUUUCAAAUAAAUAAAGAGUUCAAUAUAUUAUCAGAUUGUACGUGUGAAAUCAAGUGAAAGAUGUGCAUGGUUUGCAAGAUUCAGAAUUCCUGUCAUAAGAAGAGAAGUUAAUAAAUUUGUGCUUGUAUGCUUAGCAAGUAGGUCUGCUUUUGUUGGGUCUCAAUGAAUGGGCCAUCCGCCAAAUGAAAACUGUGUAUGUUAUAGACUCAAACCCUCUCUGUGUUGUCCAAGAAGGUAACCAUUAGCCAUAAUUGCAUUAAAGACAUGUUAUAUGAACUAAUAAACAACGUUCGCAAAUAAAUACCAAGUCUUAGUAAUAUUCUAGAGUAACUCACGGUACACAAAUUGAUUGUUAUUACUCUAUUAUAUUUCAUUAAUGGUGACGUACAUUCAACGACGCUCAAAAUGCUUCGUAAUUCAGGAAAAUGAAUUGAAGACAAAAGGUUGGUGGAGAUUCCCCAACUUAAUUAUUAAUACACAAUGAACUUCAGGGUUGCGUACUGAAAACACACUCUCAAGAUAAAAUACAUACCAAGUUCAAUAUAUUUGCUUGGGAAGAGAAUGCAAGAAAAGUUCGAGAAAAGGGUGGAUUAGGACACAAGAUGGUGGACAAAUGAUAGUUGAGUCACUUCAAAGUAUCGGUAAGUGGUCACCCAGAAAAUGCUCGACUCAAGUUGCAUCUACCAUUUGAUUGUUAUAUCGUAGGUUGUAAAAUCAAUCGCUUCCUAUACUCUUAGGAAAGUGCACAUAAUAUUAAAUAAAUGGGUGAGUGGACGAAACUCAACUGUCCAGAUUGAUCAAGUGAAGUUGUUUUCAGCGAGUUACGUUAGAUGCCAAGUGGAUGUGAGAAGAAAUUUAACUAAUCCUGUUGGGACUUAGUUGAAGAGGCUACCCAAGAAUGCAAAUGGGUCCAACUAGCUAAGUCUCUGCAUUGCAUUAAUUGUGAGAAUCAAAAGGAUAUAAAUGUUGAUAAUCAAAUCGGAUUUGAAAGCAGAGUUUAGAUUAACCUGUCCUAAAGCUCAACAUCUUUACGGUUAUUCAUAUUUAUCAUUUUCAUAACUAACUAAAGAGCUUGGAAUGUUGUUGGGUUCGAUAGUGUAGAAUAUAAGGUUUCGUCAGUAAGUUGUAAUAAUCCAAAGUUUCUUCUUGUCUGGAGAAACAUGACCUUUCAAUUUAUUAUUUUUUUUAUAUCAGUGAGUAUUCGGGCCAGCUUACGCGCAUCUCGACUAAUCUCAUGGGACACCUGCAUGACCCUACAACAUUUUGGUGUCAAAGGAGCAUACCUUUCAAUUUAGUAGCUAUACAGAUAGUAAAGUUCUAUCUUUGGUGAAGACAAGUACACAACGAAGAACAAUCAUUGAAUCAAUGAUUUGUAUUUUCAUUUCCACAAAGAGAAGCCUUUCUGUUAUUUUCAUCGCCUGGUCACACUGUCUUUGAUCAUCCUUAAGCUAUGCUAAUACCUUUUCAGAAACUAGCAGCAUUGUUUAAGUGGUUGAUAAUUUUUAGCUCACUUUUUUUUUUGAAGUGAUUAUCAUUGAGAUCUCUAUGGAUUAUUUGCCGUAGUGUCUUGUGCACAGUCAGACUCAGAUAUCAAGAACAUACUUAUCUGGCAUUUUAUGGGAUCAUAGGAGUAACGUCAUAAGGAGAUUUAAGCAAGAAAUUGGAAUUUGAGGCACGUAUGAGGUUUUCAAAGCAGUAGGCUUUCCUGCGUAUCUUUGAGUAAAUGCUAAAGGGAACACGGGUAUGAAAAGAAAAUGGACGUGAAAAUGACUAUCACCUUCAGAAACUUGACAUUCUAUUCUUUUAUUUCCUUAAUAUCUGUGAGUAUUCGGACCAGCUUACGUGUAUUUCAACUAACUUCGAGAAACUUGGCAUUCUAUUCUACCCUUGUGCAAUGAAGAAUUUUACUAUUAACAAUCAGAUUGAAGCUUAUGAAACAAUCUCUAAUUGUAAUUUACCCUAUUUUGAUAAGUUGACAGGAUCUUGUGGUAUAUAAAAAUGCUGGAAAGUAAAAACAAAUUUGUUAAAGAUCACACUUACAGAGAAAUAGUUCCCUUGUCACGGUUGAAGAUUAUUGGUAAACGCAGCUUCAUAUCGUAUCAAGCUCAACCCACCUCUGAGCAUGUGACGAGAAUUCUUUUUGUUUCAUCUGCAUUGCUAAAUUUCCCAACGCUUCAUAAAUAAGCAAACUGUCGUGAUGGCUUCUGUCCUCAACAAAAAACACGUGAGACAUUCCAUUCACUUGAACAACGCUUUUCCCAGGGGAUUUCCUCAUUUGGUUUGAUCUCAUCGUUUUUCUCAUAGCUGCAACUUCAUCCCAUCUUCCAACUGAUGCAUAUAUAUUUGCCAUCUCGACGAACGAAACUGCAACCCGAGGCUGUAAUUCAAAGAGAUAACGAGACACAUACUCACCGAUUUCCAUGUUGUUGUGAAUCUUACAAGCACCAAGCAAUGCACCCCAUAUGCCCUCGUCAGGCUUCAUAGGCAUAUCUUGAAUAACCUCCAAUGCUUCAAUUAGCUUCCCUUUCCGUCCAAGAAGAUCGAUCAUGCAAGAAUAAUGAUCCAAACCAGGAUUUAUACCAUAUCUUUCAGUCAUCAUCAUAAAACAUUCCCUUCCUUUCUCGAGAUAGCCUCCAUGACAGCAAGCUUGAAGAACAGCUAGAAACGUGAUAUUAUUUGGCUCUAUUCCUGACUCUGACAACAGUGAGAAGAGAUCUAAAGCUUCUCUAAAUUCCCCAUUCAGAGCACAAGCUGCAAUCAUGGCUGUCCAAGAGACAACAGUUCUAUUAGGCAAACUGUAGAAUAUCUCUCGAGCAUCAUUCAAACUCCCACAUUUUGCAUACAUGUCUAUCAAUGCAUUACAAACUACCACAUCUUUUUUCAAUUCAUGUAAAGAUGCAUAGUUGUCAAUCCAAUGUCCAAGCCCAAGUGCCCCUGUUUUACCGCAACCUGAUAUCAGGGAAAGAACAGUAACUAUAUCAGGUUUUUCUCCAGUUUCUUCCAUAGCAUUAAAUAAUACCAAGGCAUCAUCAACUCGCCCCACCUCACUAUACCCACUAAUCAUGGCCGUCCAUGAAACACAAGUUCUAAUAGACAUACCAUCAAACAAAAUUGUAGCAGAGCUAAUAUCUCCACACCUUGAAUACAUUGAUAUAAGGGUGUUAAUUAAAGAAAUAUCUGAAUCGCAUCCUAAUUGGAAACCAUGGCCAUGAAUAAGGAAACCAUAAAUUAGUGCUUCAGGUUGCUGGCAAGAAGAAAGCAAACUAAUAAUCGUACUUGCAUCAGGCUUAAAACCAUCACAGAGCAAUCCUUUGUAAGAUUUUACAGCAUCUACAUAUUUCCCAAAGUGAGCAUAGCAUGCAAUCAGUGAAUUCCACGAGACAGAAGAUCUUGCAGUCUUUUGAAUCCCAUGGAACACCAUCUUUGCAAGCUGCAGUUCACCGCAUUUGGAAUAGGCAGCAAUCCAAGUGUUAGAAACUGAGGUGUCAGCAUCUAAUCCUGUUUCAAUCCCAAUAGCAUGAACAGCUUUUAAAAACCUUAAACUUUUGGCAGAUAUAACUGCUCGAGUCAAUCCAAUGACAGUAGCUGCAUCUGGCCGAGUUCCCACUAAUCUCAUCCCCAUAAACAGAUUGAACACUCUAUCAAGUGAGCCGAUCUGAGAAAAACCAAUAAUCAUAGCGUUCCAUGAUGCAAUAUUCCUAACAGGCAUUUUAUCAAACAAGUUAUAUGCAUCAUCCACUUUACCACACUUGACAUACAUAUCAACCAUGGCCGUCUGGACAUAGAUAUCAGAGUAAAAUGGGGAUUUGACAACAUGGGUAUGGAUGAUUUGGGAGUUAGUAAGAUGGGAGAGCUUGGCGCAAGCUUUUGAUAAGAAGGGAAAUGUAAAAUUGUUUGGUUGUAGACCAUUUAACUUCAAUUGAUGGAAAAGAGCGAGAGCUUUGCUCGCAUUGCCUUGAUUUACAGCGCCUCGUAUGCUGGAGUUCCACCAAGUGAGAGUUGAUAGCUUUGAAAAGCAGUUGAGAUGUUGAGUCAACGUAGACAUCUCCACUUCUCAUGGUGUUUGGCGGGCGUCAAACAGCCGGACGGCCAUGACGAGGUAAAAUAGAAUUGAAAUAUGACUCUUGAUUUUUAGUCUUCCAAAAUUAAACCAAGAAGCUCCAACGUAUAACGUAUACCUCAAGUUUUGUUUUUUUUUUUUUUUAGGAAAAUAAUUUUCAAUUUUAAUUCUUAAAUUUCAAAAUAUUAUAAUUUUAAAUUGAAUAAUUUGUUUUAUUUCAAACAAAUUGUCAAACAAUUUUAUUCGUAAAGAGUUUGUUUCACCCCAACUUUUUAUAAGUGAAUGCUUUUUCUACUUUUCACAUUUGAAUUUUCUAUUUUUGAAUUUUGUUUUGAAGUAUGUUCAAAUUGAUUUUGCUUGCAAAGUCAAUUCAAACAUGCUAUUAAUAUCUAUAAACUGAAAAAACAAAUGAGAAUUCAUUUUGUAGCACAGUUAGGAGUUGUUUGUUUGAUAAGAAGAAGAGAAAAUGAGAGGGCAGACAAUGAAAAGUGAGCAACAUUUUUCUUCCAUUAACAUCAAACUGAAACUCUUGUAGGGGGAGAAAAAAAAUCAAUGGAUGGGGGUGGUGGUUGUCCAUUUACAAGAAAAUUUCACGGAGAAAAAAAUGGUGACAAUUAGCCCAAAAUCAGUAGGCUGAAACCAAUACGAAGCGAAAAAUAAGAAACAAAAACAAUUGGGGUCGAGGAACACUGGAAAAAAACUAAUUCCAAGACGCAUGUACACGGGGGGUUGGAAGGAUGAGGAUGAAAAUCAAACACAUAUAGCACAUAAAUCAUCAAACACUUGUCUGAUGUUAGGCCUCUCAUUUACAGGACGAAUGCACUUGAGAGAUACACCCAACAGUUCAUCCAUAGCUUUCGAAGGCUCUUCUCCAACUACGAUAUCUCGGUCUAUACAGUCCAUUCUUCGUCCUUCUUGAUCGCAUAAACGCACCCAAUCUGUGAGAUCGACGGCCCCCGAUUGACCCGAUAUUAUGUCGCCUGCACUUCUUUUGGUUAAAAGCUCCAUUAAAAUUACCCCAAAUGAAUAAAUGUCAGCCUUGAAAGAUGGACCAGGUUUUGCUGCACAAGCGAGUUCUGGAGCGCAAUAUCCAAGUGCCCCUAGAUUCAAUAUCUGCUCCGCAAUGCCUGCUGGUGUCAUCAAGCGGUGAAGUCCGUAGUCAGUGAGCCGGGCAUCGGAAUCAUGGCCUGCCAAGAUAAUAUUUGUUGGCUUUAAGUUUCCAUGAGGGAGGCCCCUAUCAUGAAGGUAUAACAGACAGCGAGCAACUUCCACUGCAAUUUUAAGUCGUUGACUGAACGAUAACCGAGAAUACCUUCGUGGUGUAGUUUCUGCAAGAAAAGGAUAUAAUACAAUCAAUUACUAGAACACAUGGUAGUAAUCUUAGAGAGAGUCAGAUUGCACGUGAAAAUACUUCUGCAAGAAGAAUACAAGCAUGUGAAGGAUGAUGUUAUUCUAGUGAUUAUGCAAAAUCAAUUCGUAAUUAUUCAGAAGGAGAAACUCAUGAUGCCAACAAGAGGCCGGACAUUCUUAAUUCACAUUCCAGAGAUAUCUUCGGCCGUGGCGGUUGUAACAAGAUAAGAAAUAUAACAAGGACACAGAAAUUGCAUCGCUGGAAACUGGCCACCAUUUUCGAUUGUAGUGCGGCCACUCAUUCAAAGAAAUAAGAAUCCUAAAUAUGCCAUUCAAACUCUUUUGUACAAGGCUUGGGAGAAAGAAAAGGAAAAUGAAUUUAACGUGGAAUGAAACCAACAGGUGCUACUUUAACUUUCCAUGUAGAAAGUACUAAAAUUAACAAAUAACAGAAUCAAGAAUCAUAAUUUAUUCAAAAAAAAAAAAGAGAACAAAAUCAUGUCAAAUACACAAAAUAAUAAUAAUAACGAUUUAUAAAUAAAUUUUAAGAUUUAAAUGGCAAUGGCAAUUUAAGGGCACGAACUACGUGAUAUACUUUUGAGGAUGAGACUAGCAGUUAUUACAUGAGGUCUAAGACUACGGCACGGAUCAUCAGAACUAACUGACAAUCAAGUGUUAACAUGGCAAAAUGGACAAAUAAAUUUUUUCACAAAUCCAAAAAAAAUUGCUGGAAGAUCUUAACACCACAAUGAAAGCAUAAGACUUGCAUCCUUUUGAACUUCCCUAAAUUUUUCAGAAAUGUUAUGUAUCAAAAGUUUUGGUACGUUAACAGCAAGUAAAAAAAAUAUGAGAUCCACCUUCUGCUUUCUCUCAAACUAACACUACAUUUAAAUUUUUCAUUGUUUUGUAUAAACAAUACACAGAAUUUACUUGUUUGGAAGUCAGCCUAAUGUACAGCUUUGUAAGAACAGGCUUCUUCUUAUGGCUGUUUUUCAGGCUAACGGAUUCUAUAGGAGACUGCCUGUAGAAAUAUACUUAAUGCGAGUACAGCUUUCUACAGUAUGGACAGACAAGGAGAUUUUUAGAUCCCUACGUCUGUGGGAAGGCUGGCUAUGAACAUAAUUAGGUAAGAAAAAAGGAACGCAGCGAUACCCCUUGUUGCAACUCACAACUUAUCUUGUUAUUUCUACAAUGAUAAUCCAGACAUACAUGUUGGACGGACUUCAAACUCUAUCAAAUCAUCAUUAUAUUAGUCAUAUAAGGGCAUACCAAAACGUGACACACACAGUCUAAAGAAAGAGAAGACUCCAAUCAAGUAAAAUAAAUCCAUGAAAAAUGUUACUCAAGCUAUGCCAAUACAAAUAAAGUUUGAUCGUGUAUUGACCUUGAAAUGAAAUGGAAUGAGCAAAAUCAAAAUCAACAGUUCAAAAACAUUUGGAUUAAACAAAUUUUUGGAUAAGAAUAAUUAUGUCAAAGAAAAGAGAGCCACGAACGCAAGAGUGUUGAAUUAGUACACAUCCUUCUUGGAAAUUUGACCUAUUGAUAAUAAUAGAGGCUCUCAAAAGUGUUAUGGAAAAGGUCUCAUUCCAGGCUUCAAUGAUACACAACAGCAACAAGAGGUUUGGCUUCAGCUUAUCAAGAGAAAACUAUUUGUCAAAGAUUUAUAUUCCAUUUGCCGACCCUUAUGUACACAAAAUGCAAGAGCAUGUCCACGAAUUUAGAUACCCCCUAUAAGCUAUUGGCAUUUAGAUGUUGAUGCUGUGACAAAAAGGGUAAUUUCAUAAUUUUUCUCUACAAUGUUUGCCAAUGUGUCAACUACACAACAGGUGGAGCCACAGAAACUUUCUAAAAAAAGUAAUAUAAUUAGAUGUCCAUUUUGACCCAUAAAAUUCAGCAGCUAAAUUUAAAAGGAACUGUUCUUGGCAUGUACAUUUGAACACUAACAAAACCAAAGUCAAAAUCACAAAUUUCUUUUCAGAGCAAUUACUCCAAGGGUUAAAAAUCCAGAUAAUAAUUGAAUCAGUGACAGGACACCAAAAAGGGAAUGUGCAGGUCCAUAUGGCUAGCGACAGUAGAAUAUAAGCAAAGAAAUAUCUGAACAUAAAAAGGAUGUUUCUAACAAUCUUACCGUAAAGAUGUAGAGCUAAGCUAUCUCCCAAAAUAUAGUCAGCUAAAAGAAGUCUUUCUUGUUCUCUUGGACCCCAAUAAUAUGCUCGUAAAGGAACAAUGCUUUUAUGCCUCAUUGAUCCUAUUCUUUUAACUUCCUUGGCAAAUUCCUUCUUAUGUUUGACCAGCCCCACACGUAACCACUUAACAGCCAGCAUAUGUCCACUAUCCAGAGUAGCUUUAUAUAGUGUUCCAUGGCUGCUUCUACCGAGAACUUCAGCUGGGGCUCUGGAUAGUUCCUCAGCAGUGAAUAGCAGUGAAUUGUCCAGAAAAAACAAUUCUCCAGCUAAACGAUCUGGUGAAUACACAUCUAGUGUCACAGGUUGUUCACGCCCGUCAACAAACUGGUGUGAGGAAGAUAAUGGGGAACCUGGGGAGGAAUUUUUCCCAGAAGUAACAGGAUCGUCGAGUAAAUUAGGAAUAAUCAUUGAUGAACUCGCUGCAGCACCUCCAGGUAAAACAUGUUCAGAAAUCUCAGAAGAGAAUUCUGCCUGCCCAGAUAAUGUCCUUGAAGUGGAGGUUAGUAAAUGGUCAUUUGAAAAACUUGAAGAGGUUGGUGGAGGCUGAUUGUUUGGUUGGAACUUGAAAAUGGAAGGCCUGAAACGUUCUAUCUUAAUGUUCCUUUCAGUACCUUGGCCGCUAAAUAUACUUCUUCCAUGGAACUCUUUAAGUUGUGCUCUAUGAUAAGCAAGUAGAAGAAAAACAAUCAUCACAACUGCUCCAACUGAGGCAAGAAUAAUAGCUAUUUGGAUAUUAGCUUUAGAAGUACGACGUCUUCCAUGCUCAGGGAAAUUAUUUGGAAUCGAGUUCUCUGAACCUAUCUCUUUUGGUAAGUUAAGCUUAUCAUUUCCUGGACGAAAUGAUGAGAUGGGGAAGUUCCUUAAAUUAUCUGGAACGUCACCUGAGAGAUCAUUGUAGGAUACAUUAAAAACAUGUAGGUCGGGAAGCAUACCAGGAAUUUCACCUGUAAAUUUGUUGUUUGAUAAAUCAAGGUACUCCAAGUUACUCAAUCUGGUCAAUUGAUCUGGAAGUGGCCCUGAUAAUUCAUUCUUAGCAAGAUUUAGCAAUUUGAGCCUCGCCAGUUUAUCUAUUUCAGAAGGCAACCCACCAAUCAACGAGUUAUUGGAUAGAUCAAGAUAUUCCAAUGGCAGAUCUGAUGGUUUAACUAACAACUCGCUAACACUUGAGCCUUGAAGGGGAAUGGGACCGGUUAGCCGGUUUCCGGACAGAUUGAGGCUGAUCAAGGUAACAGAUGUAAAGAAACUAGCAGGGACAGUACCGCUAAAACCAUUUAAACUGAAGUCAACUGCAGACAUGCUAGGAUAGUUCACCAAUGUAAACGGCAAAGGGCCUUCUAAGGAAUUAUUUCUGACAUUAAGCACCUUCAAUCCCUGAAAGAAGGAAGUUAUGUUUGGGAAGCUUCCCGAGAACUUAUUUGAACUUAAAUCAAGAACUUCAAAAUUGGCUUCCCAAGAUUGCAAAACUGAUAUGUCUCCCGACAAAUUAUUUGAAGAGAGGUCCAAAAAUUUCAAAGUAGAGGAGUCAACCCGAAGAUUUGAACCUGCAAGGCAAAUAAUGAAUUAUGUUCAGCAAAGUAUAAUAUCGACCUAGCCACACGAAUGACCGUAUAGGUUCAUAAAAACGAAGUUUAUUUGCACAUGUAGUGGAUAAAUCUUCUUAAAAGUUCAUUAUUGAAAUGGUGACAAGUCUUCAUGUAGUACAGAAAAAUACAAUAAAUGGACCUUUCUUGAAACCAGUUGAACUGAAUAGAUUAUUAGUCUAUGAACACGACAUCUCCAUAAAUGUGAUUUAGUGAUUUCGUAUAUAGACUAGCAAAUAAUGGUCUUGCAAAUAUAAUCAAACAAGAGAAAUUAUUGGUUAAAUUUCCAACCAUUAAUUGCAUUUCCAAACCUCGCAAAAGAAGAAAAGGAGAAGAAGCAGAAGAAAGAAAACCCCUUAUAUGCAUGCCUUGGGAAAAUCCCAGAGAGAUGAGAGAUCUAAGUUCGGAGAACAUAAAUUUGAAACUUAAAAGCAUCUUCUCACGGUCAAUAAAUUUCCGGUAAGUCAUAAAUAGUGAAAUAAUAAGUCAAGUGAUUCUUUACCUGUAAAUGCAUUACCACUAAGAUCCAAUUCCUCCAAUUGCAAGGACCUGUUUAACAGUUCCCCAGGCACCGAGCCAGAU